This 258596-nucleotide long non-coding RNA is filed under the name Coffea arabica (coffee). RNAcentral's name for it is "long non-coding RNA (CARA_LNC007847)". The stretch from base 46606 to 46712 matches the Rfam family "Plant small nucleolar RNA R71". The record is from RNAcentral. Lineage: Eukaryota; Viridiplantae; Streptophyta; Magnoliopsida; Gentianales; Rubiaceae.
UCAUAAGACAUUCUGGUCCCCAGGGCUGAACUGAAGCCCGGUACAUAUUGCAUGUACUAUUGUACACACACCCACAGACCCAGGUUGGUUAGGCCAUCCUUGAAGGAGUUGUUUAAGUUAUUCAUUGGUGAAUUUUUUAUGCAUCUUUGUCUUGGAAGCACUACAAGAAAUUUGGCCUUUUGUGACAAUAAAAAGUUAUCACUAAAAAUAAGAAAGUCGUCAUUAUAUGAAUAUAGUGACGACUUUUUCCAUUGUCACAUCGUUGUCACUAAUUCUAUGUCACAAAUGGGUACGUGUGACAACCUCUACAAAGUCGUCACUAAAUAUUAUUAUUUAAUGACGAAGACUAAGUCGUCACUAAAGAAUAGUAUUCUGUGACGAAGUUUCUUGUCACUGUUUCCAAAAUUUUUUUGUCAUAAAAGAUAGCAGAGGUCAUCACAAAUUUGAACGCGCACAGUGACGACUUAAACUUGUCACUCUCACUCCUAGUAUUUUGUGACAAGAAUAAUCGUCACUUAGUGAACUUACAACUUUGUCUACAAGAGCUGCAAUUCUAUUGCAUUUUCAACAACCAUAGCAGAAAAUUGCGGCUCGACUAAUGCAAAAAAUGAUAGUAAUUAAUGUACAAUGAACCCUCAAAUAUAUAUAUAUAUAUAGUUAUAAACAUCUCUAAAUUCAUCACAACACACAUUAACCAAAAUGGGUUCCAAAGCCCACAUUAGUUCAACUACUAACAGCCAUUAUCCAUCCAAACAAUAGAGUACUAAAUUCACAUUAGUUCAACUAGUAGCAACCAUUACGCAUCCAAAAAAACAAAGUACUCUUUCCAAACAAAAACAUAGACUAAAGCAGCAAUUUGUGUCAAACUGAAGUCAUCUUCAUGAGCAUAUCCAAAAGCCAACCUUUUUCACCUCCUCAAGAGCAUUUAAUAGCAUUGUACUGCAUUGAAAGAAAAGUAUCAUAUGCAUUAGAAUCGAUUUCAGUCAAAAAAUAUGCCAUUACAAGCAUACACUACUGAAUUUGAAUGAAUAGUCAUACUGAACAAAAAUCCAAUUAAGUCAAUAUGAUAAGCUCCCACCAACAUCACGUACAAUGUCACACCACAUGACCAUACAUCUGCAAUCUAGAAAAUAGACAGCAAUUACAAAAUGAAUGAAGACCUUCUUGAGACAAAACUAUUUAAUGAGCAGAAAGUAGGCAGCAGUGCCUGCCUGUUAAGCAGGAAGAAAUGAACUGAACAAGCAUAACCACUAGCACAAAGUUUACAAGAUACUUGAGACAAGGGCCAUAUUGCUGAUUUAGAAGCAACAGUACUACUACUUUUGACUAUGUUUGGAUGCAAGUUGGGGAUACUAGUCGAUCUAGUAAUACCAUAUCACAGCAAAAGGGAGGAAAUCCCAUUAUACUAUCACAGUGAAGAGUUAACGAGAAGAGGAAACUAAUGCUCAGAGGGAGAGAAUCUCUGUAAAUUCUUCAAGAAUUUUGAUGAUACAGACCUUCCCAUCAUAUUCCUUCCUUGACAGGACCUCAGGUGCAAUAGAUGCUGGUGUUCCAACUACCGAUUUGGGUUGUGAGUGCAACAAACCAGACUGCAAGUAAAUGCCAGAAACCAACAAAAUUUCAAAUUAUCCACAAAAAAAUAUGAAGUCAAUUGAAUCACAAUUUUUUUUAAUUCCAAAUGCAAAGAUUUGUAACCUUAGAAUAACCAAAAUCACAUAUUUUAAGACGUGGUGUUGGACUCCCAUCCAAAAGUGUGUUUUCUAGCUUCAAGUCCCUGUGACAGAUUUCCUGCGUUGAGAGAACAAUGAGAUAAUAAUAAGAGGACUCAAAAAGAAUAAAUAGUUCUAAUAUCUCACCAUUGAAUGACAGUAACUAACACCAGAUAUUAGCUGCUGGAAGAAAAAGCGAGCCUGCGUUUUAACAAUAAGAAAGUCCCAUAAGUAUCUCUCUAUAAAAUCAAUGCCAAAAGAAAAUGAGAUCAAGGCAAACGAAAUAUAUUUUGCAUGUUUUUACAUCUCAUCUUCAUUGAAUCCACUAGCACUACAAAUUUUUGCAAAGAGCUCUCCACCAGCAGCAUAUUCCAUCACAAUAGCUAAAUGUGUCGGAGUUAGCACGACCUGCAAACAAAAGUAUGCUUCAAAACAUGGCUCCAUGAUUUUUAUCACAGACAUCUCCCACUAAGGAAGUUGAAAGUACAAACAAGUUUCUCAUCCUGAUUCAUAAUCUAGUUCCAUUUUCUAUCUUGUCAGCUCUCAUCUAUGACCUCAAAGACAACGCUCUUUUCUAUUUAAUUGAAGCCGAAAACAGGACCCAUUCCAUUCCCUCUAGAAAAAGUGUAAUCUGAGUGCCAAAGUCUUGAACUACCGAUUAGCAACCAACUUCGGCCGAAUAAAAAUGUCUUCCUGUACCACUUAUAUUAAGCAUGAAAAAGCAGUACAUGUCGCUACUUUAACAUGCUUUACUCAGACCUUGAGGAAUGGGACUACUUCUAGAUAAUAAGACACAAAUUUUUCUAGGUGUCCCCACCUCUAAAAAUGCUGUAUUUCUUCCAAAAUCUAACUCCAAUUAUUAGGACAUUCGCUGCUUAUAUAAUGGAAAAUAUAUACUUUAUAGGCGUUUAUCAGUUUUAUAGCUAGACUCUUCAUCACUGGAGGCUCGAUGCAAGAUAAAUUUGACAAGGUGAAUCCAUUCAUCAAGAAAACUCAUGUGUGUGAUAGUGUUCAUCCUUGAACUUCACUUAAUUUAAUAGCUGAUCUAAUAAACGCCACUUAAUUUAACAAAUCAAUAGCUGAUCAAAAUAUGACCAUCAAACUAUUAAAUUUGACAACAUCUUAGGCACACAAAAAGAAGUCCUAGAAUGUUAAGAACCAAAUGAUACUUGAGUCUUUAAUCAUCCUCAGAAACACACAUCACCAGGAAGGAGAUGCAAAAUAUGUUACACCAGAAUUUACCUUUUACCAGAUUUGACAGACCAUUUUCCUUCAAACUUCUUGAAAUCACCAUCAACCGUGGAAAACUGGAGUUCACGGUCAUUUGCCUAAAUAAAUUUCAUUUGCAAAUAGUUAACUGAGAUAAAGUUAUCACAUAAGAAUGCCUAGUUACUACUACCUACUCCAUCAGAAUGAAAAUGUAGUUUAACAUCUCACAUUAUAUUACUUGCAAUAACUGCUUUGUUGUCUUUGCCUUUUGUAAUGAAUACCGGCUUUUCAAUGUUGAUGUAUAUAUUCGCCCUUACCCUACUCAUAUCUUUAUCAAAGUUCAAUAGUUAAAUGUUCUUCACUUGAAGAAAGUUUCUAUGUAACAGAUGCAAAAAAAAUUUGCAGCUCAAAUAGCAGCCUGACAUAUAUAGUUAAUAUCUUAAGAUUAUAGAAAUGCUUUAAUAUCUCAAGUUUACCAGAUGACUGCUUUAAUCCCCUAUCAAAUGACCUGUAAAUCUCAUCCAAUUUCUCAAAUGCUGAUUUCGUCCAAACAAUAAACCUCCUAACGUGAUCUCCCAUUGUAUCCGAUCCCUUGACUGCUGCCAUUUCUUGUCCUCCUUCCAGCUUUCAUCAUUCCUUUUCCCAUUUUCCUCCUCCUCCGUCUCUCUGCAGUCUGCAUCUGCUUCCUCGUGAUGGACAUGGUCUCAGCUUCAGAAGCAAAUAAUAAUAAUAAUAAUGAGCAAAACCCACGGAACCCCACCAGAAAAAAUGUGCCACCACAUGUUUUUAAGAAAUUCAUUAGAUUGAUUUGAAGACCUAGAGCAACCAAAACUAUAGAUAAGUCUCAAUCAACUACGUAUCUCAACAUGCAUAACUUUCAACUGCAACAUCUGAGAGCCUAAAUUGCAAAUAACAUAAUUUAGCAAAACAUGAAUCUAAGAGAAGCUUGAACUUGGUGGUGCUGAACUAUACCUCCAGAUCCACGGCCAAAGCCAGGCCUUCCACCAGAACCCCUGAAAGUAGGCUGGAAAUCCGCAGGAGCUCCACCUUUCUCACCACCAAACUCACCAGGAGGUCUAGGGGACCAGCACGAUACCCCUCCCUGUCACCAAAUCUGGGCCUACCCCCAUCAAACCUUGGUGGUCCGCGAGGGCAGUCACCAAGAGGUCCACCCAUAGGACGACUGAGGGGCUUGGCGGACUUCUUAAGAGUAGCAGGAAUAAUUUCAGAGGGAAGAUUGAGGUAAGUCCUCAAGAACUCGAUGCCGUCGUUCGUAAGAUACCAGUAGUAAUGCAUCCAAGCGAAGGUUUCCCGGACGUUCUCCUUGGACUUGAAGCUCUGCAUCAGCUUAAUCACCUGCAAGUUUGGGACAUCAAUCUCGGGAUGCUUCGCCAAAUUAAAAUCUUUCUUCGCUAUUAUCCAACGACCAUUGAGUUCCAAGAGACAACAUCUCUCCUGGGCAUCUCGUCUAGGACAGAACGAGCACCCGUCAAACUCCCACAUUUCCCAUACAUGGCUAUUAAACCAUUCCCGACAUAUAAAUUUCCAUCAAGAUUCAUUUUCAAGACUUGGGUAUGAACUUGCAAGCCAACCCGCAGAUCCAUAGAGGCAGAGCAAGCUUUUAGAAUACAGGGGAAUGUAUAAUAAUCAGGGUUCGUGUUACUCGAAUUCAUGCUCUUAAACAUGAAGAGAGCAUCAUGAUAAAGAUGGUUGUUGACGUAGCUUCUAAUCAUAACAUUAAAAAUCACAACAUUUCUCUCGGGAAUUCUAUCGAAUAUCUGGCGGGUAAUACUGGUUUGGCCACGAGCAGCAUAGGCCCGCAUCAACUUGAUGCCAAAGGAAAUGCAGGAGUUGAGGUUCAGAUGUAAGAUGAUCCUGCAGUGGAUUUUUUUCAAGGUUCUGAUAUCUGGCCAUUUGUCUAAGACUUGACUGUAAGAAACGGCCUCCGAAGAGACCGUGGCAGUGGGCAGGAGUAGUGCUUUUUGACAGGUAGUUGAAAACUGGCGGAAAACAUGAAGGGGAACGACGACGACGAAGAGAGAGGCAGAGAGAUAACAAAAUGAACACUAGGCGGCCUCCGGUGACCCGAUUGUGCAGCAGCUCCUCCUCCUGAUUAGGGAUUUUUGCUGCACCGAUCUAGGGAUUUUUGCUAUCUGCAACUCCACAAAAUCUACACAAAUCUUUUGGGUAGCUCAAAUUAGGGAUGAAAAUGGUGGCUCAAAGUGAUUUUUUGGAUAAUUUCAACAAGAUGGCAGUGGAGAGAAGAAGAAGAUGAUAGUGUCCAAAACUGGCAAGAAGAGGGAAAGAAAAUUUUGUCUGAAAUUUUUGCUAAGUGUUGUGAGUGUUUUUAUCAAACAACAAAGCCAAAACUAUGUCGUUUCUGCCUCUUUUGUUCACCCGCCUGUAGUUCUUCAAUUUUCAGCUUCCCGCUUCCAUUUUAGCUAAGACCAAAAAAUAACACUUUCAUCCUCUUUUGUACGGCUAAUUGAUCAAAUUAUUGUUCGAAAAAAAAUUGCAACAAUAAGGUUAUUAUUUUGAGCUUUUUUACUUCACAAGUUGUAUAUGGAACUUUAUUUGUUACAUUAAAACUUUGAAAAUUUAGUGUUUUUGGAUAAUUUUUGGAAAAUUUAGAGUUUCUGGGAUUAAUUUAGUGUUUUUGAAAAUUAGUGUUUUUGGAAUAUUUAGUGUCUUAUUAUGUUUAUGAUUCAAAAAAAUCUUUUAAUGCAAAUAUUUUUGGUAUUAAUUUAAUAAUUUUAUUAAUUAUGUACGAAAUUGUGGUCUGACAAGACCUAACAAUCUGUUUAGUUGAUCAAUUAACCAAAAUAGUUUGCUAAUACAUGCAUGAAACACUAAAUGUAUUUGGUACAAAUACCGAUUUAUAAACCAUAAAUAAUGUGAUUAUUGUAAUUAAUAAUAAACUCCAACCAUGCUAUUGUCAAGAUUUUACUUAAUUUCAUGUUGAAUUUUAUUGUUCUUUGCCAUUAUUUUUAUACUAUGCUAGUCAAUAAUUUUUCAUGUGUUGUCAAGACAAUAGAUAGGGAAUCCAUGAUAUUUUUUAACCUUAGCUAAGUUCGGAACAAGUUAUUAACCAAGGUUGGAACAAUUUUAAAAAUAUGUAUAUAUAUUUUAUUACAAUAUCUUUCUCAUUUUGCUAAUGAAAAACAUCAACUAAAAUGUAAAGGAUAGGGUGCCAUAAUAGAAUUAAUGAAAUCGGUUUAUCACAUACGAGGCUAAAUUGUAAAAGAUAAGGUGUCAUGAUAGAGUUAAUGGAAUCAGUUUAUUACAUAUGGGGCUAAAAUGUAAAAUUUAGGGUGUCAUAAUAAGAUUAAUAAAAUUUAUUUAUCACAUAUAAGCCACAUUGAAAAAAUUAGGGUGGCAUAGUAGAAAUAAUGAAAGUGAGUCAGGAACAAACACUUUAAAAAUAUGUUUAUGAUUUUAAAAAAGAUAUUUUAAUGCAAAUAUUUUUUGUAUCAAUUUAAUAAAUUUACGAAUUGUGGUCUGACAAGACCAAACAAUCUGUUUAGUUGAUCAAAUAACCAAAAUGGUUUACUAAUACAUGCAUGAAACACUAAAUCUAUUUGAUACAUGUACUGAUUCAUAAACCAUAAAUAAUUUGAUUAUUGUAAAUUGUAAUACAUAACAAACUCCAGUCAUGGAAUUGUCAAGAUUUUUACUUAAUUUCAUAUUAAAUUUUAUUAUUCUGUUCCAUUAUUUUCACACUAUGUGAAUCAGUAAUUUCCUAUAUGUUGUCAAGAGAACUAAAUAAAGAAUUCAUGAUAUUUUUUAACUUUAUAACAAGGUAUUAGCUAUGUUUGGAAUAAUUGAAAAAUAGGUAAACAUUGUUUUUUACAAUAUAUUCCUCAUUUUUCUAAUGAUAAACACAACUUAAAGUGUAAAAGCAUAGGGUAGCAUAAUAAAAUUAAUAAAAAUUUUCUUUAUCACAUACGAUACUAAAUUGCAAAAGAUAAGGUGUCAUGGUAGAGUUAAUGAGAUUAGUUUACCAAAUACGAGACUAAAAUGUAAAAGUUCGAGUGUCAUAAUAUAAUUAAUUAAAUUUACUUGCAGCGUAUGGGCCAUAUAGAAAAAAUCAAGGUGGUAUAUGGGGUUAAAAUAUAAAAGUUAGGGUCUCAUAGUAGAAUUAAUAAAAUUUGUUUACAACACAUGGGUCAUAUUGAAAAAAUUAAGGUGGUAUAUGGGGUCAAAAUGUAAAAGUUAGGGUAUCAUAGUUGAAUUAAUAAAAUUUAUUUACAACACAUGGGUCAUAUUCAAAAAAUUAAGGUGGUAUAUGGGGUCAAAAUGUAAAAGUUAGGGUGUCAUAGCAAAAUUAAUAAAAUUUAUUUACAACACAUAAGCCAUAUUAAAAAAAUUAAGGUGGUAUAUGGGGUCAAAAUGUAAAAGUUAGGGUGUCAUGGUAGAAUUAAUAAAACUUAUUUACAACAUAUGGGUCAUAUUGAAAAUAUUAGGGUGAUAUAGUAGAAUUAGCGAAAGUGAGAUGGGAAUAAAUGAUUUGGACAGUGAUGACUAGUUGUUGUCACUAAUUUAGAACUGACAACCAUAUUGUGACGAUAUUUUAAGUUGUCACUGUAGGACGAGUUUCAGUGACAACAUGUUUUCUAGUCGUCACAACGGUGAUCUCCCGCCACACUGGAUAGUUGCGCACCAUCCAUAUUGUGACGACUUAUCUCGUGUUGUCACUGUUGACGGGUGAACCCACGAUCAAGUAUGACGAUAUUAAAAGUCGUCACUAAAGUUUUCAAUUGUGACAACUUUCUCUCUUGUCGCAGAGAAUGUUGUCACAAAAGGCCAAAUUUCUUGUAGUGAAGUGAUGUCCUAAACCUUCGUGUCAUAUGUGGCUUUCUUCCUGACUUUUUACUCUCAUCUUCCAUUGCAUGUGGUAAUUUCUUUUCCUGUCCUUGAAUAUACACCAAUGAGAAAGUAAGAGUUCAACCUAUCUUCCCCACUGUCAAAUAACAUUCAGUGUUAAAAGCUUGUGUUCAAAUUUUGUAUGAAUGAGUUUGCUGCUUUUAAGACUAUUAGUUAAAAGAGUUCGGGACAUUUUUUACUAAAUGCUGCUUUGCAGUAUGUCAGAUCUUUGAGUAUUCUAAAUGCUGAAGGUUCUGAAAGUUUGGAUGAGAAUAUGUCAGCUAAGAAGAGGAGAAUAUCUGUAAGUACAGAGGAGGAACUUGGCAACAGUUUGGGGAGGAAAGAACCUGGUAAUAGUUUAAGUCUGGUAUUUUAGUUUAUACACAUGCUCGUACAGAUAAAUUAACAUGUAUGACGACCCGCAAAUCUACAAAAAAAAUGAAGAGGGUGGGGAUUUGUCUGUAAGAACAGGUAAUACGACUUGUAUGCAUGAAAAAAUAAGAACAAGUUUAUUAAAACAACUAGAGCCAGAAUCUAAUGGAAGAUUCUGAAGUUUUUUUGUCAGUGGCUGUUUGGCUUCUUUACCUUUUGGUUCUGAGCCAGAGACUCCACAACUAGAGCAAAUUUUGCACCAGGGCAUGUCCUGCUUGGCAUGGUUAUAUUUUUUAUGGCAAGAUUGAGAAAUUCAUCUUCACGGGCUUAAGAAGAGGGCAACAAGCAUUGAUGGUCAACUUCACUGGCCUGCUCAUCCUCCUCUUUGGAGUAUCUGUUGGUUUCACUGUUCUUCUUCCAAGAAGUUAUUAAAGAAGUAGUCAUUGGAAAAUCUUGUAAUGUUUGGUUAUAUUUAUAUAUAGUUUGGCCCAAUAUUGCAGCUAGACUAAACAUAUUGUUAGAGUAAUGAUUCCUAUGUUUGUUACAAGUGUUCUGAGUAUUUGAAUAGUUUAUUUGGUCAAAUAGUUCUUUUAAAACCUGCAUUUUAUGCAUGAGAUUUGUGACAUUGGCAUAUGAACUUUUUUGGGAGUAUUGGAGCAGGAAAAUGGCCAUCAUUUGUGUGUACUAGUACUAAAAAGGGGCUCAGUUUUGGACCUGAUUUACAAUAUUUUCUUUUCCUGGAUCUGGGUAGAGUUCUAAGAAAACACAUUCUUCUCUUUGAAUUCGGCCUAGUAUACUACAUAGUUCACGGGUCAUGUCCAGCACCGAAACAAUGCCUAGAAACAUAUAAAUCUUCUGCAAGUGGUUGAAUGAGUUGUUUUGAUCUUGCGUCACAUGCCCUGUUUGCAUUAUCAUCUUUAACCACAUAAAACCAUCAUAAUUGAGGAAAAUUUGAACUCUUGAUUGAAAACCAGGUCUGCAGGCUAUCACCAACAGAGUUUCCAAUCAGUCACAUUGCCUGAAAGACAUACUUUCCACUCACAGAGUUUCUAAUCUACACAGGACUUCAAAUCCAUAUGUGAGUCCACGGGUUCUAUAAAAGCUUGAUCAUUUAAUUAAACUGUAACAAUACAAAAUUGCAUUAGACUGAUCCCAUAGAAUUAUCCCUGCCAAGAAUUGCAAAAUUAGAACGUAAUCAGCAUCACUUUGCUCUAAACAUCCGUUCUGACUAAAAUGGUGCUGCAAAUCUACCUAUAGCACACGAAUUUGUUCAUUACGUUUGCAACAGCAAGUGAGCUUAAGAACAUAUUCCAACACAAUACAGGUGACUCAAUGAACAGAAGAGAACCAGCUUAAAAGUUCCUGUCAAUUUCCAAUGCCAAACGUACUAGUGCAUGUUGAUUACUCACAGUAAAAGCAGUUCAUUAGCUACUCUAACACAUAACAGAUUUAUGUGAACAAGUAUACAAACUCUGAAAAAGUAAAGUGCGGCUGUAAAACAAAGCAAAGUAGAAGAAUGAAAGAAAUGUGAUUGCAUCAUAACCCGGGAUAGAUGCUAAAAUCCAGAUCAACUAUGAAAUGAAGACCAGAAAUUCAGCACUACCAAGAAGCAUGAAACAAAAAAACUCGCAUUCACCAACCUUUCAUAUAUAAUCUGCACAGAAGGAUUUUGAGAACGUACGCUAAGAGCUGCCUUCUAAAGCAUAAAAAAAAUCCCUCCUCCUUUGUCCGGACUUGGGACCGGCUGUGUGUCAACACAGGUGGAGUUAAAAAACUUCAUGUCUCUAGUGCCAAGCAUGAUAAGCCAUCUCUUCACGAUCAUAGACAAUCACCUUGGACAAUGAAUACCCCCUAUGCCGUUGAAUGCGAGGAAAAAUUGAUGAAUACUCCCACUCAAAAACAUGUAGAGCAGGCUGUAUCAAAUAGCAAUAAUUGGUUAAUUUCCAGUCUUCAGCAUGUGUGAGGGAUGGAAUGUCAUCUAGCCUAGUAAAGGAAAUUUGUUCGAGCAUAACAAUUUGAUAUGAAUUUAACACUAAUUGGCCCGUAUGACAAUUAUAUUAAAGAAAGAUGGCGUGCUCACAGGAGUUGGGUUAAAAACGUCCAAAAGACUCGUCUCAACUUUCCAUCCGUAACCAAGUUUUUUGGUUUAAAAUCACAAUAUACCUAAAAGUCGAAGGUCUAAGUGAGAUCUAGGAUUGCUCACCAGAACCAGGACGUUAACAAUGGUAACGACAGUGGUUGGCCUGCACUAUAGUUGCGGUGGGGUUCCCCCCAUUGUCCCUCGCUGUGUGAGUGCAAGGACUUGGCUGCAGCUUGUUAAUAGAUUUUGUUUUUCGACUGCAAAGCUGUCCCUCUUGUGGCAAUUGCAAUCCCAAUUUUUUUCAGAAGCACCCUUUUUUUUGGUGCUAUUUUGUGCUCUUUUUGCACUUAUUCAUUUUUAGGUCUCCUGAGAUUCCAACUGGCUCACUCAGGAGAUGUUUGGCAUGGGAACCACAACUGCACCCUCACUUAUUAUUUGGUGUGGCGAGACUCCCGACUUGGCUUACUCUGCAACAACCGAACAGGGAACCACAACAGAUACAUGGCACUAACCUGCCCCUAAUUGCUUUAUCGCCUCAUCAACUUAUUAAGUAUAUUAAGAUGUCAACUCCAAUCACUAGGCGCUGACUUCAAGUUUUAACUCAUACUUCUUUCAGUUUCUAAGCCAAGGUAGAAAUGGAAAGAGGCCAAUUAGUAUUUCAUUCACAUCAAAGCUACACCGUCGCAUUAUCACACAAUUACAGGGCUAGUUGUUAUACGUGCAAAGGUGUGUGAAGUAGCUUUAGACAGAUUCCCAAGUAUAGCUAACUUUGAUGCCUGAAAGUGGAAGUACCUAUCAUUUUCACCUCUGUUAUUUAGGCACAUCUAUAGGGAACUCACUUAGACAUACUAAUAGGAACUCAAGUGAUCAUCAGUAGCUAUUAAAAUGUUCACAAACAGUUAAAAAGUUAAGAAGACAGUGUUUAUAGGCAGGCUAAAUAGGGCAAAAAAGAGUCAAGUGCUGUUUAAUUAACAAAAGGACAGAAAUUUAAUUAUUGAUCCUGGAGAGUAUUGAGACAUUAAAGUGGCAGAUUUAAAAUUAUGCAUUACCCUUUUUUUCUUUUGAAAACAAUAACACCUCAUGCAUAGUUGAUAGAUACGUGUUAGGUAGAGCUAAGCGAAUUUUCUAUUUUUAGGAAAAGAAAAAAGACAUUCAAUGCCUUUUUUUCAUUUUUUAAAUUUUUUCUUUUUUUUUUAAAUUCUUUCCCUUCUAAUAAAAAAAGUAAAGGACUAAAGAAACCAAAAUCCUUUAGUUUUUUGGAUUUUUUUGUUUUUUCAAUUUUUCGUUCUUUACUUGCAAAUAAAAAAGUAAAAAGGAAACCAUAAUCAUUUUUCAAUUUUUUUUGUUCUUUGCUUGCAAAUAACAAAGAAAAAAAAAGAAACGGAAAUCUUUUUUCACUUUUUUGAUUUUUCAAUUUUUUUAAAAAAUGCUUUUUCUACUAAAAAAAGAAACCAAAAUAUUUUUGUGCUUUUUUUAUUUUUUAUUUUUUUGUCAAUGUUUUUUGUUUUUUGCUUGCAGAUAAAAAAGAAAAAAAAGAAACGAAAAUCUUUUUCCACUUUUUUUUAUUUUUCAAUUUUUUUAAAAUUCUUUUCCUACCAAAGAAAAGUAAACGAAAAAAAAAGAAGCCAAAAAUUUUUGUGCUUUUUUGGCUUUUGGAUUUUUUUGGUCUUUUUUUUCAAUGUUUUUUGUUCUUUGCUUGCAAAUAAAAAAGAAAAAAAAAAGAAACGGAAAUCUUUUUUCACUUUUUUGAUUUUUCAAUUUUUUUUGAAAAUUCUUUUCCUACCAUAGAAAAGUAAACGAAAAAAAAGAAGCCAAAAUCUUUUUUGCUUUUUUGGAUUUUUUGAUUUUUUCAAUGUUUUUUUAGCAAAUAAAAAAGGGAAAAUAAAAGAAGAAACCAAAAUUUUUUUAAAUUUUUUUGUUUUUUCAUUGUUUUUUGAAAUUUCUAAUUCUCUUCCUAGCUAAUAAACAAAUAAACCAGUGAAAGAAAUUGAAACUUUCAAACCUGUUGUUGAGCUUUGCCCGCCAAAUCCUCUGCAACUCUGGAAAGGGUCCUCAAGUUCAGUUUCACGAUCGUAUCCACAAAGGCACACGUCUCUUCUUUCGUGUUCGCCUUGGCCGCAUCAAUCACGCAAGUCUCCACAACCACCGUCUCAUCGCCGCCAUUGGGGUGUAGGCUCAUGAUCGAGCGAUAAUUCGACAACCGGUGGUCGCCGCUGACAAUGCUGAACCCAAAGAUGCGUUGAUCAUGAUCAAGAAUCUCGAGCCGCUCGAUGCUAUAGGAGGCUGGAAGUCCUGACGCGACAUCCACACGGCGUAAGCAUCCGACUUGGUUCGCCUGACCAUCUAUGAUUCUGCAGGAUCUCACGAACGGCUUGUAGCGUUGAGGAUUUUCAAAGUCGGAAACCAGAGCCCAAACGACGGAGGCAGGAGCUGCGAUAGUUUGGAACAAAGUAGAUGAACAUUCGUUCGGCUGCAAAACAGGGUUGUGGUGGCUGGAAACGGUUGUGGGAAGCUGAAAAACCAUGGUUGUGGGCGGGGGCGUGGGAGGGAAAUUUUUUAACAAUAUCUUCAACGAAAACGAUGGAGGAGUUUCUCUUCUGUGAGGAAGUUAGAAGAAUAGUGACUGUGUAUUUAUAGGCGUAGGAGAAAUUGCUCCAAUUCCUAAGAGGAGAAGGAUUAUUACCAAAAUAAGGAAGGAUUAGGAUUUUGAUUUCCUAUGUGGAAAAGGAUUGGAUAUCAGGUUCAAAACCUCGUUAGAAGUUAGAAUUGGCAGUGGCGGCUGGCUGGAGAACCAUCCGUUUUGCCAAAUUUGGGUUAAUUGAAUUACGCCAUUAACAAUUGGGUAAAAUACAGAAAAGCUCCUUGAGGUUAAGUGAACAUACAAAAAAAACCCCUAUAGUUUCUAAGCAUACACUCCGAUAACUUAUGGUUUGAACUAAUUUAAAAAAGCGAUGGAAAUCGUUUGAAUUAACGGGUUUGAAAUACACACGCUUCUUUUGUGAAUAUUUGUACUGGAAACAAUCUCUUGACAUAAUUUUGUAUAUUUAAUAUUCCUUUUAUAUAUAUUAAUAUAUUUUGACAAAUAACUCAUAAGUAUUAGUAUUAUAUUUUUAGAUAUAUAAUUAUAUAUAUCAAAAUAUGAAUAUAUUAUAUAUAAUUAUAUAUAUAUAUGCAUAUUAAAGAGUCAAGCAUAUAUCGGGUUUGACCCUAAUAAGGCCCAAACUCUUCUCACAUUUAAUUUGGAACUAAUAUUCAGACCCAAUUUCAAUCCAACUCAAUGAAAGGCCAGGCUCAUUAGACAUUUUCUCCGAGUCAAGUUCAAACUAACUCGACCCCAAUUGAUAGUCCUAGAAGGAUUGCCUCAGAUUUUCGUGCUAAUUCAUUUCCCUCUCAAAAUGAGUAAGAAAGGGAAUUUGGGGAUCAGAUGAUUAGAGUGGGGGCUUGCUUGGUUGGAUAGAUUAAUUUGGUAAUUUUGAUUAUGACAUGUUUUUUAUUAGAUAUUAGGAAUAUGUGAAUUUGCCAAAAUUUAUAUGCCUUUAAGAAUUUUAAAUCUUUCUAAUACUAUUCCUCAAAGUAUUCCAAAGGGAGAAACACAAAUUUGAUUCUCAAUGUUUGACCUGUAUAUCAAACUAGUCUCUAAUGCAUCAGCAAAACAAAUAUGGUCUUUAAAUUUUCUGAUUUUAACUUUGCAUUUUUAGUCUUUAAUGUUUGAAGUUUCAAUCAAUAUGGUCUCUUAAGUUUCUAGUUAUUAUGGUUAGGGGUUUUAAAAUGUAAAAAAAAAAAAAAAAAGAGAGUUGUGAAUUGAAUUAAAGAUUGACAAAUGUCAUCCUAAUUCCCUAUAAAAUUUCAUAAAAACACUUUAUAUCAACAUAAUAACAUCAUUGAACUUAAAGAGAUUUUUUUUUGAAUGAGUUACAAUCAAAUGACAAUAUAUACAUAAUAUAUAAAAUUAAAAAAAAUGAAAAUUCUAGUAUUAAUAUAAAUUUUAUUAUCAUUCAUGCUAGUUCUUGCAUGGCUUGUGCAUACAGGCCUUAAAUUGUUAUAGUUAGGAAUUGUAAUUAUGAAAAGGAAUUGUUAUAAAAACUAGCAAACAUAAAUACUAAUAUGAAGUGCUUUUACUCGUUAUGGGUUAAUGAUCAGUUAAUUACUCAUAGUAUAAAACAAUAAUUACAUAUAUAAUACAAAAUUUGAAUCCAAUUAUGCCAAAGCGAAGAAAUAUAUAAGACAUUAGUGGCAUGAAUAAAUGAAGUAAAAAGUAAAAAAGUUUAAUUAGAAUUGCUAGAAUCCAUUUAAGACAAUUGCGUUGUAAUUCGCAUAUUAUUUUAUCCUAAUACCCUCAAUAUCACUAUUGAAAACUUAAGCGACUAAAAUGAUUAAAAUUUCAAACAUUAGGGUUCACAAAUAUAAAGUCAAAUUGUUAAGUAAUAGUAAUCAAAUUUUGACCAUUGGUUAUUGUUGAGUUUUUGUCAUUGUUGAAUGUAUCUACUACCAAAACUUUGAGAACCAAAUUUAUUUUGGUCGGAACAUUGGAGACUAAUUUAGCACAUGUGCUAAAAAUUAGAGACUAAAACUAUAAUUCUCCCUUUUCAAAAAAAAAAAAAUCUACACUCUUUUUUGUUCUAUUUUUGUGUACACAUAUAAUUUUUUUUUUUCACCUUUGAUGUCACACAACGGUCCAAACCGACUAACAUCAAUUAAUAGACUCAAUUGUUAAAAUGACUUUAUGAAUUGUGAGGAUGAUAAUAUAUAGAAAAAUUCUGUUUAGUAGAAUUUGGGUAAAAAAAGGGUGCGUUUCAUAAAAUUAAAGUUUGAAAACUAAAAUCUGAAGUCUGAAUUCCAUUAAGUUAAGUUGUUGAAUUGUUAUUAAGCCUUAUUUGAUAAUCCAAUUCAGCAUUUAAAGUUAAUAGAUUCAAAUAUUAACAUGUUCAGAUGCAUUUGAUAAUCAAAAAUUGUACAUCUAAAUUAGUUAAAUGACAUUAAAUUUUCUAGGCAAAACUUGCUUCAGAAAAUAAAAUGACACUGAAUUUCCUAAACAAAACUUGCUCCAAAAAUUAAGUGAUAAGUUAUUCACUUAUCACUUAAUGUGAUAUACAUUCAAAUAUAUCACAUUUAGUACUUAAUAAUUCAAUAAUUUAAUGAAUUCAUACUUCAGGUUUCAGUUUUCAGACUUCAAUUUUAUCAAAUGCAUCCUAAAUCUAAUACAUUUGAAUGUAUUUUAGAGUAAGUGAAUAACUUAUCACUUAUAUUUUCGAGCAAGUUUUACCUAGAGUAUUCAAUAUUGCUUAAUUAAUUUAGACAUUCUAUUUUUGGUUAUCAAAUGUGUUUGAAGAUGUUCAUAUAUGAAUCCAUUAAGUUUAAGUGCUGAAUUAGACUAUCAAACUGGGCCUAAAUCAUUUGGUAUAAAUCACAUUUUAUUAGUAUAGUAAGUGGAAGAACUAGGGUAUAAACCCUCAUUUUAUCAAAAAGUCAUUUCUGGCUUGGAAAAAAAGGGUAUAAAACCUCAUUUGUCAUACAAAAGAGGGGGCGAAAUAUAAAUACAAUUCUCAUUUGCCAUACAAAUUAACAAUCCAUUAACUCUACUGGGAAUGAAACACUGGUAAACUCAUAAAAUAAUGGCUGAAAAACUUGCGACAGCAAAAACAGAAGAAAAAGCAAAAGAAUUGGAAGAAGAAGCAAUGAAAGUGGAACUGAAAACCAAGGAGGAGCUGAAGCCCUGGGAGCAGCACUCUGCUGUGAUCACCAUUCCUCGAUUUGACUACAACACCUCUUCUUCUCUCCUCAGUCAUUCCCACUCCGGAUUCCUCAUCACCUGCCCCAUCAGUAAGGCCUCUCAAUCUCUUCUGUCCAGAAAGUUAUGUUCUUUUUCUUUGUUAUUUUUGUACUUUAUUGGCAUUUAUUUAUGUAAUUUGCAUGUGGGUUUUUGAAAACUUUCAAUUUGAUUGUUUGGAAUAGUCUGGGCGGUGUGGUGAUUGAUAAAAAUGCUUCCUUUGUUAUGUAGAGAGGGAGAAGAGUGCAACAAAAGAAGCCAUGUCAAUUCUUGAAAAGGUAAUGAAUUCUGCUCUUGUCUCUUGUCAGUUCUCUGGAAUAAUGUCAAAUAAGGACAUUUUAGAAAUAAAGAAAGUUCAUGCUAACUUGAGAAUCAGGACAGUUAAAUUGGUUUAGUGAACUUGGUUUUAUGGGAUUCUUAAAUUCUGGCAAAGUUGGGAACUUGGGGUAAUCGUAAGUGAAUAAGACCGUAGCGGACUAGAAUUACUGGUAUAAUGUGUUCGCUGCUGUAAUUGUUUUGGUUUAAGAUGAAGAGUAGCAAUGUUACGGAAUUGGUUUAUAAAGAAAGAGAUGUUUGAAUGAUUAAGCAUAAGUAAACGGCGAAUGGGAUGGCAACUAAUUGAUAAAACUGAUGAAGUUUUCCAAACUGGGUGAGCUAUGCAGUAGGUAGGCACAGGCAUGUUGUGUUGUUCAAAUGCAUUAGGUAUUGAGGGGUUCGACAUCCAAAAUGCAGCACUGGUUAAAUUCUUUUAUCACUCAUAGAUUUCCAGUGUAUAUAUAUAUGUGAGUUACCAAUUUCCUUGAAUUUGAAGAUUCUUAUGGAUACAUAGUAACCUUAGCUUAAGCUUGAGCACAUAACUCAUACAGGUUAAGCACAAAUUCACCUUACUAAUACGGAACCUUUGCAUUGUUUUCCUUGAAAAUAAAUCAGAAACAAUAGAUAGAAGAUAUGCAAUAUUUUCUGCCAUAAGAAAAUUUUUUUAAACAUAAAAGCAAUUUAAUAAGUGCAUGGUUAUAUUUCUCUAAAGAAUGACAUGGUCUUAAGUGAUCAUAUUUCUGGAAGGAGAAGACCAUUAGUCCAAUUUUGUUAGGCAUUUGAGACAUCAGAUAUUGUAUGCAUGAAAUAUAUAGCUGAUUGCCAAUCAUCUAUUUUGAGUUCUCAAGAAAUAGAUAUAUAAGCUUCAGUUUUGCUUAUAACAUUAAAAAGGCAUUCUUCAUUGCAGCAGCUUUGGAUAAUUGUCUUUUAUUCAUACCUAAAGGUACUUGUAUAGGCAUGAGAUGUUGCACUCUUCUAGGGCCCAAAUAAUAAGUGGACAAUUUAGAGUUAGCUUAAAAUCUUUUGGCAGACAACUUGUUUGGAAUUGUUUUUGGAUAUAUUUACACCAGAAGCCAAGUGUUGCUGAGGCUUAUCACUAUGUGAAAGAAAUGAAUGAGUUUUAAUUAUAUUUGAAGUCCCCUCCAAAGCCUGUAUCAUUUUUAUUUCUUGGACCUCUCUUGUUGCAAAAGGAAGACAAAUAAUGAAGCAACUUGGAGAAUGGGAAGGUGUGCAUCUGGUGCUUGCAAGAUUCUAUUCUUUUGACUUCAUGGAACUUUAUAAAAGCUGUGUGUGCUGAAUGUUUUCUUAGGGCUUCAAACUGAUGUUGUUAUAUUGACACAUUAUACGUUCUAUUCUUUUUUUCUGAAUGCCAUCAAUAUUCACGACUGAUGCAACGAAUGAAGAGUUUAAAGGAAGAGUAAAUUUAAAUAUUCUUGGAAACUUGGCUGAAGAUCCAAUUUACCCACUUUGAAGAAUGGGUAGUCUUUUUAGGAUCUUGAGUUAUUUAUUAAAAGUUUAAAUUCUAUAUAUUUCAGGAGACUUAAAAUUUGUGGUGCUUUAGCAGCUUAUUGGUAUUUUAUGUUUUAUGGGUAUUGGGUAAACUGACAGUGGAGGACACUUCGGCCGUUGUUUGAGACCAUAGGCUUAUUCAUUGACUUUGAUGGAAGGGAUUUUAAUUGAAAUGUUGGGAUUCGUCACCUCAAUUUCCUGUCAUAAGAUAUUCUGGUCCCCAGGGCUGAGCUGAAGCCCAGUACAUAUUUCAUCUACUACUGUACACACACCCACAGACCCAGGUUUGUUAGGCCAUCCAUGAAGGAGUUAUUUAAGUCAUUCAUUGGUGAAUUUUUUAUGCAUCUUUGUCUUGGAAGUGAUGUCCUAAACCUUUGUGUCAUAUGUGGCUUUCUUCCUGACUUUUUACUCCCAUCUUCCAUUGCAUGUGGUAGUUUCUUUUCCUGUCCUUGAAUAUCCACCAAUGAGAAAGUAAGAGUUGAACCUAUCUUCCCCACUGUCAAAUAACAUUCAGUGUUAAAAGCUUGUGUUAAAAUUUUGUAUCAAUGAGUUUGCUGCUUUUAAGACUAUCAGUUAAAAGAGUUCAGGACAUUUUUACUGGUCAGCAGCCUGUGUAAGUCAGAAGCUACGUUAGUGUACUUCUAAUGGAUUUCAAAAGCUGGGGAAGUGCUUUGUUAUCUGGGCAUGGGUCUUAAGCUUGAAGCAUGCUCUAUGUUUUUGGAAUAGUGAGUUGCUGAAGUUGCGCACUAAAUAGAGCUCUAGGAUACAAUAACUAUCUGUAUUCUUCUACAUCCAUCAGUUGCAAGUAUAGAAGACUUUUAUAUCCUGAUUGCUGAUUGAAACCUGAAGAAUUCCAUGAGAACAGAAAUAUCUGUGACCAAUCGAACUAUUGAAUUUUAAGGAUGAGAGUCCCUCUGAAUCCUUUUAUGGAGAUAAGAGAAUUAUGUGUCAAAUAUAGAUAAUCUUUUCUUGCUGGCUAUUCUAUGUAAAGUGUUUUGUCAUGGAAACUGGUGGAGAAAUGAAGUGAGUCUGGCUGGUGGUGAUCUAUUGUCAUUCUUUAAUUUUUUUUUCAUUAAUUUUUUACAAAAUUUGAUUGACUUUUAGCUCUUUUGAUCUUAGAAGAAUGCUUCUUUCUACAACUUUUUUGCUAACCCGGUUCUAUCUUGAUAGCUAUAGUACUUUAUGAAAUCUUGGUUAAAAGAGUGACAAUUAGCACAAGGAUAAUCAGAAAUUGAUUGUACAACAGAUGGUCUAGUGGCAGAAUACUCGAGUUUGGGAGCAAUUCUGACAUAAUUGUUUGAUGUGAUUGUUAGCAGAGAAAUUGCAGUUAAAUGAAAUCCAGUUAUUGAAGACAGUUGCCUUUGGCUUUUAUAUACUUAUGCAACCGAACUUGUGCAGAAGCAGCAUGCAUGAUAUUUUUCACCGUCAUACCUUUUUUUGGGGUUUAGUUGAUCUGAUCGGUUAAUCCAAUUUCAUAUAUAUGAACUAUCUCAAUGGGAAAGCCUGCUUGCAUCUAAAGGGUGUAAAGUGUAGUAAUCAGCUUAGUGUCUUGUUACCUAACUGCAGUACAUUUUCUUACAUGUGUUGUGUAUGUAAAGCUAAAUAGGUUAAUUCACGUUAAGUCACAUUUAUGUUCUGUGAGAUGUUGACCAGUUAUAUGGUUAAAUACUCUCUGCAGUAUUUCGGACCUUUGAGUGGUCUAAAUGCUGAAGGUUUUGAAAUUUUGGAUGCGAAUAUGUCAGCUAAAGGGAUGAGAAUAUCAGAAUACUCGAGUAUGGAGGAGGAACUUGGCAGCCGUAUGGAGAGGAAAGAUGCAGCCGAUGACUUUGGAGAACCUGGUAAUAGUUUAAGUCUGGUAUUUUAGUUUAUACACAUGCUUCUACAGAUAAUGCAAAUUAUAAUGUAUAACUACCUGCAAAUCCCUCUAUAUAUAUAUAUAUAUAUAACUACCUGUAAAUCUACAAAGAAAAUGAAGAAGCUGGGGAUUUGUCUGCAAGAAUAGGUAAUAUGACUUAUAUGCAUGAAAUACUAUGAACAAGUUAAGUUAGAAAAAAUAUGUCACUAUAAAGAACAGGAAUGAGAAGUUAAUAGAAGGGGAAGAGUAAAGAAAAUACCUUAUGAUAGCUCCAUCCCUGUGACAUACUUGUUUAGCCUAGUUCGACUUUGUGUAAGGCUCUAUUACUGCCCAUACGCAUAAAAUCUCAACCCCCCCCCCCCCCCCCCAAAAAAAAAACCUUUAGCAAAAAUUUUCUGUGUACCCAGUUUGCUACAAAUAGUUUAUGUGAGAGGUGUGUAUCUGUGAAGGUUUUGGCUUCUUAAUACAAGAGAUAGAGUUCAAGGCAAGAUUUGGUGGAUUGCAAGUUACAAAGAAUUGCUGGAGAAAAAUUGUGCAAUCCAAAAUAUUAGAAGGCAGAGAAGAGAUGAAAUGGGAUUUCCCUCUAAAAAACUAACAGAUAGCUUCAUUUCAUUAGAAAAUUAAUUGUGAGUGCAUGAACAGAAUGUACUCUAAAAAAGUUGUACAAGUUUUAAGAACUCGUGUUGUUUUACUGCCUAUUGUUUCUUUCAACAGCCCUAUAUUGUUGUACGGUGUGAGAACUGGAGAAGAAUAACAAACAAUUCUUUUCUUUAUCACAAAAGUGAUGAAAGAAUAAGAAAGAUAUUGUAAUUCGGUACUUACAAUAAAAACAUGUAGAUAUUAUGGUGUCUUAACUUCCCCAUUAAGGUAGAUAGUGGAGCAAAAUAUCUUUGACCGUACAUUCAGCUAGCUAGGGCUUGAUUAUUUAGUUAUCUAUGACUAUCAAAAUUACAGAAAUCAUGUUUAGAAAAUAAGUAUCAAAAUGCACUAAGAAUAGAGGACGUAUUGUUCAUUAAUUAACUUGAAAAGCAAACAAAAUAUGAUUGUGCUUCCUCUACUCACAGAAGAUUAAAACAUGAAUUUGACCAAAAAAACGAAGAACUUAAACUAUGUACCAAUUUUGGUAUGUAGUCGGUUUGGCAGAGAAUUUGAGUUGGUUUGGUAUGUAGGCAACUUAUCACAGACUGCUGGUGGUGGUGGUGGUGGUAAACUCCGCGCUCGGAAAAUCGAGAAUUAAAUGCCAGCUUUAGGCUUAGAGGUAACUUUUGGUUCCUGUGGAUCCCUAAUUUAUGGUUUCGGAGGCUUCCAUUAUUUUCCUCCUCAAUAUCAUGGUCAUAGUCCAAUGCCCCUACAGCAAAUUGGCCCAAAUAAGUUUGCUACCCUUUGGCUCGCAACUGUGGGGCAAAAAUCACCACAUUGUGCUAGGUUGAGCGUGUUCACCACUUCACCACUUGAGGAGGAGGAGCAUUCUGCUACCCCUCUUUGGGAGGGGAAGAAGGAAGAUGAUUCUUCUUAUAGGAAGGAGAUGAAGAAGGAAUCUUGUUUUGUUCCCAACAUUGUAUUAGACAAUAGUCUUCAACUCGAGGUAGAGGAGCAUGCUCAUUUCUAUAUUGACGCUAUUGACGCAAAGACAGGAUACAAAUCAAGGACAGAUUUUAUUUCGAUCACAUUCAUGACAAUCCUCAUCUGGAAGAAGAACAAAAUCUAGUAGUACACAAGAAACUGCUGCAAAAAUCUGGUAGAGCUAAUCUGAAAGCAUCUAAGCUAAUUUGAUACAAACUGGAUGAGGUACUCAUCAAGUGUGGUGUAUUUAACAUCAGGAUAGAGCUCCGUUGCCUCCAUGCCAAAAGAAGCCUUGAUCUCAAAGUUGGCUAUUUCUCCCUUCACGAAAAAUGUGUAUGCCAAAGACAGGAGCAAUUUUAAUGGCAUUGAAGCCUCUGCGAAAGAUACAAGAAAAGAAAGCAAUUUGAUUAGAACGUGGAAUAGUAGAUGCUAUUGUAUUAAAAAUUAGCAACUUGUGCACUUUUUUCUUAUUGUUAGAUGACCUUGAAUUUUCUUAAGAACUUCGUCCCCUGGAACGUAGAUCUUUUCGAGGGUCUUGCCAAUUUUCUUUUCCCACAAUGAUACUAUUUCGUUGUAGGACAAGGUGUUGGCAGGGGGUGUAAUGUACACACUCUUGUUCAGAGUCCUUGGGUCAUCUGCUGCUUUGAUGGUGUAUGCAGCAAUGUCUUCUUCCUUGGUGAAAACAACUGCAACGAAACAUGAAAUUGAAGAAAAAAUUGAGAACUCUAAAAGAUGAUACUAAACCAAUCAAGAUAUGCAGCAGACAAGCCCCUUUCGGACACCUUUUGGAUUUCCAUCGCCAAGAAUGACAAUUUUGUCUCUGGGAGGACUUGCAGAGAAAGAGUCUCCAAAGUUGUUGAGGAUAUAAUUCAAGUAACCAGCAAAUCCGUUAGAUACUAAAUAAGUGUAAGGUAUCCCUUCUGCCUCAAUAGCUCUGCGGAUCUCAACCUUGGUCCUGUUUAAGCUAGCAGCAGGCUCAACAGCGUUCGCACGAUCCACAUCAACCCCAAAUUCAGAAGGUAAAAAUCUCUGAAACCAAAUACAGCUCCUUCUUUAGGAAUAUGGAAGUCACAACUCACAAAGGGACAAACGCAAAAAAUAAAAAUCAAGAAAGAAUUUGUAACACUGUAUUGUGCUUACUUUGAUGUUUCCAGCUUCUUUAAUUGCUUCAAUAAUCUUAACUUGAUGAGCUACCAAAUCUCCCCCGACUGCAGAGAUCACUAUGUCAACUUGUUUGAUUGCAUUUACCAACUGCUGAUGAUUGUGUAGAUCUCCCUGUUCAGUCCAUGCGUACAUGUCAGUUUCUAUAAUUUCUUGAAAAAAAAUUGAAACACUAUUUAGACAACGAAGAAAGAAAUAACAGCACACAUGAAGAAAUAUGACUCCCAAACUCUUGAAACUCUCGAUGAUGGCUGCCCUCUUAGGAUCUGAAAUUGUGCUUUCUCGGACCAGUGCAAACGUUGGGUGCCCUGCUUUUGCGCUCGCUUCCACUAAAUAUUUCCCGAUGUUUCCAGUGCCCCCAAUGAUCAAAAUCUUGCUUUUCACAUCCAUUUCCAACUCUAGGAUAGUAGACUACUGCUGCAAAAUUGGAUGGAAACCGUAUAUUGAUGGGUUGAACAGAUGCAGAGAUGUGCUUCGUGCCUAUAGGCUGCAGUUUCCUUUUGAUGCUCUAUUGGCUUCUGAAAUUUCUAACGGAUUCUAUUAUUCAAUGGAAGAUUAGACAGUUGAGCAUUCUCAGGAGGUUUCCCAAAAAGUCAUGGCACUAACGGAUUCUUAUUGGCCAAGAUGCGCAAUGUAAUCGGAGAUUGCGAAAGAGAAAGGUCAAAGCCAGUUGAAUGUCCUUGUGAAACUACUCAUAUGGGAGAUUUAGCGGUAGGAUUUCGUCCCUGAAUCGGUGAUGACCAAACCUGAAGUAAGUGCUGACGAACAAAGGAAUGGAUAGAAGCCUGUAUUCAUAGGCAUUUAAUCCAAACAAUACAAUUCAUAUAAGUAAUAGACACAGUUUGCUUAGACACUAUAAUUCAGAAACUAGUCAAGGAAUGGAGUCAAUCAACAGAUUUAUUACCUUUUUUGUCACAAUCUAUGGAUGAGGAUGGAUUUAGCCAUAAAUCUCUCAUUUUUAAGGGUCUCUCCUUUUUCUUUUUUCUUUUUUGAAUUUCUUGCUCAUUAAUGUUUGUUGGGGCAGGUGGUAUUUUGAGCUAACUUCUGUGCAUUUUGGAUUAGUCCAACUUCCAACCCUUAAAUAUUCAUCCCAAGGACAUAAUUAAAGAUGGUAGAGCUUCGCUAAUUAAAAAUCUAGUUUAUUUGUUUAAUAUCCGACUUGGUAAGCUUGUCCAAUUAGUGCUAAACCCUUAGGGCAUGUUAAUGUACACUAGUUUUUUGCCCUGACGCUGUGCGUCAGGUAGUUGGGAUUUCUUAAUUUACUAUAAUGGGUAUUAGUCUGGAAAAUUGGGGUGUGAGAGGAGUAAUUAAUUUACUACAAUAGGAUUUGUUAGAUAUAGUGUUUUUGUAUGUGCAUGGGGAAUGGACAUAUCGAUGAAUAGAUUUAAUGAGAAUUUUAAUUAUGAUUUAAAGGUUUUAAUACAAACAAAAAGAAUGUUAAAAUGAUGGAGUCACCUGAGAAGUGGCAUCGCGAGAAUUUUAAUACGAGUGUUAAUUAUUUUCCAGUUUUACAAUUUUUGUCGUAAGGCGUAGGAGCACAGGAUAAAAAGAUAUAUUUAUAAAGGAAAUAGAUAAACUGUCACCUGAUAAAAUGAUAGAUGUAGUAGAACAUUUCUAAACAAGAACGGCCAAAAUGAGAGGAAAUUGUUUUGCAUGACAAUAUGGACAACUUGGAACAUCGGGCAAUACAGCAGGUUCUGUAGCUAUUGUAGUUAAUGGAUCAGUCGCAGCUCGUUUUCUAGACCGACGUUGCCUACGCAAUGAUGGUUCACCAGCAUCUAAAUUUGUUGAUGGAAUCUCGUUAGCACCAUCAGCAAUAGACGCAGAUACAUUUUGUUCAUUUUCCUGCAAACCAGCCAAAGCAUACUUAAGGACCAUGAAUUCAGUGUGGCUAAAUCAGUCAAUCUGAAUUGUAAUAGACAAAAACUAAUAUCUCACCCACUGGUUAGUCUAGCCAUAGUACAUGCCUAGAUAAAACCACCGGUAAUAUAAGUAGUCUAACAUUUAUUGCAAGGGGUCUAAACAACAAUCUUAUUGCAUGAAAGAUGCUCAAAAUAAGCACAAACAUACGGUUGGAAAUUGCUCUGCAUCACUGAGCAAUACUGCAGGCUCUGUAAUUAUUGUGGUCAAUGGAUUAGUCACAGAGCGUCUUGUACGCCGACGUCGCCUAUGCAAAGAUGAUUCACCAGCAUCUGAAUUAGUCGUUGGAACCUCGCUAGCACCAUUACCAGCAGACCUAGAUAUAUCUCCUUGAUUUUCCUUUAAAACAACCAAAGCAUAGUUAAAGAUUGUGAGUUUAGUAUGUUUAACUAAGCCAAACUCGUUUGUCUUACCAAAGUACAUGCUUAGGCUUAACCACUGUUAACAUAAAUAAUUUAACAUUUAUUCCAAAAGAUUUAAACAACAAUUUAUAUUGCAUGAGACAUGCUCAAAAUAAGCACAGACAUACAGCUCGAAAGUGCUCUGCAUUGUUCUCUGCAAAUGACAAUACUGAGCCCGAACCUAAUGAAGAUUCAACGACACCCACACCCAUAUUUGGCUGAUUCACAGCAUUUCGGUCAUGUAUAUUAAAAGCUGUGACAGCUAAUGUACACACUCCUAAUGGCGCAUCAUUCUUUGUCCCACGCUGAGCAGCAGCACGUUGCUCGCGGCUCCUUCGAGUUUUUCUCAGCACGAGCCUCUUCCAAACUUCCAUAUACUCUAUUUCGACCCAUUCUCAAAGCAUAUUAUACACAGCUGAAGCGGAAACGAAACAGACUCCUAAAAUGAACUAUACAAAAAAAACCACAGCAACAAAAAAAGAUUUCCAGCGAAGCCAAUCAAACAGUGAAGUACUUCAAAACCAAAAGAAACUUUCCCAAGUUAUUUCCGAAGCUACCAAAAAAAACCAAAAAGAAGAGUGAAAGCUAAAAAAAAAGAUCCUGCUGACCGCAUAAAUUGUUCAAGUUAUUUCCGAAGCUGCGAAAGAAAACUAAGAAGAAAAAUCAGAGCCAAAAAGAGAUUGAGCUCACGGCCUAAGUUUGCUGAACAGUAAAGCACUUCAAAACCAAAAGAAACUUUCUCAAGUUAUAUUUGCUGAACAGCUGAGAACACAAGCAAGAAAACAAUGAGAGCAAAUUGGUGACCGAGAACGAGCAAAAGAGAAUAAGAGCCAUGCGGACCCACAAACCGCUUCGGACAGCAACGACCAACCACGCGUGUAAAUUAAAAGAGAGCCACCUGGACAUAAGUGGGAAUGUACAACGAAACCACUGCCACCCAUCAUCAAAGGACCAAAAGGCCCCCCAAAGCCAGACAAAUCACGGCAUAACCGGCUCAUCUGCACUGUUCACAAGGCGUUGGACGCUUUAUAUAUGUAAGAUUUACAAGGCACUGUGCAGUGUGCACUAGGCCAGCCUUGGGCAUGUCCUAACCCAUGGACAAUGUGAUUUUUGAAAGCUAGAUCCUCAAAUGAUCAUAUGUAGUCAAUUUGUUCAUUUAAGUUCCAACGUAUUUUACUUAUAGCAUUCAGAGCAUAGAUUGUAAAAUAUGGUAUGGGUAUAAUACGAGGUAUAUGUAUGCCUAUUAUACAAGAUUUAUUUUCAAAGGUACGAUUAAAAAUUUGGCGUGUUCAGAAAAAUUACUCAUAUAAAUUUGUACAUGUAUAGUACGAAUAUAUUUGAAAAUUAUGGAACUAAAAAUAUAGAUAAAUUUACUAUAGUUUUCAAAGAAUAUGCCACUUCUAUACCAAUCUUAAACUUAUUUUAAAGUAUGAGAUGUUAAAUUUAUUAAAUUUUUUGUUAUCAUAUUAUUUAAAUAUGUAUAAAUCUACAAUUGUUACAUUAUAUGUUCUUAUUUUGUAUAUAACUCAUGAACAUAUCAUUAUCAUUAAAUUUUAAUUUUUUUAAAAAAUUGAAAUAUAAUUCACAAAGUAUGAUACAUGACAAAAAUUUAUUACGUGUUUCGUAUAGUUAAUUGAAAACUAUGAGCAUUUUUCAAAGUAUUUUUGAAAUCUAGGAAAUGUGGAGUUUUUUGUAUGAUACGUGAGAACGAGUAUUAUAUAAGCACACUACAAAUGCCAGCUAACUAGGACUAAGAGAAAACAAAAUGAACAAACUAAUAUCUUCAAAUCAUUAGCACGUAUUACAUCCCUUCUUUCUUCGAGUAUGCUCCACUAAAAAAAAAAUCAUUUCAGAUUAAUAUCCUACCCCUAUUUUUUUCCACUAAUUGCCCAAAGAAAUUAUUUUGGAUAUAACAAAAUGGUUGAUUAUUCUAGAAUAUAAUAAGAUGUUUCCACCACUUGUAAAACCUACCAAAGAAAUCCAUAUUCUAAAUUUCAAAUUUUUGUCCACUAAGCAAUUCAUGAUACUAAAAGAAAAAUAUUACUAGGCAUUUCAUCAUACGGAGGGUACUAUAUUUGUUCAUAUUACUCUAAAAUCAAGAUUAACAUGAUAGUUUUUUCUAGUCAAUACAAUCUUUGUACAAAUUGCUAUGUAUUAGAUUAAGAAUUAAUUUUGUAUAAAUGAAAUUCCGAGUGAAUUUACUUCAUUAGAGUAUAUGCUCCUCAUUUGCUAAAAAAAAAAAAAAAUCUCUCAAGGAAAAACAUAUGGAUUUAAGAUGUUAAAAGUAGGGGAAAAAAUGUGGUAAACAACUAGUGUUAUACCAUGGAAGUCACGUAUAUUAAACAUAUAAUCCAAAAAUACUUUUACUCAGGAAAAAUAAAAUUAUUUGUUACAAAAACUCAAAAGAUUGGGUCCCUAAGACUCCCGCUCAAUACCCAAGUAUUCCCAUAUAUAUUAAAUCCAUCCCGCCCAAAUUACCUUUGGUUAUGGACAGCCCAUUGAAGUUUGGGAUCAUUAGCUCAACAGAUAUGCUGUAGAGUGAACCCAAAGGCAACUCUUCCAUCAGUUUUACUUUACAUGGCCUGUGGUGUCUAAUCGCAUGAAAUGAAACAUGUUCAUUGCAACCCUGUCAAGUUUCUGUGUUGUGAUAAUGACAAAGAAUUGCUUAGAGUUAUUUACUUCAAAAAUCGAGGGAGGAUUCAAAUUCAAUUUUGGAAAACAUCGAUCCCAGCAUUAAUGGCGUGUUCUCAAUCACAUUGCUUGGCCCUUUGGGGUAAAAUCAGAUAAAGAUCCUUUUUUUUUUUCGGAAAAGAUAAAGAUCUUACAUCAUGAUAAAAUGGAGUUUAUAGAUUUCAAGUCCAAGAACACAAGCACCAUAACAAGUAUAGUUGGCCGUUGUUGCAGAAGUACUACAACAAGUACAGCUAAAACAAACAACCAAAGGAAACAACAAUUUGCAUCCAAAAAGAAAACAAAUCAAACAGAGGAAGAACGAAGAGAAAUGCCAAAGGUGAUGAAGGCAAAAACUCAAAAGACCACGUAAAUACCAAAACAUGAAAAGGAAUGAUCAUAAUUUCCAAGAGGAUUGAAAAAGUAGAAGCCAGGAGAACACCUUACUCAAUCAAACCAUAGUUCGUACUAUGUCACUCCAUCAAUUUUGUUUUUUUUUUGCCUACAAUGUCAUUAUUUAUUCAUUAUAUUUUAAAUGAUUCUAAUUAAUCAUCACUUAGACAAGUUCGGAGCACAUGCACUUUUCUAUUAAGAAUAAAUAUGCUCUUAUGCUUUCAAUGGCAUAGAUGAAAUUUUUGUUUAUCAAGUUGGAAAGGAGGGUAUCUCACAUUUACAAGUCAAGAAAUUUUGUUUUCUAUAUUUCUCUUUUCAAGUCAAUUGUCUUUUUUUUUUAUUAUUAUGUUCCUCGAUUGCAAUUUUUUGUGUGAUAGAAAAAACCUAUGCAUGAGUACAAAUCAAGAAAGAUCAAAGAUGCAAACAACGUAUUAUAAUUUCCUUUGAGUAAGGAAACCGUAGUUUUUUUUUUUUUUUUUUUUUUUUUUUGGAGAAAUGGUGACUGUAAUUUCACUUCAAUAGAAAGUAAUAAGUUGUAAAUAAGCUUGAAUAGUUAGUGUGUUUGGAUAGAGUAUUAUUUGAAAUAUUAAUUGAAAUAAUUACUGUAGCACUUUUUGUGAUGUAACGUAUGUGAGAUAAAAAGAUAGUUGAUAAUAUAAAAAUGUGUUUAUAAUUCAAGCGUAAUAUUAUGUGAAAUAAUACUUUAGCUAUCCUUUAUGAUCCUAUCCAAUUUUGCUUUCUAUUGACGCUAACAGUCAAGUAAUAUCUAUUCUAGGGACUGAAGGCACUUGCAUAUGAUUACUAAUCCUGUUUAUUGACUAAAGGCAUUAAUCUCUAGUGCAGUUAAGGUUAAGAUGGGGCAAAUCCCUUAUUUUCUGAAAAAUUUUUCAUUUGUAAAUUCAAAAUUGAGAAACUAGUUCAAGAAUAAUAUUAUAUAUUUCAGGCAUGCAUUUCUGAGAUCAAGAAUCAAAUUUCAUUUGAGAAAAAUAUGAGAAUUUAGAAAAAUAAAUAAAUAAAUGCACACUAAACCUUCAAGUUUGGACUUUGAAAGGUGUUAUCCACUUCAUCUUUUGUGCUUCAUACACUUCAAUGUUUUUUUUUCUUUUGCAGAUGCUCUGUUCUAUGUCUUAUUGAACCAAAACAAGUUUGAUGGAGGAAAGUGUCAGUCACAGCCCAAUUACGUUAAUUCGUCUAUACCCACACACUAAUAACCCAUCGAAAACCACCCACUAAUUUUAAAUGGAUCUAAAUUCUCAUUGUAAACUUAACACCUUAAGGAACUGAAGGCACUGGCAUGUGCUUACUAAACCUGUUUAUUGACUAAAGGCACAUUAAUCUGUGGCUGAGGUUGAGACCAGGAUAAAAUCGCCCUUAGCUUCUGAAAAAUUGUUUCAUUUCCAAAUUCACAAUUGAGAAACUAGCUCAAGAAUAAAAAUAAUAUGUUAUAGGCAUGCAUUUCUAAGAUCAAGAACCAAAUUUCAUUUGAGAAAGUUAUGCAUACUGAGAAUUUAGGGGAAAAAAAAUGCAAAAAGAACCUUCAAGUCCGGACUUUGGACUUCAAAAGGUGUUAUACAUGCAAACUAAUUUCACUAACUGCUUCAUACACUUCAAAAUUAACUUAAUGAAGACUGCCUUCUCUUUUCUGUAGUAGGUGCUCUGAUCUAUGUUUUACUUAGCGAGAGCAAGUUUGAUGGGGUCAACUAUAAAAAGGAAAUCUAAAUCGAUAUAUGAACACAUACUAUUUCGAGGAAUUGAGCUAUUUCAUGAUAUGAUUUGAUACAAAUGUAAUAAGCGGUAGAACGGAAAAAGUAAACGAGAACUCAAUGAAAUAAAAGGAAAAGCUAGUAAGCAACCUGAGACUUAUAGAAGAGAUGAGUUGACUGAAUACCAAUUCAUGUUGAAAGCUGCAAAGAGUUAUCUCUUUAGCUUCUCUUCUCUUAGAGGAACGUGCCUUCCCACCGACCAUCAAUCCAGUGACCAAUGAAAACUUGAGGGAUAUGAGAAAUUGUCUGAUAAUCUUCACUUUGUUUAUCCAAAUUCUGUACUUUGUGCACUAGCUCAUCAGACAUUUCAAAAAACCCAAGAGAUUCAAGUCUGGUCAAGUUUUGGAUGCCAGAAGGCAACUCCUGCAUUAGUUUGCAAUCACCUAAGCGCAGACUUCUGAGACUAGGCAUUGAUUCCUCUUCCACUCUCACCCAUUUCAGUCUUGUUAAUUGCACAAGCUCUAAGCUCUGGAGUUUUUGAAAUCCUCCAAUUUUUUUGAAACAUAUUGUCUCCCCUUCAUAAGCACCAUAGAGAGUAAGUGAUACCAGAUUGGGCAAAUGUCCGAGGGAGCCUGUUACAUUCUCAUCUUCUCUCAACCUACUAUUGACCAACCGUAAGGUUCUCAAGGAUUGAAGUGAUGUCACCCAUUGCGGUACUCUCUCUAAACGCCCCUUCAACCACAGAGAUAUGAGGAAUUCAAGCUUUGGAGAGACGGAAUGUUGGAGAUCAAGGGUCUCAUCUUCUUUAAUACAGGAGAUGGUCAACACUCGAAGGUUGGUCAGCCUCAAGAGGGAGGAGAGCAACUCCUUUCCAUCUUCUCUUCUCAGCUUUGUGAUGGAUAAUCGCCGCAGCUGCAUGAGCUUCCCAAUCUCCCUUACUAUUUUAUCACUAUCUGCUUCUAUAUUAGUCAGCUCCUCCAAAGAAAUAAGCUUUCCAAUUCCAAGUGGACAUUUACAGCCCCAAAUUGCAUACUCAUUUGAAUAAUCACCCCAUCCGCCUAACCAAAGAAAACGGAGUUUUCUUAGAUUUAGAAUUUCCACAGGCAACUCUGUUACAUUGGUUCCUGCCAGAUUUAUUACUUCAAGGUUCUGAAGCUUCCCAAUAGAUUUGGGAAUAAUUUUAACUCCAGUUCUUGCAAGAUUAAGAUACCUGAGAUGAAAUAGUUUGAAGACUUGCUUUGGAAUGCUGUCCAAUUCAGCUCCAUGCAAAUCCAACACCUUUAGCAACUUGGGAUCACCACUUAAGAACUUGGACAAAAUUGUAGUUGUGAGAGGAUCUUCAUACCCAAAUAUUACCACAGACCGAAGACACUUUAAGCUACUAAAUUCUUGUGGAUUAUCAGUGAAGUUGUGGAUUGCUAGGUGUCGAACUUUUUCAGGCCAUCUUGUGUAAUACCUGGUGGCUACAGUCGUGAAGUCCUGCUCUUUGGAUUUUGAAACUAGGAUUUCACGCAGAAAAUCGUGGAGACCACAUUUAUUCAAUCUGCCAUCGUUCAAUGUGGAUUUAACUUGGAUUAAGCUUCUGUUGAUGAGUUCUUUCAUAUAACUCAUAGCAAUAUCGGUGGAUGUUAUUCUUUCUCUCUCUUCUACAAAUCCUAGUGCAAUCCACUUCAGAAGUAUAGAUACCACAUCAAUUGGAUAAUCUUCAGGGUAGAUGCUUAGAUACAAUAGGCAGCUUUUAAGAUAGUGAGGCAAAUCAUUGUAGCUAAGUAAGAGUACCCUUUUGAUCCUGUCAAGCUUACCACUGCCAUCUGCCUCGCCACCAAAAUCAUGAAGAAUCAUCUCCCAUUCAUCUGUCUUUUCCUUGUCCUUCAGAGCCAAAACACCACCUAUUGCAACAAUUGCAAGCGGUAGGCCCUCACAUUUUUUCAGUACUUUUUUAGCAACUUCUUCUACAUUUGGAGGACAGUCAUUGCUCUGAUAUGUUCUAUUGCAAAACAGAGUCCAAGACUCUUUAUCAGAAAGAGGCUCCAUCUUAUAGACGAAGUCAAGUGAUCCUAAACAGGACGCAGAAGCUACAUCGGCUAUUCGUGUUGUCAAUGACAACACGACUAGUGAUAUUACAGCCAGGCAAUACACAUUUGAUAGCUUCCCAGGCAUCUAUACGCCACACAUCAUCAAGGACAAGAAUGUACCUUUUUUCCUGGAGGAAGUCUUUGACAAAUUCACUCAGCAUCAGAACAUCCAUGGAUUCCACUUGGCGAGGGACCAGCUGUCUGAUUUCAUUGUACAACUGUUGGAUCAGAUUCUUGAUGAUGUCACUGAACUGAAAAUUUUGAGAAACAGUUAUCCAGGCAUGGCUCUGAAAUUGUUUCUUCACUGCAGCGUCAUCAUAGACUUUUUUCACCAGGGUAGUCUUGCCGAGUCCCCCCAUUCCCACAACCGAAACUACUUUCAAUUGGGAGUGGUCAUCAAGGAUUUUUGAGAUGAGCUCUGCUUUUGGCUUAUCAAUCCCAACAAGUUGAGCUUCUUCAAUGAAGAGUGAUUGAGCACGAAUGUCAAAAUCUGCAUUUGCCUGUUGGGAAGAGCUGAAGCCUCUUUCUUGAGUACCAUAUAGGGACUCGUACCUCUGAUGCCUUGUUGAAAUCUCUCCAACUCUGCCCUUGAUGUCUUUUAUCUCCAAAGAAAUUUGAUGGCGAGCUUUCAAAUUCUUUAUUGAGUUAUAGAUCGUUCCAACCUUGCCACAGAAUCCAUCCACGUAACCACGAGUAAAGCGGAAGGUAAAAUCAUCGAGAACAUCCUCUGUAUCAUAAGCAACUUGUCGAACCUGCUUUAGCCAUUCUUGGAGUUGAGAAUCAUUGUCUUCCUUUGCUUCAGCUUCUCUGAGGAAAGCCUUCAUGCUCUCGAGUUCAUCUUUGAUGAAUUGAACGUCUGAUUUAAGCCCCCCCAAAAGUGUGAUCUCUUGGGAAAGCAAGGUUGAGAGCUGGUUAAUCAAAAAACCUGCAGCACUCUCUGCCAUGAUGCUCAAUCAAAUUUCUCAACAGCUGGUUUUCUUAUCAAAAAAAUUUUGAGAGUUGAUCCAAAUUUCAGAAGAUAUGCUGUUUUUCUUUUUCUUUCUUUCUUUUGUAGUAUAGAGGAUGCGGUUUAUAUGAGCUAGCAAAUUCUAGAAUUAUAUGAAUUUGAAAUCAAGAAUGAUAUGAAUUUGGGAACGUAUGCUUUUUUUUUCCCUUUGUGGUGUAGACAAGGAGUUUUAUUUGGCAUUUUGGUAGUACGUAUCAAAAGUUAUUGUAGUCAAAAAGUGAAAUGUCAGUCUACUCAAAAGAAAAAGUAUACAGAGCAUAACCUAAAAACAUAGCUAAAGAAUAACUAUUCUCUUGGGCUAAGAAAGGCAUAGAGAAAAUUUUGGAUUUCUUUUGAUUGUUUAAAUUGGAAAGGAAGGUAUUUGUCAUGUGGAAUCUAACAAUCUUCAGAUAAUGUUCAGCUCCCUUCUAAUGUUUUCAUAAUUUGCCCCAAAAGAAAUGGCUAGCUAUGAUUCUAAGUAAAAGUAAUAGACAGGAAAAAGAAAUAUGUUGUCCCUAAGAUCCAACUUACUUUAGUAGGGAUGAUAAUCACGUAAAGGUAAAGUCCUUGAUUUGCCUCUUAUGUCUUUCCUUUAUAUCUUCUCGCUUACAAGCUUUGAAAAUAAAAUGUCUUUUAUGUUUUCCGGGCCAUAAAGGAUGUGUUUUACAUUAUCUAAUCAAUUCAAAAAUGAUACUAAUUUCAAAGAAGAUCGUUUUUUAAAUUGGCACUCUGGUAAUACUUGCAAAAUAACAUAAAUUCAUUGUAACGAAACAAAGAAAGAUUUGCCUACCUGCAACGAAAAGCAUAUUGGGCAUAACCUAAGAAAUGGGCAAAGCAUAUUAGAAUACAUAUAUUCUCAUGCUAAGAAAGGCAACGAUAAAAUUUUGAUUAGUUGAGUAGGAAAGCAAGGUAUUUGUCAUAGUCAAUCUAACAAUAUUCUCGAGAAAUGUUCAACUCCCCUUCUAUGUUGUUUUGAUUGGCUUCCAAACAUGUAGCUAAGAUUCUAAAUAAAACCAGCUGAAAAGAAAAAGUUGACAAGGAAAAGACCACAUCAUAUUUCAUUUCAAAUGCCAAUGGAAAUUGGAAACUGAACUAUUUGGAAUGUAUUUGAGGAAAACUUCUAUGGGCAGUUGCAGAAGAACUUGUAAAAGUCCUCUCUCUCUCUCUCCCCCCCCCCUGAUUUCAUAUACGAUCACAUAGUCAUAUAAAUCUAUAUAGUUUUAUAUAAAAUUGAAAAUGAACAGAAAGUAACUCCAAUCAUAUCCUACUAUCUCAACGAAGUUAUAAUAUUUAUUUAAUCAUCCUACUAUCUCAUGUCUGCCCACAAAAUUCCCUAUAAUUUUACAAAAAUUGUUCCUCCCCUUCCCCUCCCCCUUCCUUCUCCCCCCAAAAAUUUAUUCCACACUUGAGUAAUGGCAAUAACGAUUCUAUGAAGACUCCUUUAUGUCAAAUUUUUACUUUACAUAAAAUUAUAGUGGGAAUUAUGUGAAUAUUUUGAAUGGUUAGACUUUAAAGGAAUCAUGUGGUAAUUGACGAAAUCACAUGAAUUACAUAGUUAUUUACCUUUUAUCCUAGUUAUGGAUCUUGUUUGCAAAUUGUUUUUGCAAUGCAGCAUUAUGACUACCAGAUUAUAAGAUGAGGCAUUUUCUUAUUCGGCUGAAAAGUUUUCAUAUGUUUCUAUCAAGAAACUAGCUUCAGACGUCUUUUUCUUCUGGCACGGAAGUUUUGAGAUCAAGAAGAUGUUCAAAAUCAUAAUCUGAAACUGAAGUCCGGCUUCCAACUCUAAAUUGAGCAAUGCUUGUAACUUCAUACAAUUUCUAACAGUGUUUAGCAUUUGAGUUUUUAGGCACAGAAUCUGCAAAAUAAUGAUGACCUUGACCAACAUGUUGCUAAAGAUUAAAAGAAAAAAAAAUUGAAUGAAGAUGCUUUUGAAGAAACAGAGGAUGAGACUGUGGUCAUGGGUUAGUUAUGCCUGUCAAUGGAUUAAAACAAUUUGAUUUUGGCCAUCAGUUAUUGGAAUUUUUCAUCAAUUGUUCUAUAUUUGCCCAAAACCACAAACUUUGUGGACAAGAUUUUUUUUUUUUGGGUCAAAAUAUUAAGGAUCAUUUUCGUGCAAGCUAAACAUUAGGGAUCAAAACUGCAUUUCUUCCUUGUUUCACCAUCUCUUCUUUGAGUUUCUCAAAAGAAUAAACCUUUUGAAUUGAUUUUUUAAAUAAUCAUAAACAUCCUUCGUGAACUUAUUUUUUAUUUUUUUAAUGCGAAGAAAGAACUUCGAUUAGAAAUGGAAAGAAGAGAAAUGUUUGAAUAACUUCUAUUUGUGUUAGGCUUAAGUUAUUUUAUCAAUUUUCUGAACGACCAAUCUCAAUUAAAAAGAAAAGACUUCUUCAAUAAACCCUACUAAAACUUGCGUACCUAUAGCCUCAAAAGUAAUCAAAGUAAAUCUUCUUAUCAGAAUCAUGACUUAUGUAGCACAGAAACCCAAGAACCAAGAAUGCAUGAACACAUUAUAAAUCCCAACUAAUCAAAAUCUGGUAGAGUUUUCACUACAGGUUCAAUACUUGCAAUGCAAACAAUAAGAAGUAUCUAAAAACAACCCUUCAUACUGUGUAAGAAAGCGGUGCCUAUUGGAUUUCUCUCAAUAGCAAUAAAUGAGAGGAGGAAAGUUGAAACAAGGAAAAUUGGAGUUUUCAAAAGGCAAAUAAUAUUGGCAUUCCCCAAAAAAAGGUCUCACGCACUCUUUCUCUUCUUUUACUGGGUGAAAGGCAAUAUUGCCCAUUAAUCAGUUUUGUCUAUACAUGAACUACGUCAAUUCCCCUUAGGCUUCACAGUUGCUAUCAAAGAGUUCCUUUGCCUUAUUCUUCACUACCAAAACCAUUCUUUCCCUACCACUGUACAUUUUUCUUGCAAUGGCAAAAGACUAAGAUUGCAAGGGCCUAGUAGAUCACAUGAAACUGGAGGAAAUAAAAUGAUAUUUGAAAACCACAAGUCUAGAAGAAUUCCUUAAUUUUAUCAAUUGCUUCUAUCUUCCAUAGGUAAUAUUUUUAAAGAUUGAUCUUUUUCAUUAUUUUUUUAAUUAGAAGCAUAUAUGUUACAAGUUUGAUUAGAAGCAUAUAUGUUACAAGUUUGAACAUAAGAAUUCAAUAUUUUAAUUAGAGAUCUUUUUUUUUUUUGGAUAGUUUAACUUAUAAAAAAAUAUAUUUGUAGAAAAGAGGUUAAUUUGCGAUAGUAUGCCAAUAUACUAGCUUUUUGGAUUGCCAUUCUCUGGGCAAAAAUCUCAUGCUUUUUGGGAAUAUUUCCUUGACACAUUUUUCAAUGAUCUUUUUAUAUCAUAUACAUCACAUCCAAAAAAAGUGUUACAAUAAUUUGUUUCUAAAACACCCCCUUUUAAAAAAUGCAAUCCAAACAAUAUACUUGCAUGAUCAAUCAUAGUAUUAUUGCGAUUAUGAACAUUUUUUAUGAUUAGAAUAAAAAAACUAAAAAAGAAAAAUAGAACCUGGACAACAAAAUGGAUCAUGUGACCUGACUUUCAUGAUUACUUGAAAUAAUUCUAAUCAAGGUGAAAAUAACUUGUAGUUUUUUGGGUAAAGGUCAAAAGGCUGUUUGGGUACAAAAGAAUAUAGUAGCAAACUAUAGGUUUAAAUUUAAUUUCAUUUAAAUCAAUAGAAGGGAAGGAUUGCCUCAGAUUUUGGUGCUAAUUCAAUUCCCUCUCAAAAUGAGUAAGAAAGGGAAUUUGGGGAUCCGAUGAUUGGAAUGAGAGUUUGCUUGGUUCGAUAGGUUAAUUUGGUAAUUUUGAUUAUGACAUGUGCUUUAUUAUAUUUUAGGAAUAUAAGAAUUUGCCAAAACUUCUAUCUCUUUAACAAUUUUAAAUCUUUCUAUUACUACUACUCAAAUUUUUCCAAAGGGAGAAGCACGGUUUUGGUACUCAAUGUUUGACUUGUAUAUCAAACUGGUUCCGUAUGUUUUAGCCAAAAUAAAUCUAUUCUCCAAAUUUUCUGAUUUUGACUUUACAUUUUUAGUUCCUAAUGUUUGAAGUUUCGAUCGAUAUGGUCCCUUUAGUUUCAAGUAGUUAUAGCCAGGGGCUUUAAAAUGAAAAAAAAAGGUGAAUUAAAUUAAAGAUAUGGCAAAUGCCUUCAUAAAUCCCUAUAAAAUUUCAUAAAAACACUUUAUGUCAACACAAUAGCAUCGUUGAACUUAAAGAGUUUUAUUUUGUUUGAAUAAGUUACAAUCGGAUGACAAUAGAUAUACAUAAUAUAUAAAAUAAAAAGAAAAGGAGAAUUCUAGUAUUAAUAUAAAAUUUAUUAGCAUUCACACUAGUCUACUACACAAGUUCUUGCAUGAAUUGUGCAUGGCGUCCUUAAUUUGUUAGAGUAGGAAUUGUAAUUAUAAAAACUAGUAACCAAAAUAACAAUAUGAAGUGUUUUUACUCAUUACGGUUAAUUAUCAAUUAAUUACUAAUAGUACAAAACAAUAGUUAUGUAUAUUAUACCAAAUUUGAGACCGAUUAUGCAAAAAGGAAGAAGUAUAUGAGACAUUAGUGACAUGAAUAAAUGAAAUAAAAUCAGCAGAUUCCCUCCAAAAGUGAGAGUUUCUCUCUCUAGGUAAGAGUGCGAGUCUCUCAACCUUGAGAGUUUCAAAACUUUUCAAAAUUUCCUCAAAGACACACACACACAAUCCCAAGAUUCGGACAUCAACCAGAAUCUUUAAUGCGUUGAUGAAGUUAAGAAGAUCGAACAAUUAAGAGUGAGAUAACAAAAGCCGAGAACUUUGAGAGAAUCUUGUUCCCCAUUCACGGGAAAGCUUGCACCUAAGUUUAUCAACACUGGCAGAAUAUGAGAGCAUGCAGCAGCGAUCUUAGCUAAUCUGGCCCAAGGAAACAGACUCCAUGGAAGACGUAAGGGUGCUGACAGGUAUCUUCAGAGCCACUAUUACCACUGUUCCUUGAUGUGGGCUUCUUUUUUGUUAGAAUUUUUGGUGUCUCUCUUUCCCAAAAGUUUUUUUCUUACGGAUAAGGAAGAUCAUAGCUAAAUUUAAAAAAAAAAGUUGAUUAAAAAAAAAGAUUUUUGUUGGUUUCUUUCAAAAUCAGGGAGGGUGGUCCUCCUUCUUUUUAUAUGACCAAGUCUGCCUGGGUAGUUUCUUUGGCUCUUCGCUUGACUAGUCUCGGUCUUAGUAGUGAUAGUAGGAGGUAGCUUAAGAAUCUGUUUAGACCCCAUGGCGGAGGAACUAGCAGAUGCGAUAAGAAAGUUCGCCCUUUCAGAUAAAGAAUGGGAAGGUACUGACCUUGGAGGCGAAGAGAUAGAUAGAGGUAUUCAAGAAUGUCAGUUAACUUUAGUGGGGAGAAUUAAAGGGGAGAAAGUGGUGAACUUUGUUGGAGUUAAGAACUUUGUGAACUCAGCUUGGGGGUAUCCAAGGAAUCUAAGGAUCAUAGAAUUGGGUCCAAAUAUUUUUCAGUUUUAUGUUCCAAAUAAGGAGGACAGGGAUAGGAUAGUAGGAGGUGGACCGUGGGUCAUGGACAAUCAAAUUCUAGUGAUGAAACACUGGUUUGAAGGUGUAGAGAAAGACACAUCUGCUUUUGACCUGGCACCUCUCUGGGUCCAAGUUUGGAAUCUACCAGUACACUGGAUAACAAAAGAAGCCGGGUGGAAAAUUGGUUCUGUAUUUCAGGAAGUAAAGGAUGUUCUGGUGCCUCAAGUUCGAGGGAAGAAAGGUAGACACUUAAAGCUACUAGUGGUACUAGAUACCUCCCUACCUCUACUCAGGGGAUCGACAAUUAAAGUUAAUGGAGCUCUAAAAUGGCUGAACUUCAGAUAUGAGAGAUGUCCAGAUUUUUGCUACAAGUGUGGAGUACUUGGACAUGGAGAAAAGUCAUGCAAGGAAGUAAUACAGAUAUGCAAAAGGAAACAGGAACAUCAGUACGGUCCUUGGAUGAGAACCAAUACAGGAAAAUCAUCACCCCAAAAGGAACAACAGAAUAAGUAUAACUCUGAGAAUAAUCAUUGGGGCUAUAAAGAUGGUGAGAUGGUUCUGUUAAAUCCUAAGGAAAAGGUGAAUAUGAAAUAUAGUCAAAAGGACUUUAUGCCAAGGAGAAAAGAAGUCAAUAGGAAGGGAAAUGAAGAGGAACAGACAGAUAGGGAGAAGUCCAAAGAGGUUGGAAGUGAUGAGGUACAACAACAAAGAGUUGAUGUUAACUGCAGUAAAGAGAAAAUGCAUAGCUUCAAUUCAAAUAGCAGCAAAAGUCAGAAGGAAAGUUGUUCCAGUGAAGCUUCAAAAAUACUCAUUGGGGGAAAGAGUAACAGUGUUAUUGAAGAAGGAAGGAUGAGUAUCUCUAAGAAGGUAGAGAAACAGGGGAAGAAUAAAGGUGAAGAGAAGAGGAAUGGACUGGAGCAAAAAGCACAGGAGCUAAUGCAAGUAACAGUAGUGGAGGAAGAUUCUGGUAGACCUGAAAUAGCCUUAAUGCCAAUUGAUCCAGGAUCUUCUGACGUGGGUUCAAAGGCUGCCCAGAAACAUAACAGGAAUAUGAAGAAACAGUUGAGAUCUCCCAAAAUCUCUAGACAGCCAUUGAGAGAACUGAGGGGGAACAGGUCUAUGACACCUCAACAAGGGAAAAGGAAACUGAAUUUGGUGGAUGAAGACAUGGUGGAAGUGCAGGUGAAUGAAGUUGGUCCUAAGAGAAACAAAAAGGAAGAGGGGGAGGGGAAUCUGAGUGAGAAUCUGGAGGGGGUAGGGGCCAACCUCAACUGGCCCCUCAUGUUUCAAUGAAGGUUCUGGUGUGGAACUGCCAAGGAACAGCGAGCCCUUUGAUAAUUCCCUAGUUGAGGGAGGCUAACAACCUCCUCUUCCCAAACUUAAUCUUUCUAAGUGAAACCAAAAACAGGUAUAGUUAUAUAAAAAAGGUCCAAAAACUUCUGAGAUUUGAGGAAAGUGUGAUUGUGGAAGCUAUGGAUAAGAAAGAAGGCAUGGCCUUGUUUUGGAACAAUGAUAUAGAGGUUAGGAAAGUUGUUACAACUGCCCUCACUAUAGAGGCACUAGUGAUUGACCCGGAUACUCAGCUUGAGUGGUGGUUUAUUGGUGUUUACAUGAGCAGUGAUGCUAAUAUAAGGAAACAUCAGUGGACAGUUUUGAUUGUGAGACAACAAUUGUGGGAGGAUAAAUGGCUUCUAGCAGGUGAUUUCAAUGACAUUCUUUCUAAUGAAGAGAAGUGGGGAGGGAGAGCAAGAGAUGAUAGAAGCUUCAAGGAUUUUAACGGUUUUAUUGAGCAUAACAGCCUUGUGGACCUAGGAUUUAUUGGUAACCCCUGGACAUAGAGCAACAAUUGGGAAGGUGAGGGGGAGAUAAGGCAAAGAUUGGACAGAGGUCUGAGCACCAUAAGCUGGGGUCAAAAUUUUGAUAAAGCUAAAUGUGAACAUGUGGAAACUCUGGGAUCAGACCAUAGCAUGCUACUCAUAGACAAUUGGCCUAGAGCAGAAAAACGAAGAUCAAGAUUUUUCUUUGAUAAGAGAUGGCUCAAAAGGGAAGACAUUAAUCAAGUGGUUGAGCAAGCUUGGAAACUACCAAUUGAGGGAAACAAUAUGUAUAGGAUUACUAGACAGGUUCCUAAUUGCAGAGUGGCUCUACUCAAAUGGAAAAACAAAUUCACAAGAAACUCUUUGCUAAGAAUCAAUCAAGUUAAGCUUCAGAUUAAGGAGAUCAAGGACUCUAAGGACUCAAGAGUUAAGGAUAAGAUUGCAUAUUUGAAGAAGCAGUUGAAAGAGGAUUGGGCUCAGAAAGCAAGGAUUGAUUGGCUGAAAGAAGGGAACAAAAACACCAAAUUUUUCCAUGCUUGUGUGAAAGGAAGGAGAAGGAAAAAUAGAAUGCUUAACAUUCAAAAGGAGGAUGGAACUUGGACAAACAGUGAGGAGGAGUUGGGAAGGGAAGUAGCUGCCUACUAUAGAGCCCUUUUCUAUAGUUCAGGGAGUGAGGGUAUAACAGAGAUUCUUCAUGGUAUACCUCCUACUAUCACUACUGAGAUGAAUGCUAAGUUAACUAGAGAGGUAGAUGAGAUGGAAAUUAAAUCAGCUCUUUUUCCAUGAAUCCUAAUAAGGCACCAAGUCAAGAUGGUAUGUCUUCCUUGUUUUUUCAAAAAUUCUAGCAUGUUGUUAAACCUGAUUUAAUUGCAGCCGUUAGGCAUUUUUUCCAAUCUAGCAAUUUGCCAAAGUCUUGGAAUCAUACGGUCAUCUCCCUCAUACCCAAAAUUCAGAAUCCUACUAAUUUGAAGAGCUAUAGGCCAAUUAGCCUCUGUGAUGUUUGACGGGAUUUUUUUUAUCAAUGCAAGUUUAAUUCCGAAUUUACACCCGUUGGACUGCAAGUAUACAGGUCGCAAUUGUAGUACGAGAUGUGUAUCGGGUCGAUCCCACGAGGAGCAAUUUAAAACAAUUAUUAGAUACUAAUUUACUCUAUUAUUUAGACUCACAAUUAAUUUGAGCAGAAACUUCAGAUUUUAAUUCAACUACAAAAAUUCUUAAAUAGAUAAAUGCAAUUUCACAAUAGGAGUAGAAUUCACUAAAUAUUAAGAUCUAGGGAUGUAGAUUCCACUUAUGACACAAAAGAUCUAAAAUGAAUUAAUUCAACACUUGUUACUGCUCUUGUUUAACCAAGGAUUCAUUUCCAGAAAUACCAAAAUCACAUUCUCAUGAUAAUAAUGGGUUAAAACAGAUUAGUUUUUCCUAAUCUCUUGGUAAUUACUAAAUCUGUUCUUAUUCACACAUGAAAUGCAGAUUUCAUCCACUUGAAUGUAUUUCUAUUCUCAUGAAUAUACUACUCAAUCUCUACUUAUGUCAUUCCAUUAUUUUUACCAUUUCUCAAUGAGUAAAAACAACUAUAAACCUGCCAUUGGUGAUCAAGCAACAACAAGUAAUCCAACAUACACAAGUAGAUAAGUUAAUACAAGACAUAACAAGCAUAAAUCACAAUCACUUCAUAUCAUUUGGCCAUAAGCUUCAUCUACUCCCUAGAUAAAGGAAAUUAGCUACUCAUGAAUGAUGAAACACUCAUAACUUCAUUAAUGCAAAUCAUCAUAAAUUUACAAAUACAAAAAGAGUAAAGAAAGUCUUAGCCAAGAUAUGGUGAAGCCUUCCAAAAAUCUCCUUGUCUUGAACUUAGAUGAUUACAAGAUGAAACCUCAAUUGUCCCUUGCAAGUACCUAGCUAGAGAGACUAUGUUUUUCUGUCAGAAACUAAGCUACGAAUGGUUCCUAGAUCUCUCCCCAUAUCUCUGCAUAAAAAACACUCAAAUGCUCCAUUUUUCCAAGUCAAAUUCUAUCCUUUGAUUCCCAAAUCUCCACUUUGUUAGCAUAGUCAAAAACCAAUAUUUUUGACUUGAAAAUAAGCCACUUUUCUUGCCCUUUUGUCUUCUGAAGCAUGUGCACCGAAUUCCCUUGCAUCUUAUAGCUGGAAAGUGGUAUGAACACAAGAGAAUUGGCUGAGUCAAAUUGCAGAAUUUCGGCUAUAAAACGCGCCUACACAAAACGCGGUUACAAGUCACGUUUUGUGUACUCGCGUAUUCACUUUGGCCUUAUUUCAUCUGCGAUUUUCUCUAUCAUAAAGGCCGAACUAGCUUUUGUGCAAAACACAAAAGUUGUAGCCCUUUGAGUUAGCUUUCCAAUGCUUCAAGAAUCAUCCAAAUCGGAGCUUUGUAGCCUGAGAUAUGAUCGAAAUACUGUCACCUGUUCAAACCUCUGUUUUAACUUCCGACCACAGGGUGCAGCUUCUGUAUUCCAACGUUUUGCCCAUGAAGAUGGCAGAAAUGGAUUUCGAUGUCUUCAUACGAAUUGUAGGUCUCUUUCUUAGCUUUAAAAUGGUAUAAAAAUCACCUCAAUCCGAUAAGUGUAGCUCCAGAUAUGGUCAAAAUACUGAAAAGUGUCAAAACUGACUUGUAUUGCAUUUCCUCACUUGAACGUUUUUCACUUCAUUCUUCUUGUUGCCACUUAAAUUCAUCACCAAAUCUCUAUUUUUCACCUCAAUUGACCUCCUUUGGUGAUUGAUUCAUUAUUCCUGCAUAAAAAUGAAGUUUUUACUAUUAAAAUCAAUAGAAAUGCAAUAUUAUCCACUUUUACCAAAAAUAUAUAAUUUUAUCAAAAACCUCUUUAUUUUAAUUAUAAAACUAAAUAAUCAACUCAAAAUUAACUAAUAAAAUGCACUAAAAAAUACGUAAAAUAAACUCUUAUCAAAUACCCCCACACUUGAAUCAUUGCUUGUCCUCAAGCAAUAUAAAAUUCCAACCAUCAAUGAUCCAAAAAUUUAAAAUAAACAUAUGUAGUAUUUCAACUCCAUUUCCUUGAAUCAAGGUAAAUAACCCUUAUGUGAUCUUUCCAUUAAGUUCAAGUACUCAUAAUAUCAAGCAAAGAAGAGCCAAGUAUACCAUAAUUUUACCAAUUCAACUCAACUUCUUAUUUUUAUCUAAUUUCGCAAGCAAGCAACUCCUAUAGUCAAUAAAGAUGCUAACUAAUCUCAUGAUCAACUUCUUAUUUUUCUUAAAGAGGGAUUUAAUUUACUUCUUUUUUUUUUUUUUUUGAUAUUUUAAGGGUUAAAUAUUGCUUAAGUUGUGAAAAAUGCCUUUUGACGCGAAGAUCAACAUUUUUAGAUGCAGAUCCCCGGUUACUCAACAUUUCACAUACUCAAGUUGCUUUGCAUACUCUUAAUUCAAGUACCUUUUUACGCGAAUGUCGACAUUUGUAGAUGCCAACCCCCGGUUACUCGGUACGAGAAUCAUUGGAGUAGAAUAACCAUUUUUUUUUUUAUUUUUUUUAACAAUAUAUAAUAAAAUUCCCUCUAAGAGUAAUCAUGAGAAGAGUAUGACACUUAUUAACCAUAUUAAUUUCUUAUCUUAUAAAAUUAGAUAAAAAGAAGAAUUUUCAUCAAAUAUACAAAAUGUAGGCAUAAUUUUCUCCACUUUACUAGAUAUACUUUCCUAUAGAUGUAAAAAUUAUAAUCACAUAAAAAUCAUUUCCAAAUUUUAUGAGAAAAGAAGUAUCAAAACCGCAUAUAUUUAUUUCAAAAGGAUAAGUGACAAAAUUUUAUUUAUUUAUUAUAGUUAAUAACAUAUAUAUGUAUAAGGUUUUGGAAAAAUUUUGACAGAGUCUCCCCUUAAAAGUGGACUAAAUCUCCCUGCCAGCAACCACAAGAAACACCAUUUAAGCACAAGAAUUAUAUCAAACACAACUAAAAUCACAAGUACCACACAUUUCUUCCCCCACACUUAGAAUACACAUUGUCCUCAAUGUGUAGGGAAAGAAAAGAAAAGAAACAAAAGAAAGGAACAAGUGACUCCCCAAGUGAGAUGACUGCAGUCCAGUGAAGCCUUGAAUCAUGAGUCAUCGACUAAGAUUUGUGAGGUGGGUAGAAGAGAAGAAAAAAAACGCGCCUGAAAAAUUAAAAAGAGAGGAAAAAAUGAAGCUGAAAUCGCGUUUCUGAAGGCUAUAUUCAGACACACAAAACGCGACUAAAAACGCGCCUUCAACUCGCGUGUUUGAAGUCGCGUUUCCUGCCCAAAUCUUGCAGGAAUGAAAACGCGACUGUGUUGGAAAACGCGACUUCGAGUCGCGUUUCUGAAGUCGCGUUUUUGAGUCUUGAUCCAGGCUUGAAAACGCGAAUUCCAUUAAAACGCGACUUUGGGUCGCGUUUUGAAGGCGCGUUUUCUUUUCUGCAGGUGCAGAAUUGAAAACGCGAUUCCUAGAAACGCGACUUGUAGUCGCGUUUGCUUUGAAAACGCGUUUUCUGCUUCGAUUUUUAGCAGAAUUUCAACUUUUGAAAAAUUACAAAAGGUACCCCAAUGACUCAAAAUGCAUCAUAGAUCAUUUGUUUGCCAAUUUUAAUGGCUGGAACAAAUGUAAAACAUUAAAAACAUGCAUUUUACCCCUUUAUAAUGAAUCAAAAACACCUUUAACGCAAAUCGAGGGGUUGAGUUGUUUGAUCAAAGUUCGCCUUUUUUGUACUCAAUUGGUCUUCCUUGCCUUCAAUUGCCAACCCUACAUUACAAAAACAACAAUUUAGCUAAAACAUUGAUUCAAACCGCAAGAUCACACCAAGUUAACAAAUAUAACCUAAAUAUUGGGUUGCCUCCCAAUUAGCGCUUUUGUUUAUAGUCGUUGGCUCGACUGAAAAAGUUGAAUCACUUUAGAGCAUUAAAGAGAGAUUUUCUCCCCAUGGGUCGAAACUCCCGAGCCAAUCCACCAUGUGGUGAACCAUGCAUUGAUCUUCAUAGUCCAAUUUCCUCAAAUGCCAAGGAGGAAUAUUAGACUUGUCAUAGAGAGGCUCAACUUCACCUUGGAGUGGAUUUUGCUUGUCUUUUCUGAAUUGGCUCAACUUUUCACCAUUUUCUUCAUGGAAUGGAGAAUUUAUUAAGCCAACUUCCAUCCUUAUCUUCUCCUCCUUUGUUCCUACACCAUGAAAGUUAGUACCAAGGACAUUUAUAAAUUUAACUUCUUCGGUCCUUUCUUGGUUAACCUUUUCAUCAUAUGGCAUAUUAGAAACAAGAGCAGUAGGCUCUAUAUUCCCUUCUUUAUUUUCCAAAUUGAAUUCCAAUUCCUCACCAUUAACCCGUAAUAUAAGCUUACCUUUUUCUACAUCAAUCAUAGUUCGUGCAGUGGCUAAAAACGGUCGUCCUAGAAUAAUUGGCAUUCUCACAUCUUCUUCAAUAUCUAAGACAACAAAAUCCACAGGUAUUAUAGAUUGUCUUACCUUUAUGAGCACAUUUUCCAAAAUACCCAUGGGACGUGUGAUUGACCGAUCCGCCAAUUGCAAUGUAAUAUUGGUAGCUUUUAGCUCUUGAAGUCCCAAUCUCCGGGCAACCGAUAACGGCAUAAGUGACACACUUGCACCUAAAUCACAUAAAGCAUUAGAAAAAUGCAAUUGACCAAUAGUGCAAGGAAUAGAAAAACUUCCCGGAUCUUUCAAUUUAGGAGGGAGUUUAUUCUUAAUCAAUGCACUACACUCUUCCGUUAAUGCUAUCAUCUCAUUAUCUACAAUUUUCCUCUUCUUUGACAUGAUGUCUUUCAAGAAACGUGCAUAAGAGGGAAUCUGUGUUAUAGCAUCAAUGAAAGGAAUGUUAAUGUGCAAUUGUUUAAACAUUUUGAAGAACUUUUCAAACUCCCGAUCCUGUCCAUCUUUCUUCAACCUGUGAGGAAAAGGUAUCACAUUAGAAUUUAAUUUGGGAUGAAGUGCAUCAAUAUCAAUGAUAACAUGAUCAUUUUGACUUUCUUGCUCCCCUUCAAUUGCUUGCUUCUUGUCUUUUUCACCACCUGAAUUUUCAAAAUCGAAUCCCUCAACCGUUUUACCGCUUCUAAGAAUGAUUGCAUUGACAUGCUCUCUCGGAUUCACUUCGGUUUUACUUGGUAAUUCACCAGGGUUUCUAUUGUUGAUCACAUUGGCAAUUUGACCAAUUUGAACCUCCAAGUUUCUGUACAUCCCAGCUAAUUGGUCCAACCGCCCCUCAACUCGCUCGAAUCUAUCCGAAGUCACCUUAGCAAGUUUUUCCACCGCGAUCUCCCAACUUGGUUUAGUUUCAGCCUGUGGUUGCCUUGGUUGAAAUCCCGGCGGAUUGGUUGGCCUUUGUUGAUUGCCUUGAUCUUUCCAUCCAAAGUUUGGAUGAUUUCUCCACCCCGGAUUGUAAGUAUUCGAGUAGGGAUUAUUUGGAGCAUUUCGGUUGUAAUUAUUGACAAAUUGUACCUGCUCAGAAUCAACACACUCAUUAAUAUCAUGUUCACCUCCACAGAAAGAGCAACAAGCUACGUGUGCAUUAGAUGAACUUGGACCAACUCCACCUUGUCUACUUAGCAAUUUCAUCACAUUAUUCAUUUGAGUACUCAGCAUAUUGAGAGUGUCCAUUUCUAUCAUACCUGCGUGACGUCUCGUAUUACCUCUUUCAUUGGCCCAUUGGUAGUUAUUUGCUGCCAUUUCUUCUAUCAAAUUAUGAGCCUCUUGGGGUGAUUUACCCAUUAAAGCUCCACCUGCGGCUGCAUCAAUAAUAGUUUUAGUGGAGAAAGAUAAACCAUUAUAAAAGGUUUGUAUAAUCAGCCAUUCGGGUAGUCCAUGGUGUGGACAUUUCCGUAACAAAUCUCUAAACCUUUCCCAUGCUUCAUAUAAUGAUUCUCCUUCCAUUUGACUAAAACCAGUGAUAUCCAUUCUUAGCUUAGCAGUCUUACCAGGUGGAAAAUACUUAUUCAAAAAUGCCCUUGAUAAAUCAUCCCAUGUGGUAAAAGUGUUAGGAGCAUGAGAGUGUAACCACAUUUUUGCCUUAUCUCUUAAUGAAAAUGGGAACAACCGUAACCUUAUAGCAUCAUCACUAACUCCAUUCAUUUUAAUUGUAUCACAUAUUUCUAAGAAUGUAGCUAAGUGUGAGUUAGGAUCUUCUACAGCAUUACCUCCAAAUUGAGAUUGUUGAACCAUUUGGAUAAGUGAUGGCUUAAUCUCAAAGUUGUUAGCAUUUACCGUAGGCCUUGCUAUGCUCGUUUGAGAUCCUUGUGUUCCCGGUAGAGCAAAAUCUCGUAGAACUCGCCUAUUUGCUUCAUUUUCAGCCAUUUCUUCCUCAAAUGGUAGAUCUAUUGAGAUUUCCUCUAUAGGUUGCCAAAUCUCUUGUUCCUCUUGCUGUGGUGGAUGCCUCCUUUGUCUACGUAGUGUCCUCUCAAUUUCUGGAUCGAAAUGUGUAACUUCCCGAGACGCCCGGUGCAUACACUACAAACAGAAAUAAGAGAUAUUAUGCAAUUUCAAUUGUCAAAAACUGAUUACAAUAUAAGAUUAAAUAUAAUCUAAAAAAAAUAAAACUGUCUAAAUUAAUAAAGAUGAUUAGGCUCUAAUAUUGCCGCUCCCCGGCAACGGCGCCAAAAACUUGGUGGGUUUUCACUUUAAGUGCAAGUUUAAUUCCGAAUUUACACCCGUUGGACUGCAAGUAUACAGGUCGCAAUUGUAGUACGAGAUGUGUAUCGGGUCGAUCCCACGAGGAGCAAUUUAAAACAAUUAUUAGAUACUAAUUUACUCUAUUAUUUAGACUUACAAUUAAUUUGAGCAGAAACUUCAGAUUUUAAUUCAACUACAAAAAUUCUUAAAUAGAUAAAUGCAAUUUCACAAUAGGAGUAGAAUUCACUAAAUAUUAAGAUCUAGGGAUGUAGAUUCCACUUAUGACACAAAAGAUCUAAAAUGAAUUAAUUCAACACUUGUUACUGCUCUUGUUUAACCAAGGAUUCAUUUCCAGAAAUACCAAAAUCACAUUCUCAUGAUAAUAAUGGGUUAAAACAGAUUAGUUUUUCCUAAUCUCUUGGUAAAUACUAAAUCUGUUCUUAUUCACACAUGAAAUGCAGAUUUCAUCCACUUGAAUGUAUUUCUAUUCUCAUGAAUAUACUACUCAAGCUCUACUUAUGUCAUUCCAUUAUUUUUACCAUUUCUCAAUGAGUAAAAACAACUAUAAACCUGCUAUUGGUGAUCAAGCAACAAGUAAUCCAACAUACACAAGUAGAUAAGUUAAUACAAGACAUAACAAGCAUAAAUCACAAUCACUUCAUAUCAUUUGGCCAUAAGCUUCAUCUACUCCCUAGAUAAAGGAAAUUAGCUACUCAUGAAUGAUGAAACACUCAUAACUUCAUUAAUGCAAAUCAUCAUAAAUUUACAAAUACAAAAAGAGUAAAGAAAGUCUUAGCCAAGAUAUGGUGAAGCCUUCCAAAAAUCUCCUUGUCUUGAACUUAGAUGAUUACAAGAUGAAACCUCAAUUGUCCCUUGCAAGUACCUAGCUAGAGAGACUAUGUUUUUCUGUCAGAAACUAAGCUACGAAUGGUUCCCAGAUCUCUCCCCAUAUCUCUGCAUAAAAAAACACUCAAAUGCUCCAUUUUUCCAAGUCAAAUUCUAUCCUUUGAUUCCCAAAUCUCCACUUUGUUAGCAUAGUCAAAAACCAAUAUUUUUGACUUGAAAAUAAGCCACUUUUCUUGCCCUUUUGUCUUCUGAAGCAUGUGCACCGAAUUCCCUUGCAUCUUAUAGCUGGAAAGUGGUAUGAACACAAGAGAAUUGGCUGAGUCAAAUUGCAGAAUUUCGGCUAUAAAACGCGCCUACACAAAACGCGGUUACAAGUCACGUUUUGUGUACUCGCGUAUUCACUUUGGCCUUAAUUCAUCUGCGAUUUUCUCUAUCAUAAAGGCCGAACUAGCUUUUGUGCAAAACACAAAAGUUGUAGCCCUUUGAGUUAGCUUUUCAAUGCUUCAAGAAUCAUCCAAAUCGGAGCUUUGUAGCCUGAGAUAUGAUCGAAAUACUGUCACCUGUUCAAACCUCUGUUUUAACUUCCGACCACAGGGUGCAGCUUCUGUAUUCCAGCUUUUUGUCCAUGAAGAUGGCAGAAAUGGAUUUCGAUGUCUUCAUACGAAUUGUAGGUCUCUUUCUUAGCUUUAAAAUGGUAUAAAGAUCACCUCAAUCCGAUAUGUGUAGCUCCAGAUAUGGUCAAAAUACUGAAAAGUGUCAAAACUGACUUGUAUUGCAUUUCCUCACUUGAACGUUUUUCACUUCAUUCUUCUUGUUGCCACUUAAAUUCAUCACCAAAUCUCUAUUUUUCACCUCAAUUGACCUCCUUUGGUGAUUGAUUCAUUAUUCCUGCAUAAAAAUGAAGUUUUUACUAUUAAAAUCAAUAGAAAUGCAAUAUUAUCCACUUUUACCAAAAAUAUAUAAUUUUACCAAAAACCUCUUUAUUUUAAUUAUAAAACUAAAUAAUCAACUCAAAAUUAACUAAUAAAAUGCACUAAAAAAUACGUAAAAUAAACUCUUAUCAAUGUUGUGUACAAAGUGAUUUAAAAAAUAUUGGCCAAUAGAUUAAAGAAUGUUUUAAGUCAUUGCAAUAGUAAAAAUCAGUUAGCUUUUAUCCUAGGCAGGCAAAUUCUUGACAAUGUUAUUUUGUCUCAUGAGUACUUGCAUUACAUGAAAAAUAAGAAACGAGGACAGAAUGGUUUUAUGGCUGUGAAGCUGGACAUGUCCAAGGCCUACGACAGAGUGGAGUGGAAAUUCCUAGAUGCCAUGAUGGAAAAGAUGGGCUACUGUACAAUCUAGAGGACUUGGAUAUGGAGUUGCCUCUCCUCAGUUACAUACUCCUUCAAUAUUAAUGGAGUACCAAAAGAGUUUGUAAUUCCAGAAAGAGGAAUAAGACAAGACGACCCACUGUCACCUUAUCUUUUCCUUUUAUGUUCAGAAGGGUUCUCCAAUUUAUUGAAGCAAGCUGAGGAAGAUAAAAGGAUCUCAGGGAUGAAGAUAAGUAGGACUGGACCAAGCAUGACUCACUUAUUUUUUGCUGACGAUUCAUUGAUCUUUUGUAAAGCUGAAAGAGAGGAAACCAGGGAACUCAUUCAAAUUUUGAGGAAGUAUGAGAAGGGGUCUGGUCAAUCUAUAAACCUGGAAAAGUCCUCAGCGUUUUUCAGCAGCAAUGUGAGUCAUCAGAGGAAAGGGGAAGUGAUACAAAGCCUAGGCACUAUUCAAGUGGCUACUCAAGGAAAAUAUCUGGGGCUCCCUAUGAUGAUAACAAGAUCUAAACAGCAAAUUUUUGGAUACAUUAAGGACAGUAUCAGUAGAAGAAUGAAUAGUUGGAAGAACAAGUUGCUCAGCCAAGGAGGGAAAUAAGUUUUAUUGAAGACAGUUUCCAUAGCAAUGCCAGUUUAUACAAUGUCCUGCUUUAAACUCCCUAACAAAUUGUGCAAAGAAGUGACCUCCAUUUUUGCUAACUACUGGUGGGGAGAAAAUGAUGGGAGAAAUAAGAUGCACUGGUGCUCAUGGGGGAGAUUGGCUAAAGAGAAAAAAGAGGGAGAUUUGGGAUUUAAGGAUUUGCAGAACUUCAACAAAGCCUUGUUGGCUAAACAGGUCUGGAGACUGAUUUCCAAACCAAAUCUUUUAGUCAGCAAGGUCUUGAGGGCAAAGUACUUCAAUAGGGACUCAAUCUUUAAGUGCAAAGUCCCAAAGUGUGCUUCUUGGAUUUGGCAAAGUAUGAUGAAUGUGAGAGAUUUUGUGCAAAAUGGAACUAGAAAGAAGAUAGGCAAUGGCAAGGCUACCAACAUUUGGGAGGAUAAUUGGAUCCCAGGAAAUAAGGAUGGAAAAGUCACAUCUGCAAGGCCUUAGAAUUGCAACGUCAGAAGAGUAGAUGAGAUGAUCAGUGGCUUUAGAUGGAGGAAACCAUUGGUACUUAUAACCUUUAACAGAAAGGAUGCUGACGAAAUCCUGGAUAUCCCUAUAAGUAUCUCAGGAAGGGAAGACAGCAACUACUGGCUACAUAGUGGCAAUGGCAUCUAUACGGUCAAUUCUGGAUACAAACCAUUGAGAAGAGAAACAACCCAACAUAUAGGAAAAAGAGCUGAUGAGGCAGAAACGAGCUUAGCAAACUCCAAUGGAAAGCAAUAGAAGUGGUUGUGGAAGCUGAAAGUCAAAGCAAGAUAAAACACUUCAUUUGGAGGAGUUUAAAUGGGCUACUUCCAGUUAAUGCUUUGGUGUUUUAUAGAACACACCAUGGAGAUCCAAUAUGUGAUGGCUGUGGAGAACAUAAUGAGUCUAUUGAACAUAUGUUUUUUCAAUGCAGCACAGCUCAAGAGGUAUGGAAGAUGGCCCCAAUACAGUGGGAUGGGUUAAUUGGACAAACAGGAAAUUUUACAGUUUGGUGGACUGCAAUGCUGGAAGCCUCAUGUAGGAUAGAGGGGAGGGAGCAUAUAGAGCUAACUAUGAAUAUCCUUUGGCAAAUAUGGAAAAGGAGAAAUGAAUGGAAGUUCAAUGCUAAAUGAAAGCACCCUUGGAAAACAGUUAACAAGGCUCAACAGGAAUGACAAGAACAAGCCUCAGCUUGGAGUAAGGAGACAAUGAUCCCUGACGAUGCUGGAAAAGAAGGAGAGGAAGUAGAAUCAGUAGAGAUACGAAGUGAUGAAAUGUAGAUCAAUAUAGCAACUAGUGUGCAGGAACAGACCAAAAGGAUUGGUACUGGGAUUUUAGCAACUAACCACAGCCAUCAGGUGGUGUCAGCCUGGGUACUAAUUGAUAGGAAAGCAGUAAAUCAGUUGCAGACUAUAGCAGAAGCUAUGAAGAUGGCCAUUAUAAAGGCCAGACAUCAUCAAUGGCAGAAAAUUACAGUCCAUGUUCCCAGCCUACAGCUACUGAAAGUGAUUACGUCGGGAGUGGCUAAGGAUAUCAAAAUAUCUACUUUGGCUGAUGAUAUUAACAACCUCAGAUCAUUGUUCCAGAAAUGCUCCUUUUGUCUAGAUAGAAGAUUAAAUAAAAGAUGUAAUUUGAUUAGUGAUUAUGCCUUAGGCAUAUUUCAAGAUGAGGAAUGGAUCAACCCUCAAUGUGUCUAACACUUUUGUAUAGAACUUCUUGAGCCUUUGCUCAUAUAAGUGUACAUCUUUUGCCAAUCAAUACAAAAACUACCGUUGAAAAAAAAAUUAAAUGAAAUAAAAAAUAAAAAGUUUAAUUAGAAUCGCUAGUACCCAUUUAAGACAAUUGUGCUGUAAUUCACAUCUUAUUUUAUCCAAAUACGCUCAAUAUCACUAAUGAAAACUUAAGCGACUAAAAUGAUCAAAAUUUUCAACAAUAGGGACUAAAAGAGCAAAGUCAAAACUAUUAAAUAAUGGUAAUUUGAUUUUAACCCUUUUUCAUUACUGAAUUUUCGUCAAAUGUCCUUAAUGCACCUAAUAUCAGAAAUUUUGAGAACCAAAUUUAUUGUGGCCAACAUGAGACUCUAAUUUAGCACAUAUGCUAAAAAUUCGAGACUAAAACUACAAUUCACUCAGUUUCCAAAAGAAAAAUCUAUACCUUUUUUGUUUUAUUUUUGUGCGCACAUGUGAUUUUUUUUCUUUUGUUACCUUUGAUAUCACACAAUGGUCCAAACCAACUGACAUAUGUUAAUAGAUUCAAUUGUUAAAAUGACAUUAUGAAUUGUUAGAGUGGUAAUAUGUAGGAAAAUUUUGUUCGGUAGAAUUUUGGGUGGAAGGACUAAAUCAUUUAGUUUAAAUUACAUUUUAGUAAACUAAGUAAAUGGAAGAAUUAGGUUAUAAAACCUCAUUUAUACCCAAAAAAAGAGGGGGGAAAAAUAAAUAUAAAUCUCAUUUGCCAUACAAAUUACAAUCCAUUAACUCAAUGGAAAACGUGACCAUUGGAAGCUACGACAACUUAUCGCCAAACAUUGCAUUAGUAAGCCAACUUGCAACUUGUGUCUCCGGUGACAUAAUAUAAUUGCUGAAAAGACCACUUAAUUCUUGUUGUCUUGAACAAUGGGUCAUCUUUAAUUCUCCUUUAUCAUGUUGCCGAAAGAGCACGCACUAAUAUUAAGUUGAGCAAUGUUACUAUUUUAAGAAAUAAAUUAACAUAGUUUUUACACGGCUAACCUUGUUUGAUUCUUGUCAUAUGUAAAUUAGAAAUCAAGUGCUUCAGUAAAAAAGUAGCUACCUUGGCUUUUUAUCCUACUUUGGAAAAUUACUCAAAUUUACCAAAUUUGAUGGUUAAUAUACUUGAGUUUUAGCAUUUUAUUUAUGACUAUUAUUGUUUUCAGACUUAAAAGUUUUUUAUUUAAAAUACAAACAGGAUAUAAUGUGGCCAAAUAAGGAUAAUCCGGCAUUUUCUUGUCCUCAACACGUGGCCUCAUCUUAUCAAUCAUCAUAUUCGUCCAUAGAAACUGAUGCUCAAAGUUUUGUUUCGCGAUUAGUCAUUUAACUCAUUUAUCAUGUAUUCAUCCAUAGAAAUUGAUCUCAAAGUUUUGUUUCUUUACCAUUAGUAAGAGUACAACAUAUUAUUAGUUUACUUGCCGCUAGAGCUUUCUUAGAUUCAUGUUGUAAAUGGAAAAUUUGCAUAAAAAUUUUGGUUUUAUUUAUGGUGUAGGAGAGUUGCUCCCAAAUACAAUCAACUCCUAAUGACAAAGGGGAUACUAAACCUUUUCCAAGUUUGAGUAUUUCCUUUCUUUAGAUUGAAUUUUGAUCAUUUAUAUAGAUUCGACUCAUUUGUUUUGAUUUUACCUUCUCCCCUAACAAUCGUAUUAUAUUCAAUCAUUUGUACCUCAAAUGAAAAGUAAAUGUAAUUAUUCUUUUGACAAACAGGUUUGUAGAAUUGCUGGGCGAAGUGCAUAUAUCUUUGGAAAAGAAGAUCCAGGGAAUUGCUUGAGAAGAUGCACGAACUAGAAUUUUUGUUCAAAGUUAUUAAUGUCUUCAGUACAACGUUUGGUGUUGAUUCUUAAUGUAUUCAAAUUCUAAUGGGAAAAAUUAGACCAUUAAUGAGAUACCAAAAACAAAAAAAAUUCGAAGUCUAAUGCCAUUCAGAUAUAAGUUUUUUUGAUCGAAUGAAUCACCAGGUAGGUUGUAUAAAGGGCUGCCGUUGUUUUGUUUUGAUCAAAUGAAACAUCAAUAACUAGUUUUAGGUUAAAACUAAUAAUAAACUCUUGUUCAAAUUACUAUAAUAUUAGAGUACUGUUAUGGAAAUAUUAAAAAAAUAGUAGUAUUACUAAUUACAAGAGACGUUCGUAACAUUUAUAGCUAGUUACUUUGGAUAUUUAGCUUAGAAAAGAAAAGAUGGGAAAUGUUAAGUUAUGAAAGAAAAGAAAAGAAUAGAAAGGAAGAGGAGAUUUUAAUGUUGUUUGAGAAUUUUAGAAGGAAGUAGAAUGAUUUUCAAUAUAUAUACCAAUAAAAUUUCAUUCAAUAGUUUUGUGACAGGGUGUCGAGUCUGUGCAAUAAUAAUUACCUACUCCAGAAAAAAAUACAAAUUUUGUAUAUAGCGGUGAGUAGGGUCGAAUCCACAAGGAUUGGGGAUAACUUAUUUAUUUUAGAGUUUGAAGUAUGGGGGAUUUUUGGAGAAUAUAAAAUAACUAAUUAACUAACUAAUAAAACAAAUAAUAGAAAUAAACAAGAAUUAAUCAAUAGCCAAUAUGACUCUAGCCAAAGGUGCAACUUUUCAGACACGGUCCAUUCAACUGAUCAUUGAUGCAAAGAUAAUUCAAUUACUCAUUAAUAGAUUGGUUAUAGUUGUCAUACACGCGAUGAACAACCAGCCUUUCCUUAAUUUCUCGAUAGUUAAAGUACGACCGUUAACUAUUCCUCUAACCAAGAAAUAACCCUAGGUACGACCGUAGGAUUUAAUUCCCCAAUUGCAUUAAGAUCUAGAAAAGCCCAACCCUAACCAACAAACACGCUACGAGGGUUUGUUUAAGUUAGAUCAUACGUUUCCCUAACAUGAAACCAAUCACGCUAGUCGCCACUCGUAUUAAUCAAUUGAACAAUUACGAAUUCAAUCAAUUAAUUUGGCAUUAGAUCAUUAAGUUAAUUUGAAUAUCGGGCCCUUGACAUUCAAAUAACAUAACAAGCAUAAGCAAUUAAAUCAGGAAACGCACAAAUACCAAUAAAUAAAGGAAAUAAGUAAAAUAAUUAGAUCUCACAGAUGUUCGGAACCGAGUCCUCAAAUUGACCUUCGACUAGAUGAGAAAUUUAGCCACGCCUCAUGAGAAAAUCUUCCCGUAAUUUAACUGAGGUCCAGGCCAUCAAAGGAGCCAAGAAAGAAAAGAAAACUAAAACUAUCCUAAAAGCCUCCUAGAACUAUUAUUUAUAGCUUUCUGUACGUUUGUUCCUUUUUAAAGCCCAAAGAUGACUUAUGCUUCAUAUCCGUGGUCCUCGCCGAAAUUGAGAGUCCAAGUACUCAAAAGAAAGCUCUGCCAAUUCCUUGUAUUAUGUUUUCUCUUGGUAGGAGGACUCUUGGUCAGCAAAAAAAGGGAAUGGAAGUCCGGUUCUUCUCAGCAAUGUGGGCCAGGUCUGUGAAGUAUUUAGAAGUCUCCACUUUCUCCAGAAAAUACCUCCUUUUUUGUAGUUUUCUGCUCCACUCCCUAAAAUUAAGUCCAGAUACCAAAUAUAAGUAAAUAUUAAUAAUUAAAACAAUAUUUGGCAAGGACAAAUGGGAAAUUAAUAAUAAAAUAAUCAACAAUUAACACCCUAUCAAUUCCCCCCACACCUGAACCAUGCUUGCCCUCAAGCAUGAGAACAACAAUUGAACACCAAAAUUUGACAAUGGCUGUUGCUCCAACUACCGUAUUGCCAAGAUAUCCAGAAAAACAUAUAUCAAGCAUCACAAGUUAAGAUCCAAGAAAAAUCAUCCCGGUUAGCUUUCCAACCACCAACUCCUCCAAUUUAAAGCAAACUAAUCUAAGAAAAAGGAAUGGUUUCUCACAUUUAUCAACAAAUGGUCCAACUAUUAACCAAAUCUCGACAUUAAGAUCACAAAUCGGCAAGCUGACUUAUUCACAUACUAACACAAUCUUUAUUUUAUUUUAUUUUUCUUUUUGUUUUGUUUUUGUUUCUUUUUCUUUUUUUUUUUUGAGUAACAAAAGACUUAGUCUAUAGCCCUUAGAGCCUUUUGACGCGAACUCCAACAUUUGACAGAUGGAGCAGCCCGGUUACUCAGCUCCAAUCGCUACAGGACCACGCACUCAUAACAACUACUACCUUUUGACGCGAAAAUUGACACUUUAGGUGAAGAUCCCCGGUUACUCAGUAGUAACCACUAGCGGAGUACAGUCAACUCUUAUUUACAACUAUAUAGCACAAUAACUAAAAAUAACAUAAAAAUAACAGCAGCCAGCCUCAAAUUUUCAAAUAUGGAGAACUAAAAUUAAUAAUUGGACCAAUUCACAUGAAAAAUGCCAACAAUCAUUCUCUAUGCCUAGAAAAGUUAACCAAAAAUUAAAAAAGUCAAGCAAUUACUGAUAUUCACCAGAGAGAUGUUCCUAAACUCAACCACAUCAACUUGAUACCCUUUUAUCACUAAAACUUGGCAAUAUCAGAAUUAGAGACAACAAUCCAACAUUAAACUUGGUAUUCAAAUAAAACCUAAUCACGAAUAAAAGAAAUAAACGAAAAGGAGAUAAAUAUCAAACUAAAAACAAAGGAAAAACACCUAAAAGUCGAAAACUGGAAAUACUAGCACCCAAACUGGUCCCCCCCACACCUAAUUCACACAUUGCCCUCAAUGUGAUAAACUAACAACAAAAGGAAGGAGAAAGGCAACGGUACUUCCCUGAAAUUGUCAAAACAAGGGUGGGUCGGGCGGAGUGCUGCCAAAUUCUGCGCCAUGUUAUGCAAGUCGACGUCAAUGUGGGUCACUCGAGUCUCCAGUCUCUCAACUUGCAUUCGGAGUUGGACCCAAUCGUUAGCCCCUGGGUGGUCCCCUGCUUAGCCAAAUGCAAUAACAAUACAUCCCAAAACCGCAACAAGUGUUCCAAUGAAUUUAGCAAUUGAAAUGAAAAAGACAAAAUACUCCCACACAAGGCAAAUAGAGGCAACCUACUUCAAUAAGCAACGGAAAUGGCACAGGAGCCGUAUAAUGCACCAAUUAAAUGCAAUAAACCCCAACCAAAGGCAGCUCAAUAGAUUCCAGGUAGAAAGUACCAAAUGAUACUCAAUUGACACAAAAAACGAUCCCAACAAAGCAGCAAGAUCGAAGGAUACUCAGUCACAGAUGCUCAAUCAUAUCGAAAUAAGAAAUUGUAAGCAAAUUAGCACAACCAAUACCAUUGGUGCAUGCACAGGAAAGAAGGGAACCACAUGGCCAACCCAAUUAAUAAAAUGCACAACCGAGGCACCCCAAAGGCUAGAAAAGUACCCUAACAACACAGCAAAUUGAAUGAAUAUGCACUGGGUCUCCAAUUCAGUCAAAAUAAGAUCAAGGGGCACGAUAUAGAAACUAACAAAGCAGAACUCAAGUGAUACCAAUAGGGACCCCAACAGAGCAAUGAAUUCAACCAAUUGGAGCAAGUGAAACUCAACAAAUGUCACUAAUUGGACAUUCAAUUACCCACUUCAAGCGACCAAACCUUAAGAAUUUUGAGAAUCCCAGCAAACGGGCAAUUCCAGCAACCACCGAUUAGAAUUCGAGAAAAUUUAAGAAUUGUAAGUAACACCGCAACCAGUACCACUGGUGUAUACACAGGGAGGAAUUAAAUCAAACGGCCAACAAUUCAAUAAAUAUCAGAAAAUAUCCCUACAUAUGGCAGCAAUUAAACCCAAAUCUGUCCAAAAUUUACCCUAGAAAAUGCCCAAAUCAACACAUUCUUUUAUCCAUCAAGAAACCCAAACACAAAAGCUCAAAUUCCAGCAAUAGAAGAACCAGAAAAUACUAAUCGAGGUUGAAGAUUCAAUACCUUCACCUGUCAAUUUUGACAGGUGGGAAGGGCGUGGUUGUGGGUAGCGUGACAGGUAGGGAGGCACGAGACCGAGGGUGGAGCGAAGGAGACCACAGCGAGCGGCGUCGAGCGACGUGAAGCUGGUGGCAGCUGCUGGAUGGAGAGCGACAGGGAGAAAGGUGCGGCCUGCGGCUGUCGCGCCUGGUGGCGCGCGCAAGACAGCGGAGAAAGGGAGAGCUGGUGGAGGUCGCAUGAUCUGGUGAUGGGCGAGCUGAGAUGGAGGCGCGCAGUAGGGAGGCAGGCACGUCCAUGGGCUGUGGGUAAAGUGGAGAGAGGGAGGGAGAAAAGUGAGUUGGGGCGGCGGUGCUCGCAGCUAGUGUCGCGCGAGGAGACGAGCGGCGGCUGCGGCGAGCUUCAAGCGGCGCGCGGUGCUGUCGAGGCGGAGGUGGAGCUGGUGAGCUCGAGGUUGGCGGGUGAGAGGUGGCGGCGACGUGCGAGGUAGGGAGGGAGGCAACAGCGUGAAAGAAAAAGAAGAAAAAGAGGGAAACACAUGAGAGCGGCGGAGAAGAAGAAGAAAAGGAAAGGGAAGAAAGAAAAGAAAGGAAGAAAGAAAAAAGAAGAAAGAAAGAAAGAGAAAGAAAAGAGAAAAAGAAAGGAGAAAAAAAAAAUAAUAAUAGCUAUUGGUCUAUUUUUCUCUUUUUUUUUGUAAAUUUUUUUUUGAAUUUAAUUUUCAAAAUUUGAAUUUUUGAAGAAAACACAAAACUGAAGGUUUAAAAGGAAAAUAAUUUUUUUUUGAAUUCAUGUUUUGGGUCGUCAAACACCGCGUGGGCACGCCAAGAUUGGUAAAUGUCCACUGACCUCAAGAGACACAAACAACGCAUGGUCACGCCAAGAUUAUAAAACGUCCACUGACCUCAAGAAUCACUAACAUGGCGUGGGCACGCCAAGAUUAUAAAACGUCCACUGACCUCAGGGAUCACUUACAUGGCGUGGGCACGCCAAGAUUGCACUUCCUGCCACAGUGGAGAAAAAUAUGAAGACCGACUGCUACCCAAAUGAAAAACAACAAAACGAAAGAAUUGAACAAUGAAAAACAAUAAAAUCAAUAUUUGGGUUGCCUCCCAAAAGAGCGCCUUUCUUUAAUGUUUUUGGCUAGACAUUGUCAUGUUUGUUCAGGGAGAAUAAAAUCUUGUGGCUCGUUUUAGUUUUUCAUCCUCUAUAUAAUCCUGAUAGCCCUCGUAAAUAGAGUAAUCCUUAAUCACACGAGUUACGAUCUUCCAUGAACUAGUAGAUGGCACCAAACCGGUCAACAAUAAUCUGGAUUCUUCACUCAAUCCUCCAUCACGCGCAUUUAUUGGUUCAACAUAUUUUGCCAUUACCGCUCUUAAGUUAUUCCUGUCAUGAAAUUUAAAAUUUUCUGGUAUAAUAAAAUCAAUCUCAAUAACAGGAGUUGAAGAAUAGAAGUCAGGAAAAUAUUGAUUAAGGAAUGGAGGAGAUGUCACCGCAUUUGAAAAUUGAUCACUGGAUUUAUUCACUUGAACGAGUUGAUGUUGGGGUCUCAUUUCUUGCACUUCAACUUCUUUUUCAACUGCAUUUUUAGAUCCAUUUUCUUGAGACUCUUGUAGCUCCAUGUCACUUGUCAGAAUAAUUGCACUCUCAUCUUCUUCAAGGUCGACGAUGGUUUGUGAGGACAAUUCUUCAUAAUUUGAAAGUCUUCCUUGGACUUGGAAUUCUAGGCGGUUAACUGCUAUCAUUAAUUGAUUGACUUGCGUUUGCAAUGAUUGCACUUGUCCCCAUUGAUUCCUCAUACUUUGUAGGUUAGAAUUUGUCUUUUGUUGAUUAGCAAUUAACUGCUUCAUCAUUUCUUCUAGAGAUAGAUCUGGCAUGGAUGAUGGUUGUUGAGACUCUUGCUGUUGAAAAUCCAUCGGCCCAGUUGUAUAAUUGAAAUUGGAAUCAUCCCACCAUCCUUAAUCAUACCCAUUUGAAUAAGGGUCAUACCACGUUUGAUACUGAGGUGAAAAAUUUCCAAAAGUAUCAACUGGAGCACUUAGGUUAUUUUGAAAUGCGGGGCAUAUGUCGGUUGAAUAACCUGAGAAAAAAUAACUUCCACAAUUUGCAACAGCCAAUUGAUCAUUAGAAAAAACAUGAGUCUCAUAAUCCUAUUCAGGAAUAAAAUCCAGUCUAUCAUCAAAAUAUGGAAUACUAGCAACCAUCAACUAUAUACAAAAAAAAAGAGGAAAAUAAAUAAAAAAAAAUGAAAACAAGAUGAACUAAAAAAGAAACAAAUUAAUCUGGCACCAGUCCCCGGCAACGGCGCCAAAAAUUGACAGGGUGUCGAGCCUGUGCAAUAAUAAUUACUUACUCCAGAAAAAAAUACAGAUUUUGUAUAUAGCGGUGAGUAGGGUCGAAUCCACAGGGAUUGGGGAUAACUUAUUUCUUUUAGAGUUCGAAGUAUGGGGAUUUUUGGAGAAUAUAAAAUAACUAAUUAACUAACUAAUAAAACAGCUAAUAGAAAUAAACAAGAAUUAAUCUGUGACAGCCCAACCUUCCCCUAGGGCGCACCAAAGGGGUUAGCGGACUGCCUGCCCAACUCUCGCCAGGACUAACGGUGCAGUUUAGAGCGAUCUAUUGCGUUCCGGAACUUACAAACGCGCGUAAACAAGUCAAAAUGUCCAAAUAAAAAAAAUGAAACCGGAGUCGGCCAUGAGUAGUAACCGACCCGUCAGAACCCAACCAAAUAUUAAGCAAACAUUCACAUCUUGAACUUUAGUAUUUACAAUUCCAAGGUGGCAUACAAAAGUAUUCAAAAGUGGAUACAUGUAUGGUUUGCCAAAACAAAAGAGAAACGGACCCAAAAGUACGUUUAAGGUUUCAAUAAAUGAGCUAUACAAAAGAUAUGUCCAAUUAGCUCAAUUCGGCAACCAAAUAUCAAUUGCAGUCCAAAAGUAUUUAUUUUCCUGUAAGGAAAACAAAAGGAAUAGAGUGAGUUAAUUGCCCAGUGAGAUAAUACUACUCAAGCAACCAGGUUCAUAGAUGCAUCAAGUUUUUCAAUCCAAUUCAUCAAAAUUAAAUAAAGACACAUAUCAAUAAUGAUGAUAAAAGGAUACGGGCGGCUUUCAAGAGCCCUUUUCCUCGUUUGCAUUCUUGAUCGGAUCUCAUUGACUCUCCGUCAAUGUUUAAGAGUAACCAACCGUAGACUUCACUUUACUUCCAUCCCUUCCACCUAACAUUCCCCUACCGGGUCCGAACUCCAAACACUUGCACUGUGGUAUUACUCGAGUAUACCGGAAUCGAGAGUCUCUCAUACUACAAGAUUCCAUAACAGUCCCCAAGGUGCAUUAAUUGGCACGACCAAGCCCUUGCCGGCUCGAUUCAAUCAACUACCAAUGGUGUUGAGCUCAAUGGUAACAAUCAUGGUCGUUGGAUACUCGUCCAAACAACACCAAGUCAAGUACUUUCAUUUCAUGUAACAUUUUAUAUAACAUUCCAAUAACAUGAUAAACAAUAAGUGAGAGUGAUAAAGUACGCUCUCACUUCAAUCAAUUAACAUUCAACUCAUCAAGUUCAAGUAUCAAAGCUAUAUAGUAACACACAAGUGAGUAGUACACUCACCAAGCUUGCAAAUGGUGUUUCAUGCACUUCCGUCAAAAGAACGUCGUGAACCACCGUCACGCUCUAAAACAUGCAAACAAGUACAAUGAGACUCGAUAACGAGUCAUAAACCAAUACCAAACACGACCCCUAUAGGGUUCCAUAAGCAUAUACAAGCAUUAGGGAAAAUCAGAAAAUCCGGAAAUGGAAUUAGCUUUAUCUCUGAAAAAAACAGUUUUUGACCUCAUUUUGCGGUAAUGGCACCAAUGGCACUACGAUUAUCGGAUGAAGGUCCAAGACCCACUGUUUCGAAACUAAGAGAUAGGGCUACAAUGUUAUAGAAGGCAACUCUGUCCAGUUUCGAGUGUAACACGGUAAAAAAUGCAAGAUGCUACACUAGAACCGGAAAAAUAGAUUCACAAAAUGCAUUCUAGUACAAACAUCAUAAAACAGCCUACAUAAGUCCAAAUCUAGAAAUUCCAAAGCCAUCUGAAAGAUAAGAAACAGGGAUACAUUUCAUCAGAAGACCUCAACAACCAAUUCAGAAGCAUUCCUAACCAAAAUAACCAAUUACAGAAGUAAUUCCCAAAUUCGGAUAAAACCAGGACAGCAAGGGUAAUUUCGACUUUUCUCAAGCUACACUACUCCAAUUGACCUGAAAUUUUGCAGGCACCUUUAAAAUAUCAUUUUCUACAACUUUUAUGUUUUAACCCAAAACCAAUUCGGCCUCUAACCAUGAGCUACAAAACUGGGCAGAUGUAUAAUUUUGAAACCCUAGUUUUUUCAAUUUUCUUCCAAAACAGAAAUUACUUGCAAUUAACCACUUUUUCCACCUCCUUGAUCCCUUACACACCAUUUCCAAUCAUCAUAUAUAGCCACACAAUCACAUUCAUAUUAAAACAGAAAAAUCCCCAAUAAUUACAAAACUUCAUCAAUUCAACCAAAAAUCACAAUAUAAUCCAUAAAGUUGCAUCUUAUACCACCACUAAGCAUAAAUUAAGCAUCAUUAGAGGGAGGAGAGUGGUUCUUCAUAACUCACCUUAGAACCAAGAGAGAGAGAGCAACAAGUCCUCUUAGCUUUCCAAACAACUCCACCAAACCCCACACAAACACUCACUUAAGGUUUUCUAUGGAACAAAAGUAAGAUUAAGUGGUUGUUUUGAUGAUUUGGAGCAAGAUGAAAUCAAGAACUUGGAGAGUUUCUUUCUUUCUUCUUGAGAGAGAGGGCCGGCUUCAAGAUUGUUAUUUUUGAGGAUUUUUGGGUCAAAUUUUGAGUUAUUUUGGUAAAAUGGUAAGAGAAUGAAUAGUGGUCAAAAGUAGUAAUGAAUCUCUAAGUGACACUUGUCAUGACACUUGUCCCUCUCAUUAAUUUUAUGCCUAACUUUUUUUGUCUUUCUCACACCUAUGCAUUUGGUACCUCUAAAUAUCUCAUAACACCCGAUAAAUUAAAUCCAGUAUCCAAAACUUAACCUCACUGGCCGAAUUUUUCUGAACUUUUCUCACUAGCGGGUCCCAUGUCCGAUAUAUACUCUUAAUUUCUCAAAACCUAUUCGAUACUAGAAAAAUCAUCUAAAAACUAUAUUAACUCAUAAAAAUUAUCAGGAAAACUUUCUAAUAACGAAAAUGCAGAAAACAUGCCAUUUACGCGGAAAACCCUAGAAAAAUUAUGAAGAAAUUACGGGUUCUCACACUCUCUCCUCCUUAAAAGAAUUUCGCCCUCGAAAUUUCUCACCUUAACUCCCGAAAAGCUCAGGGUAUUUCUUUCGCAUUUCUUCUUCCACUUCCCAGGUAGCUUCCUCUUCCCCAUGAUUUCUCCACAGUAUCUUUACCAACGGAAUCUGCUUGUUUCUUAGCUCUUUAACUUUCCAGUCAAGCACUUGGACAGGUUUUUCUUCGUAAGCAAGCGAUUCGUCUAUGUCGAUCUCCUCUGGUUGUAAGAUAUGGGAGGGGUCGGGAUAGUACUUCUUGAGCAUCGAGACGUGGAAGACGUCGUGAAUUUUAGAGAGACUUGAAGGCAGCUCCAGUCUAUAUGCUACCGCACCUAUCCUCCGCAGGAUCUUGUAAGGUCCGAUGAACCUCGGUUGCAAUUUCUUUCCUCUACCCGCCGUGACACUCCGUAACGGUGUAACCUUGAGGAAAACACGGUCUCCAACUUCGAACUCCAAGUCUUUUCUUCGGUUGUCGGCGUAACUCUUUUGUCGGCUUUGAGCAGUUUGGAGUCGUUGCCGUAUCAACUUGACUUUUUCUCGAGUCUCUUCCAUCCAUGGAAUAGUGGUUGGAUCUAAUACCUUUCUCUCGCCAACUUCAUCCCAAUAAAUUGGUGACCGGCAUUUUCGUCCCUAUAAUGCUUCAUAUGGAGCCAUUUGAAUCGACGAAUGGUAGCUGUUGUUGUAUGCAAACUCUACUAAGGUCAUGUGUUGACCCCAAUUGCCUCUAAAAUCCAGAAUGCAAGUCCGUAGCAUGUCCUCGAGAGUUUGGAUUGUUCGCUCUGAUUGUCCAUCCGUCUGAGGAUGAUAGGUCGUGCUCAAGUUGAGUUUCGUUCCUAGAGUUUCUUGGAACUUCUGCCAAAAUCGAGAUACGAAACGUGGAUCUCGAUCGGAGACGAUACUGACUGGCACGCCGUGUAGCCUUACGAUCUCGUCCAUGUACAAUUGGGCUAACUUGUCCAUGGAAUACUUCAUGUUUACCGGCAGGAAAUGGGCCGAUUUGGUUAACCGGUCGACGAUUACCCAAAUGGCAUCGUGUCCUCGUUACAUUCAUGGCAAACCUGAAACGAAGUCCAUGGUGAUGUUUUCCCACUUCCACUCGGGUAUCUCUAGGGGUUGUUACAAGUCUGAUGGUUUUUGAUGCUCUACUUUCACCUGUUGGCAAACGAGACAUUUUUGCACGUACUGAGCAAUUUCCUUCUUCAUAUUGUCCCACCAAUAGGUUCCUUUCAGGUCCUGAUACAUCUUGCUAUUACCCGGAUGAAUGGUAUACUUGGAUCGAUGGGUUUCCUCUAGAAUCUCUGUUUUCAAUGAUUCAUCCUUAGGCACCACUAUUCGGUUUCGGUAUUUUAAAAUACUCUCAGGACCAAAAUUGAAAUCAGUAGUUUCUCAUUUUCCCACUUUCUCUCCCCAUUUCUGCACUAGUGAAUCUUCCUUUUGAGCUUUUUUAAUUCUCUCCAAGAGAGUGAAAGUCACUUAAUAUUGCCAAAAAUCACCUUAUGGCUCCCAAGGCAGGGUUUCCACUCACAAACCGACUCGAGUAAAUUCCACUCUUUAAUCAUUAACCCGGCUACUUGCGCCUUGCGACUCAAAGCAUCGGCCACUACGUUCGCCUUUCCUGGAUGGUAGUUGAUGGUACAGUCGUAAUCCUCCAAAAAUUCUAUCCAUCGUCGCUGCCUCAUGUUCAAUUCCUUCUGUGAGAAGAGGUACUUCAGGCUUUUGUGAUCGGAGUAAACCUCAAAGGUUACCCCAUAUAGGUAAUAUCUCCACUUUUUAAGAGCGAAAAAAAUGGCAGCUAGCUCCAGAUCGUGGGUUGGAUAGUUCUGCUCGUGGGGUUUCAACUUCCUAGAGGCAAAAGAGAUCACAUUACGGUUCUGCAUUAACACGCAACCCAGGCCUUCUCGUGAGGCAUCAGUAUACACAACAAAUCCGUCCACUCCGUUUGGCAGGACUAGCACUGGAGCCAUGGUCAAUCUUUUCUUUAGUUCGUGAAAACUCGUCUCGCUUCGGGCAUUCCAAAGGAACCGACCAUGUUUCUUUGUCAAGUCAGUUAAGGGACCGGUCAGUUUGGAAAAGUUCUUGAUGAAACGCCUGUAAUAUCCAACCAACCCUAGAAAGCUACGGACCUCGGUGGGAUUUUCUGGCCUCUUCCAAUUAGUCACAGCCUCUACUUUCGUCGGGUCAACUGAAAUACCCUCUUGAGAAAUUACGUGCCCCAAAAAAGAAAUUUUCUCCAGCCAAAAUUCGCACUUGCUGAACUUGGCGUACAAUUGAUGAUCUCUUAGGGUUUGUAAGACAAUCCUCAAGUGCUGCUCAUGCUCUUCACGUGUCUUGGAAUAGACUAGAAUGUCGUCGAUGAAGACUACAACAAAUCGAUCCAGGUAUGGCUUAAAAAUCCUAUGCAUUAAAUCUAUGAAGGCGGCAGGAGCAUUGGUUAGUUCAAAGGGCAUAACUGCAAACUCGUAAUACCCAUAUCUCGAGUUGAAGGCGGUUUUCGGAAUAUCCUCCUUCCUGAUUAAUAACUGGUAAUACCCUUGGUGGAGAUCUAGUUUUGAGAAAACCACCGCUCCUUGCAACUGGUCAAACAACUCAUCUAUGUGGGGCAGUGGAUACUUAUUUUUCACCGUAAUAUUAUUCAGGCCCCGAUAAUCGAUACACAUCCUCAAUCCACUGUCCUUUUUCUUCACAAACAGCACAGGGGCUCCCCAAGGAGACCCACUCUUUUGAAUGAAUCCCCGCUCCAAAAGAUCCUGUAAUUGCAAUUUUAGCUCCUUGAGCUCAGCAGGAGCCAUUCGGUAUGGUAUUUUUGAGAUAGGUGAGGAUCCCGGUAGCAGGUCUAUUUUGAAUUCAAUCUCUCUUUCCGGAGGCAGAGCUACUAGCUCAUCAGGAAACACGUCCGGAAAUUCCUUCACUAUGGCCACGUCCUCCACUUUCAACUUAUCCGUGGCGGUAUUAAUCAGAAAGGCUAAAAAUUCUUGUGUCCCUCUACUUAGCAAUUUCCUAACUCGAAUGCCCGAAAUCAAAGCAGAUGAGGCUAACCUACCCCUUAUAUCCAACCUUAUGGUUGCCUCACCAGGGAUGCGGAAUUCUACCACUUUUAUUUUACAAUCCAGUUGGGCAUUAUACUUGGCUAGCCAAUCCAUACCUAAUAUCACAUCAUACCCUUUGAGGACUAAGCUUAUCAAGUCCCCUAACAAUCUCUUCUCUCCUACCCACACUUCACAAUCCUUAUAAACCAUACUAGUAACCAAACGUUGAUUCCUCGUAGGUGUACUAACUUCUAGGUCGUAUGGUAAACUAGCAGGUUUUAUAUCGACGCCACACAUGAAAUCAGGGUUAACGAAGGAAUGAGUGGCACCAGAAUCAAUUAAAACUUUGGCAAAGCGGUGGAAAAUAGGGAUCGUACCUUCUACGACCUCCGAGGAAUCUGGGACCUGUUGGGGUUCUAAGGAAUACACUCGAGCUGGCACCUUAGGUUUGGACCCAUCUCCCCUAACUGGUCCAGCAUUGGUCUUUGGCGUGGUUUGAGCUCCCUUUUCGUCUUGCUUUAAGAGUGGACAGGUAGCAAACUUGUGGUCUGCGCUUCCGCAACCCAGACAUUUACCUCCCUUCUUCCAACAAUUAUCUUCAGAGUGAUUCGGCUUUCCGCAGUACCCACAAGGCCCACGGGACGCCGAACCUGAACCCUUCUGGAAGUUUCUGCCUUGGCCUCUCCUGGCUGAGCCACCCCUGGACUGAGCCCCUCUGCUUGUACCUGACUGUCGUCCACCUCCAGCUCCGCGUCCGAACUUGGAGGGGGUACCUUUAUCCCCUUGUCCAGAGCUGCUUCUAGAAAAACCCCGCUUUUUCGCCUGAAAGUUUCGUACUUGUAAUCUGGCACUCUCUACCCGUUGGGCCUUCUCAACGGCCUCGCUAAAAGCAUUGAUUUGAGCCACUGCGAGGUCCUUUUGAAUCUCCACGUUUAGGCCCUGGAUAAAACGCCUAAUUCACCGUUGCUCCGUCACAAUCAACUCAGGCGCAAAUUUGGACAGGCGGGUGAACUGGCUCUCGUAUUCCGCCACCGAUUGAGCUCCUUGGCGAAGUCGGAUGAACUCAUCUUCCUUCCUCUCCUGAACCAGAGGAGGGAAGAAUUUCGCAUUAAACUCUCUCAUAAAAUUUACCCAAAUCUUGGGCGUUUGUUCCCGUUCCCAUUUUUGCCGAAUGACAUUCCACCAGGAACGGGCCGCCCCUUCCAACUGGAAAACGGCAAAAGUCACCUGCCGUUCUUCGGUAUAGUGCAGGGCAGCGAAAAUAUCGACCAUCUUUUCGAGCCACCUUUCGGCGACAUCCGGAUCGGGGUCCCCAAUGAACUUGGGUGGAGCAAACUUUUGGAAUCGUUCAAGAGCUCUGUCUUCGCUCUCGACAUGAUUGCCAGGGUUUGAAUUCUGGCCUUGUUACUGCACCACUUGUGCCAACAGGUUGGUCAUUUGCUGCAUAGCGGCAGCAAUCUGUACAUUGGGGUCAAUUCUCGGUUCAGGAUUGGGUCCAGAGGAAGUUUCCCCAGCACCCCGGUCUGGCGUAGGUUGCCUAUUCCCGCGCCCACGCCCCCGUCCACCAUGUGUGCCUUCCAUAAGUUCUAUUUGAUCUAGACAAACGUACUAGAACAAUAAAAUGACAAUGCAUGUAAGUAAAGCCCAAAAACUUUUAAAAACAUAUAUAUACAUUCCAAACAAGGCACACAAUACACAUAGCAACAAGCAGUCAAGUCAAGUACAAACAUGGACAAUCCACGAGGGAAAAGCCCCAUCAAAAGAAAUAUACACGUAGCUAAUCCAACGUACAAAACGAUUAGCUAAGGCUCUUUCCCUAUCCCUAUAUACAGAAACAAAACUAUCCAUAACCUAGGAGUCGUAACCUAGUCCGACGACGAGCUAGUAGACCCACCCGACGGGGUAGAUCCAACCCCAGUCUCGGGCCCCGUACAUGAGUCCUCGUCGCUCACGCCCUCGACCACGUCAGUACAGAGGUUCAGGAUCGAGGCAGCUCGAACCUUCACCUUUUAGGCUUUCUUAGCCUCGCGAUCACGGACUUCCCUAAGCUGAGUGCAGAGGUCAUCCACCCUAUCCUCUACCUCUAGCACGUCGUACUCCAAGCCCUUAAUACGCUCGGCCUGUCUCUCAUUGACCGCCCUAAGUUGGGUCACAUCGGCCUCAAGUCGAGCAUUAUCUGCGGCUAACUCGUUACGCUCCUCGGCCACGGCCAACACUAGAGCGUUAGGGUAAGCAUACUUAUGUCGGCACUCACACCGUCUGAGGCGGUUAGCCGGGAUCCAACGAACUACGGCCCUUCCUGGCCGAAUCUGGUAUGGGAUCAUUGGAAGCGCUUCACGAGGUCUCUCGCCCGGAGGACUAUCACUAGGCUCACCCUGUCCGGCCAUCCUACACCAAAAGAGCAAUUAACCAUAAAUAAAUUUAAAAGCCAUAACAAAGAACCCUCAAAUCAAGCAAUUCUAAUACACCCAGGCCAAUUCAAACCUGGCUCUGAUACCACCUGUGACAGCCCCACCUUCCUCUAGGGCGAACCAAAGGGGUUAGCGGACUGCCUGCCCAACUCUCGUCAGGACUAACGGUGCAGUUUAGAGCGAUCUAUUACGUUCCGGAACUUACAAACGCGCGUAAAUAAGUCAAAAUGUCCAAAUAAAAAAAAUGAAACCGGAGUCGGCCAUGAGUAGUAACCGACCCGUCAGAACCCAACCAAAUAUUAAUCAAACAUUCACAUCUUGAACUUUAGUAUUUACAAUCCCAAGGUGGCAUACAAAAGUAUUCAAAAGUGGAUACAUGUAUGGUUUGCCAAAACAAAAGAGAAACGGACCCAAAAGUACGUUUAGGGUUUCAAUAAAUGAGCUAUACAAAAGAUAUGUCCAAUUAGCUCAAUUCGGCAACCAAAUAUCAAUUGCAGUCCAAAAGUAUUUAUUUUCCUGUAAGGAAAACAAAAGGAAUAGAGUGAGCUAAUUGCCCAGUGAGAUAAUACUACUCAAGCAACCAGGUUCAUAGAUGCAUCAAACUUUUCAGAACAAUUCAUCAAAAUUAAAUAAAGACACAUAUCAAUAAUGAUGAUAAAAGAAUAUGGGCGGCUCUCAAGAGCUCUUUUCCUCGUUUGCAUUGUUGAUCGGAUCUCAUUGACUCUCCGUCAAUGUUUAAGAGUAACCAACCGUAGACUUCACUUUACUUCCAUCCCUUCCACCUAACAUUCCCCUAUCGGACCCGAACUCUAAACACUUGCACUGUGGUAUUACUCGAGUAUACCGGAAUCGAGAGUCUCUCAUACUACAAGAUUCCAUAACAGUCCCCAAGGUGCAUUAAUUGGCACGACCAAGCCCUUGCCGGCUCGAUUCAAUCAACUACCAAUGGGGUUGAGCUCAAUGGUAACAAUCAUGGUCGUUGGAUACUCGUCCAAACAACACCAAGUCAAGUACUUUCAUUUCAUGUAACAUUUCAUAUAACAUUCCAAUAACAUGAUAAACAAUAAGUGAGAGUGAUAAAGUACGCUCUCACUUCAAUCAAUUAACAUUCAACUCAUCAAGUUCAAGUAUCAAAGCUAUAUAGUAACACACAAGUGAGUAGUACACUCACCAACCUUGCAAAUGGUGUUUCAUGCACUUCCGUCAAAAGAACGUCGUGAACCACCGUCACGCCCUAAAACAUGCAAACAAGUACAAUGAGACUCGAUAACGAGUCAUAAACCAAUGCCAAACACGACCCCUAUAGGGUUCCAUAAGCAUAUACAAGCAUUAGGGAAAACCAGAAAAUCCGGAAAUGGAAUUAGCUUUAGCCCUGAAAAAAACAGUUUUUGACCUCAUUUUGCGGUAAUGGCACCAAAGGCACUACGAUUAUCGGAUGAAGGUCCAAGACCCACUGUUUCGAAACUAAGAGAUAGGGCAACAAUGUUCCAGAAGACAACUCUGUCCAGUUUCGAGUGUAACAAGGUAAAAAAUGCAAGAUGCUACACUAGAACCGGAAAAACAGAUUCACAAAACGCAUUCUAGUGCAAACAUCAUAAAACAGCCUACAUAAGUCCAAAUCUAGCAAUUCCAAAGCCAUCUGAAAGCUAAGAAAUAGGGAUACAUUUCAUCAGAAGACCUCAACAACCAAUUCGGAAGCAUUCCUAACCAAAAUAACCAAUUACAGAAGCAAUUCCCAAAUUCGGGUAAAACCAGGAUAGCAAGGGUAAUUUCGACUUUUCUCAAGCUACGCUACUCCGAUUGACCUAAAAUUUUGCAGGAACCUUUAAAAUAUCAUUGCCUACAACUUUCAUGUUUCAACCCAAAGCCAAUUCGGCCUCUAACCAUGAGCUACAAAACCGGGCAGAAUGUAUAACUUUGAAACCCUAGUUUUUUCAAUUUUCUUCCAAAACAGAAAUUGCUUGCAAUUAACCACUUUUUCCACCUCCUUGGUCCCUUACACACCAUUUCCAAUCAUCAUAUAUAGCCACACAAUCACAUUCAUAUUAAAACAGAAAAAUCCCCAAUAAUUACAAAACUUCAUCAAUUCAACCAAAAAUCACAAUAUAAUCCAUAAAAUUGCAUCUUAUACCACCACUAAGCAUAAAUUAAGCAUCAUUAGAGGGAGGAGAGUGGUUCUUCAUAACUCACCUUAGAACCAAGAGAGAGAGAGAGAGCAACAAGUCCUCUUAGCUUUCCAAACAAUUCCACCAAACCCCACACAAACACUCACUUAAGGUUUUCUAUGGAACAAAAGUAAGAUUAAGUGGUUGUUUUGAUGAUUUGGAGCAAGAUGAAAUCAAGAACUUGGAGAGUUUCUUUCUUUUUUCUUGAGAGAGAGGGCCGGCUUCAAGCUUGUUAUUUUUGAGGAUUUUUGGGUCAAAUUUUGAGUUAUUUUGGUAAAAUGGUAAGAGAAUGAAUAGUGGUCAAAAGUAGUAAUGAAUCUCUAAGUGACACUUGUCAUGACACUUGUCCCUCUCAUUAAUUUUAUGCCUAACUUUUUUUGUCUUUCUCACACCUAUGCCCUUGGUAUCUCUAAAUAUCUCAUAACACCCGAUAAAUUAAAUCCAGUAUCCAAAACUUAACCUAACUGGCCGAAUUUUUCCGAACUUUUCGCACUAGCGGGUCCCACGUCCGAUAUAUACUCUUAAUUUCUCAAAACCUAUUCGAUACUAGAAAAAUCAUCUAAAAACUAUAUUAACUCAUAAAAAUUAUCAGGAAAACUUUCUAAUAACGAAAAUGCAGAAAACAUGCCAUUUACGCGGAAAACCCUAGAAAAAUUAUGAAGAAAUUACGGGUUCUCACAUAAUCAAUAGCCAAUACGAGUCUAGUUAAAGGUGCAACUUUUCAGACACGGUCCAUUCAACUGAUCAUCGAUGCAAAGAUAAUUCAAUUACUCAUUAAUAGAUUGGUUAUAGUUGUCAUACACGCGAUGAACAACCAGCCUUUCCUUAAUUUCUCGAUAGUUAAGGUACGACCGUUAACUAUUCCUCUAACCAAGAAAUAACCCUAGAUACGACUGUAGGAUUUAAUUCCCCAAUUGCAUUAAGAUCUAGAAAAGCCCAACCCUAACCAACAAACACGCUAUGAGGGUUUGUUUAAAUUAGAUCAUACGUUUCCCUAACAUAAAACCAAUUACGCUAGUCGCCACUGGUAUUAAUCAAUUGAACAAUUACGGAUUCAAUCAAUUAAUUUAGCAUUAGAUCAUUAAGUUAAUUUGAAUAUCGGGCCCUUGACAUUCAAAUAACAUAACAAGCAUAAGCAAUUAAAUCAGAAAAUGCACAAAUACCAAUAAAUAAAGGAAAUAAGUAAAAUAAUUAGAUCUCACAGAUGUUCGGAACCGAGUCCUCAAAUUGACCUUCGACUAGAUGAGAAAUUUAGUCACGCCUCAUGAGAAAAUCUCCCCAUAAUUUAACUGAGAUCCACGCCAUCAAAGGAGCCAAGAAAGAAAAGAAAACUAAAACUAUCCUAAAAGCCUCCUAGAACUAUUAUUUAUAGCUCUCUGUACAUUUGUUCCUUUUUAAAGCCCAAAGAUGACUUAUGCUUCAUAUCCGUGGUCCCCGUCGAAAUUGAGAGUCCAAGUACUUAAAAGAAAGCUCUGCCAAAUUCCUUAUAUUACGUUUUCUCUUGGUAGGAGGACUCUUGGUCAGCAAAAAAAGGGAAUGGAAGUCCGGUUCUUCUCAGCAAUGUGGGCCAGGUCUGUGGAGUAUUUAGAAGUCUCCAUUUGCUCCAAAAAAUACCUAAUUUUUUGUAGUUUUCUACUCCAUUCCCUGAAAUUAAGUCCAGAUACCAAAUAUAAGUAAAUAUUAAUAAUUAAAACAAUAUUUGGCAAGGACAAAGGGGAAAUUAAUAAUAAAAUAAUCAACAAUUAACACCCUAUCAUUUUGUGAGGAUAAAAUGGGUAAUUUAAAAAAGUUUUAUAAGCUUCCACCAGUUUUCCUUUGCUUUCCCCCCCCCUUUUUGGUAAAAAAAUUUUUUUUUUGCAUUGUUGCAGCACUUGGCAUCCUUCAAAAUCCUUUUGUUUCUUUUCUUUUCUUUUCCACCUUAAUUGAAAGUCCCAAACGUAAUAAAAUUCACUUUCUGUUCAAUUCCAUUGGAAUCUCAACUCCCAAACUAGCUAUGAAGGAUAAAUUAGAAAAAAAAAAAAAGAAGAAGAAAGGAUUGGAAAGGAUCCAAAUUUCUAUCUAAGUCGUUUGAGAGUUUAAAAAAGAAAAUAAGGUAAGUAGUUUCUUUUGUUUGGGAAUUGAAUACAAAUGAAAAGAAAAGAUUUUUAAACAAGUAACUUUACAAAUAUAUCCUUUCUAUAAAGUGAAAUGAGAUGUCUUGGUAAGGGUUUUAUAACGAGGGACUCAUCGAGAAUUAAAAUUUUUUAUAUCAGGAUUUUAAGAAUAGUUUUGUCAUCUUUGAAAAUUUACUUAAGACUUCCACACUUUCCUUCCCAAUUUUAUGCAGAAAGUUUUCCUUUACAAGGAAAAAGAUGAAUCUUUCCAAAUCUUUUCUUUUUUCUUCACAUUUUUGCUCCCAAACAAUGUAAAAACUUAUUAUUAUCCUUUCAACUAGGGAGGGACUUGUGAUUUAAGAUAAUUAAUAAUUAUUGUUUAAUAUUUUGUAAUAUAGGAACUGGAGUAUGAUGAUUUUAUCAUGUGAUUUUAAUAGAAAAAUUAUAAGUUACAUAGUGAGUCAAUAAAAAUAAUGUGCAAUGAGAUAUCCUUAUCGUUAUACUAUAUAGGAAUCUGUUGUGAUCAAAUGUUAUGUUUAAAUUUCAAUUGUAAAGAUAAGGGUAGUUUGAAAAUGUAAGAAUGUUUGAAGUGCAAUUGAAAAGUAUCCAAAGGUCUCUUCUAAAAUUUAUCCAAAAUGAUAAAACAUUUUAAAGUAUCAAUUGGACCCUUCAUCUCUCGAAUCUAUAUAUGUUCGUGAAAGAUCCCUAAAGCAAUGCUUCUGAUUUCUCCCUUGACUUAAGCUCAUCCUGAAUUAUCAAGUCAAGUUUAUCCAUCAAUCACUUUGCGUCCAAUCUAAUCUAAAAUAAAUUUAUUUUUGACUAACUAUUUAUAUAAUUUGGUGGGCAUAAUAUGACUUAAUCACAUGUUUCUUACAGAGAUAAUAAUGCCCAAAAAUGAUAGAUAGAUAAGAAACUUAAGUGGUCUUUUUCAAAGUUUUGUAGAAACUAUUCAUAUUUGGUGUUUUUUGCUAGGGGCAUUUCUUUAUAAUCUCAUAAAUAAGUUCAAAUCUGCAUAAUUGUUAAAGAUCUGAAUUAAAACUAUCUUGAGUAUAAAAAAUUGGUGAAAAUAAUAUUUUCUAAAUUUGAAAUUGUAGAAAAUGGUAACUAAAAUCAGAAGAAAUUCCUCAUAUGAAUUCGAAUUGCAAACUAUAGAUAGAAACUACUUAAUGAUAUUUUCCAAUGUUUACUUGUAUAAGUAUCCAAUAUAGCAUCUCUACUUGAUUGACUCGUUUGAACUAUGGAUAAUAGUUGCUUCAAUCAAAUUAAGAAAUAUUAUUUAUCAUUGUACAACAUACAAUUAUGAGUAAAUGAAUUGAUAGGGUGUUAAUUGUUGGUUAUUUUAUUGUUAAUUUUCCCCUUUAUCCUUGCCAAAUAUUGUUUUAAUUAUUAAUAUUUACUUAUAUUUGGUAUUGGACUCAAUUUCAGGAAGUGAAACAGAAAACUACAAAAAUGAGGGACUUUUUGGAGAUAAUUGAGACUUCAAAUAAGCCACAGACUUGACCCACAUGGUGAUAUACGCGGACUGCAUUUCUUCUGCUAAUUGGGAGUGUCUUGAGUACUUAAGAGUCCUAAGAGCAAUGAAAGACGAAAAAGAGGAGGAGACAUCAAGAGGCCUUGCCUUUUGUACUUUGAUUUGGAAUUGGAAUCUGCGGCGGGGACCACGGAAAAGCAUUAGUCAUUGGACUUUGGAAGGAAAGAAACGUAGGAAGCUUUGAGAGUUGUUUUUGUUCCUUAUUUGUGGGGACCACUGGAUAGAUAGCUUUGGUCAUCUUCCUUUUGGCUAUAAAAAGACAAUUGUAAGAAAGGCUACGGAGACAGCUUUUAGCAUAAUUUUAGUUUUCUUUUCUUAGCUCUUUGGCAUGGUUGUUCUCCAUUAAUGGAGGACUAACCUCUUAAUUCUAGUCAAGGGGACAACUGAAGACUUGGUUCAACAAUUACUGUGAGAUCUAAUUUAUUUUAAUUGCUUCCUUAAUUUAUUGGUAUUUAUAUGUUUCCUGCUUUUAAUUGCUAUAGCUCGUGUGAGUGAUUGAAUAGAUGCGCAAUAUUUAAUUAUUCACAUAGGCUAUUUUGCUAAAUAGGGAUAAUUGAAUCCGUAAUUGUUCGUUAUCUUUAUCUCAGUAGCAACUGGCGUAAUUGGGUUUAUGUCAGGGGAACAUACGAUCUAACUUAAACAAACCCUCGUAGCGUGUUUGUUAGUUAGGAUUGGGCCUUUCUAAUUAUUAAUGCAAUCUAGAAAUUAAACCCUACGGUCGUACCUAGGGUUGUUUUUGGGUUAGAGAAAUAGUUAACGGUCGUACCUUAACUAUCGAGAAAGUAAGGAAAGGUUGGUUGUUUAUCGCGUGCAUGGCAACUAUAACUAAUCUAUUAAUAAAUGUGGAAUUAUCUGUGAAUCAAUGAUCAGUGCCUGAACCAUUUCUGAAGUGUACCCUUGGCUAGAGUUUCCCUUUAAUUAUUCCUCUUAAUCAAUUAUUUUCUGCAAUUAAAUUAUUUAGUUAGCACUUAAUCCAAAACCCCCCAUACUUUGGACUCUAGAAGAAACGAAUUAUCCCCAGUCCCUGUGGAUUCGACCCUGUUGACCGUUAUAUACAGAAAUUAACUUUAGUUGAGCAGGUUUUUAUUAUUGCACAGGCUGACAACCUGUCAUGAAUUAAUACAAUGCAGUCAAAAUGGUACUGUAGCUAAAGCAUUUGAACUCAUCAAGUUUCACCACAAAUUCUUUUAGAUAGCAUAAAAAGUAAAUUUUUUGUAUUUGAAACUAUAUAAAUAAUAGAAUACAAGAAGGAGAUCAUAACAUGGAAAGCAAAUAGAGUGCAAAUGACAUUUUAGUACUAUGUAACAUGAUUAAUUUUCUUUUUUAGUUUCAAUGAAGUACAAAAUUCUAAGUUAAUAAAUUUUAUAAUCAUAAAAUUUCCAAUUAAAAUAAACACAAGCUGAAUUCCAAAUCAAAUUACAUGAAAUAACUACUUGAACCAUAACUGUUGGAAUGUAGUCAACAGAUCCCUGGAGUCAAGAACAAUAGGAGAAAGUUCAUGAGAAAUAAGGAUAUUUGACUUAAAUAAAGAGAUAAUACCUUGACCGAGGAGGAGAAGAUGAUAAAAUUGCUUUUCUUAUUAUUUUAGAAAGUGACAACAUUAUCUCAAAUUGUACUUUGAUUAGAGACAGAAUCUUUGGGAUCUACUAAGAAAAACAAUACAAUUAGUCAGUUUUUGAAAUUAGAAGUAUCAAAAAGCAAAUUAUAUGGAGUUCUUGAAUAAACCAAUCAUCAGAAAAAAAAAAAACUACAAUCAAAGAAGACAAGUUCAAAGAACUCACCUCAAUUUAAAGGAAAAGCUACGCAUUCUACCAAAUAUUUAAUAGCCAUAAUAAAACCAAAUGGGUGAAACCGAAAAAGAAGAAAAGGUAUCGGCUAAACAUGGAGGCAUAAAUAUGAUAAUAAUUGUUCAGAUAAUAAUUAAGUUAAUUAAUUGUAAUUAAAAUCCAAUUAUGUAAACAUCCAAUUAAUUCCUUAACAGAUGAGAAAGGUUUCAGGAAAUUGGAAGGUUUGGAUGUUAGUAUAAUAAAUGAUUAAAGGGGCUUUUAUGUAAUUCUAUCAAAACACAAGCUUAAUUUAGUUGUAUUUGAUACUCAACUUGACACCAAACAUUAUAACAUACCAAACAUGCCCCUAACCUUAAAUGUCUAAAAAAUUAUAUAAGUAAUUAUAGUGAAAUUAAAGCUAUAAUAACUUGUACUCAAUGUUCUAAUUACACUUCAAAUACUCUCAUAUUUCCAAAAUAAUCUCACCCUUGCGGUUGAAAUUUAAAAAUCUUCUUUGUCCUAAACUCGUUCUUACACAGUACGAGGAAACCUUUCUUUUCUUUUCCUUUCCUUCCUCUCAAACUAGCUCACGACGUCUGUAACGAUACACUACUGUUCUAACUCAAUAAUACUGAAAUUGAAACGCUAAUAGACUCAGAAAAGAAUGGCUGAAAAACUCGGGACACCGAAAACAGAAGAAAAAGCAAAAGAAUUGGCAGAAGAAGCAGUGAAAUUGGAACUGAAAACCAAGCAGGUGCUGAAGUCCUGGUGCAGCAUUCCUCGGUUUGAUUACAACUCCCCUUCUUCUCUCCUCAAUCAUUCCCACUCCGGCUUCCUCAUCACCUGCCCCGUCAGUAAGGCCUCUUUUCUCAUCUCUUCUGUGCAGCAAGUUAUGUUCUUUUUUACUCCUGUUUUGUUAUUUUUGUACUUUAUUCGCCUUUUUUUUAAUGUAAUUUGCAUCUGGGUUUUUGAAAAUUUUCAAUUUGAUUGUUUGGGUUAGUCUGGGCAGUGUGGUGAUUGAUAAAAAUGCUUCCUUUUUUUAUGUAGAGAGGGAGAAGAGGUAACGAAUUAUGCUGGUUUUGUUUCUUGUCAGUUCUUGGGAAUAAUGUCAAAAUAAGGAAAUUUUAGACAUAAAGAAAAUUCAUGCUGACUUGAGAAUCAGGACAGUUGAAUUGGUUUACUGAAGUUGGUUCGGUGGGAUUCUUAAUUUCUUGGCAAGGUUGGGAACUUGGGGUUUUUGUAGGUGAAUAAGACCAUAGCGGCUUGAAUUACCGGUAUAAUGUGUUUGCAGCUGUAAUUGUUUUGGUUUAAGAUGAAGAGUAGCAAUGUUAUGGAAUAGAUGUUUGAAUGAUUAAGCAUAAGUAAACAGCAAAUGGGAUGGCAACUAAUAAUAGAUAAAACUCUGAAGUUUGGAGAACUGGGUGAGCAAUGCAGAAGGUAGGUGCAGGCAUGUUUUGUUGUUCAAACGCAUUAGCUAUUAAGGAAGGGGAAAAAACAAAGAAACUAAGGUUGUUUUCCAUUUUAAAUGUGAUAAAUGAAUGGAAAUGAAGUGUAAUGCUAAUGGUCUUCAUUUGUGAGAAAAAUGGCAAAAGAAUGCAGUCAACACUGUUUCCAUCUGUUGAACUUAGUUGAGGAAAAACGUUUAUCAUUUUUGGGUUCUAAACUUGAUUAAGAUUUCAGUUGGCGGACAAACAGAAGGAUAAGAUGUCAAUUAUCCUGCCAAUAGGUUAUUAACAUCUGAGUCUAGUAGCUAGCUUUAAAUUUUUUUGCUUAUGAUCUUCCACUUCACCUAUUUAUUUGUAAUUAGUGCAUUGCUGGGUCACAGAUUAAUAUGGUUUAUUCCUUGUUUACAUGUCUUAUUCACCUUGCUUUGCUCACACUCUGUCAUUUGUCACUUGGUUCAACCAAGUGACCCCGCUUAAGUCUGCUGUGCCUUCUUGAGUAAAUGACAUGAUUCGUCAUCCACAAUGCAACACUGGUUAACUUCUUUAUCACCUAUAGCUUUCAAGUGUGUAUAUAUGAAUGAGUUCCCAUUUUCUUUGAAUUUGAAGAGGCAUAUGGAUACAUAGUCAGCUUAAGCUCGAGUACUUAUCUCAUACGGGUUAAGGAAAAAUUCACCUUACUUAUUCGGAAGCUUUGCAUUGUUUUCUUUGAAAAUAAAAUAGAAACAAUAUAUAGAAGGUAUGCAAUAUUUGGUACUGUAAGAAAAAAAAUUUAUAAAUAUAAAAGCAAUUUAAUAAGGGUAUGAUUAUAUUUCUCUAGGGAGGAGAAGACCAUGAAUCCGAAUUUGUAAGGCAUUUUAGACAUCAGAUAUUGCAUGCGUGAAUUAUAUACCUGAUUGCCAAUCAUGUAGCAUAAGGUCUUAAGAAAUAGAUAUGUAAGCAUCAUUUUUGCUUUUAAAAAUAGAAAGGCAUUCUUUGUUGCAGCAGCAUUGGAUAAUGGUCUUUUGGCCACACUUAAAGGAACUUAUAUAAGCAUGAGAUGUUGCACUCUUCUAGGGCUAUAAGGAACCAAAUAAUAGGAGGACAAUUUAGAGUUUGUUUAAAAACUUGUGGCAGACAACUUUUAUGAAUUGUUUCUGGAUAUAUUUACACCAGAAGCCAAGCACUGCCGCAGCUUAUCACCAUGUGAAAGAAAUGAAUGAGUAUCAGUCAUAUUUGAAGUCCCCUCCAAAGCCUAUAUCAUUUUUGUGUGUAGCAAAAGGGAGACAAAGAGUGAACCAACUUGGAGAAUGGAGAGGUGUGCAUCUGUUCCUUGCAAGAUUCUAUUCUUUUUACUUCAUGGAGUUUUUAUAAAAGCUAUGUGUACUGAAUGUUUUCUUAGGUCUUCAAACUGAUUUUGAUACAUUGAUACAUGUAUGCAUUCUGUUCUUUUCCUUAUGAAUGCCACCACUAUUCACAAUUGAUGCAACCAAUAAAGAGUUUAAGGGAAUAUUAGAUUGAAAUAUUCUUGGGAACUUGGCCGAAGAUUGAGUUUACCCACUUCGAAGAUUGCAUGCGUGAAUUAUAUACCUGAUUGCCAAUCAUGUAGCAUAAGGUCUUAAGAAAUAGAUAUGUAAGCAUCAUUUUUGCUUUUAAAAAUAGAAAGGCAUUCUUUGUUGCAGCAGCAUUGGAUAAUGGUCUUUUGGCCACACUUAAAGGAACUUAUAUAAGCAUGAGAUGUUGCACUCUUCUAGGGCUAUAAGGAACCAAAUAAUAGGAGGACAAUUUAGAGUUUGUUUAAAAACUUGUGGCAGACAACUUUUAUGAAUUGUUUCUGGAUAUAUUUACACCAGAAGCCAAGCACUGCCGCAGCUUAUCACCAUGUGAAAGAAAUGAAUGAGUAUCAGUCAUAUUUGAAGUCCCCUCCAAAGCCUAUAUCAUUUUUGUGUGUAGCAAAAGGGAGACAAAGAGUGAACCAACUUGGAGAAUGGAGAGGUGUGCAUCUGUUCCUUGCAAGAUUCUAUUCUUUUUACUUCAUGGAGUUUUUAUAAAAGCUAUGUGUACUGAAUGUUUUCUUAGGUCUUCAAACUGAUUUUGAUACAUUGAUACAUGUAUGCAUUCUGUUCUUUUCCUUAUGAAUGCCACCACUAUUCACAAUUGAUGCAACCAAUAAAGAGUUUAAGGGAAUAUUAGAUUGAAAUAUUCUUGGGAACUUGGCCGAAGAUUGAGUUUACCCACUUCGAAGAUUGCAUGCGUGAAUUAUAUACCUGAUUGCCAAUCAUGUAGCAUAAGGUCUUAAGAAAUAGAUAUGUAAGCAUCAUUUUUGCUUUUAAAAAUAGAAAGGCAUUCUUUGUUGCAGCAGCAUUGGAUAAUGGUCUUUUGGCCACACUUAAAGGAACUUAUAUAAGCAUGAGAUGUUGCACUCUUCUAGGGCUAUAAGGAACCAAAUAAUAGGAGGACAAUUUAGAGUUUGUUUAAAAACUUGUGGCAGACAACUUUUAUGAAUUGUUUCUGGAUAUAUUUACACCAGAAGCCAAGCACUGCCGCAGCUUAUCACCAUGUGAAAGAAAUGAAUGAGUAUCAGUCAUAUUUGAAGUCCCCUCCAAAGCCUAUAUCAUUUUUGUGUGUAGCAAAAGGGAGACAAAGAGUGAACCAACUUGGAGAAUGGAGAGGUGUGCAUCUGUUCCUUGCAAGAUUCUAUUCUUUUUACUUCAUGGAGUUUUUAUAAAAGCUAUGUGUACUGAAUGUUUUCUUAGGUCUUCAAACUGAUUUUGAUACAUUGAUACAUGUAUGCAUUCUGUUCUUUUCCUUAUGAAUGCCACCACUAUUCACAAUUGAUGCAACCAAUAAAGAGUUUAAGGGAAUAUUAGAUUGAAAUAUUCUUGGGAACUUGGCCGAAGAUUGAGUUUACCCACUUCGAAAAAUGGGUACCCCUUUUAGGAUCUCGAGUUAUUUAUUAGAAGUUUAAGUUCUACAUAUUUCAGUAGGCUUAAAAUUUAUGGUGCAUUAGUAGCUUAUGGGUUUUUAUGUGCUAUGGGUACUGGGUAAACUGACAGUGGAGGGCACUUCAGUCAUUGUUUGAGACCAUGGGCUCAUACAUUGACUUUGAUGGAAGGGUUCUUAAUUGAAAUGUUGCGAUUAGUCGCCUCAAGUUCCUGCCAUAAGAUAUUCUGGUCCCUGGGGCUGAAGUCCAGUACAUAUACCUACUGCAUGUUCCACCAUACCCGCAGUUAGACACCCAGGUAUUUUAGACCAUCCAUGAAGGAGUUAAAGUUAUUCAUUGGUAAAUUUUUUAUGCAUGGCUAUUCUAUGUAAAUGGUUUUCUCAUGAAAACUGGAGGAGAACUGGAGUCUGGUCUAGCUCGUGCUGAUAUAUCAUCGUUCUUUACGGUUUUUUUUCAUUAAUUUGUACAAAAUCUGAUUGAUUUUUGGCACUUGUGAUCUUAGAAGAGUGCAUCUUUCAUUAGAACUUUUUUCUCUAAUCAGGUUCCAUCUUGAUUGCUGUAUUAAUUUAUGAAAUAUUGGUUAAAAGCGUGACAGUUAGGACAAGAAUAAUCAGAAAUUGGUUGUACAACAGAUGGUCCAGGGCUAGAAUGCGAGUUUGGGAGCAAUUCUGACAUAAUUGUUAGCAGUGAAAUUGCAGUUAAAUGAAUUGUAGUUCUUUAAGACAAUAGCUUGUGAUUUUUAGAUACUCAUGCAUCCAAACUUGUGCAGAAUCAGCAUGAAUGAUAUUUCUUCACCAUCUUUUUUUGGGGGGGGGGGGGGUCUGAUUGGAUUCAUUGAAUUUCAUAUGUAUGAACCAUCUCAAUGGGAAAGCCUGCUUGCAUCUAGUGAGUGUAAAGUGUAGAAAUCAGCUUAGUGUCCUGUCACCUGUAACUGCAGUACAUUUUCUUACGUCUUGUUGUGUAUGUAAAACUAAAUAAGUUAAUUCAAGUCAUAUCAUGUUUAUGUUCUGUGAGAUGUUGACCAGUUAUAUGGUAAAAUAUACUUUUCAGUAGUCUAAAUGCUGAAGGUUUUGAAAGUUUGGAUGCGAAUAUGUCAGCUAAGAGGAGAAUAUCUGUAAGUACAGAGGAGGAACCUGGCAAUAGUAUGGAGAGGAAAGAUGUAGCCAAUGACUUUGGAGAACCUAGUGAUAGUUUAACUCUGGUAUUUUAGGUUAUGCACAUGCUCCUACAGACAGUGCAAAUUACCAUGCAUAACUACCUGAAAUUCCUCCCUAGGGCUUGAUUAUCAAAGUUACAGAAAUCAUGUUUAAAAAAUAAGUUUCAAAAUGCACUAAGAUAGAGGACAUAUUGCUCAUUAAUUAACUUGAAUAUCAAACAAAAUAUGAUCGUGUUUCCUCUAUUCAGAGAGGAUUAAAAGAUAAAACCCAAAAACAAGGAACUUAAACUAUGUCCCAAUUUUGGUCUGUAGUCAGUUUGGCAGAGAACUUGAAUCGGUUUGGCAUGUAGUCAACUUAUCACAGGCUGCUGGUGGUGGUAAAAUCCGUGCUUGGAAACUCGAGCAGCAAAUGCUGGCUUUUAGCUUAGGGGUAACUUUUGGUUCCUGUAGAUCCCUGAUUUAUGGCUUGGGAGGAUUGUAUUUCCACCUUACUGAAGAUGGAUCUAAUUAUGUCAUGAAGCCUGACAAUGAAGAGGAUCACACGGUUUACUUCAACAACACCUCCAAGCCUGCGAACAGGUGGUUCAAAGUUCCUCCCAUGAUUGCAUGCAGAUUUUUGCCCACUCACCAAGCAAUCAGUGGUAGCAAAAUCUAUGUCCUUAUGGAAUGGAAUGAGGUAGACGAUCCAUGGGGGGAGUAUUUGGAUCUGUAAUCUAACUAAUCCCAAUGGCAUCCUCUUGAGCUGUAAAUUUCCUUUUGGUGAACCUCCUGUUGAAGGAUCUCUCUCUCCCUCCCUUGGAACAAAAAUUUGAUCCUCAGUGCUACAUCCUGUUUCGUAUCGGUGCUGGGGAUCAAGUUGUUAUCGUGUGUUUUGACGCGGAAAUUGACAAAAGUGUUCAAGGUUUGUUGAGGAUCGCGAUUGGUUCAUUAUUAUCCCUUGUGUGUGGAAGGGAAUUACUUGUUCACAACUUUUGGCGUCAGUGUUUUUGCCUAUCACGUAUUUGACAGGAGUUUAUUUGAAUGACCUGCUCCGUUCUGUAGUAAAGUCAAAAGGGUUGCCUGACCAUUAUUUCCCUCCUCAAGAGUAUGGUCAUAGUCCAAUGCCCUUACUGUGAAUUGGCUCAAAUAAGUUUGCUAACCUUUGGCUCGUGACUGUGGGGGAAAAAACCACCACAUUGAGUGUGUUCACCACUUGACCAAUCGACGAGGAGGAGUGUCCCCCUUCCCCUCCUUGGGAGGGAAAGAAGGAAGAUUGUACUUCUUAUGCGAAGGAGAUAUGGGAAUCUGGUUUUGUUGCCAACAUUGAACUAGAUGGAAGUCUUGAACUCGAGCUAGGGGAGCAUGUUCAUUUCUAUAUUGACCCUGGUGCUGUAGUACUUCCCUCAACCUGAAGCAGAUGUGCAUAUGUAGUGGUCCUUGGAUGUUUGAUCAGUUGUUGUUUAGUAUACUAAAGGACUUCCAAACCAACCAUACUGUAUGUACUAAAGCAUCUUUACUUCUUUUUUCUGGUUAGUAUACUAAAAGUUGGUUUUUUUUGCCAACGAGGAACUAGAUGAGAGACUUUGAAGUCAAGCUAGGGGAGCAUGUUAAUUUCUUUAUGACCCUGUUGCUGUGGUAUUUCCUCUGCCAAAAGUAGAUGACAAGAAUAAGCAUAUGAGGAUGUGUAUCUAUAUAUGGUGAGAGACUUCAUAAUAUAAGGAAGCACGGCUAGCCCAUUGAGAUCAUUUGCCAACAUGCAAUGCAUACUUCAAGAAUAUGAGAAAUUAACUAUAUGUUUAUCUUCACUUUGCCCAUCCAAAUCCAAAUCCUGUACUCUUCCUACAUCAGUUUGUAUCUGAAUCGCAUGGAUUGAAACAGGUUCCAUUCCAAGCUGUGUUCAUCGCAACAAUGUCAAGUUGUGAUAUAUAAUUAAUGGCAAGUUUUAGCUCCAACUUUCUGAUAUAUAAUUAAUGGCAAGUUUUGAUGUCUGAACCUCCAACUUUCUGUUGUGACCUAUAAUUAAUGGCAAGUUUUAGCUCAGCGCUUAUUGAAAAUCACAAAGAGUUGCUUAGAGUUAUUCACUUCCAAAAUCGAGGAUUCAAAUUCAAUUUAGGAAAACAUCCCGGCAUUUCAUAUCAUGAUGAAACAGAGUUUACACAUUACAAGUUCAGGAUCACAAGCGUGGUUGGUUGUUUUGCAGAAGCGAUAGAACAAGUAUGUAUAGCUGAAAAAAAAAAAAAAAAAGAAAACAACAAGCUAACGGUCUUAUUUGUUUUCAUCAAUUUUUUCCCCUUCUCGUGUUUCGUUUUUUUUUCCAUAUUUCUCUUUUCAAGUCAAUUGUCUUAUUUUUUUUAUUAUGUUUCUUGAUUGCAACUUUUUGGGUGACAGAGGAAACCUAUGCAUGAGUACAAGUCAAAGAAAGUUAAAAAAUGCAAGUAACGUAUUAUAAUUUCCUUUUGAGUAAGGUGGCUGUAAUUUCACUUCAAUAGAAAGGAAAUAAGUUGUGAAUGAGUUUGGACAGUGUUUUGUGAUAUCAUUUUGCAUGUUUUCUGUGGAUGCUAUCAGUCAGGUAAUUUCUGGCAUUAGAUAUGUUUCUAUUCUGGGGACUGAAGGCACUUGCAUGUGCUUACCAAACCUGUUUAUUGACUAAUGGCACAUUAAUCUCUGGUUAAGGUUGAGACCAGGGCAAAAUCGCCCUUAGCUUCUGAAAAAUUGUUUCAUUUGCAAAUUCACAAUUGAGAAAAACCAGCUCAAGAAUAAAAUCAUAUAUAUAUAUAUUCUACAGGCAUGCAUUUGAGAAAAAUAUACAUACAAAUUGAGAAUUUAGAAGGAAAAAAAGAUGCAACUGAACCUUCAAGUUUGGACAUUGAAAGGUGUUAUCGAAGCUUCACUAAUUUCACUAACUUCAUCUUUUAUGCUUCGUACACUUCAGGAUUAACUUAGUGAAGACUGCCUUCUUUUCACUUUAGUAGGCACUCUCCUCUAUUUCUUACCAAACCAGAACAUGUUUGAUGGAGGUAACUUUGAAAAGAAAAUCUAAAUAUAUAUAUAUAUAUAUAUAUAUAUAUGUACACUUUUGAGGAUUGAUGUUGAUUAUUGAUAUUUCAUGAUAUGAUUUGAUACAAAUAUGACAAGCAGUAGAAGGGAAAAGGCAAACGAGAACUCAAUGAAACAGAAGGGAAAGCUAGUAAGCGUACUUUGAAGAGAUAGCGCUGAGAACUGCAAGAGUUGUCUUUUAACUUCUCCUCUUAGAGGAACUUCGGUUCCCACCGAUCGCUAAUCCAGUAACCAGUGCAAACUUCGGGGAUUUGAGAAAUUAUCUGAUAAUCUGCACUUUGUUUAUCCAAAUUCUGUACUUUGUGCAUUAGCUCAUCAGACAUAUCAAAGAACCCGAGAAAUUGAAGUCCGGUCAAGGUUUGGAUGCCCGAAGGUAACUCCUGCAUCAGUUUACAACCAAUUAAUUGCAGAUUUUUGAGACUAGGCAUUGAUUCCUCUUCCACUGUCACCCAUUUCAGCCUUUUCAAUUGCAUUAGCUCUAAGCGCUGGAGUUUUCGAAAUCCUCCAACCUUGAAACAUAAUGUCUCCCCUUCAUAAGCACAAUAGAGAGUAAGUAAUACCAGAUUGGGCAAAUGUCCGAGGGAGCCUGUUAUAUUCUCAUCUUCUCUCAACCUACUGUUAAACAACAUUAAGGUUCUCAAGGAUUGAAGUGAUGUCACCCAUUGCGGUACUCUCUCUAAACGGCCCUUCAAUUUCAGACGUAUGAGGAAUUCAUGUUUUGGAAAGACGGAAUGUUGGAGAUCAAGGGUUUCAUCUUCUUUAAUACAAGAGAUGACCAACUCUCGAAGGUUGGUCAACCUCAAGAGGGAGGAGAGCAACUCCUGUCCAUCUCUUCUCAGCUUUGUAAUGGAUAAUCGCCGCAGCUGUAUGAGCUUUCCAAUCUCCCUUACUAUUGUAUCACUAUCUGCUUCUAUAUUAGUCAGAUUUUCCAAGCAAAUAAGCUUUCCAAUUCCAAAUGGACAUUUACAGCCCCAAAUUGCAUACUCAUUUGAAUAAUCUCCCCAUCCGCCAAAGCUAAGAGAACGGAGUUUUCGUAGAUUUAGAAUUUCCACAGGCAACUCUGUUACAUUGGUUCCUUCCAGAUUUAUAGCUUCAAGGUUCUGAAGCUUCCCAAUAGAUUUGGGAAUAAUUUUAACUCCAGUUCUUGCAAGAUUAAGAUACCUGAGAUGAAAUAGUUUGAAGACUUGCUUUGGAAUGCUGUCCAAUUCAGCUCCAUGCAAAUCCAACACCUUUAGCAACUUGGGAUCACCACUUAAGAACUCGGAUAAAAAUGUGGUUGUGAGAGGAUCUUCAUACCCAAAUAUUACCACAGACCGAAGACACUUUAAGCUACUAAAUUCUUGUGGAUCAUCAGUGAAGUUGUGGAUUGCUAGGUGUCGAACAUUUUUAGGCCCUCUUGUGUAAUAUCUGGUGGCUACAGUCGUGAAGUCCUGCUCUUUAGAUUUUGAAACAAUGAUUUCACGCAGAAAAUCAUGAAGACCACAUGUAACCAAUCUGCCUUCGGCAAAUGAGGAUUUAACUUGGAUUAAGCUUCUGUUGAUGAGUUCUUUCAUAUAUCUCAUAGCAAUAUCAGUGGAUGUUAUUCUUUCUUUCUCUUCUACAAAUCCUAGUGCAAUCCAUUUCAGAAUUAUAUCAUCCACAUCAAUUGGAUAAUCUUCAGGGUAGAUGCUUAGAUAUAAUAGACAGAUUUUAAGAUAGUGAGGCAAAUCAUUGUAGCUAAGUAAGAGUACCCUUUUGAUUCUGUCAAGCUUACCACUGCCAUCUGCCUCGCCACCAAAAUCAUGAAGAAUCAUCUCCCAUUCAUCUGUCUUUUCCUUGUCCUUAAGAGCCAAAACACCACCUACUGCAACAAUUGCAAGUGGUAGGCCCUCACAUUUUUUCAAUAUUUUUUUAGCAACUUCUUCUAGAUUUGGAGGACAGUCAUUGCUCUGAAAUGUUCUAUUGCAAAACAGAGUCCAAGACUCUUUAUCAGUAAGAGGUUUCAUCUUAUAGAUGAAGUCAAGUGAUCCUAAACAGGACGCAGAAGCUACAUCAGCUAUUCGUGUUGUCAAUACAACACGACUAGUGAUAUUACAGUCAGGCAAUACACAUUUGAUAGCUUCCCAGGCAUCUAUACUCCACACAUCAUCAAGGACAAGAAUGUACCUUUUUUCCUGGAGGAAGUCUUUGACAAAUUCACUCAGCAUAAGAACAUCCAUGGAUUCCACUCGGCGAGGGACCAGCUGUCUGAUUUCAUUGAACAACUGUUGGAUCAGGUUCUUGAUGAUGUCAUUCAACUGAAAAUUUUGAGAAACAGUUAUCCAGGCAUGGCUCUGAAAUUGUUUCUUCACUGCAGCGUCAUCGUAGACUUUUUUCACCAGGGUAGUCUUCCCGAGUCCCCCCAUUCCCACAACCGAAACUACUUUCAAUUGGGAAUGGUCAUCAAGGAUUUUUGAGAUGAGCUCUGCUUUUGGCUUAUCAAUCCCAACAAGUCGAGCUUCUUCAAUGAGGAGUGAUUGAGAACGAAUAUCAAAAUCAGCAUUCACCUGACGAGAAGUGCUGAAGCCUCUUUCUUGAGUACCAUAUAGGAACUGGUACCUCUGAUGCCUUGCUGAAAUCUCUCCAACUCUGCCCUUGAUGUCUUUUAUCUCCAAAGAAAUUUGAUGGCGAGCUUUCAAAUUCUUUAUUGAGUUAUAGAUCUUUCCAACCUUACCACAGAAUCCAUCCUUGUAGCCACGAGCAAAGCGGAAGGUAAAAUCAUCGAGAACAUCCUCUGUAUCAUAAGCAACUUCUCGAACCUGCUUUAGCCAUUCUUGGAGUUGAGAAUCAUUGUCUUCCUUUGCUUCAGCUUCUUUGAGGAAAGUCUUUAUGCUCCCGAGUUCAUCUUUGAUGAAUUGAACAUCUGAUUUAAGCCCCCCCAAAAGUGUGAUCUCUUGGGAAAGCAAGGUUGAGAGCUGUUUAAUCAAAAAACCUACAACACUCUCUGCCAUGAUGCUCAAUCAAAUUUCUCAAGACUUGAGUCACUUGACAGCGGCAAAUGAUCAAUAGAAAAAGGAAGGAAGGUACCUUAUUGCUGCUUUUUGUGAUGCUGUCUCUUCCAAUAAUGCUUUCCAGAGUGCAACGGACAAUUCAAUAGUCUCCAUGGGCCAUGGUCAAAAGUUUCCCAUUUAUUUUUGCAAGUGGCCUUCCCUACCCACAGGCCACACCCAUCUAUAUAAUUCAUAUUUUGGGAAUUUUUAAAUCUUUCUAUGACUGCUAGUCUGCUACUCAAAUUUUUCCAAAGGGAGAAACGCGGUUUUGUUACUCAAUGUUUGACUUGUGUAUCAAACUGAUUCCGAAUGCUUUAGCCAAAAUAAAUUUAUUCUCCAAAUUUUUUUUUAUUUUGACUUUACAUUUUUAGUUCCUAAUGUUUGAAAUUUUGAUCAAUAUGGUCCCUUUAGUUUCAAGUAGUUAUAGCCAGGGGCUUGAAAAUGAAAAAAAAAAAAAGUGAAUUGAAUUAAAGAUAUGGCAAAUGCCUUCAUAAAUCCCUAUAAAAUUUCAUAAAAACACUUUAUGUCAACGCAAUAGCAUCGUUAACGUUGAACUUAAAGAGUUUUUUUUUUUUUGAGUAAGUUACAAUCGUAUGACAAUAGAUAUACAUAAUAUAUAAAAUAAAAAGAAAGGAGAAUUCUAGUAUUAAUAUAAAAUUUAUUAGCAGUCAAACUAGUCUACUACACAAGUUCUUGCUUGAAUUGCGCAUAGCGUUCUUAAUUUGUUAGAGUUAGGAAUUGUAAUUAUAAAAACUAGUAACAUAAAUACCAAUAUGAAGUGUUUUUACUCAUUAUGGUUAAUUAUCAAUUAAUUACUAAUAGUAUAAAACAAUGGUUUCGUAUAUUAUACCAAAUUUGAGACUGAUUUUGCAAAAAGGAAGAAGUACAUGAGACAUUAGUGACAUGAAUAAAUGAAAUAAAAAAUAAAAAGUUUAAUUAGAAUCGCUAGUACCCAGUUAAGACAAUUGCGCCGUAAUUCGCAUCUUAUUUUAUCCAAAUACGCUCAAUAUCACUAAUGAAAACUUAAGCGACUAAAAUGAUUAAAAUUUCAAAUAAUAGGGACUAAAAGAGCAAAGUCAAAACUAUUAAAUAGUGGUAAUUUGAUUUUAACCCUUAGUCAUUAUUGAAUUUUCAUCAAAUGUCCUUAAUGCACCUAAUAUCAGAAAUUUUGAGAACCAAAUAUAUUUGGCCGAACAUGAGAGACUAAUUAGCACAUAUGCUAAAAUUGGAGAUUAAAACUACAAUUCACCCGGUUUGUAAAAGAAAAAUCUACACCUUUUUUGUUUUAUUUUUUGUGCACACAUGUGAUUUUUUUUUCUUAUUUUUCACUUUUGAUAUCCAAACCAACGAACAUAUGUUAAUAGAUUCAAUUGUUAAAAUGAUUUUAUGAAUUAUGAGAACAGUAAUAUGUAGGAAAAUUCUGUUGGGUAGAAUUUUGGGUGGAAGGACUAAAUCAUUUAGUUUAAAUUACAUUUUAGCAAACUAAGUAAGUGGAAGAAUUAGGUUAUAAAACCUCAUUUGUACCUAAAAAAAGAGGGGGGAAAAUAAAUAUAAAUCUCAUUUUGUUAUGAAAUAACAAAAAAUAUGGAUGUCCCUUUGUAUUCCCAAGGGGAUUAAUUCUUUAUUUAUGACUACAUUAUGUAUAGAAGUUACAAUCCAUAAAUCUAAUCAUGUAGUGGAGAAACCGUUUCAUAGGUUUCUUCAUAUUCUUGUAGUAGUGGGUGUUUAAUAGGAUUAAUGUACCUUUAAUCUUGUAGUACCUAUAUAUAGAGGUACAUUGACACCCUUUGUAAGGACUUUUGUAUUAGUUGGAAUAAUAAGAAUAUCACUCUCCAUUUCUCUACAUCUUUCUCUAAUAUCUCCAUUUAUACUAUAGUAGUUUAUUAGUUUUACAAUACGUUAUCAGCACGAGUCUUUACUUUUGAGCAAAAGGUGAAAACGGAGGCUCUACCUUGAACAAAAGUGAAACACAAGAUUUUGCCGAAAUUCUGCUCGCAUUUCUUCAAGUAAAUUCUGAGGUAAAUUUCUAACUCACAAACUUAUUUCAAUUUCUUAUGGCUAAUAUUUGAAUUAUCGCAAAAAAUACAAGUGCCUAUUGCUGAGCAAUCACUAAACACAAACAUAUACUGUUUGAUACCUUUGAGGUAAUAUUUCUUCUUUUAAUUCUACUUAUUUACAUUUAGAAUUAUUUGUUAUAGAUACUUAUAUUUUGAUGCAUUGAGUUUUGGAGAUGCUAUUAUAGAAAAUCAAUUAUAUUUGAGAAUCUACUUGUCCUUUGAAAUAUUUAAAGAAAAAGAUUCGACCACCUGAAGAUGGUCGUUCUUUAAUGAAAAUAUUUGGCCACUAGAAGAUGGUCAUUAUUUCAAAAGCCUGGUAUGACAAAUUUACCUAUGGCUACAAGAACAUAAUUUUGCAAUUUUCAGAAUUACUUCUCAGUUGAAAUUGUGUCGAGAAAAUUUUACUCAUAAGAUAUAUUGAAAAUGAUAUUCUCCACAAUUGAUUUCUCUAAUAUGCUCCUGUAGUAGCAAUAUUAAAACCAAAUAUUGUAGUAUAUUCACCAGCAUCAACCAUAACUAGUAAAUUGAAAUUUAGUCACAUUCACUUCUGGGAAUGGACUAGAAUUAGCAUACAAUAAGUACAAAAUACUUUUCAAAAUUUCUCUUAAUACCGCUUUAAUACCUUCCGGGUAUAUGCAGUUUGGUGGAUAAAAAUUUCACUUUUCAAAUGCUUAAUUUGUAAAUCAAUGCAGAAUUUUGUCUUUCCAAAAUUUUUGAUCUCAAAUUCUUUCUUCUAAUAUUCAACACUAUUUUGAAUCUCUUCAGGAGUUCCAAUCAAAUUUAGAUCAUCAACAUAUACAGCAAUUAUCACAAAAUUUGAUCCAUUUUUCUUGAUAAAAACACAUGGACAUAUUGGAUCAUUGGUAUCCAAAUAUUUGUAAAAAUUCUUGGGCUACUUGCUUUACACCUUCAGGUGUUUGGACUACAAGUCCAAAAACUUUUCUUUUAACCAAUAAAUCCAAUUCAGAUUGGAUCGUAUCUUUUCACUUUGAACAAUCAUUUCUAUACCGACAUUCAUCAACCAAUAUAGAUUUUAUGAUCCUCAUCAACUUCUAUAAUAUCAAGUGCUAUAUUUCAUUAGGCUCCAAUUAAAUUUUCUAUGAUUUCAUUCUCUUCAGGAGAGACCUCUUCAGGAGCGACCUCUUCAAGAGGUUGAAUUUUGUCAUGACAUUUAUUUAAUCUUCAGAGAUAUAUGAAAUCAAUUUAUACCUAAUUUAGGUAGGCUGGCCUUAAAUUUAUUUAUAGCACUUGUCCAUGUCCUUCAGGGAUAUCAAUUUUAAUGAGAGUAUUUCCUGCAGGAAUAGUUGAUUUAAUGACUCUUCUGGAGUCGGUAAUAUAUCUGACAAUUGGUUUGCAGUUUUCUGCAAAUGAAUAAUUUUUUGAACUUCUAAUUCACAUUAUUUUGUAUGAGGAUCGAGGAAAUCCAAUUUUUCAGAUGAUUUCCUUUCGAUUGAUUUUUUCCUCCCCCUAAUGUCGGGAAUCAUAGCUCAUCAGAAUAAAUAAAUCAUCCAAUAGAUCACCCAUCAAUAUUUUACAAUAUUUAACCGUAAAAGGUGAUUCAUACCCAACAUAAAUUUUAAAUUUCUUUCGGAGCCAUAUAUAGUAUAAAGGGGGUAUGUAUAAAUACUUGUCGGAUCUCAAACAUAAAGAUGAUGGGAAGAUAUUGGGAAGAUAAAAAGGUGUAUUGAAAAUUGUAAAGAUGAUGUAAACAAAUAAAAUUGGGGAAAUAUGAAGCAAUCCAAACAAACCAAUAUUGGUUUGUUUGGAUUGCUUCAUAUUUCCCCAAUUUUAUUUGUUUACAUCAUCUUUACAAUUUUCAAUACACCUUUUUAUCUUCCCAAUAUCUUUUUAUCUCACAUACAUCACAUCACAAAAAGUGCUACAGUAAAAAUAUCUCAAAUAAUCUCAAAUAACUUACAAUCCAAACAGACACAAUCAAUUAUCACUUUUGCUAUUCAUUGGGAUCAAUAAACUUCUGGUUUACUGCAGGUGAUAAUUAUAAAUCAAAUAACAAUGAAGACAACUAUAUCGAUAACCAUUUCUCUCUCGAAUGAUUAUUAUGAUAUAAUUAACCUUUAUCUCACUUGAUUUCUAAACAUGAUCUCUAUUAUUGUCUCAUUUAGUGUCUCAAUUUGAUAUUCAUUUCGACGGAUAUUCAAAUUCAAUAAUUCUUCGAGACAUGGUAAAAAAUAGUGCUUUAUUCAUGUUAAACUUUUCUCCUACAUGGAGAAAUAUAGCGAUGGCUCUUCCGGAGCUUUCAAUCACUUAAACACUACAACUGAUUGUGUUUGUCUCUUUUGUUGGAAAAUAGUAUAUAUACUAGCAUUUAUUAAUGAGACACAUAUUAUUGUCACCAUAAUUCUUAUGGGACAAAUAUCAUCACAAUAAUCCUUUGAUCCCAAAUAUUUAACAUCCAUUUCUUCUUCAGGAAAAAAAGUCAAUUACUAUCAUAAAUUAAAUCAAUCAUUAUACACCUUCAGGGCGUUUAAAGAAAUUGGCCAUGUGAAAAUGCUAUUAUAAUUUUGAUUCGUCAAAUGUACUUCGGGAUAUUUAUCUAGAGGAUUCUUAUUUUCUUGUUCUCAUCAUUAUUAUCCCACUUCAAGUGGUAAUUUUUUCUCUUGUUAUGGUAAAAUACAUAUUUACCAAAAUCAUAGUCAUGGCAUCAAUCAUAACUAGUAAAUUGAAAUUUAGUCACAUUCACUUCUGGGAAUGGACUAGAAUUAGCAUACAAUAAGUACAAAAUACUUCUCAAAAUUUCUCUUAAUAUUGCUACUACAGGAGCAUAUUAGAGAAAUCAAUUGUGGAGAAUAUCAUUUUCAAUAUAUCUUAUGAGUAAAAUUUUCUCGACACAAUUUCAACUGAGAAGUAAUUCUGAAAAUUGCAGAAUUAUGUUCUUGUAGCCAUAGGUAAAUUUGUCAUACCAGGCUUUUGAAAUAAUGACCAUCUUCUAGUGGCCGAAUAUUUUCGUUAAAGAACAACCAUCUUCAGGUGGUCGAAUCUUUUUCUUUAAAUAUUUCAAAGGACAAGUAGAUCCUCAAAUAUAAUUGAUUUUCUAUAAUAGCAUCUCCAAAACUCAAUGCAUCAGAAUAUAAGUAUCUAUAACAAAUAAUUCUAAAUGUAAACAAGUAGAAUUAAAAGAAGAAAUAUUACCUCAAAGGUGUCAAACAGUAUAUGUUUGUGUUUAGUGAUUGCUCAGCAAUAGGCACUUGUAUUUUUUGCGAUAAUUCAAAUAUUAGCCAUAAGAAAUUGAAAUAAGUUUGUGAGUUAGAAAUUUACCUCAGAAUUUACUUGAAGAAAUGCGAGCAGAAUUUCGGCAAAAUCUUGUGUUUCACUUUUGUUCAAGGUAAAGCCUCCGUUUUCACCUUUUGCUCAAAAGUAGAGACUCGUGCUGAUAACGUAUUGUAAAACUAAUAAACUACUAUAGUAUAAAUGGAGAUAUUAGAGAAAGAUGUAGAGAAAUAGAGAGUGAUAUUCUUAUUAUUCCAACUAAUACAAAAGUCCUUACAAAGGGUGUCAAUGUACCUCUAUAUAUAGGUACUACAAGAUUAAAGGUACAUUAAUCCUAUUAAACACCCACUACUACAAGAAUAUGAAGGAACCUAUGAAACGGUUUCUCCACUACAUGAUUAGAUUUAUGGAUUGUAACUUCUAUACAUAAUGUAGCCAUAAAUAAAGAUUGCUUAGAUAUUUUCAGCACGAGUCUCUAUUUUUGAGCAAAAAGUGAAAACGGAGACUCUACUUUGAACAAAAGUGAAACACAAGAUUUUGCCGAAAUUCUGCUCGCAUUUUUUCAAGUAAAUUCUGAGGUAAAUUUCUAACUCACAAACUUAUUUCAAUUUCGGAUGGCUAAUAUUUGAAUUAUUGCAAAAAAUACAAGUGCCUAUUGCUGAGCAAUCACUAAACACAAACAUAUACUGUUUGACACCUUUGAGGUAAUAUUUCUUCUUUUAAUUCUACUUAUUUACAUUUACAAUUAUUUGUUAUAGAUACUUAUAUUCUGAUGCAUUGAGUUUUGGAGAUGCUAUUAUAGAAAAUCAAUUAUAUUUGAGGAUCUACUUGUCCUUUGAAAUAUUUAAAGAAAAAGAUUCGACCACCUGAAGAUGGUCGUUCUUUAACGAAAAUAUUCGGCCACUAGAAGAUGGUCAUUAUUUCAAAAGCCUGGUAUGACAAAUUUACCUACGGCUACAAGAACAUAAUUCUGCAAUUUUCAGAAUUACUUCUCAGUUGAAAUUGUGUCGAGAAAAUUUUACUCAUAAGAUAUAUUGAAAAUGAUAUUCUCCACAAUUGUUUUCUCUAAUAUGCUCCUGUAGUAGCAAUAUUAAGAGAAAUUUUGAGAAGUAUUUUAUACUUAUUGUAUGCUAAUUCUAGUCCAUUCCCAGAAGUGAAUGUGACUAAAUUUCAAUUUACUAGUUAUGGUUAAUGCCAUGACUAUGAUUUUGGUAAAUAUGUAUUUUACCAUGACAAGAGAAAAAAUUACCACUUGAAGUGGGAUAAUAAUGAUGAGGACAAGAAAAUAAGAAUCCUCAAGAUAAAUAUCCCGAAGUACAUUUGACGAAUCAAAAUUAUAAUAGCAUUUUCACAUGGCCAAUUUCUUUAAACGCCCUGAAGGUGUAUGAUGAUUGAUUUAAUUUAUGAUAGUAAUUGACUUUUCUUCCUGAAGAAGAAAUGGAUGUUAAAUAUUUGGGAUCAAAGGAUUAUGGUGAUGAUAUUUGUCCCAUAAGAAUUACGGUGACAAUAAUAUGUGUCUCAUUAAUAAAUGUUAGUAUAUAUAUACUAUUUUCCAACAAAAGAGACAAACACAAUCAGUUGUAGUGUUUAAGUGAUUGAAAGCUCCAGAAGAGCCAUCGCUAUAUUUCUCCUUGUAGGAGAAAAGUUUAUCAUGAAUAAAGCACUAUUUUUUUACCAUGUCUCGAAGAAUUAUUGAAUUUGAAUAUCCGUCGAAAUGGAUAUCAAAUUGAGACACUAAAUGAAACAAUAAUAGAGAUCAUGUUUAGAAAUCAAGUGAGAUAAAGGUUAAUUAUAUCAUAAUAAUCAUUCGAGAGAGAAAUGGUUAUCGAUAUAGUUGUCUUCAUUUUUAUUUGAUUUAUAAUUAUCACCUGCAGUAAACCAGAAGUUUAUUGAUCCCAAUGAAUAGCAAAAGUGAUAAUGUUUGAGAUCCGACAAGUAUUUAUAUAUACCCCCUUUAUACUAUAUAUGGCUCCGAAAGAAAUUUAAAAUUUAUGUUGGGUAUGAAUCACCUUUUACGAUUAAAUAUUGUAAAAUAUUGAUGGGUGAUCUAUUGGAUGAUUUAUUUAUUCUGAUGAGCUAUGAUUCUCGACAUUAGGGGAGGAAAAAAUCAAUCGAAAGGAAAUCAUCUGAAAAAUUGGAUUUCCUCGAUCCUCAUACAAAAUAAUGUGAACUAGAAGUUCAAAAAAUUAUUCAUUUGCAGAAAACUGCAAACCAAUUGUCAGAUAUAUUACCGACUCCAGAAGAGUCAUUAAAUCAACUAUUCCUGCAGGAAAUACUCUCAUUAAAAUUGAUGUCCCUGAAGGACAUGCACAAGUGCUACAAAUAAAUUUAAGGCCAGCCUACUUAAAUUAGGUAUAAAUUGAUUUCAAAUAUCUCUGGAGAUUAAAUAAAUGUCAUGACAAAAUUCAACCUCUUGAAGAGGUCGCUCCUGAAGAGGUCUCUCCUGAAGAGAAUGAAAUCAUAGAAAAUUUAAUUGGAGCCUAAUGAAAUAUAGCACUUGAUAUUAUAGAAGUUGAUGAGGAUCAUAAAUCUAUAUUGGUUGAUGAAUGUCGGUAUAGAAAUGAUUGUUCAAAGUGGAAAGAUACGAUCCAAUCUGAAUUGGAUUUAUUGGUUAAAAGAAAAGUUUUUGGACUUGUAGUCCAAACACCUGAAGGUGUAAAGCAAGUAGCCCAAGAAUUUUUACAAAUAUUUGGAUACCAAUGAUCCAAUAUGUCCAUGUGUUUUUAUCAAGAAAAAUGGAUCAAAUUUUGUGAUAAUUGCUGUAUAUGUUGAUGAUCUAAAUUUGAUUGGAACUCCUGAAGAGAUUCAAAAUAGUGUUGAAUAUUUGAAGAAAGAAUUUGAGAUCAAAAAUUUUGGAAAGACAAAAUUCUGCAUUGAUUUACAAAUUAAACUUUUGAAAAGUGAAAUUUUUAUCCACCAAAUUGCAUAUACCCGGAAGGUAUUAAAGCGGUUUUAUAUGGAUAAGGCACAUAUAUUAAAUACUCCAAUGGUCGUCAGAUCAUUAGAUCCUAAAAAGGAUCAUUUUAUAUCGCAAGAGGAAGAUGAAGAGAUACUUGGUCCUGAAGUACCAUAUUUCAGUGCAAUUGGCGAAGAAUAUUGGAAUGCGACGAUUAAAAGAUCUCAAAUAAUGUUUGCAUCAGGGGCAGAAAUUAAUACACAAGAAUAGUGUACUCUUUUUCCUUCACUAGAGUUUUUGUCCGAUGGAUUUUUCCCUAGUAAGGUUUUAACGAGGCAUAUUCUUUGUGUAAUGGACAUCCAAGGGGGAGUGUUAUGAAAUAACAAAAAAUAUGGAUGUCCCUUUGUAUUCCCAAGAGGAUUAAUUCUUUAUUUAUGGCUACAUUAUGUAUAGAAGUUACAAUCCAUAAAUCUAAUCAUGUAGUAGAGAAACCGUUUCAUAGGUUUCUUCAUAUUCUUGUAGUAGUGGGUGUUUAAUAGGAUUAAUGUACCUUUAAUCUUGUAGUACCUAUAUAUAGAUGUACAUUGACACCCUUUGUAAGGACUUUUGUAUUAGUUGGAAUAAUAAGAAUAUCACUCUCCAUUUCUCUACAUCUUUCUCUAAUAUCUUCAUUUAUACUAUAGUAGUUUAUUAGUUUUACAAUACAUUUGCCAUACAAAUUACAAUCCAUUAACUCAAUGGAAAACAUGACCAUUGGAAGUUACGACAACCUAUCCCACACAUUGCAUUAGUAAGCCAACUUGCAACUUGUGUCUCCGGUGACAUAAUAUAAUUGCUGAAAAGACCAAUUAAUUCUUGUUGUUUUCAAGAACGGGUCAUCUUUAAUUCGUCUUUAAUCACAAUGCCGAAAGAGCAAGCACUAAUAUUAAGUUGAGCAAUGUUACUUUUUUAAGAAAUAAAUUAACAUAGUUUUUACACGGCUAACUACAUAUUUGUUUGAUUCUUGUCAUAUGUAAAUUAGAAAUCAAGUGCUUCAGUAAAAAAGUAGCUACCUCGGCUUUUUAUCCUACUUUGGAAAAUUACUCAAAUUUACCAAAUUUGAUGGUUAAUAUGCUUGAGUUUUAGCAUUUUAUUUAUGACUAUUAUUGUUUUCAGACUUAAAAGUUUUUUAUUUAAAAUACAAACAGGAUAAAAUGCCGCCAAAUAAGGAUAAUCCGGCAUUUUCUUGUCCUCAAUACGUGACCUCAUCUUAUCAAUCAUCAUAUUCGUCCAUAGAAACUGAUGCUCAAAGUUUUGUUUCGCAAUUAGUCAUUUAACUCAUUUAUCAUCGUAUUCAUCCACAGAAAUUGAUGUCAAAGUUACCUUUCGGAUACCAUUAGUAAGAGUACAACAUAUUAUUUGUUUACUUGUCACUAGAGCUUUCUUAAAUUCAUGUUGUAAAUGGAAAAUUUGCAUAAAAAUUUUGUUUUUAUUUGUGGUGUAGGAGAGUUGCUCCCAAAUACAAUCAAACUCCUAAUGACAAAGGGGAUACUGAACCUUUUCCAAGUUUGAGUAUUUCCUUUCUUUAGAUUGAAUUUUGAUGGUUUAUAUAGAUUCGACUCAUUUGUUUUGAUUUUGCCUUCUCCCUUAACAAUCGUAUUAUAUUCAGUCAUUUGUACCUCAAAUGAAAAGUAAAUGUAAUUAUUCUUUUGACAAACAGGUUUGUAGAAUUGCUGAGCGAAGUGCAUAUAUCUUUGAAAAAGAAGAUCCAGGGAAUUGCUUGAGAAGAUGCACAAACUAGAAUUUUUGUUCAAAGUUACUAAUGUCUUCAGUACAACGUUUGGUGUUAAUUCUCAAUGUAUUCAAAUUCUAAUGGGAAAAAUUAGACCAUUAAUGAGAUACCAAAAACGAAAAAAAUUCGAAGUCUAAUGCCAUUCAGAUAUAAGUUUUUUUGAUCGAAUGAAUCACCAGGUAGGUUGUAUAAAAGGCUGCCGUUGUUUUGUUUUGAUCAAAGGAAACAUCAAUAGCUAGUUUUAGCUUGUUUUGUGCAAAUUACUAUAAUAUUAAAUAUUAGAGUACUGUUAUGGAAACAUUAAAAAAAUAGUAGUAUUACUAAUUACAAGAGAAGUCUGUGACAUUUAUAGCCAGUUUGGAUAUUUAGCCUAGAAAAGAAAAGAUGGGAAAUGUUAAGUUAUGAAAGAAAAAAAAAAAAAGGAAGAUGAGAUUUUAAUGUUGUUUGAAAAUCUUAGAAGGAAGUUGAAUGAUUUUGGAUAUAUAUAUCAAUAAAAUUUUAUUCAAUAAUUUUGUGAGGAUAAAAUAGAUAAUUUAAAAAAGUUUUAUAAGCUUCCAUCAGUUUUCUUUUGCUUUCCGCCCAUUUUUGGUCAGAAAAAAAAAAUUUGCACUGUAAAUAGCACUUGGCAUCCUUCAAAAUCCGUUUGUUUCUUUUCUUUUCUUUUUCACCUCAAUUGAAAGUCCCAAACGAAAUAAAAUCCACUUUCUGUUCGAUUUCGUUGGAAUCUCAACUCCCAAACUAGUGUUAUGGACCUCUGUGACGAUACUACUGUUCUAACUCAAUAAUACUCGGGACGCCGAAAACAGAAGAAAAAGCAAAAGAAUUGGCAGAAGAAGCAAUGAAAUUGGAGCUGAACACCAAGCAGGAGCUGAAGUAAGGCCCCUCUUCUCAUCUCCUGUGCAGAAAGUUAUGUUCUUUUUUACUCUUCUGUUUUGUUAUUUUUGUGCUUUAUUCGCAUUUUUUAAUGUAAUUUGCAUCUGGGUUUUUGAAAAUUUUCAAUUUAAUUGUUUGGGUUAGUCUGGGUAGUGUGGUGAAUUGAUAAAAUUGCUUCCUUUGUUUAUGUAGGGAGGGAGAAGAGUGCAACAAAAGAAGCCAUGUCAAUUCUUGAAAAGGUAAUGAAUUCUGCUGGUUUUGUUUCUUGUCAGUUCUCGGGAAUAAUGUCAAAAUAAGGAAAUUUUAGACAUAAAGAAAAUUCAUGCUGACUUGAGAAUCAGAACAGUUGAAUUGGUUUACUGAAGUUGGUUUGGUGGGAUUCUUAAUUUCUUGGCAAGGUUGGGAACUUGGGGUUGUUGUAAGUGAAUAAGACCAUAGCGGGCUUGAAUUACCGGUAUAAUGUGUUUGCAGCUGUUAUUGUUUUGGUUUAAUAUGAACAGUAGCAAUGUUAUGGAAUAGAUGUUUGAAUGAUUAAGCAUAAGUAAACAGCAAAUGGAAUGGCGACUAAUAAUAGAUAAAAUUCAUGAAGUUUGGAGAACUGAGUGAGCAAUGCAGAAGGUAGGUGCAGGCAUGUUCUGUUGUUCAAAUGCAUUAGGUAUUAAGGGAGGGGAAUAAACAAACAAACAAAAGUUGUUUUAUGUUUUAAAUGUGGUAAAUGUAUGGAAAUGAAGUGUAAUGCUAAUGGCCUUCAUUUGUGAGAAAAAUGGCAAAAGAAUGCAGUCAACACUGUUUCCAUCCGUUGAACUUAGUUUAGGAAAAACGUUUGUCAAUUUUGGGUUCUAAACUUGAUUACGAUUUCAGUUGGCGGACAAACAGAAUGAUAAGAUGUCAAUUAUCGUGCCAAUAGGUUAUUAACAUCUGAGUCUAGUUGCUGGCUUUAAAUUUUUUUGCAUAUGAUCUUCCACUUCAGCCAUCUAUUUGUAAUUGGUGCAUUGCUAGGUCACAGAUUAAUAUGGUGUAUUCCUUGUUUACAUGUCUUAUUCACCUUGCUUUGCUCACACUCUGUCAUUUGUCACUUGGUUCAAUCAAGUGACUCCGCUUAAGUCUGCUGUGCCUUCUUGAGUAAAUGACAUGUUUCGUCAUCCACAAUGCAACGCUGGUUAAGUUCUUUAUCACCUAUAGCUUUCCAGUGUAUGUAUAUGAAUGAGUUACCAUUUUCUUUGAAUUUGAAGAGGCAUAUUGUUAGGACCGGGCCAGGAAAUAGACAAACUCAAGUUAGCACAAAGUAGGCGGUAUAACCGACCAUAUAAUAGAUAGGCGGUAGAUACCAGCCAUAUAAUAAUUAGGCGGUAAAACCGACCAUAUAAAGACGGAUAACAAAGCAAAUAAAAGACACAGAAGAUUUACGUGGUUCGGUCAAAUUGACCUACGUCCACGGGCGAGGGAGGAGCAAUAUUUCUACUAUGAAGAAGAAAUACAAAAGCCGUAGGAAAGUGGUUCCUAGGCCAAUAGGCACUUACAAAAGAGUUUAGAAAAUAUUCCUAAACUCAAAACAAGAGAGCCUAAAAUAUUUGACUAAAUGGGCUAAAUGACUCAAGAAGCUAAUAGCCCAUAUAACUCUCUUGAGUGGUGCUCUUAAACUUCUCAAAGGCCUUCUCUAUUUAUAGGAAAAAAAAAAAAUUCUGGCCUAACUAUGUAAGUCGACAAAAAAAGGAAAAGGCUAGCAAAAUCAGACUAAAGUGAAUAUGCUUCAGCAUCCCGUGGUCUAGCUACAUAAGUCGACCAAAAAAAAAGGCGUGACUAAAGUGAAUUUGCUUCAACAUCCCGUGACCAGAUGUUUUUCACGGGUUUUCCCUACCGGGAGUCUCAGCCCGGUAGUAUGGUAAGUUAAAAAAAAAUUCAACUUUGUAAUCUAGCCGUUCAUUUGAAUGGCUAGAUUUCCACCGAGGGUCUAUAUAAACAAACCAAGCAGCAAACUUCACCCCGCACCAUCUCAUUUCCUGAUUUCUGACUCUCCCAUCUCUAUCUCCCUUUCAAUAAAUUCACUUCACUGACCGAUAGAAUUGGCCAAAGUUCCGCCAGAUUCAGGAGUGCCUGAUUCUGCGGGGAUGCUGAAGCAAAUUCACUUUAGUCACAUUCUGCUAGCCUUUUUUUUUUUUUGUCGACUUAUGUAGUUAGGCCAUGGGAUGCUGAAGCAUAUUCACUUGAGUCAGAUUCCGCCAACCUUUUCCUUUUUGUCGACUUAUGUAGCUAGACCAAGUUUCUUUUUUUUUUUAACUUUUUGUAGGUGGGAGCCCGCCUGACAGCCAGUCAAAGAAAAACUUUUGACUCUCUGCCGGGCUUUUCUUUUACUGGCCUAAAAAAAAAGAAAUUGUGUCAGUGCCGGGCUGAUAGAGCCGGCAGCCAGUCAAAAGUUUUUCUUUGACUGGCUGUCGGGCGGGCUCUAAGUGUGCGACAUAAGACUCUAAGUUUGAUACCACACUCCUGGCAGCCAGCCAAUAGUUUGAUAUCACAUUCCUGUUAGAACUCUUAAGUGUACGACUUUUCAUUUUUUUGCCAAUAUUCUAAGUAAUUAGCCCAUUUUUCAUUUCCUGUCAGGCUACGGACUCCAUUUAUGUACCGGAUUGGAGAAUUGAUUCAGAAAUUUGGGGGAAGAAGAUUUCAGAGAGAAAGAGAAAAGAGAUGAAGGAGAGAGCGAGGGAAAAUAGAGAGAGAAAGUAGGAGGAAAAUAAUGAAAAUUCUGUUAAAUCUGUUGGAUGCUUUUCUGGCCAAUCAAGAGCCUACAAAUAGGACAGCCAACCGACUCAAUUAAUUCUUGUAACUGAAUCUGUUAAUGCUUCCUACGGCGUCGUUCCUUUUAAUUCCAGCUAUGCGACGUCGUCACACUUAUUCUGCCCUAUCCGACCUAAUUUGCACAAUUGAAUGAAAACGGUAUCGUUUGGUACAAUUUGGGCGAAAUAUUAAUUCCCUGACAUUGCUGCCCCCUUUAAACAGUCUUGUCCUCAAGACUGGAACUGAGGAAACUGAGUUUGGAUGAAGUCUUGAUCUUCCACGAAGCCUCAUCUUCACUUAACUGACACUAUUUGAUCAAGUACUGAAUCACAGUUCGGCCCUUUCUCAUGAUCACCCCUGCUUAAAAUGCGCUCUGGAAUCAGUGCACACUGAUCAUCUAAGUCAGGUUCAGGCAAAGUAGCUGCAAAGGAAUGCAGUGGCCCUAACUUCUUUUUGAGCAACGAAACAUGAAACACUGGAUGAAUGCGCGCCCCUGCAGGUAAUUUGAGACGAUAAGCAACUGAUCCAACCUUCGCUUCAAUCUGGCAGAGAGUUUGAGACACCUUCUUAUAGCAACUGUCUGCUGCCUAUAAGGCUGCAGUUUUAGGAAUACCCAAUCACCCAUUUCGAAAGUCCUUUCCGUGCGUUUCUGAUCUGCGAAAUGUUUCAUCUUUGCUGAGCUUUUGCUAAGUGGUCUUUAAUGCUACUGGAAAUUCGCAGCCUUUCCUGGAGAAGUUGUGAGGCUGCUGGUAUAAUGGUAUCAUGGUGGGGACCUAAGGGUAAAGGGAUAGGUUUGUAACCAUACAAAGCUUCAAAAGGAGUCAUUUGUAGGCUGGAGUGAUAAGAGGAAUUGUACCACCAUUCUGCUAGAGGUAGCCACUUGUGCCAGUUGUGGGGAAAUUCCCCAGACAUGCACCUCAAGUAAUUCUCUACACAUUGAUUAAGUCUCUCGCUUUGUCCAUCUGAUUGCGGAUGAUAAGCAGAACUGUAUCUUAAUUCUGUCCCUGCUAGUUUGAACAAUUCUUGCCAGAAGGCACUAGUGAAAAUUCUGUCUCUGUCAGUUAUAAUAAUUUAGGUAGGCCAUGCAGUCUAAAAAUAUUGUCAAGAAGAGUUGAGCCACCUGCUUGGCAGUAAAGGGAUGAUGUAAGGCCAGGAAUGACCCACCUUGGAUAGCCUAAUGAUCACCACCACCACUGUAUCAUAUCCCUGAGAUGGUGGUAGACUCUCUAUGAAGUCCAUAGUGAUGUGAGUCCAAGCCAUUCGAGGAACAGGUAAUGGUUGUAGCAGUCCAGGGGAGGAAACAUGCUCUGACUUAAAUCUCUGACAUAUGUCACAUUCUUGAAUAUACCUUACGACCUCUUGCUUCAUGUUAGGCCAGUAGAACAAACUCUUCAAUCUCUGCCAGCACCCUCUUUGUCCAGAAUGCCCCCCAAGUGCAGAAUCAUGCAGAGUUUGAAUCAAUUUGCCUCUCAAUCCAUUGCUGGAUCCCACAUAAAGUCUGCCCCCGUACUUUAAUAGUCCAUUGUUCCAUUCAUACUGGGGUUGAGCAGCCUGAUCUAGCAAUAGUUGGGAAAUGAUGCUCUGGCACUGAGAAUCAGAGUUAUAACUCUCCUGAAGUUCCUUUAUCCAUAAUGGUUUAGCGGUAGUGAUGGCCAAACAGGAUCCUUGUUGUCCUGUCUGAUCUGUGUUCCUUGCAUGCAAUUUGGACAGUACAUCAGCUACUCUAUUUUCAGCUCCUUUUUUGUACUAAAUCUCAUAAUCCAGUCCCAAUAAUUUGGCCAACCACUUAUGUUGCAGGGUAGUGGUGAGUUUCUGUCUAGCAGGUACUUCAGGGACUGAUGAUCUGUCUUAAUAAUGAAAUGAUACCCUAUCAAGUAAUGUCUCCACUUGGUCAUUGCUAUCACUAAUGCCAAUAGCUCUUUUUCAUAAGCUGACAGUCCCAAAUUCUUUGGUGAUAAUGCCUUGCUCAGGAAGGCUAUAGGAUGGCCCUCCUGCAUCAAGACUGCUCCAAUUCCCUCUCCACUAGCAUCAGUCUCGAUAGUGAAAACUUUGUGAAAAUCUGGCGGUGUGAGCACAGGAGCCUUACACAUGAUGCAUUUCAAUGACUUAAAAGCCUCUUUUGCUUCACUGUUCCAAGCAAAUUUAUCCUUCUUAAGUAGUUCUGUGAGUGGUUUGCAGAUGAUCCCAUAGUGUUGAAUGAAUCUCCUGUAAUAUCCAGUCAAACCCAAAAAAUCCCUCAGAUAUUUCACUGUCUUAGGCAUGGGCCAGUUCAUGAUACUCUCAAUCUUAGCUUGAUCCAUGUAAACCUCAUUUUCAGUUAUAGUAUGGCCCAGAUAAUCUAUCUUUUCCUGUGCAAAGGAGCAUUUGGAUCUCUUGGCAAAAAGCUGGUGCUGUCUCAGGAUAGAUAGCACUAUUUUCAGGUGAUCUAAAUGCAACUCCAAUGUGGGACUGUAAAUCAAGAUAUUGUCAAAGAAUACCAAGACAAAUUUCCUUAAGUAAGGUUGAAAUAUCUGAUUCAUAAGGGAUUGAAAUGUUGCAGGUGCAAUGGUGAGGCCGAAUGGCAUUACUAAGAACUCAUAAUGACCACAGUGAGUUUGAAAAGCAGUUUUAUGAGCAUCCUUGGGUUUGACCCUAAUCUGUGAUAAUCAGAGGUGAGAUCCAGUUUGGUUUUGUACUUUGACCCUGCCAACUCAUUGAUCAGCUCAUCUACAUUUGGUAUAGGAUACCUGUCCUUAAUAGUCAUCUCAUUCAAACGCCUAUAAUCCACACAGAAACGCCAUGUUCCUUCUUUCUUUUUAACCAGUAAUACUAGUGAUGCAAAGGGCUAUUGCUAUGGAUAAUGAUCCCAUGCUGCAGCAUCUCACUAACUUGUUUCUCUAUUUCGCCUUUUUGGGAGUGAGAAUAUCUGUAAGGUUUCAUUUUAAAAGCUUGGAGUUAGGCUUUAAGGGAAUCUCAUGGUCUACUGUUCUUGUGGGGGGCAACUCAGUGGGGGUCUGGAAUACAUCAUCAAAUUCUUCAAUGAUCUGCUGUACCUCAGCAGGCAUAGCAAAUUCCUCAGAUAACUUUUGUUGUCCCAGCUAAGCACAUCUGUUUCUUAUACUCAAUGAAAUGUCUCAGGUCACUACCUCUGAUCAGAUCCAAGUCACAAUCUUCUGCCUCCUCUCAGUUGCACUACUUUCCCUUGGUUAUGCAGGAGAUAGUCAACUGAUAGAAGUCAAAUGUAAUAGGGCUGAAGUGAGUCAUCCAGUCUACCCCCAGUAUAAUAUCCCACCCACUCAGGUCCAUAACUUUGAGAUUAAAGCAGAACUUAUGCUGGCCAACUUCCCAGGAAGCUUUGGGGCAGAUGGCCUUGCUAGUCACACAGGCUCCAUUGCCUACAAUCACAGAAAAUGGUUCCACCAAUUGGUAUGGUUUGUCAAAUGUAAUCACCUUCUCGUGCUGAUAUAACUGUCAGAACUCCCAGUAUCCACUAAAAUGAGCAUUUCUUCUCCAUCCAUCUUCCCUACCAAUGUUAUUGUCUUCCUCUUCAUGGCUUCUGACAAUGCAUACAAAGACAUUUCCAUGAUUUGACCUGGAUUACCAGUGGAUUCAUCUUGCUCCCUACAGCAUCUUCAAACUCAGGUUCCUCUUCAUCCUCAGUCACCAGAAGGUUUAAAUGACCAGCUUUACACUGAUGCCCUUGUCCGAACUUCUCUCCACACUUGAAACAAAGUCCUUUAUCCCUUCUAUAUUGUAACUCUUGUGCUAAGAUUCUCCUAGACUCAGAUCCAGGAGUGGGAACUGUGCUUCCUUUGAAAGGAGUGUUCCCGAAGCUACUGGUAGAGGGCACUCUGUAGUGAAAAUUGUGGUUCUGGUGCUGAGAAGAAUUCCUGGCAAUGCCCAACCUGUCUUCGUGCAUAAUCUUUCCUCCCUCUUUGAAGGUCCUGGUUUGUAACCUUAAUGCCUCUUCUUAAGGGCAGCCAAUUCAAAGGCUUCUGACAGAGUGGCAAGUUUCAGCAUCCGUAUCAUAGUUUUGAUUUCUUCCUUAAGCCCACUGAUGAAGCUAGACACAAAAUAUUCCUCAUCUAGGUGCUGAUUCCUAAUUAUCAUGAGAGUCUUAAGUUCCUCAAACUUUUCCUUGUAUUCCUCUACUUUGCUAGAUUGCCUCAGCUUAUUGAAUUCCUCCACUACACCCUCCCAUUUCUACUAUCAAACCUCUUAUACAGCAGAUCCUCAAAAGUUCUCCAAGUUAUUCCUGGUCGUCCAAUUUAAUUCCCUGAAACCAGUUAUCAGCCCUCCCUUCCAGAUACAUUUCUAUUACUUCUACUUUCUGAUCCUCAGGGAUCUGGUAACUCAGGCAGUAUUUAUUACAUUUUCGAAUCCAUUCUCUAGGGUUCUCACCAGCAAACAUGGGUAAAUCAAUUCUAGGAGGAUUUGGUAUUGAGAUCUUACUUGUUUCCUUCCUGACGGUCUUGUUGAAGUCAGUUCCUACGGCAGCCUCUGAUUUAGUGGAGGCGUUGGUAACAGAGGAGCCUGCUCCAUUCUUGUUCUGUCCUCCUCAGAAAUAGCCUUAUCUUUAUUAAUCAUUGCUCUCAUGAAGGCAUUGAACUCUUGCAUCAUCUCCGCUAGCAAGCCUUCCAUCCUCUUGUUGUUUUCUUCUAGCUCCGUACGGAACUCAGUCUGUAGUUGCUGCUGUUGCGACUGCGAAGACUGUAGACUUUCUACUACUAGUUGGAUUCUGAUUUCUUGCUUUCUGAUUUGCUCAUCUAGUGUCUUGAACCUGGUGCUUUCCGCCAUAGCCUCCUGAUGUUGUCCAAGAAUCCUGCCUACUCUGAUACUAAUUGUUAGGCUACGGACUCCAUUUAUGUACCGGAUUGGAGAAUUGAUUCAGAAAUUUGGGGGAAGAAGAUUUUAGAGAGAAAGAGAAAAGAGAUGAAGGAGAGAGCGAGGGAAAAAUAGAGAGAGAAAGUAGGAGGAAGAUAAUGAAAAUUCUGUUAAAUCUGUUGGAUGCUUUUUUGGCCAAUCAAGAGCCUACAAAUAGGACAACCAACCGACUCAAUUAAUUCUUGUAACUGAAUCUGUUAAUGCUUCCUACGACGUCGUUCCUUUUAAUUCCCAGCUAUGCGACGUCGUCACACUUAUUCUGCCCUAUCCAACCUAAUUUGCACAAUUGGAUGAAAACGGUAUCAUUUGGUACAAUUUGGUCGAAAUAUUAAUUCCCUGACAGUCAGGUGCCGGGCUGAUAGAGCCCGGCAGCCAGUCAAAAGUUUUUCUUUGACUGGCUUUGACUGGCUGCCGGGCGGGCUCUAAGUGUGCGACACAAGACUCUAAGUUUGAUACCGCACUCCUGCCAGCCAGCCAAUAGUUUGAUACCACAUUCCUGUCAGAACUCUUAAGUGUACGACUUUUCAUUUUUUUGCCAAUAUUCUAAGUAAUUAGCCCAUCUUUUGCAAUUUUUUUUUGGUCGGGAUUCAAAACUCAUUUUCAGUUGUUUUUAUCAGCACAAAACGAAUACACAUGCUCUCAAAUUAUUUUUCAUAUAUCAUUUUCUAGGUGAUGGCAAGCUUAAUCAUGACUUUAAUAGCUUAGUAAUGACAUAUUCUUUUUUAUUUUGCUGAUGAAAUCUUAAUUCCUAAACAAAUAAGUUACAACCUCCGAACAUGUUUCAUGUUGAUCUUUUUAUAUAACAUACAAUCUCAAAAUUUAUAUAUAAAAACAAUGAAAUCCAAAUCAAAUCGCGACUGUGAAGAAACAUCACUCUCAUGAAAGCUGUUGAACAAGGGUGGAGAAACAUCAAGAUCAAAUCUACAAGCACAAGACUUUUGACUCAAAUUCGGAAGUUUAUCAAAAUAGCUACAGAUUUGUUUUCUAUUAGCUUCUUUGUGAAAACACUAGAAUAGAAGUCUUAGUAAUUUGGCCUUAGGCAACUCUUUAGAUAAGAAAUGGUUCACUUCCUGAAAACUCAGGUCUCAAAAGAGCUCAAUCAGAUGAGCAGAAUUAUGCCUGUGUAUCUCAAUAUUUUCUGAAAUUCCGGAUCCUAGGCCAGGACCAAGGAGACGAGGAGUAGAUGAUUUGUCUUACAUUGUCCGGAAUUUAGCACCGUUAUCCAACUUUCUCGACUAUGUAGUUGUAAGUAUCAAGAAAGGAUGCUCGGAGGCAACCAGAUGAUGAUUUCAAGUUGGAAGAAUUCAACCCAAGUACACAAAAGACAGGAUACAAAUUAAGGGCAGAUUUUAUUUCAAUCACAUUCAUGACAAUCCUCAUUUGGAAGAAGAACAAAAUCUAGUAGUACACAAGAAACUGCUGCAAACAUCUGGUAGAGCUAAUCUGAAAGUAUCUAAGCUAAUUUGAUACAAACUGGCUGAGGUACUCAUCAAGUGUGGUGUAUUUAACAUCAGGAUAGAGCUCCGUUGCCUCCAUGCCAAAAGAAGCCUUGAUCUCAAAGUUGGCUAUUUCUCCCUUCACGAAAAAUGUGUAUGCCAAAGACAGGAGCAAUUUUAAUGGCAUUGAAGCCUCUGGGAAAGAUACAAGAAAAGAGAGAAAUUUGAUUAGAACGCGGAAUAGGUCUUAAUAAUAGUAGGUGCUAUUGUAUUAAAAUUAGCAACUUGUGCACUUUUUCUUAUUGUUAGAUGACCUUGAAUUUUCUUAAGAACUUCGUCCCCUGGAACGUAGAUCUUUUCGAGGGUCUUGCCAAUUUUCUUUUCCCACAAUGAUACUGUUUCGUUGUAGGACAAAGUGUUGGCAGGGGGUGUAACGUACACACUCUUGUUCAGAGUCCUUAGGUCAUCUGCUGCUUUGAUGGUGUAUGUAGCAAUGUCUUCUUCCUUGGUGGAAACAAAUGCAACGAAACAUAAAAUUAAGAACGAUGAACUCUAAAACAUGAUACUAAACCAACCAAGAAAUGCAGCAGACAAGCUCCUUUCGGACACCUUUUGGAUUUGCAUCACUAAGAAUGACAAUUUUGUCUUUGGGAGGACUUGCAGAGCUAGAGUCUCCAAAGUUGUUGAGGAUAUAAUUCAAGUAACCAGCAAAUCCGUUAGAUACUAAGUAAGUGUAAGGUAUCCCUUCUGCCUCAAUAGCUCUGCGGAUCUCAACCUUGGUCCUGCAUAAGCUAGCAGCAGGCUCAAUAGCAUGCACACGAUCCACAUCAACCCCAAAUUCAGAAGGUAAAAAUCUCUGAAACCAAAUACUGCUCCUUCUUUAAUAUGGAAGUCACAACUCACAAAGGGAUAAACGCAAAAAAGAAAAAUCAAGAAAGAAUUUGUAACCCUGUAUUGUGCUUACUUUGAUGUUUCCAGCUUCUUUAAUUGCUGCAAUAAUCUUAACUUGAUGAGCUACCAGAUCUCCCCCGACUGCAGAGAUCACUAUGUCAACUUGUUUGAUUGCAUUUACCAACUGCUGAUGAUUGUGUAGAUCUCCCUGUUCAGUCCAUACAUACAUGUAGUAGAUAAUCACACCAUACCACAAUAACAAUAACAAUAAUAUCAUUAUCCUUGUCCCUAUGCCUAUAACACAAUCAUGGCCAUAUCCAAUCAACAAUUAGCAUGCUUAAAUUAUAAGGUUAAAUUUAGAUCCUACCUUGGUCAUGAAAUUGUAGUCAAUAGUAAUCUUUAGUCGCAGUUUAACCACCUGCAGUCACAAACAUCGGAUUUUGGAAAUAUAGUUAGAAGAUGUAAAAAGUUUCCUAUGGAUAUUCAUAUGUAUGUAUCAAGUAUUCCAUAAUGAAAUUUCCAUAUUCACACAAUAGCUAUUGAGAAAAUAUUGCAGUAGAAAACUCACAAUUUUUAUUAUAUUAGCUAAACAUCCAAAACUCCAGAAAAAGAGAAAGUAAAUGAGCAUACCUGUCUAAACACCCACAAAAAAAAUUUGAGCACAUGCACUUGAAGCAACAUUCUUCAGUAUUAAAAGCCUCAAUUAUUAUAGUUGAAGAGCACUACAAUUAUACUUGUAAUGAAUUGAAAAUAUGAACCAAAAUCAAUCAUGUUCAUUAUUAAGUGUUUCCUGAACCAAUUAUCUUUAGCAUUACGACCCUCUAUUAUUGUAGUUAUAAAAGUUAUCCAACAAUUAUAAAAGAAGAUGGAGAGUAUUGCAAUUACAUUUGUAAGUGGUUGAAACACCACUUAAAUGCUUGAUAAUCAUGUGGAAUAUAAGCCAAUUGUAAAUGGGAGGACACAAUAGUCAAACCCAACUCAACUAUACAUUAUAAUGUUGCACGUUUGGCUUAAUCACUUGUAUUUGAUUUUUUUCCUACCUAAAUUAUCUCUAAAGAUAAUAGAUGAAAAUUUUUCAACAAUCACUUACAAACUCCUUUUUAUAUAUAUAGGAAACAUUACAAUGUGCUAGGAAAAAAUGAAAAGAACAACAUUAUUUUCUUUUUAUAUAUUCAUCGUAUACUGGUAGAAGCUGUACUCAUAGGCAUUUGGUACAACGAAUCCGGACAAUGCAAUUAAUAUAAUUGAUAGGGAAAAUCGUUGAAAUCGUUACUCACAUUUUUGUAAAAUGAUUUUUUUCCGUCUCGCAUUCUAAAAAAUUGAUUUUACGUCUUUUAUAAAUUCAUAUCAGUUAAAUUUUGUCCCUACCUAGGUUUCCAACUAAUUUUUUCCGGAAUUCACCACGUGCCCUGCAUGUGAUCAUGUUUGAGGGAAAAAUUGUCAAAUCAUAUUUCACAUAAUCUGAUUGAUAGUCCUUCACAUUUAAUAAAAUGAAUUUUUUCAUCCCUUACAUUUCACAAAAUCACUAAGAAAAAUCCUCGAUGACAAUUAAAAUGUAGCAAUAAUUGUUAGGAGGAUUAAAAAGUAGAAGCCAUGAGGACACCUUACUCAAUCAAACCAUAGCUCGGGCAAUGUCAUUCCAUCAAUUUUGGUUUAUCAUCUUUUAAUUCCAUGAAAUUUGUUUUUUUUUUACACUUGUAAUGUUAUUAUUUAUUCAUUAUACUUUGAUUUCAUAAAAUCAAAAUAGCUAAUCUUAGUUGAUCAUAAUUCAGACAAGUUUGGAGCACGUGCACUUUCUAAAUAAGAAUAAAUAUCCUGUUAUGCUUUGAAUGACAUAGAUGAAAUUUUGGUUUGCUAAGUUGGAAAAAAAGGUAUCUCUCACAGACAAUCCAACAAUACAUUCUUUGGUAAUUCUGAAUUCCAUUUUGUGUUGUUCCAAUUAAUUGUCUCUAAAAAUUAUAGCUAUGAGGCUAAAUAAAACCAGCGGCAGAGGAGAAAUUGGCAUGGAAAGACAAUCUUGAGAUUGUCAUGAGAAUGACAAUCAAAUUCUUACAAUCUUGAAGUGUACGAAUUUGGCACAUUUAAAUUGCCAACGAAAAAUGGAUAAAUCAUGGCAAAAUUUGAUACAAGAACAUGAUCGUCUACAUGAAACCCUUCACUUUCUUCCUUCUUUUUUUGCUUUGGGUUUUGUUUUGUUUUCUAUAUUUCUCUUUUCAAGUCGGUGGUCUUAUUAUUAUUUUUUAUAUGUUUCUUGAUGCAACUUUUUGUGUGAUAGAGAAAAGUGUUAUAAUUUCCUUUGAGUAAGGUGACUGUAAUUUCACUUCAUUAGAAAGCAAUAAGUUGUAAAUAAGUUUAAACAGUUUUAUGAUUAUUUUGCAUGUUUUUCUAUUGACAUAUCCCUUUUUUUUUUUGAAAAAUUAUUUCAUUUGCAAAUCCACAAUUGAGAAACUAGCUGAAGAAUAGAAUCAUAUGUAUUCUAUAGUCAAGCAUUUGAGAAAAAUAUGCAUACAAACCGAGAAUUUAGAAGGAAAAAAAAUGCAACUGAACCUUCAAGUUUGGACUUUGAAAAGGUGUUAUCGAAGCUUCACUAAUUUCAUUAACUUCAUCUUUUAUGCUUCGUACACUUCAGUAUUAACUUAAUGAAGACUGCCUUCUUAAUAAAGACCUGCUCUAUUUCGUUCAUUCCAAGUCCUACAUUAGGGUUUUUCGAACGUCACGUAGCAUCCACCUAACCUACCAUAUAUAUAUAUAUAUAUAUACUAACAAUUAUUAUUCUCUUUUAUAUUUAUAUAAUUUUUCUAUUUAAUCUUACAUAUUACCCCUUAUAUUAAUAUCUUAUCAUAUCUUAACGAGUACACUAUGAGCAUCCGUUAGACAGAUCAAUAUUUAAAUAUUUGCUUGGUACUCGUAGGUCAUCUAUGUCACUACUUGUAGAUCAUCGUAGAUAAUCUAUAUCACUACUUGUAGAUCAUUUGUAUUACCGUAUGAGUUAUAAGACUUCUAUUGGUUAUCUUUGGCCAAUAUAAAGAGGCUAAGCCUAUCCUAUCCCUGCAAGCCUCCCUUUACUCACCCCAGUUCUUUAACCCAAAUUUAAUGGUUAAAGUUACUCAAUUAUAUGAUUUUUCAUGAUCUUUAAACUCAGUUACAUGAUUUUCAUUAUUGGCUAAUAUAGUACAAAAGAAAAGUAGUACAAGAAUUAGUACUACUUGACUCCCCCUUCUUGGACCACACUUGCAAAAGAAAGAAGAAACAAAAAGUGGAUUGACCCAAAAACAAAGAAGUAAUUUAUAAGAUAUGCGAGAUGUAUGUGUAUCAAUCCCAAUCAUAUAUUGAACUUAAAAAUAGAGGUUUAAUUUUUUGUGCUUAAAUCGUUUGAUGUACGAGAUGAAUGUAGUGUUUCAAUUUAUUAUUUAUUUACUACUCUCUUUUUGACUUAUCAAAACUUGAGAGACCAUCCCACAUUUAGGACAAGAACACCUUACUAGUAGUAGUGACUAAUUGUUUCUUUCUGGCAAAAAAGUUUGGGUUUCAAAUCUUGGAGAGGAAAAUUUCUAAAAUGAAAAUGAAGAAAAUUAACAGCCGAAGCCGAUAAAAUGACUAGAUCCAAAACCUGCAUUAAAUUCAAUGGAAAAAACUCUAAAAACUCUUCUCUGGCUCGUCCCUAACUAUUAUAAGUAAACUGUUCCAACAGCGCAUUAUAUAGGACUUGGAAUAAAUACCUGCUCUAUGUUUGAUGGAAGUAACUUUGAAAAGAAAAUCUAAAUCUAUUUUUUUUUUUUGGUAAAUAUCUAAAUCUAUAUAUGUACACAUACACGUUUUUGAGGAAUUGAUAUUUCACGAUAUGAUUUGAUACAAAUAUGACAAGCAGUAGAAGGGGAAAAGCAAACGAGAACUCAACGAAACACAAGGAAAAGCGACGUCGUACUUUGAAGAGAUGAGUUAACUGGAUACCAGUUAGCAUUGAGAACGGCAAGAGUUGUCUUUCAGCUUCUCUUCUCUUAGAGGAACUUGGGUUCCACCGACCGUUAAUCCAGUGACCAGUGAAAACUUGAGGGAUAUGAGAAAUUGUCUGAUAAUCUUCACUUUGUUUAUCCAAAUUCUGUACUUUGUGCAUCAGCUCAUCAGACAUAUCAAGGAACCCAAGAAAUUGAAGUCCGGUCAAGUUUUGGGUGCCUGCAGGCAACUCCUGCAUCAGUUUACAACCAACUAAUUGUAGACUUCUGAGACUAGGCACUGAUUCCUCUUCCACUCUCACCCAUUUCAGUCUUUUCAAUUGUGCAAGCUCUAAGCACUGGAGUUUUUGAAAUCCUCCAACCUUGAAACAUAAUGUCUCCCCUUCAUAAGCACCAUAGAGACUAAGUGAUACCAGAUUGGGCAAAUGUUCGAGGGAGCCUAUUACAUUCUCAUCUUCUCUCAACCUACUGUUGAACAACCGUAAGGUUCUCAAGGAUUGAAGUGAUGUCACCCAUUGCGGCACUCUCUCUAAACGCCCAUUCAAUAACAGAGAUGUGAGGAAUUCAAGUUUUGGAGAGACGGAAUGUUGGAGAUCAAGGGUCUCAUCUUCUUCAAUACAGGAGAUGAUCAAAUCUCGAAGGUUGGUCAGCCUCAAGAGGGAGGAGAGCAACUCCUUUCCAUCUUCUCUUCUGAGCCCUGUGAUGUCUAAUCGCCGCAAUUGCGUUAGGCUUCCAAUCUCUCUUACUAUUUUAUCACUAUCUGCUUCUAUACCAUACAGCUCCUCCAAACAAAUAAGCUUUCCAAUUCCAAGUGGACAUUUACAGCCCCAAACUGCAUAGUCAUUUGAAUAAUCUCCCCAUCCGCCAAACCUAAGAAAACGGAGUUUUCUUAGCUUUAGAACUUCCACAGGCAACUUUGUUACAUUGGUCCGUCUCAGAUUUAUAGCUUCAAGGUUUUGAAGCUUCCCAAUAGAUUUUGGAAUAAUUUUAACUCCAGUUCUUGCAAAACUAAGAUACCUGAGAUGAAAUAGUUUGAAGACUUGCUUUGGGAUGUUGUCCAAUUUAGCUCCAUCCAAAUCCAACGCCUUCAGCAACUUGGGAUCACCACUUAAGAACUUGGAUAAAAAUGUAGUUGUGAGCAUGGUUCAAAGUCACGGUCGCGGUUGUGGUCGCGGCCGGAACGUUCCACAUCGGUCUCGGCAUAUCGGUCGCGGUCUCGGUGAGACGCAAAUUUUAAAGUAUUUAAUAUUCUAAAAAUUGUUAAUAAUAUAAAAAAGUAUGCUAAAUAAAAAUAAUUAAAAAAUAGUAAAAGAAACGGCCAAGUCAAUCCGUCACGGUGUGACUCGGCUGAUUUCUCGUCUUGACUCGGGAUAACUCGGAGUGACUCGGUGUGACUCGCUGAGUCAAUCCGUCACGGUGAUGACUCGACCGAUUUCUCGGCGAGUCAAGUAUUUCGGUAUCGUUUCGUCACGAUAUCGUAUCGGUAGGGGUCGAGACGGUGACGACUCGGCCGAGUCGUCUCGGUCUCGGCCGAGACUUCGAACCAUUGUGAGAGGAUCUUUAUACCCAAAUAUUACCACAGAUCGAAGACACUUCAAGCUACUAAAUUCUUGUGGAUUAUCAGUGAAGUUGUGGAUUGCUAGGUGUCGAACUUUUUCAGGCCAUCUUGUGUAAUACCUGGUGGCUACAGUCGUGAAGUCCUGCUCUUUGGAUUUUGAAACUAGGAUUUCACGCAGAAAAUCGUGGAGACCACAUUUAUUCAAUCUGCCAUCGUUCAAUGUGGAUUUAACUUGGAUUAAGCUUCUGUUGAUGAGUUCUUUCAUAUAACUCAUAGCAAUAUCGGUGGAUGUUAUUCUUUCUCUCUCUUCUACAAAUUCUAGUGCAAUCCACUUCAGAAGUAUAGAUACCACAUCAAUUGGAUAAUCUUCAGGGUAGAUGCUUAGAUACAAUAGGCAGCUUUUAAGAUAGUGAGGCAAAUCAUUAUAGCUAAGUAAGAGUACCCUUUUGAUUCUGUCAAGCUUACCACUGCCAUCUGCCUCGCCACCAAAACCAUGAAGAAUCAUCUCCCAUUCAUGUGUCUUUUCGUUGUCCUUCAGAGCCAAAACACCACCUAUUGCAACAAUUGCAAGCGGUAGGCCCUCACAUUUUUUCAGUAUUUUUUUAGCAACUUCUUCUAGAUUUGGAGGACAGUUAUUGCUCUGAAAUGUUCUAUUGCAAAACAGAGUCCAAGACUCUUUAUCAGAAAGAGGCUCCAUCUUAUAGACGAAGUCAAGUGAUCCUAAACAGGACGCAGAAGCUACAUCGGCUAUUCGUGUUGUCAAUACAACACGACUAGCAGUAGUGCAGUCAGGCAAUACACAUUUGAUAGCUUCCCAGGCAUCUAUACUCCACACAUCAUCAAGGACAAGGAUGUACCUUCUUUCUCGGAGGAAGUCUCUGACAAAUUCACUCAGCAUAAUAUCAUCCAUGGAUUCCACUCGGCGAGGGACCGGCCGUCUGAUUUCAUUGUACAACUAUUGGAUCAGGUUCUUGAUGAUGUCACUGAAUUGAAAAGUUUGAGAAACAGUUAUCCAGGCAUGGCUCUGAAAUUGUUUCUUCACUGCAGCGUCAUCGUAGACUUUUUUCACCAGGGUAGUCUUGCCGAGUCCCCCCAUUCCCUUAACCGAAACUACUUUCAAUUGGGAAUGGUCAUCAAGGAUUUUUGAGAUGAGCUCUGCUUUUGGCUUAUCAAUCCCAACAAGUUGAGCUUCUUCAAUGAAGAGUGAUUGAGCACGAGUGUCAAAAUCUGCAUUCGCCUGUCGGGAAGAGCUGAAGCCUCUCUCUUGAGUACCAUAUUGGGACAGGUACCUCCGAUGCCUUUCUGAAAUCUCUCCAAAUCUGGCCUUGAUCUCUUUUAUCUCCAAAGAAAUUUGAUGGCGACCUUUCAGAUUCUUUAUUGAGUUAUAGAUCUUUCCAACCUUGCCACGGAAUCCAUCCUUGUAGCGACGAGCAAAGCGGAAGGUAAAAUCAUCAAGAACAUCCUCUGUAUCAUAAGCAACUUCUCGAACCUGCUUUAGCCAUGCUUGGAGUUGAGAAUCAUUGUCUUCCUUUGCUUCAGCUUCUCUGAGGAAAGCCUUCAUGCUCUCGAGUUCAUCUUUGAUGAAUUGAACAUCUGAUUUAAGCCCCCCAAAAGUGUGAUCUCUUGGGAAAGCAAGGUUGAGAGCUGUUCAAUCAAAAUACCUACGACACUCUGCCAUGAUGCUCAAUCAAAUUUCUCAAGAGUCGGUUUUCUUAUCAAGGAAAUUUUGAGAGUUGUUCCAAAAUUCAGAAAAUAUGCUGUUUUUCUUUUUUUCUUUUCUUUCUUUUGUAGUACACAGGAUGUGGUUUAUAUGAGCAAUCAAAUUCUAGAAUUUUAUGAAUUUGACAGAGUAGCUAUUCAAGAAUGAUAUGAAUUUGGGAACAUAUGCAUUUUUUUUUGGUCGUAUAGACGAUGAGUUUUACUUGGCACUUUGAUAGUACAAUUAUUGUCGAAAGCUCGCAAGCUACAAUUAAUGAAAAAUGCAGUUUUUUGUUUUCUUUGUAUAUUUUUUCAAUAUUGGUCAUUGAUCAAUUAUGUACUAACCAAUAAGAAUAAUCUUUGUACUAACCAAUUCCUAAUAUAACAAGAGAAAUAAAUAAUUCACGGAUUUUUUUAACCAACCAUUGAAGGUCUUGGAUUCUUAUCCUAAGCCGACAGGCCAAGAGUUCACAGUGGCAAAUGGUCAAUGUAAAAAGGAAUGGUUGUGAUGCUGUAUCUUCCAAUAAUGCAAGGGACAAUGAAAUAGUCUCCAUGGUCCAUGGUCAAAAGUUUCCCAUUAAUUUUUGCAAGUGGAUUUCCCUGUACAAGCAUAUUGAUCGUCAAUCGGACGACUCAGUCAAUGGAUGCUCUCUGACGGGUAUUUUACAUACAUGCAAGCUAAAAAAUACCGAAUUACACCCGUUCACUGCAAGUAUACAGAUCAACUAGUAGUUUAGGGUAUAUAUCGGGUCGAUCCCAUAAGGAAGAGUGAACAAUUACCGGUAUUACUAAAGCUUCUCUAUUAUUUAGACACCUUACUCAAUCAAACCAUAGCUCGGGCAAUGUCAUUCCAUCAAUUUUGGUUUAUCAUCUUUUAAUUCCAUGAAAUUUGCUUUUUUUUUUAAUUGUAAUGUUAUUAUUUAUUCAUUAUACUUUGAUUUCAUAAAAUCAAAAUAGCUAAUCUUAGUUGAUCAUAAUUCAGACAAGUUUGGAGCACGUGCACUUUCUAAAUAAGAAUAAAUAUCCAUUUAUGCUUUGCAUGACAUAGAUGAAAUUUUGGUUUACUAAGUUGGGAAAAAAAAGGUAUCUCUCACAGACAAUCCAACAAUACAUUCUUGGGUAAUUUAGAAUUCCAUUUUGUGUUGUUCCAAUUAAUUGUCUCUAAAAAUUAUAUCUAUGAGGCUAAAUAAAACCAGCGGCAGAGGAGAAAUUUGGCAUGGAAUGACAAUCUUGAGAUUGUCAUGAGAAUGACAAUCAAAUUCUUACAAUCUUGAAGUGUACGAAUUUGGCACAUUUAAAUUGCCAACGAAAAAUGGAUAAAUCAUGGCAAAAUUUGAUACAAGAACAUGAUCGUCUACAUGAAACCCUUCACUUUCUUCCUUCUUUUUUCGCUUUGGGUUUUGUUUUGUUUUCUAUAUUUCUCUUUUCAAGUCGGUGGUCUUAUUAUUAUUUUUUAAAUAUGUUUCUUGAUUGCAACUUUUUGUGUGAUAGAGAAAAGUGUUAUAAUUUCCUUUGAGUAAGGUGACUGUAAUUUCACUUCAUUAGAAAGCAAUAAGUUGUAAAUAAGUUUAAACAGUUUUAUGAUUAUUUUGCAUGUUUUUCUAUUGACAUAUCCCUUAUUUUUUUUUGAAAAAUUAUUUCAUUUGCAAAUCCACAAUUGAGAAACUAGCUGAAGAAUAGAAUCAUAUGUAUUCUAUAGUCAAGCAUUUGAGAAAAAUAUGCAUACAAACCGAGAAUUUAGAAGGAAAAAAAAUGCAACUGAACCUUCAAGUUUGGACUUUGAAAAGGUGUUAUCGAAGCUUCACUAAUUUCAUUAACUUCAUCUUUUAUGCUUCGUACACUUCAGUAUUAACUUAAUGAAGACUGCCUUCUUAAUAAAGACCUGCUCUAUUUCGUUCAUUCCAAGUCCUACAUUAGGGUUUUUCGAACGUCACGUAGCAUCCACCUAACCUACCAUAUAUAUAUAUAUAUAUAUACUAACAAUUAUUAUUCUCUUUUAUAUUUAUAUAAUUUUUCUAUUUAAUCUUACAUAUUACCCCUUAUAUUAAUAUCUUAUCAUAUCUUAACGAGUACACUAUGAGCAUCCGUUAGACAGAUCAAUAUUUAAAUAUUUGCUUGGUACUCGUAGGUCAUCUAUGUCACUACUUGUAGAUCAUCGUAGAUAAUCUAUAUCACUACUUGUAGAUCAUUUGUAUUACCGUAUGAGUUAUAAGACUUCUAUUGGUUAUCUUUGGCCAAUAUAAAGAGGCUAAGCCUAUCCUAUCCCUGCAAGCCUCCCUUUACUCACCCCAGUUCUUUAACCCAAAUUUAAUGGUUAAAGUUACUCAAUUAUAUGAUUUUUCAUGAUCUUUAAACUCAGUUACAUGAUUUUCAUUAUUGGCUAAUAUAGUACAAAAGAAAAGUAGUACAAGAAUUAGUACUACUUGACUCCCCCUUCUUGGACCACACUUGCAAAAGAAAGAAGAAACAAAAAGUGGAUUGACCCAAAAACAAAGAAGUAAUUUAUAAGAUAUGCGAGAUGUAUGUGUAUCAAUCCCAAUCAUAUAUUGAACUUAAAAAUAGAGGUUUAAUUUUUUGUGCUUAAAUCGUUUGAUGUACGAGAUGAAUGUAGUGUUUCAAUUUAUUAUUUAUUUACUACUCUCUUUUUGACUUAUCAAAACUUGAGAGACCAUCCCACAUUUAGGACAAGAACACCUUACUAGUAGUAGUGACUAAUUGUUUCUUUCUGGCAAAAAAGUUUGGGUUUCAAAUCUUGGAGAGGAAAAUUUCUAAAAUGAAAAUGAAGAAAAUUAACAGCCGAAGCCGAUAAAAUGACUAGAUCCAAAACCUGCAUUAAAUUCAAUGGAAAAAACUCUAAAAACUCUUCUCUGGCUCGUCCCUAACUAUUAUAAGUAAACUGUUCCAACAGCGCAUUAUAUAGGACUUGGAAUAAAUACCUGCUCUAUGUUUGAUGGAAGUAACUUUGAAAAGAAAAUCUAAAUCUAUUUUUUUUUUUUUGGUAAAUAUCUAAAUCUAUAUAUGUACACAUACACGUUUUUGAGGAAUUGAUAUUUCACGAUAUGAUUUGAUACAAAUAUGACAAGCAGUAGAAGGGGAAAAGCAAACGAGAACUCAACGAAACACAAGGAAAAGCGACGUCGUACUUUGAAGAGAUGAGUUAACUGGAUACCAGUUAGCAUUGAGAACGGCAAGAGUUGUCUUUCAGCUUCUCUUCUCUUAGAGGAACUUGGGUUCCCACCGACCGUUAAUCCAGUGACCAGUGAAAACUUGAGGGAUAUGAGAAAUUGUCUGAUAAUCUUCACUUUGUUUAUCCAAAUUCUGUACUUUGUGCAUCAGCUCAUCAGACAUAUCAAGGAACCCAAGAAAUUGAAGUCCGGUCAAGUUUUGGGUGCCUGCAGGCAACUCCUGCAUCAGUUUACAACCAACUAAUUGUAGACUUCUGAGACUAGGCACUGAUUCCUCUUCCACUCUCACCCAUUUCAGUCUUUUCAAUUGUGCAAGCUCUAAGCACUGGAGUUUUUGAAAUCCUCCAACCUUGAAACAUAAUGUCUCCCCUUCAUAAGCACCAUAGAGACUAAGUGAUACCAGAUUGGGCAAAUGUUCGAGGGAGCCUAUUACAUUCUCAUCUUCUCUCAACCUACUGUUGAACAACCGUAAGGUUCUCAAGGAUUGAAGUGAUGUCACCCAUUGCGGCACUCUCUCUAAACGCCCAUUCAAUAACAGAGAUGUGAGGAAUUCAAGUUUUGGAGAGACGGAAUGUUGGAGAUCAAGGGUCUCAUCUUCUUCAAUACAGGAGAUGAUCAAAUCUCGAAGGUUGGUCAGCCUCAAGAGGGAGGAGAGCAACUCCUUUCCAUCUUCUCUUCUGAGCCCUGUGAUGUCUAAUCGCCGCAAUUGCGUUAGGCUUCCAAUCUCUCUUACUAUUUUAUCACUAUCUGCUUCUAUACCAUACAGCUCCUCCAAACAAAUAAGCUUUCCAAUUCCAAGUGGACAUUUACAGCCCCAAACUGCAUAGUCAUUUGAAUAAUCUCCCCAUCCGCCAAACCUAAGAAAACGGAGUUUUCUUAGCUUUAGAACUUCCACAGGCAACUUUGUUACAUUGGUCCGUCUCAGAUUUAUAGCUUCAAGGUUUUGAAGCUUCCCAAUAGAUUUUGGAAUAAUUUUAACUCCAGUUCUUGCAAAACUAAGAUACCUGAGAUGAAAUAGUUUGAAGACUUGCUUUGGGAUGUUGUCCAAUUUAGCUCCAUCCAAAUCCAACGCCUUCAGCAACUUGGGAUCACCACUUAAGAACUUGGAUAAAAAUGUAGUUGUGAGCAUGGUUCAAAGUCACGGUCGCGGUUGUGGUCGCGGCCCGGAACGUUCCACAUCGGUCUCGGCAUAUCGGUCGCGGUCUCGGUGAGACGCAAAUUUUAAAGUAUUUAAUAUUCUAAAAAUUGUUAAUAAUAUAAAAAAGUAUGCUAAAUAAAAAUAAUUAAAAAAUAGUAAAAGAAACGGCCAAGUCAAUCCGUCACGGUGUGACUCGGCUGAUUUCUCGUCUUGACUCGGGAUAACUCGGAGUGACUCGGUGUGACUCGCUGAGUCAAUCCGUCACGGUGAUGACUCGACCGAUUUCUCGGCGAGUCAAGUAUUUCGGUAUCGUUUCGUCACGAUAUCGUAUCGGUAGGGGUCGAGACGGUGACGACUCGGCCGAGUCGUCUCGGUCUCGGCCGAGACUUCGAACCAUUGUGAGAGGAUCUUUAUACCCAAAUAUUACCACAGAUCGAAGACACUUCAAGCUACUAAAUUCUUGUGGAUUAUCAGUGAAGUUGUGGAUUGCUAGGUGUCGAACUUUUUCAGGCCAUCUUGUGUAAUACCUGGUGGCUACAGUCGUGAAGUCCUGCUCUUUGGAUUUUGAAACUAGGAUUUCACGCAGAAAAUCGUGGAGACCACAUUUAUUCAAUCUGCCAUCGUUCAAUGUGGAUUUAACUUGGAUUAAGCUUCUGUUGAUGAGUUCUUUCAUAUAACUCAUAGCAAUAUCGGUGGAUGUUAUUCUUUCUCUCUCUUCUACAAAUUCUAGUGCAAUCCACUUCAGAAGUAUAGAUACCACAUCAAUUGGAUAAUCUUCAGGGUAGAUGCUUAGAUACAAUAGGCAGCUUUUAAGAUAGUGAGGCAAAUCAUUAUAGCUAAGUAAGAGUACCCUUUUGAUUCUGUCAAGCUUACCACUGCCAUCUGCCUCGCCACCAAAACCAUGAAGAAUCAUCUCCCAUUCAUGUGUCUUUUCGUUGUCCUUCAGAGCCAAAACACCACCUAUUGCAACAAUUGCAAGCGGUAGGCCCUCACAUUUUUUCAGUAUUUUUUUAGCAACUUCUUCUAGAUUUGGAGGACAGUUAUUGCUCUGAAAUGUUCUAUUGCAAAACAGAGUCCAAGACUCUUUAUCAGAAAGAGGCUCCAUCUUAUAGACGAAGUCAAGUGAUCCUAAACAGGACGCAGAAGCUACAUCGGCUAUUCGUGUUGUCAAUACAACACGACUAGCAGUAGUGCAGUCAGGCAAUACACAUUUGAUAGCUUCCCAGGCAUCUAUACUCCACACAUCAUCAAGGACAAGGAUGUACCUUCUUUCUCGGAGGAAGUCUCUGACAAAUUCACUCAGCAUAAUAUCAUCCAUGGAUUCCACUCGGCGAGGGACCGGCCGUCUGAUUUCAUUGUACAACUAUUGGAUCAGGUUCUUGAUGAUGUCACUGAAUUGAAAAGUUUGAGAAACAGUUAUCCAGGCAUGGCUCUGAAAUUGUUUCUUCACUGCAGCGUCAUCGUAGACUUUUUUCACCAGGGUAGUCUUGCCGAGUCCCCCCAUUCCCUUAACCGAAACUACUUUCAAUUGGGAAUGGUCAUCAAGGAUUUUUGAGAUGAGCUCUGCUUUUGGCUUAUCAAUCCCAACAAGUUGAGCUUCUUCAAUGAAGAGUGAUUGAGCACGAGUGUCAAAAUCUGCAUUCGCCUGUCGGGAAGAGCUGAAGCCUCUCUCUUGAGUACCAUAUUGGGACAGGUACCUCCGAUGCCUUUCUGAAAUCUCUCCAAAUCUGGCCUUGAUCUCUUUUAUCUCCAAAGAAAUUUGAUGGCGACCUUUCAGAUUCUUUAUUGAGUUAUAGAUCUUUCCAACCUUGCCACGGAAUCCAUCCUUGUAGCGACGAGCAAAGCGGAAGGUAAAAUCAUCAAGAACAUCCUCUGUAUCAUAAGCAACUUCUCGAACCUGCUUUAGCCAUGCUUGGAGUUGAGAAUCAUUGUCUUCCUUUGCUUCAGCUUCUCUGAGGAAAGCCUUCAUGCUCUCGAGUUCAUCUUUGAUGAAUUGAACAUCUGAUUUAAGCCCCCCCAAAAGUGUGAUCUCUUGGGAAAGCAAGGUUGAGAGCUGUUCAAUCAAAAUACCUACGACACUCUGCCAUGAUGCUCAAUCAAAUUUCUCAAGAGUCGGUUUUCUUAUCAAGGAAAUUUUGAGAGUUGUUCCAAAAUUCAGAAAAUAUGCUGUUUUUCUUUUUUUCUUUUCUUUCUUUUGUAGUACACAGGAUGUGGUUUAUAUGAGCAAUCAAAUUCUAGAAUUUUAUGAAUUUGACAGAGUAGCUAUUCAAGAAUGAUAUGAAUUUGGGAACAUAUGCAUUUUUUUUUGGUCGUAUAGACGAUGAGUUUUACUUGGCACUUUGAUAGUACAAUUAUUGUCGAAAGCUCGCAAGCUACAAUUAAUGAAAAAUGCAGUUUUUUGUUUUCUUUGUAUAUUUUUUCAAUAUUGGUCAUUGAUCAAUUAUGUACUAACCAAUAAGAAUAAUCUUUGUACUAACCAAUUCCUAAUAUAACAAGAGAAAUAAAUAAUUCACGGAUUUUUUUUAACCAACCAUUGAAGGUCUUGGAUUCUUAUCCUAAGCCGACAGGCCAAGAGUUCACAGUGGCAAAUGGUCAAUGUAAAAAGGAAUGGUUGUGAUGCUGUAUCUUCCAAUAAUGCAAGGGACAAUGAAAUAGUCUCCAUGGUCCAUGGUCAAAAGUUUCCCAUUAAUUUUUGCAAGUGGAUUUCCCUGUACAAGCAUAUUGAUCGUCAAUCGGACGACUCAGUCAAUGGAUGCUCUCUGACGGGUAUUUUACAUACAUGCAAGCUAAAAAAUACCGAAUUACACCCGUUCACUGCAAGUAUACAGAUCAACUAGUAGUUUAGGGUAUAUAUCGGGUCGAUCCCAUAAGGAAGAGUGAACAAUUACCGGUAUUACUAAAGCUUCUCUAUUAUUUAGACUAUCAAUGAAUGAUAAGAAAUUUAACCUACUGCACUUAUACAAGAAAUUAACAAAUAAAAGCUCCUUAGGUUGUGGUAUCCCUAACUACUCAUGCAAGUGUUAUAUUUGGAUCAUUGAGUACUACAUCUAGGCUAAUUAUGGUGUAAUUUUCUUAUGCAUUUGAAUCCUACUUUCGUAGUGAAUCAAUUAUACUUAUAACUAAUCCAUACAUAUUCUCAUGGUUAUGAAAUUAGCUAUAAGUUCAUUUCUUCAGUGAAAUUACAUGAAAUGAAUCACUAAAAACCACAUAGGUGCACCUCUACUUUCGUGAGUGUACUCCCUAUGUUUAGCACUUCUUGAACUAAUGUUAAAUCUCAAUUUUCAUUGUAGAAAUAACACCUUAGAUAAUCACAAUUAAUGGUACCAGAUUAAUCAUGAUUUUAAGAGCUAAAAUACUAAAUAACUUGCUCAAAUCAUAGCAAUCAAAUAACCAAAUAAUAAACACUAACAAUCAUAGAAAGUUCAACCAAACCCAAGGUAUAAACUUUAAAGACACAUAAAUAACAUAAAUUCCAGAACUUGUAUAUUAACUAUAUUUAAGAAUCCAAUACAAAAGAUAAAGAGUUGGAGAAGAGAUAACCCAUGUCACUUGAGCUUUAACUUCUCUUUCUUCAUCUCCAUUUUCAUCCUAAUCUAGAUAGUAUACAAGAAUGGAUGAACUACACUUACUACACUAUCCUACACUAAGGAAAUGGAAGAACUACAUUUCUGCCUCUUCAAGCUUCUCCCGUAUGCUCUGCAUGUCCUGGUUGCUCCCUAUAUAAACUGCUCCAAAAGCUCCUUUUCCAUUGGUCCAAACUUGCUGCAUUUGAUUUCCAAAUCUGAAAUUGUUAAGAUAGUCAAUAGCCAUUGUUUUUGACUUGAAAAUAUGCCAACUUUCUUGCCCUUUUGUCUUCUAAAGCAUGUGCACCGAAUUCUCUUGCAGAUUGUAGCUGGAAAGUAGUCAGAACACAAGAGAAUUGACUGAGCAAAAUUGCAGAAUUGCGGCCGGAAAACGCGCCUACACAAAACGCGGUUACAAGUCACGUUUUGUGUACUCGCGUAUUCACUUUGUCCUUACUUCAGCUGCGAUUUUCUCUAUCAUAAAGGCUGAACUGGAUUUUUUGUAAAACACCAAAGUUGUAGCCCUUUGAGUUAGCUUUCCAAUGCUUCAAGAAUCAUCCAAAUCUGAGCUUUGUAGCCUGAGAUAUGAUCGAAAUACUAAACACUGGUCAGAGCUCUGUUUUCCACUUUGGACAGCUGAGUUGAAUUUCGGUAUUUCAACUUUUGGACUAUGAAAACGGCUGAACUGGACUUUGAUGUCUUCAUACCAAAUGUAGAUAUAUCUCUUAGCUUCAAAAUGGUACUAAGAUCACCUUGAUCCGAUCUGUGUAGCUCUAGAUAUAGUCAAAAUACCAAAACGUGUCAGAGUUGUCAAAACCUGACUUUUCUUGAUUCAAAUUGCAUUUUUUCUUUUUACACUUCAUAUUUUAUUUUCACCACUUUAAUCCAUCUUCAAUCAUCCAAAUAUCUUCUCAAUGCACUUCAUUUGAUGAUUGAAUCAUUAAACCUACAAAAUAUGAAGUUUUUACCAUAAAAAUCCAUAAAAUGCAAUGUUUAGCCAUUUUAACAUAAAAUGUAGUUUUUUUACCAAAACCUUAGUUAUUUUAGUUAUUAAACUAAAUAAUCAAACCAAAAUUAACUAAUAAAACACACAAAAAAUACGUAAAAUAAACUCUUAUCACUCUCGGUCCCAAAUAAAUGCUCAAUCAAACUGAUGAAGCAUCAUGUUCUAUUUCCUCAUAAAUUCAUAUGCUGUUUGUUUUUUUUAAAAAAAAAAUUCUGAGUGUCAACUACAAUUAAAAAAAAUGUUGGCAUUGAAAAGGGACAAUAUAUCACUGGAAAAGUUAUUAAAAUUAAAUCUUUAAAUGACUGAAAAAUGAGAUAUAUACAGAAGUGGUAGAUAACAACUGGAAGAGGCUCAUGCUACGAGUGCAGUGAAUCAUUAGUUUUAGUAUCAAAAACGAUGGUGAUCUAUCGUCAUUCUUGACGGUUUGUUUUUCCAUUAAUUUGUACAAAAUCUGAUUGACUUUUAGCACUUUUGAUUUUAGAAGAAUGCAUCUUGCAUUAGAAAUUUUUUUCUAAUUAGGUUCCAUCUUAAUAGCUGUAUUAAUUUAUGAAAUCUUGUUUAAAAGAGUGACAAUUAGCACAAUGAUAAAUCAGAAAUUGAUUGUACAAUAGAUGGUCUAGUGGCAGAAUACUCGAGUUUGGGAGCAAUUCUGACAUAAUUGUUUGAUGUGAUUGUUAGCAGAGAAAUUGCAGUUAAAUGAAAUCCACUUAUUGAAGACAAUUGCCUUUGGCUUUUAUAUACUUAUGCAACUGAACUUGUGCAGAAUCCGCAUGAAUGAUAUUUUUCACCAUCAUACUUUUUUUUGGGGUUUAGUUGAUCUGAUCGGUUCAUCCAAUUUCAUAUAUAUGAAGUAUCUCAGUGGGAAAGCCUGCUUGCAUCUAGAGGGUGUAAAGUGUAGUAAUCAGCUUAGUGUCUUGUUACCUAACUGCAGUACAUUUUCUUACAUGUGUUGUGUAUGUAAAGCUAAAUAGGUUAAUUCAAGUUAAGUCACAUUUAUGUUCUGUGAGAUGUUGACCAGUUAUAUGGUUAAAUACUCGCUGCAGUAUUUCAGAUCUUUGAGUGGUCUAAAUGCUGUAGGUUUUGAAAGUUUGGAUGCGAAUAUGUCAGCUAAAGGGAUGACAAUAUCAGUAAGUACGGACGAGGAACUUGGCAGCAGUAUGGAGAGGAAAGAUGCGGCCGAUGACUUUGGAGAACCUGAUAAUAGUUUAAGUCUGGUAUUUUAGUUUAUACACAUGCUUCUACAGAUAAUGCAAAUUAUAAUGUAUAUCUACCUGCAAAUCCUUCAAAUAUAUAAGUAUCUGUAAAUCUACAAAGAAAAUGAAGAGGCUAGGGAUUUGUCUGAAGAAUAGGUAAUAUGACUUAUAUGCAUGAAAUAAUAAGAACAAGUUUAGUUAAAAAAAAUAUGUUACUAUAAAGAAAGGGAAUGAGAAGUUAAUAGAAGGGGAAGGGCAAAGAAAAUACCUUAUGAUAGCUCCAUCCCUGUGACAUACUUAUUUAGGCUAGUUUGAGUUUGUGUAAGGCUCUAUUACUGCCCAUACGCAUAAGCUCUCAACCAACCCCCCCCUCUUCUUGAAAAAAAAAAACCUUUAGCAAAAAUUUUCUGUGUACCCACCCAGUUUGCUACAAAUAGUUUAUGUGAGAGGUGUGUAUCUGUGAAAGUUUUGGCUUCUUAAUACAAGAGUAGAGUUCAAGGCAAGAUUUGGUGGAUUGCAGGUUACAAAGAAUUGCUGGAGAAAAAUUGUGCAAUCCAAAAUAUUAGAAGGCAGAGAAGAGAUGAAAUGGGAUUUCCCUCUAAAAAACUAACAGAUAGCUUCAUUUCAUUAGAAAUUUAAUUGUGAGUGCAUGAACAAAAAGUACUCUAAAAAAGUCGUACAAGUUUUAAGAACUCGUGUUGUUUUACUGCCUAUUGUUUCUUUCAACAGCCCUAUAUUGUUGUACGGUGUGAGAACUGGAGAAGAACAACAAACAAGUCUUUUCUUUAUCACAAAAGAGAUGAAAGAAUAAGAAAGAUAUUGUAAUUCGGUACUUACAAUAAAAACAUGUAGAUAUCAUGGUGUCUUAGCUUCCCCAUUAAGGUAGAUAGUGGAGCAAAAUAUCUUUGACCACACAGUACAUUCAGCUAGCUAGGGCUUGAUUAUUUAGUUAUCUAUGAGUAUCAAAAUUACUGAAAUCAUGUUUAGAAAAAAAAGUAUAAAAAAUGCACUCUAAGAAUAGAGGACAUAUUGUUCAUUAAUUAACUUGAAAAGCAAACAAAAUAUGAUUGUGCUUCCUCUAUUCACAGAGGAUUAAAACAUGAAUUUGACCAAAAAAACGAAGAACUUAAACUAUGUACCAAUUUUGGUAUGUAGUCGGUUUGGCAGAGAAUUUGAGUUGGUUUGGUAUGUAGGCAACUUAUCACAGACUGCUGGUGGUGGUGGUGGUGGUAAACUCCGCGCUCGGAAAAUCGAGAAUUAAAUGCCAGCUUUAGGCUUAGAGGUAACUUUUGGUUCCUGUGGAUCCCUAAUUUAUGGUUUCGGAGGCUUCCAUUAUUUUCCUCCUCAAUAUCAUGGUCAUAGUCCAAUGCCCCUACAGCAAAUUGGCCCAAAUAAGUUUGCUACCCUUUGGCUCGCAACUGUGGGGCAAAAAUCACCACAUUGUGCUAGGUUGAGCGUGUUCACCACUUCACCACUUGAGGAGGAGGAGCAUUCUGCUACCCCGGGAAGAAGGAAGAUGAUUCUUCUUAUAGGAAGGGGAUGAAGAAGGAAUCUUGUUUUGUUCCCAACAUUGUAUUAGACAAUAGUCUUCAACUCGAGGUAGAGGAGCAUGUUCAUUUCUAUAUUGACGCUAUAGACGCAAAGACAGGAUACAAAUCAAGGACAGAUUUUAUUUCUAUCGUCAUGACAAUCCUCAUCUGGAAGAAGAACAAAAUCUAGUAGUACACAAGAAACUGCUGCAAAAAUCUGGUAGAGCUAAUCUGAAAGCAUCUAAGCUAAUUUGAUACAAACUGGAUGAGGUACUCAUCAAGUGUGGUGUAUUUAACAUCAGGAUAGAGCUCCGUUGCCUCCAUGCCAAAAGAAGCCUUGAUCUCAAAGUUGGCAAUUUCUCCCUUCACGAAAAAUGUGUAUGCCAAAGACAGGAGCAAUUUUAAUGGCAUUGAAGCCUCUGCGAAAGAUACAAGAAAAGAAAGCAAUUUGAUUAGAACGUGGAAUAGUAGAUGCUAUUGUAUUAAAAAUUAGCAACUUGUGCACUUUUUUCUUAUUGUUAGAUGACCUUGAAUUUUCUUAAGAACUUCGUCCCCUGGAACGUAGAUCUUUUCGAGGGUCUUGCCAAUUUUCUUUUCCCACAAUGAUACUAUUUCGUUGUAGGACAAGGUGUUGGCAGGGGGUGUAAUGUACACACUCUUGUUCAGAGUCCUUGGGUCAUCUGCUGCUUUGAUGGUGUAUGCAGCAAUGUCUUCUUCCUUGGUGAAAACAACUGCAACGAAACAUGAAAUUGAAGAAAAAAUUGAGAACGAUGAACUCUAAAAGAUGAUACUAAACCAAUCAAGAUAUGCAGCAGACAAGCCCCUUUCGGAUACCUUUUGGAUUUCCAUCGCCAAGAAUGACAAUUUUGUCUCUGGGAGGACUGCAGAGAAAGAGUCUCCAAAGUUGUUGAGGAUAUAAUUCAAGUAACCAGCAAAUCCGUUAGAUACUAAAUAAGUGUAAGGUAUCCCUUCUGCCUCAAUAGCUCUGCGGAUCUCAACCUUGGUCCUGUUUAAGCUAGCAGCAGGCUCAACAGCGUUCGCACGAUCCACAUCAACCCCAAAUUCAGAAGGUAAAAAUCUCUGAAACCAAAUACAGCUCCUUCUUUAGGAAUAUGGAAGUCACAACUCACAAAGGGACAAACGCAAAAAAUAAAAAUCAAGAAAGAAUUUGUAACACUGUAUUGUGCUUACUUUGAUGUUUCCAGCUUCUUUAAUUGCUUCAAUAAUCUUAACUUGAUGAGCUACCAAAUCUCCCCCGACUGCAGAGAUCACUAUGUCAACUUGUUUGAUUGCAUUUACCAACUGCUGAUGAUUGUGUAGAUCUCCCUGUUCAGUCCAUACGUACAUGUCAGUUUCUAUAAUUUCUUGAAAAAAAAUUGAAACAGUAUUUAGACAACGAAGAAAGAAAUAACAGCACACAUGAAGAAAUAUGACUCCCAAACUCUUGAAACUCUCGAUGAUGGCUGCCCUCUUAGGAUCUGAAAUUGUGCUUUUCUGAGUGCAACGUUGGGUGCCCUGCUUUUUUGCUUGCUUCCACUAAAUAUUUCCCGAUGUUUCCAGUGCCCCCAAUGAUCAAAAUCUUGCUUUUCACAUCCAUUUCCAACUCUAGGAUAGUAAAGUACUGUAUGGAAACCGUAAAUCGAUGAGCUGAACAGAUGCAGAAAUGUGCCUAUAGGCUGCAGCUUCGUGCACGGUUAAUUUAUAGAGGAAAAAGUAUUGAAACUGGCAAGCAACGCUGUCGCUGCAGUUUCCUUUUGAUGCUCUAUUGGCUUCUGAAAUUUCGAAAAUGCUCCAAGAACCAAUCAACGGAAGUUAGACAGUUGAACAUUAUCACGAGGUUUCCUAAAAAAUCAUAGCACUAACGGAUUCUUAUUGGCCAAGAUGCGCAAUGUGUAGGGGUGCUUGGCAAUUGCGAAAGAGAAAGGUGGCCAAAGUCAAUUGAAUGUGCUUGUGAAACUACUCAUAUGGGAGAUUUAGCGGUAGGAUUUCGCCCCUGAAUCAGUGAUGACCAAACCUGAAGUAAGCGCUGAUGUUAAACAAAAUGUUGAAGCGAACAAAAAGAGCAUAAACUUAGCACUAAACGUUAAACAAUGUGCUAGAAAAAAAAAAUGAAAAGAACAACAUUAUUUUUGAGGGGAAAAUUUGUCAAAUCAUAUUUCACAUAAUCUAAUUGAUAGCCUCUCACACUUUACAAAAUGAAUUUUUUCGUUCCUUACAUUUCACAAAAUCACUAAGCAAAAUCCUCGAUGACAAUUAAAAUGUAGCAAUAAUUGUUAGGAGGAUUAAAAAGUAUAAGCCAUGAGGACACCUUACUCAAUCAAACAAUAGUUCGUGCAAUGUCAUUCCAUCAAUUUUGGUUUAUCAUCUUUUAAUUCCGUGAAAUUUGCUUUUUUUUUUUACUUGUAAUGUUAUUAUUUAUUCAUUAUACUUUGAUUUCAUAAAAUCAAAAUAGCUAAUCUUAGUUGAUCAUAAUUCAACCCCAAAUUCAGAAGAUAAAAAUCUCUGAAACCAAAUACUGCUCCUUCUUUAAUAUGGAAGUCACAACUCACAAAGGGAUAAACGCAAAAAAGAAAAAUCAAGAAAGAAUUUGUAACCCUGUAUUGUGCUUACUUUGAUGUUUCCAGCUUCUUUAAUUGCUGCAAUAAUCUUAACUUGAUGAGCUACCAGAUCUCCCCCGACUGCAGAGAUCACUAUGUCAACUUGUUUGAUUGCAUUUACCAACUGCUGAUGAUUGUGUAGAUCUCCCUGUUCAGUCCAUACAUACAUGUAGUAGAUAAUCACACCAUACCACAAUAACAAUAACAAUAAUAUCAUUAUCCUUGUCCCUAUGCCAUUAUAACACAAUCAUGGCCAUAUCCAAUCAACAAUUAGCAUGCUUAAAUUAUAAGGUUAAAUUUAGAUCCUACCUUGGUCAUGAAAUUGUAGUCAAUAGAUAAUCUUUAGUCGCAGUUUAACCACCUGCAGCCACAAACAUCGGAUUUUGGAAAUAUAGUUAGAAGAUGUAAAAAGUUUCCUAUGGAUAUUCAUAUGUAUGUAUCAAGUAUUCCAUAAUGAAAUUUCCAUAUUCACACAAUAGCUAUUGAGAAAAUAUUGCAGUAGAAAACUCACAAUUUUUAUUAUAUUAGCUAAACAUCCAAAACUCCAGAAAAAGAGAAAGUAAAUGAGCAUACCUGUCUAAACACCCACAAAAAAAAUUUGAGCACAUGCACUUGAAGCAACAUUCUUCAGUAUUAAAAGCCUCAAUUAUUAUCAAGUUGAAGAGCACUACAAUUAUACUUGUAAUGAAUUGAAAAUAUGAACCAAAAUCAAUCAUGUUCAUUAUUAAGUGUUUCCUGAACCAAUUAUCUUUAGCAUUAAGACCCUCUAUUAUUGUAGUUAUAAAAGUUAUCCAACAAUUAUAAAAGAAGAUGGAGAGUAUUGCAAUUACAUUUGUAAGUGGUUGAAACACCACUUAAAUGCUUGAUAAUCAUGUGGAAUAUAAGCCAAUUGUAAAUGGGAGGACACAAUAGUCAAACCCAACUCAACUAUACAUUAUAAUGUUGCACGUUUGGCUUAAUCACUUGUAUUUGAUUUUUUUCCUACCUAAAUUAUCUCUAAAGAUAAUAGAUGAAAAUUUUUCAACAAUCACUUACAAACUCCUUUUUAUAUAUAUAGGAAACAUUACAAUGUGCUAGGAAAAAAUGAAAAGAACAACAUUAUUUUUCUUUUUAUAUAUUCAUCGAAUACUGGUAGAAGCCUGUACUCAUAGGCAUUUGGGUACAACGAAUCCGGACAAUGCAAUUAAUAUAAUUGAUAGGGAAAAUCGUUGAAAGCGUUACUCACAUUUUUGUAAAAUGAUUUUUUUCCGUCUCGCAUUCUAAAAAAUUGAUUUUACGUCUUUUAUAAAUUCAUAUCAGUUAAAUUUUGUCCCUAUCUAGGUUUCCAACUAAUUUUUUCCGGAAUUCACCACGUGCCCUGCAUGUGAUCAUGUUUGAGGGAAAAAAUUGUCAAAUCAUAUUUCACAUAAUCUGAUUGAUAGUCCUUCACAUUUAAUAAAAUGAAUUUUUUCAUCCCUUACAUUUCACAAAAUCACUAAGAAAAAUCCUCGAUGACAAUUAAAAUGUAGCAAUAAUUGUUAGGAGGAUUAAAAAGUAGAAGCCAUGAGGACACCUUACUCAAUCAAACCAUAGCUCGGGCAAUGUCAUUCCAUCAAUUUUGGUUUAUCAUCUUUUAAUUCCAUGAAAUUUGCUUUUUUUUUAAUUGUAAUGUUAUUAUUUAUUCAUUAUACUUUGAUUUCAUAAAAUCAAAAUAGCUAAUCUUAGUUGAUCAUAAUUCAGACAAGUUUGGAGCACGUGUACUUUCUAAAUAAGAAUAAAUAUCCUGUUAUGCUUAGAAUGACAUAGAUGAAAAUUUUGGUUUGCUAAGUUGGGGAAAAAAAAAGGUAUCUCUCAUAGACAAUCUAACAAUACAUUCCUGAGUAAUUUAGAAUUCCAUUUUGUGUUGUUCCAAUUAAUUGUCUCUAAAAAUUAUAGCUAUGAGGAGGCUAAAUAAAACCAGCGGCAGAGGAGAAAUUUGGCAUGGAAUGACAAUCUUGAGAUUGUCGUGAGAAUGGCAAUCAAAUUGUGAUAGUAAAUUUGCACAAAACAAAUAACUUUUAUUAGUUAUUGUAACUUGCUAUUUAAAUAUUAAAUCUUAUUAGAUUUUUCAGCAAAAAUUACCAUUUUUUCCCAAAACUUAACAUUUUUUUUAUAUAAAACAUAUGAUUUCUCAAGAAAAACUUAUGACUUCAUUAACAAAUCUUACCACUUUUUUAGUAAAAUUUCGUAUAUCAUUAACAAAAGCCUUUCUAUUUUUCGAACAAAACUUCCCUUUUUUUUUUGACAAAACUUGCUACUUUUUCAAACAAAAUUUAUGACUUUGCUAAUAAAAUUUAACAUUUUUUCAUGUACAAUAUGCCAGUAAAGAUCUAAAUAAUUAUAAGGUUGAUUACUACUGCCAAAUGGGAAUUGGCUGGAGACUUGAAUAGAACUGAAUAAGGACAGCUGUAGUACAGAUGAAUAAGUACCAAGAAGAUGCCCAAUUGGAUGUUAUUUGGCCCCGGAUAUUUGAUAAAGCUACCCCAGAAUCCCAGAUGGGUGGUUCAUUUAAAUGUUAGUAGAAAUUGCUGAUAAAGAUGACUACCUAAAAGUCUUCAUGGAAAAUUGACCGCCUACACCUGGACACAAAAUAUUGGAUAGAGGAUCCCGGCUCCUGCUCUCGAGCGAUGUAUAUAUUUUGUUUUUCAUCAGACUUAUCAGUAUGAACCAGUCCAUCGACAACUUGAGAUAGGGAUCGUUGUCAGGUUAACUGUCUUGAACGAUUUUUGUUAAUGUAUUGAAUAAUAAGUUAGGUCGUCAAUGAAAGUCCCCAUACUGCCGUGGGAAAAUCCGUAUGUUUUGUGGGAAAAAAAUCCUUGGAGACAUAUUCGAGAUUCAAUUAAUGGAAAUGUUCACUCGCUAUCAGUUGGUUGAUUUACUGAUUUACGCUACCGUAGAACUUCCACCCUCUUUUUUGUAAUUUAAAUUAAUAUAAAAUGUUUGAUAGAAAAGCACCAAACCAAUUGAAAAUUUGUCAAAUGGGAAUAACAAAUGUUUUGGGGUUUGGACAAUUUUCGUCUUUAAAGUUUCCCUGAAGGCAUAUUUAGUCCUACCCAUUUCCAAAUUUUCACCAGUUCUGUAUAUUGAUGACAAAUCAAAUAAUUUGGCACCAAAAAAAAAGUUUGACGAAUAAUGAAUUAAGUCUUGUACACUAUUAAUGUAAAUAUUUUUUAAAGAAAGAUGACAAAAAUUAGCAAAUAUAUGGGGUAUAAUAUGAGUAUUUACUAACUAUUCUUAAAAGAGGGAAAGAAAAGAAAAAAUUAGAAAAACUUAUUGGAAAAGUUUCCUUGAUAUCUCAAAACAAUUGCCAAAAUAGAAAAACAUAUUUUAAUAUUUGAUUUGGAUAUGAAUUUUAUCGAAGGUAAUCAAUAUAGAAGUGCAUGUAAAAACCAUAGUAUGGAAAGAGAUGUGAUUUUUUUGAGCAUCUCUAUAUGUUUUUUAUCUUUGUCUUUCAACAGUGGUGGAAAGAAAAGAGUACUAGAGAAUUUUCUAUGACUUUUAUUUUCCCUCUGGGCUCUGGUUGUUGCCCUGUGAUAGUGGCAAUAGAGGCAACCUUGGUGGUGGUUGUGGAGGUAGAAAAAUGGUAGCGUUCGUGAAUUUUGGUGGCAGAGAGAAUAAUAUAAGACAACUUUUUUUAAAAAAAAAUGGUAAUUUAAAAUUUUUUAUGUGAAAUUUGUGUCUUUUCAAAGAUUGUAUUACCAAAACAAUAAAUACAAGAGUGGUCAGCAUAAUUGUUGAAUUUAGAGGGCACUAGGUGAAUCUUAGAAGCGGUUUCAAAAAUUUUUCCCUUUUUUAUUCACUUUAUCCUUGUGACAAAUAGAAAUACAAGGUAUUUACCACAUAUUUUUGUCGCUUUUAAGUUAGUUUAUUUUAUUUCUAUAAAAUUUUUUGAAUCUAUAAUGUACAAAUUUUGUGGCAAUUUUGAGGAAAUGGAGAAUGAGUAUUUAAUGUGAGAGAAUAAUUAAGUUCACAUUGUGUUGCGUAAAAAAAAAAAAGAGGAUCAGGUUGUGCUCCAAAUUAAAGAAUUACAUAAUGUCUUUGAUUUUACAAACUCUCAUAUUUGUAUUAAUCACUUAAAAAUGUUGUGAUUUAAACGCGCUUUUUAUAGGUGAACGUUAUUAAAAUUACUUUUUACCUCCCAAUUGAACAUGAAUACAAAAAAAAAAAAAAAAAAAAUAUUGGGUUGGAAGUCAUUGCUCAUUAGGGAAUGGCAGCAAUGGACUUCACAUGAUUUGCAGAUGAACCACCAACAAAUGAUGCGGAAAAUAUUCUGGACUUCCAGGCCUAUGAAUUUUCGGCUGCCGAAAUCCGUCAUUGGCCCAACCUGAACAAGGCUCUACGUAAUCCUACUGUGCAACACUCAACUUCACGGGCCCUAAGCUCUGUGUCAAAACUCCUCAGGUAAUCAUUUUGUCCUUCUUUUUUUAAAAAAAAUUUCUGUAGAUAAAUAGAUAAAAUGGUAACCCAUGAAAAUGUUGGAAACGGGCCUCACAAGUAGAAAAUGCAUCUAGUUCAUGCUAGUUUGUGUAAUUAUUGGAAUCACUGGGUGAGACACACACUCUAUGUGUGCAUAUAUUUUAGGAAAAAGUAAAUAAUGAAAAAGAUAUAAAACAACAAACUAGUUAGAGCAAAAGAAUUGAUUAUAGAGUAUUGGGAUUUUUUUAAUUGAAGUUAGCGGGAAGACUUGGAUAUAUAUAGUAGUAGUGGAUAAGUACGGAACUUAGAAGUAGCAGUUAUGUCAGCAUGGAUGGCAUGGAGUAUGAGAUGGCAAUAUAAUACUUCAUUAUGCAAGGAGAAAAAUUGGAAUAACAAAUGAUGAUAGAAAUUUUUUAACACAAAUCACAACUAUUUGGCAAAAAACUCUUGAAAAUACUUGCAAAACCUCUUAUAUUAAAUUGCGCAUAAUUAGUAACAUAAUUUUAGAGUACUAGAAGAAGGGAGAGGGAUGGAUUGGAUGGUAAGAGGGAAGGGAGUACAAAUAAGAGAUCCUGGGUUCAAGACUUUCUACUUACAUUAAAAUAAAAAAAUACAAUAAAAAUAAAAUAAAGUAAGAAAAUCUCUAGUUUGAUCAAACAAUGUUACAAUGGCGCAACAGUUUAAUUUGUUAUGAUGGGAAGUUUUAAAGAAGUUGACGGUCGGUUUUUUUCUUCUCUACUUUUGUAGAUUGAAAAGCGUAUUUUAGGAAAGUCAAAGCAAUAUUUUGCUAAUCUUGUUUUGGUUUGUUUAUGUAAGCAUUAAAAUAUGAGAGCUAAGUGUGAUUCUUGAUGCCUAUUGCUAACUUUUGCAAUUAUGUUAUACCUCAAAGGGGUUAAUUUCAUAGAAUAAUACUUUCGUGUAAAAUUCUAUGGAUCUUUGCACCUAUUCAGUGUCAUUGAUUUGCAGAAAAAUGUGAGAAAGUCACUUCAAAGAGCAGCUCUUGAGCUAGUUAUGGCAAAAAAUUCAUCUAUCAGAGUUGCCAGUCUAGUAUCUUUGGUUUUCCUGGAUAUCAAUGGUGAUAGAAGCUGCUUCUGGGAGAUAUGGACCUCAAGUUCUGUCCAAUUCUUUCCUCUACCCUUGAUCAAAGCUACUCUUACUCAAGGUCACAGACAAUGGCGAUGUUGAAGUUGAGAAUUGUUAAUAGUAAAUUUUGAGGUAAAUAGGGUCUUAAACUCUGCAAUUUAUACAAGAUAUUGGGCAACCCCUUUUUUCUUUUAAAUGUGUUUAUGAGCAUCAAAAACAAGUGGGUUGAAGAUGGCAGUGAAAUUGUGAAGACAAUUUUGGUUAAAGAUUGGGAGUCAAAUUAUGCUCUACUAAAUUGUGAAAUUUGAGAAAUGAAAACAAAUAAAGUGAAUUCAAGAUUGAUUUCUGUAUUGCUACAUAUUUUCCUGACAAAUCGAUAAUCCAAAAUAUAAGAACUAUUUUUCUGGAAAUCAUUUUGCUUUUUUUAUUUUUUGUUUUUUAUUUUUUUGUAAGCGGGAGGACUCGAACCCGAGACCUCUCACUUACACUCCCUCCCCCUAGAAAUCAUUUUGCUUACCUUACUAUUUUCCGUUAUUAACCAAACCAUCAAGAAUUUAGCAUUUCUAAGGAAUUGCAAAGCCAACAGCAAAACAUGGAGUCAAGCAUAUGUUCUAAUUAUUCUGCAUAAUUUUGUUUAGUUUAUGGAAGUCUCUUGUCAGGCAAAACAAAAUAAUAAAAUUUUUUAGGCAAACUAUUAUAACCUUUAUAGACAUACAAUCCAUCGCAAAUAAAAGGAGGUCUAAUUUUCAUAUUACAUCAGCAGAUGCCAAGCAAAACUGAAAAACAGCAAGCACUCAAAAUAUUAUAAUCAUACAAAACACAGUAAAAUUACAACUGCUUCUCAAAUCACCUAGAAGAAAUUGCUCAUCCUGAGAGCCAAACAACAGCAGCAGCAAGCACUUGAAUGAUUGUGGGCCUAGCAGAAGUGUACGAAUUUGGCAUGAUAACGACCACAUCAUACUACAUUUAAAUUGCCAACCAAAAAAUGGAUAAAUCAUGGCAAAAUUUGAUACAAGAACACGAUCGUCUACAUGAAACCCUUCACUUUCUUCCCUGAAUCGGUGAUGACCAAACCUGAAGUAAGCGCUGACGAACAAAAUGUUGAAGUAAACAAAAAAAAAAGAGCAUAAACUUAGUAUUAAACGUUAAACAAUGCGCUAGAAUCUCUUCAUUUGCUUCGAUACCACAAGAAAAAAAAAUGAAAAGAACAACAUUUUGUUUAUAUUUCAUCAUAUACUGAUAGAAGACUGUAUUCAUAGGCAUUUAAUCCAAACAAUACAAUUAAUAUAAGUAAUAGACACAGUUUGCUUAGACAAUUCAGAAACUAGUCAAGGAAUGGAGUCAAUCAAGAGAUUUAUUAAUUUUUUUGUCACAAUCUAUGGAUGAGGAUGGAUUUAGCCAUCAAUCUCUCAUGUUUAAGGGUCUCUCUCUUUUUUUUUUUUUUGAAUUUCUUGCUCAUUAAUUUUUGUUGGGGCAGGUGGUGUUUUGAGCUAACUUAUGUGCAUUUUGGAUUAAACCAACUUCCAACCCUUAAAUAUUCAUCCCAAGGACAUAAUUAAAGAUGGUAGAGCUUUGCUAAUUAAAAAUCUAGUUAAUUUGUUUAAUAUCCGACUUGGUAAGCUUGUCCAAUUAGUGCUAAACCCUUAGGGCAUGUUAAUAUAUAUUUACAAGGCACUGUGCAGUGUGCACUAGAUCAGCCUUGGGCAUGUCCUAACCUAUGGUCAAUGUGAUUUUUGAAAGCUAGAUCCUCAAAUGAUCAUAUGUAGUCAAUUUGUUCAUUUAACUUCCAACGUAUUUUACUUAUAGCACUAGGAGGUGUACACCGCGCGUAUGCCUAGUUUUGCUCAAUAAGCUAAUAAGAAUCUAGAAAAUAGAAAAAAACGAAAUCGAAAAGUAUAAUAAAGGACAUAAUAGACUAUAGAUGUAGUAAAGUUAUGACUAAAAACAGAUAAUAAGUAGAUUGUAAAUCGUCGGUGUAGCAAAGGUACAAUUAAAAAUAACACAAGAAGUAGAUUGUCAGUCAUUAAUCUUGAGAUUGUUGAUGUUGAGGUUGUCAAUAUUGAGAGCUUCAUCCAUAGGCAGUGAUUAUUUCAUGAGCUACAUAUCUGGUCAGUCUAAAUCUAGAAGGAGAAGGCUUGAUGUAACAUAUAACUAUAUUUCCCUGUAGAGUAGUCAGGAGAUGUUGAGUUAAAUCUACAUUUUGGUGGAGAUAAAAAAAGAAAGUACUAUAAGCUGUCGAAGAAAUAGAAGGAAACAGUUAUUACAUUAAAAGAAAUGAUAAUCACUCCUGUCUGUAAAUAGUAGAGCUUUAGUGGCCUCCAAAUAGCUAGGCUGGUCAACGGGUCGGGUCUAGACCCGGAUCCGGACCAGAUCCGUGAAAUUAUUGCGGGUAUGGGUAGGGAUUUAAUUCCGUUUCCCGGAUCCGGAUCCGUUUUGUCAAACAAAAAAACGGAUCGGAUACGAAAUAUAGUAUUCUGACCCGUAUUAGACCCGGAUCCGGAUAUAAAUGAAUUAAUAAUUUAAAAAAUAUAUAUUUAUCAAUAUAAUUUGAUUAAGGUGAUGUAUUUGAAUAAAGUCAAUUUGAUUUCUUUUUUUAUUUGGUUUUUUCUUUGCAUUAGUUAGAAAUUAGUUUACAAAUAUAUUUUUUUCUCAUUUUUAUUAGAAAUUAGAAAUUUUGCUAAAUUUGUUUGGGUAGACCCGACCCGGAUCCGGGACCCGCCGGAUCCGGAUCCGGAACAUAGAAUAAAAGACCCGUCGGAUAAACGGGUCGGAUCCGGGCCCGGUAUAGUAAUUCGGGUCCGGAUCCGGAAUAAUGAAUUCCGGCCCGAACCCGAUCCGUUGACAGCCCUACAAAUAGCCUUGAUCAGCUUUAUCCCUCUAUAAUCACCACUCUCAUAUGGCUUCUGAAUCAGUUUUUGCCACCUAUAACAAGCAGUAAACAAAUUUCAGCAAAUGGGAAGAGCGAGGGAACAAGCUCAUUUGCAUUAUAAUGUUGAUUAAAAAAAUAACAAUAAACAAAAAAAAAAGAUUUGGCCAUCUUUAACUCUUUGAACAAUUUUUCUAGGAAAUGUGACGCAAAAACUGAAUAGUAACUGCUUGUUUUUAAAUCAUCUCGAGCAUCAGCCAUAAAAUUGUCAAAAAAAAUAAUAAUAAUAAGCUCACCAAGCCUAGUUACACCAUGGUUCAACAUGCAAGAAGCAAAGUAGGUUAUAAAGGUCUUCCAACUUGUUCUGCAGCAAUUGAUAAUGACCUUAAUUGAUACAUGCUAGACAAUAGCCAGUGGUUUAAUAACAAUCAGGAAAAACAUUACUCGGGCACUUGUUCAACUAAUGCCAGAAUUCUUUGCUGCUGCCAUACCUGAAGAGGGGUACCAGUAAGACACCACAUGCAAUAGGAUGACAAUUUGAAGGCAGCCUGGGCACCUAGAGUUUUAGAGGACUUGAUGGUAUGAGCUUCAUCCAAAACCACUCUGUACCAGUCAACUCUGUGGAAAAUGCUAUUCUCCCCAUCCUGUGUUGAACAUAUAAAAUAGUAAUCAUUAAAAAUGUUUCAACAGGGGAAAAGAACAAGCAGCAUUAGCAAUUGGAUUUAAGUGGUGGAAACUAAAAAAAUGGAAAUGGCCAGCUUUUCAUUCUUAUAAGCUGCAAGUAAAUGGAUUUCGGUGGUGGAAAGUAACAAAAAAUGGAAAUAGCUAGCUUAUAUUCUUACAAGCAGCCGUUAAGACAUUGUAUGUGGUCAAGAUCACAUUAGGUUCAGCAAUCACUCUAGGGUCACUGCUCCGAUCCCCACCAAAAAAGACAGAAACGGAGAUGCUAUCUGGCUUUGAGUGUGUUUCAAGUUCAUCCUGUUCAUUCAGUAAAUUCUUAUUCAGAGAAGACGACAGUAUAUCCUUGUGCCUAUCCAUUAACUAACAUACGAUCAGAAAAUCAGUAAUGCAGUUUCAGAACAAUGUAGCUAAACCUAUUCAGAAUGCAUACAAACUCAGAAAACUUUGUUAUUCUGGCUGAAUCAAAUAUAUUAUAGGGACUCACCUUCCGCUGGCCAAGCAACGCCAUAGGACGAAUAAUGAGGGUGCUGCCUUUCACUUUUCUAAAAGGUUUGAGAUCAGAUUCCUCUUUCUUUUUCUUGAUGUACUCUGUAUCACCCUCACUUUUGGCAAUCGAUUCUUAAUCCUCAGGGUACCUCUGCCUUGCCUUGCAAGAAUCAGAGCAAUAGUCAUCACAGUUUUCCCAAGCCCCAUUGCAUCUGCCAAGAUCCGCAGAAUAUUCAGCUUAGAAUAUAUAAUAAUUAACAUUGAUACUCAAAUGGACAGUCAGUAACAGUAGCAAGAGAAACUUGCCCCUCCUCUUGCUAUCUGUGUUGCUAUUGGAAAUUGUGUUGCAGCUUCCCAAGAGAAAAUGUUAACAUAUACUGUGGGAGCCCUCCUGAAACAAAUGAUCAAAUAACUCCUGAAACAAAUGAUCAAAUAGUAGCAUAAUCAAGCUUAAGGCAGUUAAUGCUCAAGGAUUUUAUAAGCAGCUGCUCUUUUUUUUUUUAAUAUUUCAAGGACAGAAAUACAUAUUCAUCACAUAUACGAUACUCCAACAAGGAUGAAACGUUUUUGGCCCCUUUCAGAAUAACCUACAUAUCAACUAACCUGACUGCGUCGUUCUUGUCGGCAUAACAUUUGUAUGAUCCUUCGUUCGAGUUGCAAAACCAACAGGAAUAUCAGAUGAUUUGCUGGUCCCAUCUUUGUUAGUCGACACAUCAUUUAUUAUUUGAGAAUGAACCACCAUAUUUUUCUGAAUCGAUGGGAUAUCUGCAAUGGCAAAUCCUAAUAAGGUGCCCAAAAGACACAACAUUAUCUUAGAAGUGGAGAAGAAUUUUUUUUAAGUACCGGAGAUUGAACAAGAAAAGCAAGCAAAAUAAUUGGUACAUAUAAUAAUAUUUGUAUCUUGAGAAGUACUAGAAGACUGGAGAUUCAAUGUAGUAGAAGAAUAAAUACAGUCAUUUAACGAGCAAUUCAAAAAUGGACUCUGCAAAGAACCAAGAAUUUUAGAAUUCAAGUUCCGCGUAGGUUCAAAGAUGUUAGCUGUAUUUUAACAUCAAGCACCACAGGUUUGUUCAUUGUCUUAAGAGAUCGCAAUGUUAACUUCUGAAACAGGAGACCAUGCCUUAGACAAUGCAUUUCCAUGCCUCCGCUUACAAGGUUGGUCAUUAGGUAAGGAAUCAAAAGAUAGAUGUCCUUUUUUUUUUUCCUUUUUCUUCCUUUUUCCAGCAUUAGUUUCUAUCUGACAUUUCUAACGCUGAGCUCUGUCAUUGAAUGGAGUUGCUGCAACGUGCAUAAAUAGACGGCCUUAUUUUAUUAAGAAUAGUUUAUGAAAGACAACGAUACUAAAGGCUGAAUAAGAAAAGCAAGAAGAAUGAUUUGUUGGAUGCAGUAAUAUCUCUAUCUCGCGGAAUGCUGAAAGAUCAGGGAUUCAAUGCAAUAGAAGAGGAAACACAGUCUCUGGACAAACGAUUUAAAGACGGAGUGUUCAAAGAGUUAAGGAUUCCAGAGUUUGAGUCCUUUAAAGAUUGAAGUAUGUAAUUUUGUUGACAUUUUGAGAAUCACAAGUUUGUUCGUUCUCAUUGAAGACUGUAAUGUUAUCUAAGAGGUCAGGCAAUCCUUUAGGUAAGACUUCUUUAUGACUGUGCUAAGAAGGCUGAUCAUUAAUAGAAGGCCAAACGUUCGGCCAAAGAUGAGAAGACACAGUUUUUUUUCCAGCACUAGAUUCUGGUUGACCUUUUGUAACCUGAACUAUGUCAUUCAAUGGAGCUGCUGUAAUGUGCAAAAAUAGAUGGCUUCAAUCGUAAAUGGCACAGAAACGUGAAGCCAUUCAAAGAUAAUGAUCUGACACAAGGCUAAAUAAACUAACAGAUACAGAAUAGACGAGUAAAAUACUACAACGGCACAUAUACCUCGAGGAGUAAAACCACAGCCUUCAAGAGUAGCUUGCUAUCGCCCUCAAGAGUAGAACCAGGAAAACAAACACCGGCUUCUAUGCAACCAAACAGUACCCUAUGAACAUAAGAGCGUGAGGAUUUCUCCCUUUUUUUCCAAAAGCCUGGCUUCAUGCCUCCGACAUGAAAGUGCAGCCUUCUCACUCUGUGACAUUUCAACAUACCAUUUUUGACGAAUAGUAUUUCUAUCCACCUGACUUAAAUGACUAAGAACCAUCAGUCCAAAAAAAAAAAAAUCAGCCAAUGGCAAUUUACAAUAGCCACCAAAAACUAUAGUCGAAUGAUUGUAAAGAAGAACAAAAACAACAUUUACGAAUUGCUGUAAAGAACAUAAGAUAUAUGAUACAAUGAAAUAAAAAACAUGCAUGCAUACCAGCUCUAUUGCCAAAAAGUAAGAAGCAAAAAGAACAGAGCAUAAAUUUAUUAAACCAUGCAUGGCAACUCUUACAUGCGAGUUAACAACUAUUACGCAGAGGUGAUACUCAUGCAUGAACUAAAAACGGAAAAGCAAAAGUGGCAACUAAAUAAAGAAUGUACGACAAAAGGAAAAAGCAAACAAGACAAAUAAAUAAGCAUCUGACCUGCAACAGAAUUCCUGUCCCAACAAAUGACAAAGGAUUAGCUUCAAAGAAGGCCCCUUGCAAGAAUCAAAAGGCCAGCGAAUUCUACAAAGAAAGGCAUACCAUACGGAUGUAAAACAGGCAAUCACAAGAAUAGAAAGAAAAACUGAAAACAGAAAGAAAAAGGCAGGAAGUUUAAAAUGAACUCGCCACAACGGCAAAAGCAUAUACCAACAGCAGUUAUAAAAAAAGGAGGAAAAAACUUGAAGUCAGUUCAUAAAAAAGACAACGUUACAAAAGCGCUUAGAUAACAAUAGUCCAAAACACAUAAAUCCGUAGCAAGAAACUCACCAAGGCAAUUUUCCUAAAAACUCAUCCAAGCUGUUUUUGUCCCAAAAAACUGCAAAAAUCUCUUCUAAACUUGAAAAUCAAGAAGGCUACCGAUAAAUAAAAAUAGUUCAAGCAAAAAAACAACAAUAGGCUAUUGAUUUAAAAAAUCAUUGAUAAAAACUAUUAAACAUAACCUCAAACCUGAAAAAGAUGCCUCCUUUAUCAUUGAUCCCUUGCUCUAUUGGGAAAAAACAGAAAAACCCACAACACGGUUUCUUCAGAAAACAAAAAAAAAAAGUACAAAAGAACUCGGGCAUAAGAAAGUGCAGGAAUUAGAAGAAUCAAAACUUUUAAGCAUACAGAAUGCACUUUAGAAAAGGAAACAAAAGACUUGCAAGAUGUCAUCAGGUUGCCGGAAGUAAUUUCCAAUUUGUCACCUGCAACAUAGAAAUAUGUAAAUUAGACAACUACAACCCAUUUAAAAAAAAAAAAAAAUGAGGGCUAGAGAAGUUCUGCAAAGGAAGAAACAAGAACCUUUAAAAGUAUAUAUAUAAACCAUCUUUUUUGGCUUAUCAUUAUUCUCUAUCAGAAGACGAAGACAAAGAAAAGAGAAAGAGAAGAAGGGGGCUUUCUCGUCGGAGAUGAAGAAACGAAAAGAAACAGAGAGAGAGAGACGAUGAACAAAGAGGGAGAGAUAAAAGAUGGUUCUGAUCCAGUAGGUGUGACCAAAAAGGCUGACAGUCGGUAAGGUGGGAAAGAGAAAUAGGCCCAACCACUGUGUUUGAAAAAGAAAAAGGACUAUUACUACUAUUAUCACUUUCUUUAGUGGGUUGGAUGCAAGCAAAAAGACUCGGUGGCUCACAAACGGAAUUCACAUCCCAAUUUCCAACCAUCAAGUCACGUGAGCAGCUGGAGGACGACAACAUUUCAGCAAAUCAUGAACUGGCACGUCAUCAAAACCACGCACCCUUGGAGACUUUCCUAAGCACUUAGUCUACCUUAGGUUGAUAGGUUGAUGAAGGGCAUAGAUUGUAAAAUAUGGUAUGAGUAUAACAUGAGGUAUAUAUAUGCAUAAAAGAUUUAUUUUAAAAGGUACGAUUAAAAAUUUGGCAUGUUCGGCAAAAUUACUCAUAUAAAUUUGUACGUGUAUAGUACGAACAUAUUUGAAAAUUAUGGAACUAAAAAUAUAGAUAAAUUUACUAUAGUUUUCAAAGAAUAUGCCAUUUCUAUACAAAUCUUUAACUUAUUUUAAUGUAUGAGAUGUUAAAUUUAUUAAAAUUUGGUUAUCAUAUUAUUUAAAUAUGUAUAAAUCUACAAUUGUUACAUUAUAUGUUGUUCUUAUUUUGUAUAUAACUCAUGAACAUGUCAUUAUCAUUAAAUUUUAAUUUUUUUUAAAAAUUGAAAUAUAAUUCAUGAAGUAUAAUAUAUAACAAAAAUUUAUUACGUGUUUCAUCUAGUUAAUUGAAAAGUAUGAGCAUUUUUCAAAGUAUUUUUGAAAUCUAGGAAAUAUGAAGUUUUUUGAAGGGCAAAUUACAUUUUAUCCCCUGUGGUUUAGUGCUUUUUUACAUAACCCCCUUAUGGUUUCAAAAGUUAUACAUAACUCCCUCAUGGUUUGGACUAAAGUGUCAACGUAACGGAAAUAGUCAUUCGUAACGGAACUUUUGAAAAUAUUGAAAUUACCCUUAUAAAUACAAGAUACACUAACCAUGUAUGGUUUUUAUGUUUUACCAUAUAACCCCUUUAUAGUUUAAUAUUUUAACAUACAACCCUCUUAUGGUUUUCAAAAUAUACACAUAACCCUCCGUGGUUAAUAAAUAAUUUUCAACUUUAUAUAAGAGUAUUUUUUGAUAUUUUAGAUAACUCCGUUAUGAAUGAUCAUUUCCGUCACUUUGACACUUUAAUCCAAAUCAUAAGGGGGUUAUGUAUAGUUUUUAAAACCAUAUGGGAGUUAUGUAAAAAAACAUUAAAUCACAGGGGGUGUUUGCCCUUUUUUGAAUUAUACAUAAGAAUGAGUAUUAUAUAAGUAUACUACAAAUGCCCUCUAACUAAGAGAAAACAACAGGAACAAACUAACAUCUUCAAAUCAUUUGCACGUAUUACAUCCCUUCUUUCUUCAAGUAUACCUACCCAUAUUAAUAUCCUACCAGAAAAAAAUCAAUUCAGAUUAAUAUUCUACCCAUAGUUUUUUCUAUUUUUUCCCACUAAUUGCCCAAAUAAAUUAUUGUGGAUAUAACAAAAUGGUUGAUUAUUGUAGAAUAUAAUAAGAUGUUUCCACCACUUGUAAAACCUACCAAAGAAAUCCAUAUUCUAAAUUUCAAAUUUUUGCCUACUAAGCAUUUCAUCAUACUAAAAGAAAAAAUUACUAGGCAUUUCAUCAUACGGAGGGUACUAUAUUUGUUCAUGUUACUCUACAAUCAAGAUUAACAUGAUAGUUUUUUUCUAGUCAAUAAGAUCUUUGUACAAAUUGCUAUGUAUUAGAUUAAGAAUUAAUUUUGUAGAAAUGAAGUUCCGAGUGAAUUUACUUCAUUAGACUAUAUGCUCCUCAUUUGCUAAAAAAAAAAAAAUCUCUCAAGGAAAAACAUAUGGAUUUAAGAUGUUAAAAGCAGGGGAACAAAUAAGGUAAAGAACUAGUUUUGUACCAUGGAAGUUCACAUACAUUAAACAUAUAAUUCAAAAAUGUGUUUACACUUUAAUCAGGGAAAAUAAAAAUUAUUUGUUACAAAAACUCGAAAGAUUGGGCCCCUAAGACUCCGCUCAAUACCCAAGUAUUAUAUAUAUAUAUAUAUAUAUAUAUAUAUAUAUAUAUAUAUAUAUAUAUAUAUAUAUUAAAUCCAUCCCGCCCAAAUUACCUUUGGUCAUGGACAGCCCAUUGAAGUUUGGGAUCAUUUGCCACCAUUACCCUCACUUGUUCAUUAGCUCAAUAGAUAUAUUGUAGAGUGAACCCAAAGGUAACUCUUCCAUCAGUUUUACUUUACAUGGCCUGUGGUAUCUGAAUCGCAUGAAAUGAAAAACAUGUUCCAAACUGUGUUCUUUGCAACCCUGUCAAGUUUCUGUGUUGUGAUAAUGGCCAGAUUAAGGUAGCUCCUAUUGAAAAUCACAAAGAAUUGCUUAGAGUUAUUUACUUCAAAAAUUGAGGGAGGAUUCAAAUUCAAUGUUGGAAAACGUCGAUCCCAGCAUUAACGGCGUGUUCUCAACCCUGUUAAGGUAGCUUCUUUGGGGUAAAAUCAGAUAAAGAUCUUGCAUCCCUUAUUUUCUGCUAAUUUUUUCAUUUGUAAAUUCAAAAUUGAGAAACUAGUUCAAUAAUAACAUUAUAUUUUUCAGGCAUGCAUUUCUGAGAUCAAGAAUCAAAUUUCAUUUGAGAAAAAUAUGCAUAGAAUUUCGAAGAAAAAUAAAUGCACACUGAACCUUCAAGUUCGGACUUUGAAAGGUGUUAUCCACGCUUUACUAAUUUGACUAACUUCAUCUUUUGUGCUUCAUACACUUCAAUAUUAACUUAAUGAAGACUGCCUUUUUUUUUCUUUUGCAGAUGCUCUGUUCUAUGUCUUAUUGAACCAAAACAAGUUUGAUGGAGGAAAGUGUCAAUCACAGCCCAAUUACGUUAAUUCGUCCAUACCCACCCACUAAUAACCCACCCAAAACAGCCCACUAAUUUUAAAUUUUUAUUGUAAACUUAACACCUUAAGGCACUGACGGCACUAGCAUGUGCUUACUAAACCUGUUUAUUGACUAAAGGCACAUUAAUCUGUGGUUAAGGUUGAGAUGGGGCAAAAUCCCUUAUUUUCUGAAAAAUUUUUCCAUUUGCAAAUUCACUAUUGAGAAACUUGCUGAAGAACAAAAAUCAUAUGUUAUAGGCAUGCAUUUCUAAGAUCAAGAACCAAAUUUCAUUUGAGAAAGUUGUGCAUACAGACUGAGAAUUUAGAAAAAAAGAAAAAAAAAAGAAAGAAAAGAAAUGCAACAAGAACCUUCAAGUCUGGACUUUGAACUUCAAAAGGUGUUAUACAUACAAACUAAUUUCACUAACUGCUUCAUACACUUUCAAAUUAACUUAAUGAAGACUGCCUUCUGUUUUCUGUAGUAGGUGCUCUGAUCUAUGUUUUACUUAACCAGAGAGAGUUUGAUGGGGCCAACUAUAAAAAGGAAAUCUAAAUCCAUAUAUAUGAACACAUACUAUUUCGAGGAAUUGAGCUAUUUCAUGAUAUGAUUUGAUACAAAUGUAAUAAGCAGUAGAAAUGAAAAGGUUAACGAGAGCCCAUGAAAUAAAAGGAAAAGCUAGUAAGCAACCUGAGACUUAUAGAAGAGAUGAGUUGACUGAAUAUCAGAUAAUGUUGAAAGCUGCAAAGAGUUGUCUCUUAGCUUCUCUUCUGUUAGAGGAACGUGCCUUUCCACUGACCAUCAAUCCAGUGACCAGUGAAAACUUGAGGGAUAUGAGAAAUUGUCUGAUAAUCUUCACUUUGUUUAUCCAAAUUCUGUACUUUGUGCAUUAGCUCAUCAGACAUUUCAUAAAACCCAAGAUAUUCAAGUCUGGUCAAGUUUUGGAUGCCCGAAGGCAACUCUUGCAUUAGUUUGCAACCACCUAAGCGCAGAUUUCUGAGAUUAGGCAUGGAUUCCUCUUCCACUCUCACCCAUUUCAGUCUUGUUAAUUGCACAAGCUCUAAGCUCUGGAGUUUUUGAAAUCCUCCAAUUUUUUUGAAACAUAUUGUCUCCCCUUCAUAAGCACCAUAGAGAGUAAGUGAUACCAGAUUGGGCAAAUGUCCGAGGGAGCCUGUUACAUUCUCAUCUUCUCUCAACCUACUAUUGACCAACCGUAAGGUUCUCAAGGAUUGAAGUGAUGUCACCCAUUGCGGUACUCUCUCUAAACGCCCCUUCAACAACAGAAUUGUGAGGAAUUCAAGCUUUGGAGAGACGGAAUGUUGGAGAUCAAGGGUCUCAUCUUCUUUAAUACAGGAGAUGGACAACACUCGAAGGUUGGUCAGCCUCAAGAGGGAGGAGAGCAACUCCUUUCCAUCUUCUCUUCUCAGCUUUCUGAUGGCUAAUCGUCGCAAUUGCGUUAGCUUUCCAACCUCCCUUACUAUUUUAUCACUGUCUGCUUCUAUACCAUACAACUCCUCCAAACAAAUAAGCUUUCCAAUUCCAAGUGGACAUUUACAGCCCCAAAUUGCAUACUCAUUUGAAUAAUCACCCAUUCCACCUAAGAAAAGGGAACGGAGCUUUCUUAGCUUUAGAAUUUCCAUAGGCAACUCUGUUACAUUGGUUUCCAUCAGUGACAAAACUUCAAGGUUUUGAAGCUUCCCAAUAGAUUUUGGAAUAAUUCUAACUCCAGUUCCAUUGAGACUAAGAUACCUGAGAUGAAAUAGUUUGAAGACUUGCUUUGGGAUACUGUCCAAUUCAGCUCCAUCCAAAUCCAACACCUUUAGCAACUUGGGAUCACCAUGUAAAAACUUGGACAAAAAUGUAGUUGUGAGAGGAUCUUCAUACUCAAAUAUUACCACAGACCGAAGACACUUUAAGCUACUAAAUUCUUGUGGAUUAUCAGUGAAGUUGUGGAUUGCUAGGUGUCGAACUUUUUCAGGCCAUCUUGUGUAAUAUUUGGUGGCUACAGUCAUGAAGCCCUGCUCUUUAGAUUUUGAAACAAGGAUUUCACGCACAAAAUCGUGGAGACCACAUGUAUCCAAUGUGCCAUCGUCCCACGUGGAUUCAACUUGGAUUAAGCUUCUGUUGAUGAGUUCUUUCAUACAUCUCAUAGCAAUGUCGGUGGAUGUUAUUCCUCCUUUCUCUUCUACAAAUCCUAUAAAUCUAUAUAGUUUUAUAUAAAAUUGAAAAUGAACAGAAAGUAACUCCAGUCAUAUCGAAUGAGCUAAAUGCACUCUAAGAGAGCGUUGUAAUGAAGCUAUAAUAUUUAUUUAAUCAUUCUACUAUUUCAUGUCUGCCCACAAAAUUCCCUAUAAUUUUACAAAAAGUUGUUCCUCCCCUUCCCCCUCCCCCUCCCCCCAAAAAUUUACUCCAUACUUGAAUAAGUGCAAUACAAGCAUUUCAAAUAACGAUUCUAUGAAGACUCCUUUACGUCAAAUUUUUACUUUACAUAAAAUUAUAGUGGGGAUUAUGUGAAUAUUUUGAAAGGUUAUACUUUAAAGGAAUCAUGUAGUGAUAGAAAAAAAAAAUGUAGUGAUAGACAAAACCACAUGAAGUACAUAGUUAUCGAUCUUGUUUGCAACUUGUUUUUGCAAUGCAGCACUAUAACUACCAGAUUAUAAUAUGAGGCAUUUUCUUAUUCCGCUGAAAGGUUUUCAUAUGUGAAUUUACUAUCAAGAAACUAGCUUCAAGCGUCUUUUUCUUCUGGCACGGAAGUUAUGAGAUCAAAAAGAUGUUCAAAAUCAUAAUCUGAAACUGAAGUCCGGCUUCCAACUCUAAAAUGAGCAAUGCUUGUAACUUCAUACAAUUUCUAACAGUCCUUAGCAUUUGAGUUUUUAGGCACAGAAUCUGCAAAAUAAUGAUGACAUUGACCAACAUGUUGCCAAAGAUUAAAAGGAAAAAAAAAUUGAAUGAAGAUGCUUUAGAAGAAACGGACGAUGAGAUUCUGGUCAUGGGUUAGUUAUACCUGUCAAUGGAUUAAAACAAUUUGAUUUUGGCCGUCAGUUAUUGGAAUUUUUCAUCAAUGGUUCUAUAUUUGCCUAAAAGGCUAAAACCACAAACUUUGUGGAGAACAUUUUUUUUUUGGUCAAAAUAUUAAGGAUCAUUUUGGUGCGCAAGCUAAACAUUAGGGACUAAAACUUCGUUUCUUCCUUAUUUCACUAUCUCUUCUGUGAUUUUCUCAAAAGAAUAAACCUUUUGAAUUGAUUUUUUAAACAAUCGAAAACAUCCUUCUUGAACUUAUUUUUUCUUUCUUUACAUGUGGAGAAAGAACUUGAUUUAAAAAUGGAAAGAAGAGAAAUGUUUGAAUAACUUCUAUUUGUGUUAGGCUUAAGUUCUUUUCAUCAAUUUUCUAAACUACCAAUCUCAAUUAAAAAGAAGACACUUCUUCAAUAAACCCUACUAAAACUUGCAUACCUAGUAUUAGUAUUAUAUAUUUAGAUAUAUAAUUAUAUAUAUCAAAAUAUGAAUAUUAUAUAUAUACAUAUUAAAGGGUCGAGCCUAUAUCGGGUUUGACCCUAAUAAGACCCAAACUCUGUUCACAUUUAAUUUCGAACUAAUAUUUAGAUCCAAUUUCAAUCCAACUCAAUGAAAGGUCAGACUCAUUAGACUUUUUCUCGGAGCCGAAUUCAAACUGACUCAGCCCCAUUGAUAGUCCUAGAAGGAUUGCCUUAGAUUUUCCUGCUAAUCCGCUUCCCUCUCAAAAUGAGUAAGAAAGGGAUAAAACAAUAAUUACAUAUAUAAUACCAAAUUUGAGACCAAGUAUACCAAAGGGAAGAAGUAUACGAGACAUUAGUGGCAUGAAUAAAUGAAGUAAAAAAUAAAAAAUUUUAAUUAGAAUUGCUAGUGCCAAUUUAAGACAAUUGCAUUGUGAUUCGGGUCUUAUUUUGUCCUAAUACCCUCAAUAUCACUAUGUGAAAACUUAAGCAACUAAAAUGAUUAAAAUUUCAAACAUCAGGAUCCAAAAGUACAAAGUCAAAAUUUUUAAAUAACGGUAAUUAAAUUUUGACCGUUAGUCAUUGCUGAGUUUUCGUCAUUGUAGAAUGUAUCUACUACCAAAAACUUUGAGAACCAAAUUUAUUUGAUCGGAACAUUAAAGACUAAUUUAACGCUUAUGCUAAAAAUUGGAGACUAAAACUACAAUUCUCCCUUUUUCCAAAAGAAAAAUCUACACCUUUUUGUUCACACAUGUGAUUUUUUGUGCACACAUGUGUUUUUUUUUACCUUUGAUAUCACACAACGGUCCAAACCCACUGACAUCGGUUAAUAGAUUCAAUUGUUAAAAUGACUUUGUAAAUUGUGAGGGUGGUAAUAUGUAGAAAAAUCCUGUUUGGUAGAAUUUGGAUAAAAGGAGAGUGCAUUUGAUAAAAUUAAAGUUUGAAAAUUGAAGUAUGAAUUUCAUUAAGUUAAGUUGUUAAAUUGUUAAGUAUUAAGUCCUAUUUGAUAACUCAAUUUAAUACUUAAAGUUAAUGGAUUUAGAUAUUAACAUGUUCAAACGCAUUUGAUAACCAAAAAAUUGCACAUCUGAAUUAAUUAAAUGACACCCACGAAUGUCAGCUAUUGAAACAACUCGGAAGCAAAGCGAAGCAAACAAAAACAAUUGUUGAAAAUUCAACUCAACUCGCAUGAGAGGCUGGAGACAAGGAACUAUCAGCACCGUAAGCAGAAAGGGCUAGAGUUUCACUAAGGGGUCAUCGAGCUAGGUCAGAAUCCUCAACUUAGGGUUAAGGUAGACUGAAUUUUUUAGGCAAAAUUGGCUUCAAAAAAUAAAAUGGCACUAAAUUUUUCAGGUAAAACUUGCACCAAAAAAUAGGUGAUAAGUUAUUCAUUUGUCACUUAAUGUGAUAUAUACUUAAAUGUAUCAUAUUUAGUACUUAACAAUUCAAUAAAUUAAUGAAUUUAGACUUUAAAUUUAAUAUUUCAUUUCGAUAUACACUCAAAUAUAUCAUAUUUAGUACUUAAACAUUUAAUAGUUUAACGGAUUCAGACUUUAAAUUUAAUAUUUUAUUUUGGGAGCAAGUUUUGCGUAAAAAAUUUAAUGUCACUUAAUUAAUUUCGACAUUCUAUUUUUGGUUAUCAAAUGCAUCUGAAAAUGUUCAGAUCUGAACCCAUUAAGUUUAAGUGUUAAAUUGGAUUAUCAAACAAGAUCUAAAUCAUUUAGUAUAAAUCACAUUUUAUCAGUAAAGUAAGUGGAAGAACCAGGGUAUAAAACCUCAUUUGCCACACAAAAGUGGGGCCAAAUAUAAAUAUAAAUAUCAAUUGCCAUACAGAUUGCAAUCCAUUAACUCAAUAAUACUAGGAAUGAAACACCGAUAGACUCAAAAAAGAGUGGCUUGAAAAUUUGUGACAGAAAAAACAGAAGAAAAAGCAAAAGGAUUGGAAGAAGAAGCAAUGAAAGUGGAACUGGAAACCAGGCAUGAGCUGAAGCCCUGGGAGCAGCACUCUGUUGUGAUCAGUGAUCACCAUUCCUCGUUUUGACUACAACGCCUCUUCUUUUCUCCUCAGUCAUUCCCACUCCGGAUUCCUCAUCACCUGCCCCAUCAGUAAGGCCUCUCAUCCCAUCUCUUCUGUCCAGAAAGUUUUUUUUUUUUGUUAUUUUUGUACUUUAUUGGCAUUUAUUUAUGUAAUUUGCUUCUGGGUUUUUGAAAAUUUUCAAUUUGAUUGUUUGGGAUAGUCUGGGCAGUGUGGUGAUUGAUAAAAAUGCUUCAUUUGUUAUGUAGAGAGGGAGGAAGAGUGCAACAAAAGAAGCCAUGUCAAUUCUUGAAAAGGUAAUGAAUUCUGCUGGUUUAGUCUCUUGUCAGUUCUCUGGAAUAAUGUCAAAAUAAGUAAAUUUUAGCCAUAAAGAAAAUUCUUGCUGACUUGAGAAUCAGGACAGUUAAAUUGGUUUAGUGAACUUGGUUUUAUGGGAUUCUUAAAUUCUGGGCAAGGUUGGGAACUUGGGGUUUUUGUAAGUGAAUAAGACUGUAGCGGGCUUGAAUUACCGGUGUAAUGUGUUUGCAGCUGUAAUUGUUUUGGUUUAAGAUGAAGAGUAGCAAUGUUAUGGAAUAGAUGUUUGAAUGAUUAAGCAUAAGUAAACAGCAAAUGGGAUAGCAACUAAUUGAUAAAACUGAUGAAGUUUGGAGAACUUGGUGAGCUAUGCAGAAGGUAGGCACAGGCAUGUUGUGUUGUUCAAAUUCAAUAGGUGUUGAUGGGGGAAAAACAAACAAACUAAAGUUGUUUACCGUUUUAAAUGUGAUAACUUUUUGGAAAUGAAGUGUAAUGCGAAUGGUCUUCAUUUGUGAGAAUAAUGGCAAAAUUAUGCAAGAACAAUAUUUCCAUCUGUUGAACUUAGUCUAGGAAAAAUGUUUAUGAUUUUUGGGUUCUAAACUUGAUUAAGAUUUCAGUUUGCAGACAAACAGAAGGAUAAGAUGUCAAUUAUCCUGGCGAUAGGUUAUUAACAUCUGAGUCUAGUAGCUGGCUUCAAAUUUUUUUGCUUAUGAUCUUCCACUUCAUCCAUUUAUUUGUAGCCUGUGCAUUUUUGGGUCACAGAUUAGUAUGGUUUAGUCCUUGUUUACAAGUCUUAUUCAACGUGUUUUGCUUACACACUGUCAUUUGUCACUUGGUUCAAUCAAGUGACUGGUUAAGUCUGCUGUGCCUUCUUGAGUGAAUGACAUGAUUCGACAUCCAAAAUGCAGCACUGGUUAAUCACUCACAGCUUUCCAGUAUAUAUAUAUAUAUAUAAGAGUUACCAAUUUCCUUGAAUUUGAAGAGGCUUAUGGAUACAUAGUAACCUUAGCUUAAGCUUGAGCACAUAACUGAUGCAGGUUAAGCACAAAUUCACCUUACUAAUACGAAACCUUUGCAUUGUUUUCUUUGAAAAUAAAUCAUAAACAAUAGAUAGAAGAUAUGCAAUAUUUUCUGCUGUAAGAAAAUUUUUUUAAAUAUAAAAGCAAUUUAAUAAGUGUAUCGCUAUAUUUCUCUAAAGAAUGACAUGGUCUUAAGUGAUCAUAUUUCUGGAAGGAGAAGACCAUUAGUCCAAUUUUGUUAGGCAUUUGAGACAUCAGAUAUUAUAUGCAUGAAAUAUAUAGCUGAUUGCCAACUACCUAUUUUGAGUUCUCAAGAAAUAGAUAUAUAAGCUUCAGUUUGCUUUUAACAUCAAAAAGGCAUUCUCCAUUGCAGCAGCUUUAGAUAAUUGUCUUUCAUUCAUACCUAAAGGGACUUGUAUAGGCAUGAGAUGUUGCACUCUUCUAGGGCCCAAAUAAUAAGUGGACAAUUUAGAGUUAGCUUAAAAUCUUGUGGCAGACAACUUGUUUGGAAUUGUUUUUGGAUAUAUUUACACCAGAGGCCAAGCGUUGCUGAGGCUUAUCACUAUGUGAAAGAAAUGAAUGAGUUUCAGUUAUAUUUGAAGUCCUCUCCAAAGCCUGUAUCGUUUUUACUUCUUGGACCUCUCUUGUUGCAAAGGGAAGACAAAUGAUGAACCAACUUGGAGAAUGGGAAGGUGUGCAUCUGGUGCUUGCAAGAUUCUAUUCUUUUGACUUCACGGGGUUUUUAUAAAAACUGUGUGUGCUGAAUGUUUUCUUAGGGUUUCAAACUGAUGUUGAUAUAUUGAUACAUUAUGCGUUCCAUUCUUUUUUUACGAAUGCCAUCAAUAUUCACGACUGAUGCAACCAAUGAAGAGUUUAAGGGAAGAGUAAAUUUUAAUAUUCUUGGGAACUUGGCUGAAGAUCCAAUUUACCCACUUUGAAGAAUGGGUAAUCUUUUUAGGAUCAAGAUUAUUUAUUAAAAAUUUAAAUUCUACAUAUUUCAGUAGGCUUAAAAUUUAUGGUGCUUUAGUAGCUUAUGGGUAUUGGGUAAACUGACAGUGGAGGACACUUCGGCCGUUGUUUGAGACCAUAGGCUUAUUCAUUGACUUUGAUGGAAGGGCUUUUAAUUGAAAUGUUGGGAUUCAUCACCUCAAUUUCCUGUCAUAAGAUAUUCUGGUCCCCAGGGCUGAGCUGAAGCCCAGUACAUAUUGCAUGUACUAUUGCACACACACCCCACAGACCCAGGUUUGUUAGGCCAUCCAUGAAGGAGUUAUUUAAGUUUUUCACUGGUGAAUUUUUUAUGCAUCUUUGUCUUGGAAGUGAUGUCCUAAACCUUUGUGUCAUAUGUGGCUUUCUUCCUGACUUUUUACUCUCAUCUUCCAUUGCAUGUGGUAGUUUCUUUUCCCGUCCUUGAAUAUACACCAAUGUGAAAGUAAGAGUUCAACCUGUCUUCCCCACUGUCAAAUAACAUUCAGUGUUAAAAGCUUGUGUUCAAAUUUUGUGUGAAUGAGUUUGCUGCUUUUAAGACUAUUAGUUAAAAGAGUUCAGGACAAUUUUUACUGAUCAGCAGCCUGUGUACGUCAGAAGCUAUUUUAGUGUACUUCUAAUGGAUUUCAAAAGCUGGGGAAGUGCUUUGUUAUCUAGGCAUGGGUCUUAAGCUUGAAGCAUGCUCUGUGUUGUUGGAAUAGCGAGUUGCUGAAUUUGUGCGCUAAAUAGGGCUCUAGGAUACAAUUGGUGCAGAAAAUUAGAACAGGAGUAGGGAAGAAGAAAUUUAGAAACCGUUGCGUCCAUGGGGAUACUAUUUUGUACCAGUUCUCCUUUUCAAACUGCCAACAUAGAGAUCUGAUACAUCACUCCUACAGUGGACAACCUUGCAUAUUCUCCAAAUCUCGUGUUAUUUUCAUAUGCAUCAAUAACUAUCUGUAUUCUUCUACUUCCAUCAGUUGCAAGUAUAGAAGACUUUUAUAUCCUGAUUGCUGAUUGAAACCUGAAGAAUUCCAUGACAACAGAAAUAUCUGCGACCAAUCGAACUAUUGACUUUUAAAGAUGAGAAUCCCUCUGAAUCCUCCUAUAGAGAUAAAAGAAUUAUGUGUCAAAUAUAGAUAAUCUUUUCUUGCUGGCUAUUCUAUGUAAAAUGUUUUCUCAUGGAAACUGGUGGAGAAAUGAAGUGAGUCUGGCUAGCUGGUGGUGAUCUAUCGUCAUUCUUUACUUUUUAUUUUCAUUAAUUUUUUACAAAAUAUGAUUGACUUUUAGCACUUUUGAUCUUCGAAGAAUGCUUCUUUCUACAACUUUUUGGCUGACCCGGUUCUUUCUUGAUAGCUGUAUUAGUUUAUGAAAUCUUGGUUAAAAGAGUGACAAUUAGCACAAGGAUAAUCAGAAAUUUAUUGUACAACAGAUGGUCCAGGGGCAGAAUACUCGAGUUUGGGAGCAAUUCUGACAUAAUUGUUUGAUAUGAUUAUUAGUAGAGAAAUUGCAGUUUAAUGAAAUGUAAUUCUUGAAGACAAUAGCCUAUGGCUUUUAUAUACUUAUGCUACUGAACUUGUGCAGAAGCAGCAUGCAUGAUAUCUCUUCACCAUCUUUGUUUUUUAUAGAUGAUCUGAUUGAUUCAUCCAAUUUCAUAUAUCUGAACUAUCUCAAUGGGAAACCUACUUGCAUCUAAAGGGUGUAAAGUGUAGAAAUCAGCUUGGUGUCUUGUUACCUGUAAUUGCAGUACAUUUUGUUGUGUAUGUAAAACCAAAUAAGUUAAUUCAAGUUGCGUUUAUGUUCUGUGAGAUGUUGACCAGUUGUUCGAUUAAAUAUGCUUUGCAGUAUGUCAGAUCCUUGAGUAUUCUAAAUGCUGAAGGUUCUGAAAGUUUGGAUGAGAAUAUGUCAGCGAAGAAGAGGAGAAUAUCUGUAAGUACAGAGGAGGAACUUGACAACAGUUUGGAGAGGAAAGAUGAGGCCGAUGACUUUGGAGAACCUGGUAAUAGUUUAAGUCUGGUAUUUUAGUUGAUACACAUGCUCGUACAGAUAAUGCAAAUUAACAUGUAUAACGACCUGCAAAUUUACAAAGAAAAUGAAGAGGCUGGGGAUUUGUCUGUAAGAACAGGUAAUACGACUUGUAUGCAUGAAAAAAUAAGAACAAGUUUAUUAAAACAACUAGAGCCAGAAUCUAAUGGAAGAUUCUGAACUGUUUUUGUCAGUGGCUGUUUGGCUUCUUUUCCUUUUGGUUCUGAGCCCGAGACUCCACAACUAGAGCAAAUUUUGCCCCAUGGCAUGUCCUGCUUGGCAUGGUUAUAUUUUUCAUGGCAAUAUUGAGUGCUGUGACCGACUUGAUUGAGAAAUUCAUCUUCACGGGCUUAAGAAGAGGGCAAGAAGCAUUGAUAGUCAACUUCCCUGGCCUGCUCAUCCUCCCCUUUGGAGUAUCUUUAACUUCACUGUAAUGUUUGAAUUCGGCCGAGUAUACUAUAUAGUUCAUGGGUCAUGUCCGGCACCAAAACAAUGCCUAGAAAUAUAUAAUCUUCUGCAAGUAGUUGAAUGAGAGUUUUGAUCUUGCAUCACAUACCCUGUUUGCAUUAUCAUCUUUCAUCACAUAAAACCAUCGUAAUUGAGGAAAAUUUGAACUUUUGAUUGAAAAGCAAAGAACUAUAUGGAGAUUUUCACCAAAGAUGCCAGUUGUAACCACGUCUGCAGGCUAUCACCAACAGCCAGGAGACCGUGCCACAAAUUCCAAAAUCAGUAACAUUACCUGAAAGACAUACUUUCCUCUCACCACUCACAGAAUUUCUAAUCUACACAGGACUUCAAAUCAUAUGUGAGCCCACAGUUCUAUAAAAGCUUGUUCAUUUAAUUAAACUGUAGCAAUACAAAAUUGCAUUAGACUGAUCCUAUAGAAUUAUCCCUGCCAAGAAUUGCAAAAUUAGAAAGUAAUCAGCAUCACUUUGCUCUAAACAUCUGUUCUGACUAAACUGGUGCUGCAAAUCUACCUAUAGCACACGAAUUUGGGAAAGAAAUUCAAGAUAUGAAGGCCACUCUACAGUCAGACUUCGGCCACACCAAAUAGUACAACUUGUGUCUGAAGUAUCAAUAGCGUAACCUUUUUUCCGUAUCAUAUUUUGCCGAUAUAAACUACACAUGUAUGAAAGAUCAGCAUGAGAUAAAAGACAAUUCAGGUGACUCAAUGAACAGAAGAGAACCAGCUUAAAAGUUCCUGUCAAUUUCGAAUGCCAAACUUACUAGUGAAUGUUGAUUACUUACAGUAAAAACGGUUCAUUGGCAGCUCUAACACAUGACAGAUUUAUGUGAACAAGUAUACAAACUCUGAAAAAGUAAAGUGCGGUUGUAAAACAGGGCAAGGUAAAAGAAUGAAAGAAAUGCGAUUGGAUCAUAACCCGGGAUAGAUGCUAAAAUCCAGAUCAACUAUGAAAUGAAGACCAGAAAUUCAGCACUAUGAAGAAGAAUGAAAAAAAAAAGAAGCAAAACUCGCAUUCACCAACCUUUCAUAUAUAAUCUGCACAGAAGGAUUUUGAGAACGUACGCUAAGAGCUGCCUUCUAAAGCAUAAAAAAAAAUCCCUCCUCCUUCAUCCGGACUUGGGACCGGCUGUGUGAUGUAUUGUGUCAACAUAGAUGGAGUUAAAAACUUCAUGUCUCUAGUGCCAAGCAUGAUAAGCCACCUCUUCGCGAUCAUAGACAAGUCACCUUGGACAAUGAAUACCCCCUAUGCCAUUGAAUGCGAGGAAAAAUUGACGAGUACUCCCACUCAAAAACAUGUAGAGCAGGCUGUAUCAAAUAGCAGUAAUUGGUUAAUUCCCAGUCUUCAGCAUGUGUGAGGUGUGAGGAUCUCAAAAUUGCAUUAAUUUCUGAAAAUUAAAAUCAAAAUAUUAUUUAAAUGUUGAAAUUAUUAAAUAAUAUGUAUUUAUAUUUAAUAAUGUGUAUUUAUAUUAUUAAUGAUGUUUUCACUUAUAUAAAUGUUAUAUUUUAAUUUACAUGAAUUUUUAAAAAUUUAUUUGACGGUUCGCGCUCGGCUAAGCAUUAGGGUGAAUUUUUGCGCACUGACGUGCAAUGUAGCCCUAAGUUGAAAUGUAGGAUAUGUAGAGGUUAUAAAAAUGUACAACUAAGCUGAGGAUGUGUUAAAUGGAGAAUUCUUACCGGUAGAUAAAAUUCUCGCGCGUAAACGCGAUUCAAUUCAAAAUUUUCCACCAUUAUUAGCAUGCCCAAAAGUCAAUUAGACUACUCCCUAGACUACCCCAAGUUUUCUCCCAUCUUGUCACCAGCUACCACCCUUUUCUUACCCCUCUAAACUUCCGCUCCUCUGCUGCAAGAAGAAGCAGAAACCGCUGCCUUCCAAGCUCCAACAGCCUCUCAUCUUCAGCCACUCACACCCAGUCUUCAAGCUUCCAUUUUCAGCUUCCACCUCCACUUCUUGCUGCUGUCCAGAUCGAGCAAGAGGAAGGAGAGGAUCGUUGUUGCUGCUGCUACUCUCGCUGCUCCUGCCGCUGCUACUACUGCUAGGUUGUUCGGACCAGGGUGAAGGAGAAAAAUCAGCUUCCUAUUUCUUCCUUCCACCAACCACAGAACCACCUCAAGCUCACCAAAAACCCCAGAACCCCAGCCCUCUUCAUCUUCAGUCGCUGCUGUGCUGCUGCGGUGACUGGCCAGACCGAGAGGGAAACAGAGAGCAAGGGAGCCGGCUGAUCCUCUGUGGUUCUAGGAGCAACUUGAGGAACUAGACAAUACAUUUAGCUAGUAAACAACCCACUUGAAGGUAACAAACUCCAGCUUAGCACCUUAGCCAAAAAUUUCAGAUUUUGCAGCUUGUGGUUCUUGAAAUGUUAACUUGCGUUGGUGAAACUUGUUGGGUUGCUGAACCUCUAAGCUAAUGACUGAUGAAGCUAGAGGUGUUUUAUGUGUUUAUAUGUGUGUUUUGUGGUGGGUAAAUGUUUGGGAAAUUUUAAGAAUGAAAAUGGAAAGCUGGCCGAAAUGGGAAGGCAAAAUUCCAGCUUGGUUACCGGUUGUUGUUUUGCAAUUUUUACUUAGGUAAUGAACUGGAUUGCUUGUUGGGAGGUUAGACUAGUUAGUUGUGAUUGUUAUGGACUUAAAGUAUGACUUAUAAGUUGAAAAUGGUUAAGCAAAAAGAGGAGAAAAUUCUGCUCUGCUAUAGCCGCACAAACAGGCUUGAUUUUCUUCCAUUGUUACCCGAAUUCUUGAGCUGGAUUUUGUGAAGUUAUUGGGCUAUUUAAAUCAUGUAUAUGUUCACCUAUAUGUGUAGAGUAGUUUUGGUGAAAAUGCAGCUUUGGUACAAUGGAAAAUUUCAUUGAAAAAUCAAAGAGAAAAAUGACCUUUGAGCUACCCGAAAAUUCUGGAAAUUUUCCAGAUUUUGGUCGAAUUUUUGGGGGUUGAUUUCGACAAAUUUGUGAACUAUUUGGGCUGUAUACAUGUUUACCAAUAUGUGUAGUAUUGUUUGGGGAAAAAUGUAACUUUUGGGUAGUUGAAAAGUUUUGGACAAAUUGAAGAGGAAAUGGACUGCUUGUACCGAAUGCACUUGAAAAUUUUCCCGGCUUUGCAUGAGACAUGUUGAAUAAUUUUCACGAUAACAUGAACCCAAUUUGACUUGUGUUUAGUUAAGGGGUGCGUAUAGCUCAAUUUGGGGACAAAAUCUAGUAGAGUUUACGUUCAAAAAAUGGACCAAAAUUUUAUUCUUCACGAGGCUACCCAAAACAGAAAUUUUGUUUGAAAUUAGAAAUGAUUUUGACGUUUGGAUUUCGUUUUGGUUAAAUGUGGACUAAAUCUGUCCCAAAAAUGUUUUCUAGCAUUAAUCUUUGUUACUAGGUCCACUUCGAGUCAAUAACCUUGAAUUUUAUUAGACCAAAUGCCCUAUUUCAAGAAGUAUGCCAAAUCUGGAAAUUUUCUUGAAAACUCAAGUUUUGGCCUUCAUGAAAAUCUUGGAACCAAGUUGGUCAAUGGAAUUUGGCAAACUUAAGGAGUUUCUAUUUUAUAGAAAUUCCAACGACUAGUUUUACUUGGUUUAUAUGAUUUCCUCUUAAAGGAAUUUCCGAAGAUAUUUUUGGGGAAAAUUAGAAGGGAAAAUUCCUCUAAAUGGGUAAAUGUGAUUUUUCUCAACCUGUGACACCAAAGUGGUGUUAAUUGCUUAUAUGACUCUAGAACUUGGUUAUUGAAAUAUUUGACGAAUUUAGCAAGUUUUUGGUUUUAAAGAAACCUCAAAAUUUAAUUUCACUCGAAAUUUGUGGAUUUCACUUUGAGAAAACGAUUAAUACUAGUUUGGGAUUUUUGAGUGAAAUUAAAUGCUAGUUGACUCGAGUUAAAUUCGCCAACUCAAAAGUGGAAAUUUAUGUGAAAUAUUUGUAUGAUUUUAGGAGUUGGUGAAGAGCACAAUCUCGAUCAAAGUUUGGAAUUCUAGACUCUUCACUUGAGGUGAGUGUCUCUUGCAUGAAUCGUGUUUAACUGCUAGUUGAACUACUUGUUAAAAGUACUUGCUAGAGAUAUCAUGAAAUGUUAUAUGCUAUGUGAUUGCGUGAAAUGCCACAAGUACAAGUGUUGCAAUGUCGAUUGGAGCGUGGUCUCGUCGACUAAAUAAACCAAACGGAUGCACGUACCACGCUCUAUUAGAGUGGGAGGUACCUCUCUGCUGUCUUGGUAAAAGUGCUUGCAAUAUUCGUGUUGGAGUCGGGCCCGAAAAUAAGGGGGAAGACGUUGCUAGGAGAUGUGUAGAUUAGGGAAAAUGUCUACAUGGAGUUUAGGUAGUGAAAGUUGACGGAGUGUCAACUACUAUAAAUUUUCUGAUCAAGUGCGUGGACUUUGGCUCCUGAGAGCCCCGUAUCCUUUUCUUGUCAUGUUGUUUCGCUUUCUUAAAUUGUUAAGUGCUUACUUGUCUAUUUGUACUUGUUAAAUUGCCUUAUGUGAAUUGCAUGUUUCGAGGCACCACUGAGCUAUUGGCUCAUCCCUUCCAAAUUGUUUUCCUUGACAGGUUCUGAAAUGCAUGAAGUCUUGGAGAACUAGAACAGAAAUGUUAUAUUUUGAAUGCCCACUUUUGUAAUUGUACUUUUGGAAACGUUAGUAUCUUUUGGAUGAUUUUUGUGUUUUUGGGAAAAUGUGAAUCCUGUGGUGCUUCUGUGCCCUGGAUUAGGAACUUUAAAUUGUAAAUUAAGUUGAAUUUAAGUAUACUAAGCUCGACGUUUUCGUUGGUACUUGGAAUUGUGUUUUGGGCUGUAUAAGUUGAAUUGUAUGAAUUAUUUAAGUACGUGACUUGCUCGAGAAGUAAGGUUUAUUUUCGAUUUAUAUUUGGUGAAAUUAGUUAAUAGAGUGUGUGAGUCCUAGCGAGAGCUAGGCAGGCGACCCGCCAACCCUUUGGUUCGCCUUAGGGAGAAGUGGGGCCGCCACAUGAGGGAUGAAAUGUCAUCUAGCCUAGUAAAGGGAAUUUGUUCGAGCAUAACAAUUUGAUAUGAAUUCAGCACUAACUGGCCCAUAUGACAAUUAUAUUAAAGAAAGAUGGCGUGCUCACAGGAGUUGGGUUAAAAAUGUCCAAAAGACUUGUCUCAACUUUUCAUCCGAAACCAAGUUUUUUGGUUUAAAACCCCAAUAUACCUAAAAGUCGAAGGUCCAAGUGAGAUCUAGGAUUGCUCACCAGAACCAGGGCGUUAACAAUGGUAACGACAGUGGUUGGCCUGCACUAUAGUUGCGGUGGGGUUCCCCCCAUUGUCCCUCGCUGUGUGAGUGCAAGGACUUGGCUGCAGCUUGUUAAUAGAUUUUGUUUUUCGACUGCAAAGCUGUCCCUCUUGUGGCAAUUGCAAUCCCAAUUUUUUUCAGAAGCACCCUUUUUUUUGGUGCUAUUUUGUGCUCUUUUUGCACUUAUUCUUUUUUAGGUCUCCUGAGAUUCCAACUGGCUCACUCAGGAGAUGUUUGGCACGGGAACCACAACUGCACCCUCACUUAUUAUUUGGUAUAGCGAGACUCCAGACUUGACUUACUCUGCAACAACCGAACAGGGAGCCACAACAGAUACAUGGCGCUAACCUGCCCGUGAUUGCUUUAUCGCCUCACCAACUUAUUAAGUAUAUUAAGAUGUCAACUCCAAUCACUAGGCGCAGACUUCAAGUUUUAACUCAUACUUCUUUCAGUUUCUAAGCCAAGGUAGAAAUGGAAAGAGGCCAAUUAGUAUUUCAUUCACAUCAAAAGCUACACCGUCGCAUUAUCACACAAUUACAGGGCUAGUUGUUAUAAGUGCAAAGGUGUGUGAAGUAGCUUUAGACAGAUUCCCAAAGUAUAGCUAACUUUGAUGCCUGAAAGUGGAAGUACCUAUCAUUUUCACCUCUGGUAUUUAGGCACAGUUAUAGGGAACUCACUUAGACAUACUAAUAGGAACUCAAGUGAUCAUCAGUAGCUAUUAAAAUGUUCACAAACAGUUAAAAAGUUAAGAAGAUAGCGUUUAUAGGCAGGCUAAAUAGGGCAAAAAAGAAUCAAGUGCUGUUUAAUUAGCAAAAGGACAGAAAUUUAAGUAUUGAUCGUGUAGAGUAUUUAUGAGACAUUAAAGCGGCAGAUUUAAAAUUAUGCAUUACCCUUUUUUCCUUUUGAAAACAAUAACACCUCAUGCAUAGUUGAUAGAUACGUGUUCGGUAGAGCUAAGCGAAUUUUCUAUUUUUGGGGAAAAAAAAAGACAUUCAAUGCUUUUUUUUCAUUUUUUUUUAAAAAAAUUCUUUCCCUACUAAUAAAAAAGUAAAGGAAUAAAGAAACCAAAAUCCUUUAGUUUUUUGGAUUUUUUUUUUCAAUUUUUCGUUCUUUACUUGCAAAUAAAAAAGUAAAAAGGAAACCAUGAUCAUUUUUCAAUUUUGUUUUUUGUUCUUUGCUUGCAAAUAAAAAAGAAAAAAAAAGAAACGGAAAUAUUUUUUUCACUUUUUUGAUUUUUCAAUUUUUUUAAAAUGCUUUUUCUACUAAAAAAAGUAAACAAAAAAAAGAAACCAAAAUAUUUUUGCGCUUUUUUGGAUUUUUGGAUUUUUUGGAUUUUUUUUGUUUUUGUCAAUGUUUUUUGUUUUUUGCUUGCAAAUAAAAAAGAAACGAAAAUCUUUUUUCACUUUUUUUAUUUUUCAAUUUUUUUAAAAAAUGCUUUUUCUACUAAAAAAAGUAAACCAAAAAAAGAAACCAAAAUAUUUUUGGGCUUUUUUGGAUUUUUUUGGUUUUGUCAAUGUUUUUUGUUUUUUGUUUUUUGCUUGCAAAUAAAAAAGAAAAAAAGAAACGAAAAUCUUUUUUCAAAUUUUUUUUUAAAUUCUUUUCCUACCAAAGAAAAGUAAACAAAAAAAAAGAAGCCAAAAUAGUUUUCUGCUUUUUUGGUUUUUUGUAUUUUUUUUGGUCUUUUUUUCAAUGUUUUUUGUUCUUUGCUUGCAAAUAAAAAAGAGAAAAAAAGAAACGAAAAUCUUUUUUCACUUUUUUGAUUUUUCAAUUUUUUUUGAAAAUUCUUUUCCUACCAGAGAAAAGUUAACAAAAAAAAAGAAGCCAAAAUCUUUUUUGCUUUUUUGGAUUUUUUGAUUUUUUUCAAUGUUUUUUUAGCAAAUAAAAAAGGGAAAAAAAAGAGGAAACCAAAAUCUUUUUUUAUUUUUUGUUUUUUCAUUGUUUUUUGAAAUUUCUAAUUCUCUUCCUAGCUAAUAAACAAAUAAACCAGUGAAAGAAAUUGAAACUUUCAAACCUGUUGUUGCGCUUUGCCCGCCAAAUCCUCAGCAACUCUAGAAAGGGUCCUCAAGUUCAGUUUCACGAUCGUAUCCACAAAGGCACACGUCUCUUCUUUCGUGUUGGCCUCGGCCGCAUCAAUCACGUACGUCUCCACAACCACCGUCUCAUCGCCGCCGUUGGGGUGUAGGCUCAUGAUCGAGCGAUAAUUCGACAACCGGUGGUCGCCGCUGACAAUGCUGAACCCAAAGAUGCGCUGAUCAUGAUCAAGAAUCUCCAGCCGCUCGAUGCUAUAGGAGGCUGGAAGUCCUGACGCGACAUCCACACGGCGUAAGCAUCUGACUUGGUUCGCCUGGCCAUCUAUGAUUCUGCAGGAUCUCACGAACGGCUUGUAGCGUUGAGGAUUUUCAAAGUCGGAAACCAGAGCCCAAACGAUGGAGGCAGGAGCUGCGAUAGUUUGGAACAAAGUAGAUGAACAUUCGUUCGGCUGCAAAACAGGGUUGUGGUCGCUGGAAACGGUUGGGGGAAGCUGAAAAACCAUGGUUGUGGAAGGGGGCGUGGGAGGAAAUUUUUUAACAAUAUCUUCAAUGAAAACGAUGAAGGAGUUUCUCUUCUGUGAGGAAGUUAGAUGAAUAGUGACUGUGUAUUUAUAGGCGUAGGAGAAAUUGCUCCAAUUCCUAAGAGGAGAAGGAUUAUUGCCAAAAUAAGGAAGGAUAAGGAUUAUGAUUUCCUAUGUGGAAAAGGAUUGGAUAUCAGGUGGCAGUGGCAGUUUGGCUGGCGAACCAUCUGUUCUGCUAAAUUUGGGUUGAUCGAAUUACGCCAUUAACAAUUGGAUAAAAUAUAGAAAAGCCCCUUAAGGUUAAGUGAACAUACAAAAAAACCCCCUAUAGUUUCUAAGCAUACACUAUGGUAACUUAUGGUUUGAACUAAUUUAAAAAGUGAUAGAAAUCGUUUGAAUUAACGGGUUUGAAAUACACGCGCUUCUUUUGCGAGUAUUUAUACUGGAAAUAAAUAAAUUUUCAAUUGAUAUACAUAUUAUACUCCUAGAGUUAUAAUAUAGAAAAGCCCCACCUCCCCUUCCCCCACCAUGAUUAAUCAAACCUACAAAAAAAACCUUUAUAGUUUCAAAUCAUACAAUCCAAUAUCUCAUGGUUUGAAUUAAUGUGAAAAUCAGCAAAAAUCAUUUGAAUUAAUGAGUUUGAGGUAACUUGACAUGAAAAAUAAUUUUUUAAAUUCAAAUUUUUAGUUGAUAUACCUAUUAAACACCUUAGAACUCAUAAAGUUUUCAAAAAAUAACCAAAAACUCCCAAUAUAACUCAUCUUUAUUUCUAUAUAUAAAAUAAAUAAAUAAAUAAAAAUUCUCAAAUAAAACUCAUCUUAUUUCUAUACAUAAAUAAAUAACUAGAAACUUCCAAAUACAGCUUAUCUUAUUCCUAUGCACAAAAUAAAUCAAUCAAAAUUACAUGUAACCAUGGGGGGUUUUUCCCACAGAUUGGUUUAAUCACAGGGAGCUUUUCCCUGAGUUUGCUUAAUAGGAUGGUUGUUAGAAGGUCUUUUAUUGCUUAUAUAUAUUAGGGUAAUUGUGUCAUUUCAUCUACCUCCGCUAGUUUUGACGAUUUCCAUUACUAUCUCAAAUUAGUUCAAACCAAGAGAGGUCAAAAUUUAUGAUUUGAAAUCAUAAGGGACUUUUCUGUAGGUUAGCUUAACGACUGGGGACUUUUUUGUAUUUUACCCUACUUUUAAAGAUUGAACUUUUUCAUUUUUUUUUCUUGUUUUAUUAGAAGCAUAUAUGUUACAAGUUUGAACAUAACAAUUCAAUAUUUUGAUUAGAGAUCUAUUUUUGGGAUAGUUUAAGUUAUAAAAAAUAAUAUAUUUGUAGAAAAGAAGUCAAUUUGUAGUAGUGUGCCAAUAUACUGGCUUUUUUGGAUUGCCAUUCUCUGGACAAAAAUCUCAUAUAUUUUGGGAAUAUUCCCUUGAUACAUUUUUUCAAUGAUCUUUUUACUUUAUAUAAAUCACAUCUAAAAAGGUGUUACAGUAUACCCUUCCAGAAAAUGCAAUCCAAACAAUAUACUUCCAUGAUCAAUCAUAGUAGUAUUGAGAUUAGGAACCUUUUUUGCAGUUAGAAUAAAAAAAUAAAAAAGAAAAAUAGAACCUAGACAACAAAAUCGAUUAGGUGACUUGACUCUCAUGAUUACUUGACAUAAUUCUAAUCAAGGUGAAGGUAACUUGUAGUAUUUUCGGUAAUUUAUUUCAAAGGUCAAAAGGUAGUUUGGGUACAAAAGAAUACGAGUACUAAACUAUAGGUUUAAAUUUAAUUUCAUUUAAAUAAAAAAUGGAAGGAUUUAGGCCUGUCAAUUGAGCCAUCUGAAGUGAGGUUUAACAAACUCAGAUUCGGCUCAUAUAGUUAGUACCACUUUUGGAUUUCGAAUUAUGAGAUUUGAAGUGAUAAAUAUGAAACUCAUGCUUGACUCACAAAAUAUUCGGAUUAUAAGUUUAAUUCUGACUAACUCAAGCUCACUUAAAACUCCUUAAUUUCCUUAAUAUAAUUACUAUAAUUGUUAAGUUUUAAACUAAUUUAAUAUCCACAGAACCACAGAAUUAAAACUAUAUAGGAACCGGUAACAGUUCAUUAAAAAGUAUAUAAAACCAAGAAUUUUUCAACAAUCAUAUAUCCAAUUAAUUCAAUAUACAUGAAAAAUAGUAAUAAAACAUUAUCAACAGUCAAUACAUCUUCAAAGGUCCUCAAUUUGCUCAUACUAAGAUUUGUCCUUCUAAUUCUUUUGAAAUUCUUUUAUAUAUUUAAUAUUCCUUAUAUAUAUUUUUUGACAAAUAACUCAUAAGUAUUAGUAUUAUAUAUUUAGAUAUAUAAUUAUAUAUAUAUAUCAAAAUAUGAAUAUCUUAUAUAUGAUUAUAUAGAUAGAUGCAUAUUAAAGGGUCUAGCCUAUAUCGUGUUUGACCCUAAUAAGAUCCAAACUCUACUUACAUUUAAUUCGGGACUAAUGUUUAGACCAAAUUUUAACCCAACUCAAUCAAAGGUCAGGCUCAUUAGACUUUUUCUCGAAACCGAGUUGAAACUGACUCGGCCCUAUUAAUAGUCCUAGAAGGAUUGCCUCAUAUUUUCGUGCUAAUUCAUUUCCCUCUCAAAAUGAGUAAGAAAGGGAAUUUGGGGAUUAGAUGAUUAGAGUGGGGGCUUGCUUACUUGGAUAGGUUAAUUUGGUAAUUUUGAUUAUGUGUGUUUUAUUAGAUAUUAGCAAUAUGUGAAUUUGCCAAAACUUAUGUCUUUAAGAAUUUUAAAUCUUUCUAUUAUUACUUCUCAAAAUUUUCCAAAGGGAGAAACACAACUGGUCUCUAAUGUAUCAGCAAAACAAAUAUGGUCUCUAAAUUUUCUGAUUUUAACUUUACAUUUUUAGUCCCUAAUGUUUGAAGUUUCAAUCAAUAUGGUCUCUUAAGUUUCUUGUUAUAGUUAGGGGUUUUAAAAUAAAAAAAAAGGUGUGAAUUGAACUAAAGAUAUGACAAAUGUCAUCCUAAAUUCCUAUAAAAUUUCAUAAAAACGCUUUAUAUCAACAUAAUAACAUUGCUGAACUAAAGAGCUUUUUUUCUUAAUAAGUUACAAUCAAAUGACAAUAUAUACAUAAUAUAUAAAAUAAAAAAAGGAAAAUUCUAGUAUUAAUAUAAAAUUUAUUAUCAUUCAUGCUAAUGACCUGUGCAUAUAGGCCUUAAAUUGUUAUAGUUAGGAAUUGUAAUUAUAAAAACUAGCAAACAUAAAUACUAAUAUGAAGUGCUUUUACUCAUUAUGGGUUAAUCAUCAGUUAAUUGCUAAUAGUAUAAAACAAUAAUUACAUAUAUAAAACCAAAUUUGAGACCAAUUAUACCAAAGGGAAGAAAUAUAUGAGACAUUAGUGGCAUGAAUAAAUGAAGUAAAAAAUAAAAAAGUUUAAUUAGAAAUGCAAGUACCCAUUUAAGACAAUUGCCUUGUAAUUCGCAUCUUAUUUUAUCCUAACACCCUCAAUAUCACUAUUGAAGACUUAAGCGACUGAAAUAAUUAAAAUUUCAAACAUUAUGGUCCAAAAGUACAGAAUCAAAAUUGUUAAAUAACAGUAAUUAGAUUUUGACCUUAGUCAUUGUUGAGUUUUCGUCAUUGUUGAAUGUACCUACUACCAAAAGCUUUGAGAACCAAAUUUAUUUUUUUCGGAACAUUAGAAAUUAAUUUAGCACAUAUGCUAAAAAUGGAGACUAAAACUACAAUUCUCCGUUUUUCCAAAAGAAAAAUCUACACCUUUUUUUUGUUUUAUUUUUGUGCACACAUGUGGUUUUUUUUUUCACCUUUGAUAUCACACAACGGUCCAAACCGACUGAAAUUAGUUAAUAGAUUCAAUUAUUAAAAUGACUUUGUGAAUUGUGAGGGUGGUAAUAUGUAGAAAAAUUUUGUUUGGUAGAAUUUGGGUAAAAGAGAGGUGCGUUUGAUAAAAUUAAAAUUUGAAAACUGAAGUUUGAAGUUUGAAUUCCAUUAAGUUAAGUUGUUGAAUUGUUAAGUAUUAGGCCUUAUUUGAUAACCCAAUUCAACACUUAAAAUUAAUGGAUUCAGAUAAUAACAUGUUUAGACGCAUUGGUAACAAAAAAUUGCACAUUCGAAUUAAUUAAAUGACACUGAAUUUCCUAGACAAAACUUGCUCCAAAAAAUUUUGGUAAAGCUAGUAACAUAUAGUUCAAAGUUUUGCUGUUUUUUUUUAAUUUCAAUUUUUUGCAAAAUUUCCUAGUGUUUAAAUGGGUAAAUCAUAAGCUUUCCAUUGAGUUGUUCUAUGCUAUACCUUACUAUUUUGAAUUAGGACCAUGCAUAUGGUUUUACAUAUUAAAAGUGAUCAAGGACAUGAGACAGGAUUUGCGGAAAUGGAGUUUAGUCGUGACAUGUGUCGAGCCUGUAUAAUAAUAAAUACUUACUCGAGUAAAAUAUAAAUUUUGUAUAUAGCGGUGAGCAGGGUCGAAUCCACAGGGACUGGGACUGGAAAAACUUCAUUUCUUCUAGAGCCCAGAGUACAGGGAAUUUUUAUAAAAUUGGGAAUAUUAAACAACUCAAAUAAAAGGACUAAAUUACAAUCAAUUGAAAUUGAAUCAAUAAUAAACAAACUCUAGCCAAGAAAUGACUUCAAAGAUGGUUCACUCAAUUGAUCACUGAUACAAUAAUAAUUUUAUUUGCUCACUAAUAAACAAGUUAUAAUUAUCAAAUAAGUGAUGACAAUCAACUUCUCGUUACUGUAUUGGUGAUUAAAGUACGAUCAUUAACCACUGCCCUAAUCAAGAAAUAACCCUAAGUACAACCUUAGAGUUCUAUUUUUCAAUUGCUUUAACAAUUAGAGAAAUCAUGUUCUAACCAAAUAACAUGCUACGAGAGUUAUGAGUUAUUUUAAAUUAAUCCAUAUGUUCUCCUGACACAAAUCCAAUCAUGUCAAUUAUUACUAGUUUAAAGCAAUUAAACAAUUACAGAUUUAACUGCACUAAUUGGUUUUAGGUUACUAGAUUAAUUCAAAUACCGGACCCUUGAUAUUCAAAUAACAUAAUAGGCAUAAGAAAUUAAACCAGGGAACAUAUAAAUACCACUAAAUAAAAGAAAUAAAUAUAAUCAAUUUGUUCUCAUAAUUUUAAUUGAAUCAAAUCCUCCAUUAUUUCUUGAUUAGAAUGAAUAGCUUAGUUCAUGUCCACCGAAGAAAUCGCACGGGAAAUAGUAGAAGUAAUUUCCACGGCCAUUCUUCAAAUAUGUGAUGAAGUCCAGAGGAAAAGAAAAAGAAGAACAUUGUUUCUUAUUUCUUCUUACGAGAAAAGCAAAAGUCUCGGGUUAAUCUGGCUUUUUCACGAAAGAAAAGAAUGACAACGAUGAUGUUUUGUUGCAUCGUUCCCUAUCUCUGCUACAACUACUACUAAGAAACAAAGUCUACAUCCUAAUAAAAUUAACCAAUCUUUUUCAAGAGGUGGUAAAAGAUAGAUAAACUAGUAUCCUAAUAAAAGUAGAAGACUAUCAUUCGGUCGAAAGUUUUGAUUAUUGCGACCUCAAUUUAAAAUUGGAGACCAUGUGCCAAAUCCCAAACUUCCCAAACAUGCAAGGUUAAACUUUGACGGUCCACGCUAAUUUGCAAAGAAGUUCCAUUAAAAAUUACAUCUUUAAUUUCUUUUUGCUCUAGAUCCUCACAAUUAUCACCAAUUACUAACUAUAAGUAAAAUCCAUCAAUUAAUGCAGUAUUGACUAAAAUCAACCAUCAAUUAAUGCAAUAUUGACUAAAAUCAAGGGGAAAAUAUUCAUAAAUUUAAUGACAAAAAUUGCAACUUAUCAGUCGGGUGACUUUAAGAAUUUUUUUUAAAGUGUAAGUGGAAGGUUUCGAAUUCAAGAUAUCUCAUUUGUACUCCUCUCAAAUGAAAUCUCUCUCCAUUUUUCACAAUACAUAUGUAGAUGGAUAACAUAUGUUUCACAAUACAUAUUAAUAGAUUAGCUUUUAGUUUCUUUUUUUCUGUCAGACGAUUUACUCUUGGUUUUGGCUCAUGUACGGCAGGCUAUUAGACCUUUUUGCUUUUUACUUUUCAUUCCAAUACGAAGACGAAACCCCAAAAAAGAAAAGCAAAUCUUUUCAUUCGUUCCUUCGUUAAUUCAUCUCUUCCAAUUCUUUGGCAAUUGUGUGGAUGGAAUCAAUCAAAUCACGCGAGAGUGACACGAUGAGAAGCGGCUAGGUUUCUCCUCUACCCAAAGGUCGACGCAAAGGCGCGGUUCAUAACAUAUGUGAGAUUUAAUCGAAUUUUCAUUAUUUCAUCCAAUUAGUUACUAUUCGUGCGUUUCCUGGAUUAAUUGUUCAUGGAUAUUCUAUUAAUUGAGUAUCAACGGCUGGAUAUUUAAUCUAAUCUAAUAGCCUACUGCCACGUUAAUUGAAUUGAAUCCGUAAUUAUUCGUUUAGUUGACAACUAGUGGCAACCACCAUAAUUAGUUUUAUGUUGGGAAAAAGUAAGAUCUAGUUUAAAUAAACCCUCUUAGCGUGUUUAUUGGUUAGAGUUAGGUUCGUCUAACUUUAAUGCAACUAGAUAAUUAAAUUUCUACGGUCGUAUCUAGGGUUGUUUUCUGGUUAGAGAAGCAGUCAAUGGUCGUACCUUGACCGUCGAAAAAGUAAGGAAGAACUAGCUGUCAGAGCUUGUUGAUGGCUACAACCAACCUAGUGACAAAUGAAUGAAAUAUCUUUGUAUCGAUGAUCAUUUAAUUGGACCGUGCCUGAAAAGUUGAUCCUGUGGGUAGAAUUUUAUUAAUUGCUAUUUUUAGUAAACUGUACUUGUUGGGUUAGCUUUUGAAUUUUGUUUAUUUUAUUUUCAUUUUCAUUCCAUUAAAUAUCCCUCAAUUUUGUUCUAUUGACUUGGAAAGAAACAACUUCCUAUCCGUUCCCUGUGGAAUCGACCCUACUUGUUAUUGUAUGCAAAUUUAAUACUUUUAUAGACAAUUUUGGUAUAUCGGAUCAUGCAAACUGUUCGGAAAAAGGGUGAAUCAAGUAACCUAUUGCACACCUGCUCCAAUACUUGGAUUUGUUCUAUAAUUAAUUGUGGGGGUAACUAGAACUUUUUAGUAAUUAUUAUUGCACAGGCUCGACACCUGUCAAUUUUUGGCGCCGUUGCCGGGGAACGGUGUUUUGGUUAAUUUUGUUUCUUUCGAAAUUAUUUUCUUUGGAUUUGUCUGGCAUUUUUCCAGUUUAUGCCUCGUUCUUCUCGUACAGGCGAAUUGAUUUUCGAUUUGGAAGUAGAGAAGACUGUGCGCCGAACUAGGAAAGAGAUUAGACAGCUCAGAGAGGAGCAAUCUAGCAUUGCAUCUCAGAGACUGGAUCCAGGGGUUGAGUCAACAGAUUCCAGUGGUGAUAAUUCAAGUGACCCAAGCGAAGAGGACAUACCUAUGGCGAAUGCAAGAACACUAAGGGAGUUGGCUGUUUCGAAAUUGACCCAGCAGCCUUUGUACAUUACAUUUCCAACACUAGCUGAGAAUACCUCCUUCGAACUGAAGUCAGGGUUAAUUCAUCCCUUACCCUCAUUCUAUGGCCUCUCGGGUGAGGAACCCCAUAAAUACAUCCAGGAGUUCGAUGUGGUAUGUUCUAGUAUGAAACCUUCAGAGAUUACUGAAGAACAGAUCAAACUUAGCGCAUUCCCUUUCUCCCUCAAGGAUGUAGUGAAGGAUUGGUUAUACUACCUACCAACGGGUAAUAUCAUAACAUGGGCCCAACUGAAAAAGAAAUUUUUGAAGAAAUUCUUUCCUGCGUCCCGGGCUGCAAGUCUGAGAAAAGAGAUAUGCAACAUUAAGCAGUAUCCCGGGGAAUCCCUAUAUGACUUUGGAAAAGGUUCAAUAAGUUGUGCACUAGAUGCCCACAGCAUCAAAUUAGUGAACAACUAUUGAUUCAAUACUUCUAUGAGGGACUUCAGUCAUCUGACAGAAGUAUCAUUGAUGCUGCGAGUGGAGGAGCAUUAGCGAACAAGAUGCCGAGAGAAGCAUGGUUGCUUAUUGAAACAAUGGCAGAGAACUCUCAACAGUUUGGCUUCCGUGAGAGUAACCCUACCCGUAGGGUCAAUGAGGUGGAGACGACAUCCAUUCAGCAAUAGCUGUCGGAGCUAACAUCUUUUGUUCGGCAAUUAGCUGUGGGGAACGUGCAUCAAGCAAAGGUCUGUGAAAUUUGCACAAACGUGGGUCACCCCACUGACUCAUGCCCUAUUUUGCAAGAGAAUGGGGUUGAACAAGUAAACAUAGCUGGAGGCGUGCCCGCGCCUCGUAAACAGUACGACCCAUACUCGAACACGUACAAUCCGGGUUGGAGAGACCACCCCAACUUCAACUAUGGGAACAGGUCACAGAAUUCAUUCUCAAAUCGUCCACCAGGAUUUCAGCAACCAUGGCAACCAAAGCCUCAACCUUCGUCCUCCAAUUCAGGAGGCUCUUUGGAGGAUAUUGUCAAGAGCCUGGUCACGAGUACUGCUCAGUUCCAACAGGAAACUAGAUCGGGUAUGAAAAAUUUGGAGAUUCAAAUAAGUCACAUGGCAACUGCAAUUAAUCGCUUAGAGUCCCAAGUUUUUGGAAAAUUGCCAUCGCAACCCGAAGCAAAUUCCAAGAAUGUAAGUGCUAUGACACUGAGGAGUGACAAGGAAGUGGAGGGGUCUAAGGCCAUGAACCUAAAGAGUAAAAGUGAAGAAGAGAUAAAAAAUGAGAUUGAAGAAGAAGGGUGCGUUCGCGAAGACCCUAAGGUAAAAUUUACUCCUUCAACUCCUAUUAAAUCUAACUUACCUCCUUUUCUUUGCAGGUUGGAAAAGACAACGAAGCAAAAUAAGGAAAAGGAGAUUCUAGAGGUGUUUCGAAAGGUGGCAAUCAAUAUCCCUUUGUUGGACGGGAUCGAACAAGUGUCAAAAUACGUUAAAUUCUUGAAAAACUUGUGCAUCGACAAGAAGAAGUUGAGGGGGAAUGAACAAAUUGUGGUAGGUGAGAACGUUUCAGCGAUUUUACAAAGGAAACUACCACCUAAAUGCGAAAAUUCAGGUACGUUUAUUAUCCCUUAUAAGAUUGGACAUUCUAAUAUCGAAAAUGCCAUACUAGAUUUAGAAGUUUCUAUUAAUGUGAUGCCUAAAUCAUUGUAUGAUUUCCUAAAUUUAAGACAUUUAAAAGAAACAGGGAUAAUAAUUUAAUUGACUGAUCGUACAUUUGCUUAUCCGGAUGGGAUAGUUGAGGAUGUUUUAGUGCAAGUGGAUGGAUUAAUUUUUCCUGCUGAUUUUUAUGUGCUUUACAUGGAUGAUAGAAGUGUCCCAAAUCCAUCACUCAUUAUAUUAGAAAGGCCAUUCUUGAGUACUGCCCAGGCUAAAAUUGAUGUUAGUAAGGGUACUCUCACGAUGGAAUUUGAUGAAGAAAUAGUUCACUUUAAUAUUUUUGAUACAAUGAAAUAUCCUGUUAACUCUCAUUCUGUGUUUGCUAUUCAUGCUACUAAUCCCUGUGUGCAAGAAUUUCCUGAGUUUGCUUGUAGGGGUAAAUUCAAAGUUGUUGCGAACAAGUAUCAUUGAAUGAAAGCAAUUCAUGAGGUGAAAAUGGGUAGAAAAUUAAGAAAAAAUGUUGCACUCAAUAGCUAUUUGGAUCCCGAAGGAGGGCCACCGAUUACAAGAAAAAUUGAAUUACAUCCAGAUUGAAGAGUGGUGCUUAAUGUCUAGCCAAAGACAUUAAAAAAAGGCGCUACUUGGAUGGCAAUCCAAGGAUUUCAAUUGCGUUUUAUUUCAUAUUUGUGUGUUCAAGAUCAGUGGGUUUAGAUUCCUAUUGACAAACAAUCUGUAAUGUAGGUCAAGGGUGUUUCUGUGGAGUUUUAUUCUGGGUUGGGGGCAAAAAUUUGUGGGUCGCAUGUUACAAGGCGUGCCUGCGCCUUGUACUCACCGCACAUGGACAUUUGUAAAAUUUGGUGAACAGAAGACCUCGACCUCCAAGGCGUGCCCACGCCGCAGAGCAGAUCGUAUCGGAUAUAUUACACCACGAUAGACAGAAGAUCUCGACCUCCAAGGCGUGCCCACGCUUUCUAACCUUUGCGACAACGAAAGUCAAAAAAAUUUGACCAGGACCCUCUCUAACCCCACUUUUCUACUUUUUUCUUUUCUUGUCUUGUCUGGUCUUUUCAAUUUCUUUUGUCUUAGUUUCUACUUUUCAAUUUCCUUUGUUUUGUCUUAGUUUCAGUUUCUUCUUUUCCUCUUUUCUUGUUAGUCCGCUGUGCACAACGCGCUGCCGCGGCGCACUCCUCCUACCAUGGUCCUCCUGCUAGGGAUUCCCAAUACCGUGCCGUCCAAGAUUCUAUCCGUGAAUCAGGUGUUGGAUUGGAUGACCGUUUUACAGCGCUGCAGGUUUACGUCCGUAUUCAGACAGAGAAUCAGGCACCUUUCCUUGCUCAUAUUGGAUUCCAGCCGCCUCAUCCGCCUCCUCCUUAGUGGUUCGCUACGUCAUCUCGGCUGUCAGGGAAGUUUCGCUCCUUUAUACUUACAAUCCAUUUGUCUUUGCUACAUUGAGGACAAUGUAGAUUUUAGGUGUGGGGGGAUGGUUUCUAUUAUUUCUUUUUGCUUAUUUCUUUUUGCUUGAAAAAAAAACACAAAAAGAAAAAAAAAACAAACAAAAAGAGAAAAAAUGAAACAAACAGAAAACAAAAAAAAGUAGUUAGUUGAUUUCUUUAGUUCUACAAUUGUUAACUGCUAGAACAUGUUGCUAUGAUGGAUUGCACAAUCAGGGUGCACGGGUAUGUGGUCAUAUAUGCUAGCUAUGCAUUUUGGUUUUCCUUGGCAAUAUCGUUGAAUGUUGAAUAUGUUAGAUUUGACCCAUUCUUGAAACUCUUGGGAGCUUUUGAGCCAUGCAUGAGCACAUUAUUUUUGUCUGUUUCGUUUGUAUUGUUGAGUGGGUAUCACACAUGGUAUUGGCAUUCUAAAACUUGCUAUUUUAUACAUGUCGAGGCUACAUUUUGUUGAACUGGAGGCAUUUGAAAUGAUAAGGGCAUUUAGGAUCUAACCUUCUUUAACUUGCUACAAACCAUGGCUUUAUCCUGUUUCCCAAUAGUGAACCAAUUUGAGCUUUUAUCCUUCUCCUUUGUUUGUCAGCUGUGUUUAAUAACCCAGAACCUUUUUAGACUUUCUUGUUCAACCUUAUGUCGUUAAGAGAUGUUUGAAUUUCAUUGUUUGUGCAAGGCGAAUAAAUAUAGGGUCGCAAGUGUUGUUAGAAUAGAAGUUGUAUGGUGCUGGUUCUGUGCAUCUGAGAUCGAAAAGAGGAAAGAAAAAAAAUGAGAAAAAGAGAAAAAAAAAAAAGCAAAAAAAGCUAUCGGCAAGCUGGUGAACAGAAGACUCUGGUUUACAGGGCGUGCCCACACCUUGCAAGCUAUUUCUUUUUUUUAAAAAAAAAACAUGGAGGACAAAAAGAGUUUAGACACUUGCACAGUGGGUAUAGCAAAUGGAAAUGUCUUGCUUGUGAAAUUUUUCCGGUAAAGCGUUGUGGUUAUGUAGUGAAUAUUGGACAUUCUCUUGACACAUUACACCAUAUCUUUACCUUUUUAUCCAGCCUUUUACCCAAGCCCCAUUACAACCCUAUUAAAGUCCCAUUUAUUUUUGUAUUGAGUUUAUUUUUGAGUGGUGGAGAUGUGAUAAAUGUGAAAGCCUAUGGUAAUGUCAUUCCGUGAUGUUGAUUUGAGCGUUCCUAGUAUCUAUACAAUUUCUUGAAAAUGAUGAGUAUUACUGUUCAUACUCUUUGGAUAACUACAUAUCCGGUGUGUUCUAACUUUGGCGAUAUUGUCAGGUAGGCGGGAUACUUGUGUUAGUGUAGAUCACUACAUAACCGUUUCUAUCUUGAUUGUACUUCUGAGUUUCAAAAUGCUUGAGAACAAACAUUGUCUAGGUGUAGGGGGAUUUGAUGGAACAAUUAUUGGGCACCUUUUACUCUGUUAUUUGUUCGUAAUUUUGGCUACUUACUGUGCUAAGUAUUGAGAUUUUGCUCAUAUUUGAUAUUUGUGUAAAUCGCUGGCGAUUGGUGUCAAAAGUGAUCUUUCGAUGCAAAAUUCUAGAAGACCCUUUAUUUUAUGGCGUGCCUACACCAUAAACUGAAGAGAUACACCUAAAAGACGGACCCCGCGGGAUUGGUAGAAAAAGUGAAAAAUUAGGAAGUCAAAAGGGCUCAUGGGCCGCGAAGGUGCAGAGGAUUAAAACUCUUCUCCUAGAGGAAGUAGGAAGCUCUGAUGCUUUCUUUCUUUUCGGCGGCUGCUUUGGGAGAAAUUGGCGAAAAGCCAGAUUCACGUGGGAUAAGGAGAUUGGCUUGCAACUUUCUUACGUAUAUCGUUGGGAUAGCAAUCUACGGCGGCUACUGCAAAAGAGAUUUGGCUAAAAAGCCAGAUUCACGUGAUAUUAAUAGAUUAGCUAUUAGUUUCUUUUUUUCUGUCAGACGAUUUACUCUUGGUUUUGGCUCGUGUACGGCUGGCUAUUAGACCUUUUUGCUUUUUACUUUUCGUUCCAGUACGAAGACGAAACCCCAAAAAAGAAAAGCAAAUCUUUUCGUCCGUUCCUUCGUUAAUUCAUCUCUUCCAAUUAUUUGGCAAUUGUGUGGAUGGAAUCAAUCAAAUCACGCGAGAGUGGCACGAUGAGGAGCGACUAGGUUUCUCCUCUACCCAAAGGUCGACGCGAAGGCGCGGUCCAUAACAUAUGUGAGAUCUAAUCUUAUUUUCAUUAUUUCUUCCAAUUCGUUACUAUUCAUGCGUUUCCUGGAUUAAUUGUUCAUGGGUAUUCUAUUAAUUGAGUAUCAACGGCCGGAUAUAUAAUUUAAUCUAAUAGCCUAUGGCCACGUUAAUUGAAUUGAAUUCGUAAUUGUUCGUUUAGUUGACAACUAGUGGCAACCACCAUAAUUGGCUUUAUGUUGGAAAAACGUAGGAUCUAGUUUAAAUAAACUCUCUUAGCGUUUUUAUUGGCUAAGGUUGGGUUCAUCUAGCUUUAAUGCAACUGGAUAAUUAAAUUCCUACGGUCGAACGUAGGGUUGUUUUCUGGUUAGAGAAGCAGUCAAUGGUCGUACCUUGACUGUAAAAAAAGUAAGGAAGAACUGGCUGUUAGAGUUUGUUGAUGGCUAUAACCAACCUAGUGACAAAUGAAUGAAAUAUCUUUGCAUCGAUGAUCAUUUAAUUGGACCGUACCUGAAAAGUUGAUCAUUUGGGUAGAAUUUUAUUAAUUGCUAUUUUUAGUAAAUUGUACUUGUUGGGUUAGUUUUUGAAUUUUGUUUAUUUUAUUUUCAUUUUCAUUCCAUUAAAUAUCCCCCAAUUUUGUUCUAUUGAUUUGGAAAGAAACAACUUCCUAUCCGUUCCCUGUGGAAUUGAUUACUUGCCAUUGUAUGCAAAUUUAAUACUUUUAUAGACAAUUCUGGUAUAUCGGAUCAAGCAAACUCUUCGGGAAUAGGGUGAAUCAAGUAACUCAUUGCACACCUAAGGUCCCUGCUCCAAUACUUGGAUUUGUUCUAUAAUUAAUUGUGGUGGUAACUAGGAUUUUUUAGUAAUUAUUAUUGCACAGGCUCAACACCUGUCAGGCAGAGAAACAGAAGGAUAAGAUGUCAAUGUUAUUAACAUCUGAGUCUAGUAACUGGAAUCUUUUUUGCUUAUGAUCUUCCACUUCAUCCAUUUAUUUGUAAUUAGUGCAUUGUUAGGUCACAGAUUAGUAAGGUUUAUUCCUUGUUUACAUGUCUUAUUCACCUUGUGUUGCUUACUCUGUCAUUUGUCACUUGAUUCAAUCUAGUGACUCCAUUUAAGUCUGCAGUGCCUUCUUGAGUAACUGACAUGAUUUUCAUCCAAAAUGCAACACUGGUUAAGUUCUUUGUCACCCAUAUCUUUCCAGUGUAUAUAUAUGAAAGAGUUACCAUUUUCCUCAAAUUUGAAGAGGCUUAUGGAUACGUAGUUAGCUUAAGCUUGUACAUAAGUUAACUCAUUUCGGCUAAGAACAAAUUCACCUUACUAAUACAGAAGCUUUGCAUUGUUUUCUUUGAAAAUAAAACAAAAACAAUAGAUAGAAUAUAUGCAAUAUAUUUCUACUGUAAGAAAAAAAUUUAUAAAUAUAAAAGCAAAUUAAUAAGGGUAUGAUUAUAUUUCUCUAGAGAAUGACAUGGUCUUAAGUGAUCAUAAUUCUUGGAGGAGAAAAUCAUGAGUCCAAUUUUGUAAGGCAUUUGAGACAUCAGAUAUUCUGUGCAUGUAUUAUAUAGCUGAUUGUGAGUCAUGUAGCACGAGGUCAUGAAUAGUAGAGAUGUAAGCAUCAUUUUUGCUUUUAACAAUAGAAAGGCAUUCUUCAUUGCAGCAGCUUUGGAUAAUUGUCUUUUGUUCAUACUUAAAGGAACUUGUAUAAGCAUGAGAUUUUGCACUAUUCUAGGGCUAUAAGGAACCAAAUAAUAGGUGGAUGAUUUAGAGUUAGCUUAAAAACUUGUGGCAGACGCCUUUUAGGAAUUGUUUUUGGAUCUAUUUACACCAGAAGCCAAGCAUUGCUGAGGCUUAUUACCAUGUGAAUGAAAUGAAUGAGUUUCUGUUAUAUUUGAAGUCCUCUGCAAAGCCUGUAUCGUUUUUAUUUUUUGGACCUUUAUGUGUUGCAAAAGGGAGGCAAAGAGUGAACUAACUUGGAGAAUGCGAAGGUGUGCAUCUAGUGCUUGCGACAUUCUAUUCUUUUGACUUAAUGGAGUUUUUAUAAAAGCUGUGUGUGCUGAAUGUUUUCUUAGGACAUUCUAUUCACGACUGAUGUAACCAAUAAAGAGUUUAAGGGAAGAUUAGAUUUAAAUAAUCAUGGGAACUUGGCUGAAUAUUGAGUUUACCUACUUUGAAGAAUGGGUAACUUUUUUAGGAUCUUGAGGUAUUCGUUAAAAGUUUAAGUUCUACAUAUUUCAGUAGAAUUAAAAUUUAUGGUGCUUUAGUAGCUUAUAGGUAUUUACGUAUUAUGAGUAUUUGGUAAACUGACAGUGGAGGACACUUUGGUCGUUGUUUGAGACCCUGGGCUUAUGUAUUGACUUUGAUGGAAGGCCUCUUAAUUGAAAUGUUGGGGUUCGUUGCCUCAAGUUCCUACCAUAAGAUGUUCUGGUACCUGGGGGCUGAAGCCCAGUACAUUCUUCAUCUUCCACCGGACACGUACCGAGGCACCUAGGUUUGUUAGGCCAUCCAUGAAGGAGUUAAAGCUAUUCAUUGGUGAAUUUUUUAUGCAUGGCUAUUCUAGGUAAACAGUUUUCUCAUGAAAACUGGCGGAGAAAUGGCAUCUGGUCUAGCUGGUGGUGAUCUAUCGUUAUUCUUUAUGGUUUUUUUUCCAUUGAUUUGCACAAAAUCUAAUUGACUUUGAGCAUUUUUUAUUUUGGAAGAAUGCAUCUUGCAUUAGAACUGACAAUAGGUAUUUUGGGAGGAAAACAUCUAGUCACUGUAUUAUGAGUGAACAACUAGUAUUUAUAGGAGUACAAACCUAACAAACUAUUUACAAGAAUAUCCUUACUAAUUUAUUAUUUACAAGAAUACUUAUAUUCUCUUAACACUCCCCCUCAAGUUGGAGUAUAUAUAUCAUAAGCACCUAACUUGUUACAAAUAUAUUUCACCCUAGGGCUCCCUAAACUCUUGGUAAACAAAUCAACCAAUUGAUCUACAGACGGUACAUGAGAUGUCUUGAUGACUCCAUCAAGCAAUUUCUCUCUAAUGAAAUGACAAUCAACUUCAAUAUAUUUUGUUCUUUCAUGAAAUACUGGAUUAGACGCAAUAUGAACAGUCGUCUGAUUAUCACACACUAAAUUCAUAGGCUGUUUAUACUCAAAUCCAAUUUCAAGUAACAUGCUUUUCAACCAAACCAACUCACACACAGUGUGAGUCAUAGCGCGGUAUUCAGAUUCUGCACUUGAUCUGAAAAUAACUGUUUGUUUCUUACUCUUCCAUGAUACUAAAUUACCACUAACAAACACACAAUAUCCUGUGGUCAAUCUUCGAUCUGAGGUAGAAUCAGCCCAAUCUGCAUCACUAUAUCCUUCAAUAUCAGUGUGUCCAUGAUUUUGAUACAGCAACCCUUUUUCACGAGCAUUCUUAAGAUACCUGAGAAUCCGUAUAACAGCAUCCCAAUGACUAGUAUGAGGGGUCUCAAGAAAUUGACUCACAACACUCACUGCAAACGAAAUAUCAGGUCUCGUUACAGUGAGAUAAUUUAAUUUACCCACAAGUUUUUGAUAUUGGCUAGGAUCAUCUAGUAAUGCACCUUGAUCUCCUACUAAUUUCACAUUAGGAUCCAUAGGAGUAUCCACAGGUCGGCAACCUAACAUCCCAAUUUCGCUCAGCAUAUCGAGUACAUUUUUUUUUGACAUAAAUAAAUCUCAUAUUUAGAUUGAGCUACCUCAAUACCCAGAAAAUACUGUAAAUGACCUAAAUUCUUUGUCUGAAAGUUUGCCUGUAGAUUAUAUUUAAGUUUCUGGAUCCCCAUAACAUCGUCACCUGUAAUCACAAUAUCAUCCACAUAAACAACUAAUAAAAUUUUACCAGCAUUAGAAUACCGAUAAAAUGCAGAGUGAUCUACUCCAUAUUUUGUCAGACCGAACUCCAUGACAACACUACUAAACCGGCCAAACCAAGCCUUAGAAGGCCGUUUCAAUCCAUAUAAGAAUUUUUUCAGAUGACAAACCAACCGCGAAUUCUCCCCUUGAACAACAAAGUCAGGAGGUUGUUUCACAUAUAUCUCUUCUUCCAAAUCUCCAUGUAAAAAUGUAUUUUUCACAUCCAACUGAUGCAAUGGCCAAUUAUAAGUUGCUGCCAAAGAGAUAAGAAAACGAACCGAGGUAAUUUUUGCAACAGGAGAAAAUGUUUCUAAACAGUCUAUUCCACACACCUGAGUAAAUUCUUUAACUACCAGAAGAGCCUUCAAUCGAUCAAUAGAACCAUUAGACUGCACUUUUAUAGUAUACACCUAUUUACAACCAACAACAGACUUGCCAGAAGGAAGAGGGACAAGAUCCCAAGUACCAUUUUGUUCCAAAGCAGACAUCUGUUCUUGCAUAACUAAUCUCCAAUCAGGAUGAUUAAGAGCAUGGAUAAUAGACUUAGGAAUGGAGACAGAAUCAAGUGAAGUAACAAAAGAAGAAUAUGAUAUAGAGAGACGAGAAUAGGAAACAAAAUUAGAAAUAGGAUGAGAAGUACAAUGCCUCUUACCUUUGCGUAAAACAAUAGGAAGAUCUAACUCAGAGGAGAGCGUCAUACCUGAAUUUAAAGAUUGAGAGUUAAUUGGUGAAUUGUGUGGCAUAUCAGGAGCUUUCUCAACUAUGGAACGACGAGAAUAAACUUGAAGGUUAGGAUGAGAUAAUCGAGCUAUGGAAUCUAGUGGGUUAGAUAACUCAGGUAAUAAAGAGGAAGGGACUGGUAAAACAGGAGAGGAAAAAGAGGAACACUGGUCUAACUUAUAAGGCAUACCGUGUUUCAUAAAAUAUGGAGUGGAUUCAAAGAAAGUAAUAUCAACACAAGUAAAAAAUUGAUUUAAAACGGGACUGUAACAUCUAUAUCCUUUUUGCGCUCGUGCGUAUCCUAAGAAAAUACACUUAAUGGCACGAGAAUUUAAUUUAUCCAUCCUGGGAGCAACCUGAUGAACAAAACACACACAUCCAAGAAUACGAGGAAGUAAUUUAAACACAGGUUCAUGAAAAAAAAGAAUGGAGUGAGGCAAUUGGCCUCCAAGAAUAUUAGAUGGCAUGCGAUUAAUUAAAUAACAUGCAGUUAGAACUGCAUCACUCCAAAAUUGUUUGGGCACAUUCAUGUGCAACAAAAGUGUCCGAACAACCUAGAUUAAAUAUCCAAUUUUUCUUUUAACAACUACAUUCUGUUGUGGAGUGUGAGGAUAAGAGGACUGAUGAAUAAUACCGGACUUAGUCAUAAAGGUAUUAAAAGAAGUGGAAAAAUAUUCUUUCGCAUUAUCGCUGCGAAGUAUACGUAUAGGCACACCAAAUUGAUUCUUUAUUUCUGUAACAAAUGCACAAAAAAUGAAAUAUAGUUCUGAGCGAUCUUUCAUUAAAUAAAACCAUAUAACUCUUGAAAAAUCAUCAACAAAGAUUACAAAAUAUUUAAAACCUAAUUUUGAAGUGACUCGACUAGGACCCCAAAUAUCAGAAUGAACUAACAAAAAGGGUUCAGAAACCCGUUUAUUGACUCUAGGAGCAAAAGAAACACGAUGAUUCUUUCAUAACUGACAAGACUCACAUUCUAACGAAGACAACUGACUCAAAGUAGGAACCAACUUUUUCAAAUUUUGUAAAGACGGAUGACCUAAACGACAGUGAAUUUCAAGAGAAGAAACAAUAGCAAGACAUGCAAUUGGACCAUUGGAGUUGAGAAAAUAAAUACCAUUAUACUCAUGCCCUCCACCAAUUGUCCUCUUUGUCUUCAAAUCCUGAAUGACAACAAAAUUAGGAGAAAAAGUAACCGAAUACUGUAGAGAUUUAGUGAGCUUACUAACAGACAUUAGAUUAAAGGACAAAUUGGGUACGUAAAGAACAAAAGACAGCGGAAGAGAUGGGUUAAUUUCUACAGUGCCUAGUCCUUUAACUUUAGUGGUAGAUCCAUCAGCUAAAGUAACAUGAGGAAAGGAAGUAGACUCUUGAAAAUUAGAAAAAUUUUUAGAGGUACCUGACAUAUGAUCAGUAGCCCCGGAGUCAAUAAUCCAUGAGUCAUUACCUUUUUGUGCUAAAGAAGUAGAGGGAAGAGAUGCGUGAUUGGUAGCUUGGUACUGUAGGAAUUUAACAUAAUCUUCCUCGGAUAUAGUAACAGUUUUCUGGGACAGAUGUGCUGAAGAACUUGAUUCAAUUUGGUCAGUGGUAACCGCAUUAACAAACCUUUCAACCAUAGCGAAUAGCACGUCAAACAAAAAAGCAAUCAAAAUUCGCGAUGAACAGUACCUUUGAACAGUAAUGCGUGAACAUUACGCGUGAACAGUACUUUUGAACAGGACGCAUGAACAGUACCGAUGAACAGUAUCGCGUGAACAACACGCGAUGACCAAUAUCGCGUGAACAAGACUUUUGAUAGAUGUUUAACCCUAACCCUAGGACUUUUGCUCUGAUACCAUGACAAUAGGUUUUUUGGGAGAAAAACAUCUAGUCACUGUAUUAUGAGUGAGCAACUAGUAUUUAUAGGAGUACAGACCUAACAAACUAUUUACAAGAAUACCCUUACUAAUUUAUUAUCUACAAGAAUACUUAUAUUCUCUUAACAAGAACUUUUUUUCUAAUUAGGUUCCAUCUUAAUAGCUGUAUUAAUUUAUGAAAUCUUGUUCAAAAGAGUGACAAUUAGCACAAGGAUAAAUCAGAAAUUGAUUGUGUAUCUUGCAUCUAGAGGGUGUAAAGUGUAAAAAUCAGCUAAGUGCUGGUAACUGCAGUACAUUUUCUUACAGGUCUUGUUGUGUAUGUAAAGCUAAAUAAGUUAAUUCAAGUCAAGUCACAUUUAUGUUCUGUGAGAUGUUGACCAGUUAUAUGGUUAAAUACUCUUUGCAGUAUUUCAGAUCUGUGAGUUGUCUAAAUGCUAAAGGUUUUGAAAGUUUGAAUGCGAAUAUGUCAGCUAAAGGGAUGAGAAUAUCAGUAAGUACGGAGGAGGAUAUUGGCAGCAGUAUGGAGAGGAAAGAUGUGGCCGAUGACUUUGGAGAACCUGGUAAUAGUUUAAGUCUGGUAUUUUAAUUUAUACACAUGCUCCUAUGGAUAAUGAAAAUUAUCAUGUAUAACUACCUGCAAAUCUACAAAGAAAAUGAAGAGGGUGGGGAUGUGUCUGCAAGAAUAGGUAAUAUGGCUUAUAUGCAUGAAAUAAUAAGAACAAGUUUAUUAAAAAAAAAUGUUACUGUAAAGAAAGGAAAUGAGAAGUUAAUAGGAGGGUAAAAAAAAUACCCUAUGAUGGCUCCAUUCCUGUGACAUACUUACUUAGCCUAGUUUGACUUUGUAUAAGGCUCUAUUACUGUCCAUAUGCGUAAACUCCUCCCCCCCCCUCCUCAAAAAAAAAAACCUUUAUCAAAAAUUUUCUGUGUACCCAGUUUGCUACAAAUUGUAUAUGUGAUAGGUGUGUAUCUGUGAAGGUUUUGGCUUCUUAAUACAAGAGUAGAGUUCAAGGCAAGAUUUGGUGGAUUGCAAGUUACAAAGAAUUGCUGGAGAAAAAUUGUGCAAUCCAAAAUAUUAGCAGGCAGAGAAAAGGUGAAAUAGGAUUUCCCUCUAAAAAACUAAUAGACAGCUUCAUUUCAUUAGAAAAUUAAUUGUGAGUGAAUGAACAGAAUGUACUCUAGAAAAGUCGUUCAAGCUUUAAGAACUCGUGUUAUUUUACUGUCUGUUGUUUCUUUCAACAGCCCUAUAUUGUUGUACAGUGUGAGAACUGGAGAAGAACAACAAACAAUUCUUUUCUUUAUCACAAAAGUGAUGAAAGAAUAAGAAAGAUAUUGUAAUUCCGUACUAACAAUAAAAACAUGUAGAUAUUAUGGUGUCUUAACUUCCCCAUUAAAAUAGUGAAGCAAAAUAUCUUUGAUCACAUACUACAUUCAGCUAGCUAGGGCUUGGUUACUUAGUUAUCUACCAGUAUCAAAAUUACAGAAAUCAUGUUUAGGAAAUAAGUAUCAAAAUGCACUAAAAAUAGAGGACAUAUUGUUCAUUAAUUAACUUGAAAAGCAAACAAAAUAUGAUUGUGCUUCCUCUAUCUACCAGUUGGUAUGUAGUGAACUUGGCGGAGAAUUUGAGUUGGUUUGGUAUGUAGUCAACUUAUCACAGGCUGUUGGUAGUGGUGGUGGUGGUAAACUCCACGCUCGAAAACUUAACCAAAUGCCGGCAUUAGGCUUAGAGGUAACUUUUGGUUCCGGUGGAUCCCUAAUUUAUGGUUUAGGAGGAUUCUAUUUUCACCCUACUGAAGAUGGUUCUAAUUACGUCAUGAAGCCUGACGAUGAAGAGGAUUGCACGGUUUACUUUUACGAUGCCUCCAAGCCCUUCCAAGCUUGAGAAUGGGUGAUUCAAAGGUCCUCCCUUGAUUGCACACAGAGAUUUUUGCCCACUCACCAAGCAAUCAGGGGAAGCAGAAUCUAUCUCCUUAGGAAAUGAGGUAGGCAAUCCAUGGGGCAAGUAUUUGGAUCAGUCGUUUAGCCAACCAUAGCGGUAUCCUCUGAGUUGUAAAUUUCCUUUUGGUGAACCUCCUAUUGAAGGAUCUCUCCCUCCCUCCCUUGGAUAAAAAAUUUGACUCUUAGCACUAUGUCCUGUUUCUUAUCGGUGCUGGGGAUCAACUUGUUCUUGUGUGUUACAAUGCGGAGGUUGACAAUGUGUUCAAGUUUUGUCGACGAUCGUGAUUGGUUCAUUAUUAUCCCUUUUGUGUGGAAGGGAAUUACUUGUUCACAACUUUUGGCAUUAGCGUUUUAGCGUAUCGUGUAUUUUACAGGAGUUUAUUUCAAGGACAUGCUCCAUUCUGUGGUAAAGUUGAGGGGUUGCCUGACCAUUUUUUUCCUCCUCAAUAUCAUGGUCAUAGUCCAAUGCCCCUACAGCGGAUUGGCCCAAAUAAGUUUGCUACCCUUUGGCUCGCAACUGUGGGGCAAAAACCACGACAUUGUGCUAGGUUGAGUGUGUUCACCGCUUCACCGCUGAGGAGGAGCAUGCUGCUGCCCCUCUUCGGGAGGGGAAGAAGGAAGAUGAUACUUCUUUAUAGGAAGGAGAUGAAGAAGGAAUCUUGUUUUGUUCCCAACAUUGAAUUAGACGAAAGUCUUGAACUCGAGGUAGAGGAGCAUGUUCAUUUCUAUAUUGACGCUAUUGAUGUAGUAUUCCCUCAAUCAGAAGUAGAUGUGCAUGUGUAGUGGUCCGUGGUGAGGAAGGUUUUUUGAGUUCAGUUCUGAAAUUGCACAUAUUCAUGGUUGGCAUUUGGGAAAUUGAUGAACUCGGAUGUUUGAUCAUUUGUUGUUUAGUGUACCAAAGGACUUCCGAAUCAACCAUACUGUAUAUGCUAAACAUCUUUACUUAUUUUUUGCUGUUUAGUAUACCAAAGGAGCAUGGUUUUUUGCUGUAGUAUUUACUCCAACAGAGGUAGCUACAAAUUUGUGGAUCUUAAAAAGUGCUUAAGCACAGGGAAUGUAUGAGUUUAAGAUAGCUACAAAUUUGUUUUCUGUGUGCUUCUUGUGAAAACACUAGUAUAGAAGUCUUAGUAACUUGGCCUUAGGCAACUGUUUAGAUAAGAAAUGGUCCACUUCCUGAAAACUCAGGUCUCAAAGAGCUCAAUCAGAUGAGCAGAACUCAGCAAUUCCAGGGCCAAGGAGACGAGGAGUAUAUGAUUUGUCCUACAUUGUCCGGAAUUUAGCUGCGGCCAAAAAGGGAUCCAAAUCAUAAGGCAGGCGGGUAGCACCGUCAUCCAACUUUCUCGACUAUGUAGUUGUAUCAAGAAAGGAUGCUCAGAGCCAACCAGAUGAUGAUUUCAAGUUGGAAGAAUUCAACCCAAGUACACAAAAGACAGGAUACAAAUUAAGGGCAUAUUUUAUUUCAAUCACAUUCAUGACAAUCCUCAUCUGGAAGAAGAACAAAAUCUAGUAGUACACAAGAAACUGCUGCAAAAAUCUGGUAGAGCUAAUCUGAAAGUAUCUAAGCUAAUUUGAUACAAACUGGCUGAGGUACUCAUCAAGUGUGGUGUAUUUAACAUCAGGAUAGAGCUCCGUUGCCUCCAUGCCAAAAGAAGCCUUGAUCUCAAAGUUGGCUAUUUCUCCCUUCACGAAAAAUGUGUAUGCCAAAGACAGGAGCAAUUUUAAUGGCAUUGAAGCCUCUGCGAAAGAUACAAGAAAAGAAAGAAAUUUGAUUAAAACAUGGAAUAGGUGUUAAUAAUAGUAGAUGCUAUUGUAUUAAAAAUUAGCAACUUGUGCACUUUUUUCUUAUUGUUAGAUGACCUUGAAUUUUCUUAAGAACUUCGUCCCCUGGAACGUAGAUCUUUUCGAGGGUCUUGCCAAUUUUCUUUUCCCACAAUGAUGCUAUUUCGUUGUAGGACAAAGUGUUGGCAGGGGGUGUAAUGUACACACUCUUGUUCAGAGUCCUCAGGUCAUCUGCUAUUGAGGAUGCUCACCUCGGCCGCCCCGCAUGCCCGAGGUGAACUCACCUCGUCCGUCAUAAGAGCUCAUCCGUGUUUCGAGCAUAUCCCUUAAGCUCGGCCGGAUCCCUAGUCUACCGUGCAGGUGACCUCGGCACCUCCACCUCAGCUGCACGCUGAUGAUGUCAAGCCACCUGACAUCACCUGGGACCAGUGCUUUAUCUGAAAAGCACUGGAGGCACUUAAUGGCACCUGCACCAUACUCUCCGCCAUCAUACCCAGAAGGCUACAGUGUCAGAGCCAAGCCGCCUGACAGGGAGCAGAGCCGUAAUGGCAGGACAUGGGUCCCACCGGCAUAAGACCUCCGUCCUGCCCUCCACUCUCAUUCUAUAAAUACCCCACACACUCCCAACAAGUAAGCACACUGUUCAUUUGCUCAUACUCUAGCAUUUUCUCGUUCUCAUACUAACUUAAUCGUCGGAGUGAUACCAGGGGAGAAGCCCCGCCAUUCACUUCAGACAAGAAGGUUGACUUCGGACACACGAAUUCAUCUCACCUCAUCUCAGAGAGGACUGAUUUAGGUCGGCUUACUUAUCCACCAAAAAUCACCUCUUCAAUUGGCGCCGUCUGUGGGAACGAGAUUACUGCUAAAAUGAGAUCCACGCGCUCCAGAAGCGGAAGAGUUCCCUCAACUGGGGCUGGGCAGACAUCCGGAGCCCAGCAAGAUCGUAUCUCUGAGGAACAUGGGUCCCAAAGGACCCAGUCCAAUAAUGAGGAGGCCAUCGCCAAGAUGGCCGAGUUUGUCACGGACAACCCCAACAUCUUUGAGGAACUAGGAAGGUACCUCAAGAGGCAGGGAAAAGAAAAAGCCGAGUCUUCCAAGAGGAGACCGACGAAGUCCCCUGAAGUGCCCUCAGGCGAGGACUCCGAAGAUGGGCGUCUAUCUCGGAGCACCUCCAGGCGAGCCUCAUCCAAGGCAACCUUCAAGAUUGCCUCCAUCUCCCGAGCGUUUUCUCGGGGACUACUGGGAAAACGAGCCGAGGACCCACCUCGGCGUCCCGGAGGCCUAGCUUCUGAUUACAUGAGGGCUCCGCCCUUCACUGAUGACAUCAAUGGGGAAAUGGUGCCCCCAAACUUUAAGCUUCCAAAUUUGCACACCUAUGACGGCCGAGGUGACCCCGAGGAUCACCUCCGCGCCUUCAUCUCCGCAUUCCGACUCUACUGCGUCCCCGACGCCGUGAUCUGUCGGGCUUUCCCCAUCUUCCUACACGGGACCGCCCGGAAGUGGUUCUGGAGUUUAGAACCAGGGAGCAUUUCCUCCCUGGAUGAGCUGAUAGACCGGUUCAUCCACCGCUUCGUGUCGUCUCGACCAAUAACAAAGACUUCAGCUUACCUCUUGAACCUGCAACAGGGUCAGGGCGAGUCACUUCGCUCAUACGCCCAAAGGUUCAAUGAGGAGAAUGUACAGAUAGCUGACCAGAACGAGCAGGUAACUAUCGCUGCCUUCACCAAUGGGUUAGUGGCAGGAAUCUUCAACACAGAAAUCCAUCGGCAAUACCCCCGUACACUACGGGAGCUCUGGGAAAGAGUAGACCAGGGAAUCCGAAGUGAAGAUGUAAAUCGCAUGAAGCGAGAAGCCCAAGCAUCUCGUACGGGGCAAGAUCCCCGGAGGAGGAAAGACACUGGCCGAGGUGAACCAGGCCCAAGUGGCACUUCAAACCAACCCCGAGACCGCCGAAGUGUCUUCGACCGGAUCGUGAAAGGCAGAUCGUCCACCUCGGACGCUGAGCUAACGCCCCUCAAUUCGAGCCGAACCCACGUCCUGGCUGUGAUGAGGCAGAAUCAGAUCGGCCGCAACCCUCCCGAAAUUCCGGGGAGGAGAGAUAAGAUGAACUCGAACCUCUACUGUGCCUACCACCGUGAUGUAGGGCACGAGACUGAAGACUGCAAUGACCUGAAGCGGGAAAUCGAAAAUUUGAUCCGGCAAGGAUACCUGAAGCAAUUCGUCCGCAAGGAUGGAGGCUUCAACCGAAGCGUCUCCCACCGGGAGAACCGGGGCCCUCGCCGCGACGACCGACGGGACACGAACAUGCAUUGCCGUGGUCCCGAAGACCGUAGGGAGGACAAGCAGCCCCCACGCGAUGGCUCACCGGGCUACGGCCCCAACAUCGCCGGGGUGAUCAACACCAUCGCGGGAGGACCAACGGGAGGAGACAGCCAGAACUCCCGGAAGCGGACCUACCGCCAGGCCGAGAUGGAGGUGGCCGAGCCGAGCUCUCGGCUGUCCGAGGUCAUCACCUACGGUCCCGCUGACCCCGUUCCUGCGGCCUCCAGCAAUCACGAGACUCUUGUGAUUGAAGUCCUCACCAACAACUACGUAGUCAAAAAGGUCUAUAUUGACCCCGGAAACUCGGUAGACGUCUUGUACUACCGAACUUUCGAAAGUUUGAAACUGACCAGGGAGCAACUCACUCCAGUCAGAACUCCUCUCGUGGGAUUCGGGGGACACGUCGUCCACCCGGAGGGCAUGUUGACCCUGAUGGUAACAAUCGGGCGUCAUCCACGCUGCCGAACUGUGCCUGUCAGUUUUGCGGUGGUCAAAGCAGACUCCCCCUACAAUAUGCUGAUAGGCCGGCCCACGCUCAAUGCCUUGAGAGCCGUAUACUCCACUUACCACCUGAGUUUUAAACUCCCAACAUCUGCGGGGGUGGCCGAGGUGAGCAGCUAUGUGGGCGCCGCCCGGGAGUGCUACCUCGCCACCAUUCAAGCAGCAGUCACCCCCCGGCCCUCACCGAGGUCAGAAGAAAAGAGGCCAGCGGUCCUCUCCAUAGACUGUAUCGACCCUCAGAAGGCAGAAGAGCCCAACAGGCUGGAGCCCGGGGAUGAGGUGGAACUGGUGGUCGUGGAUGAAGCGAAACCUGACCAAGUGGUCCAGGUAGGGGCGGGACUCCCCCCACCCCUGAAAGAAGAAAUGAUCUCCCUGAUCAAAGACCACCGAGACGUCUUCGCGUGGUCCGCGGAUGAAGUGGUCGGAGUGCCACCCGAGCUCAUGACUCACCAACUCAACGUUGACCCACAGGCCCGACCUGUGCGACAGAAACGAAGGCACUUCGGCCCCGAACGUAGUCAGGCCAUAUCGGAUGAGGUCGACAAGCUCUUGCCGGCCAAGAUGAUCCACGAAGUCCAAUAUCCCGCCUGGCUGUCCAAUCCAGUCAUGGUCAAAAAGGACACCGGUGGAUGGAGAAUGUGUGUCGACUUCACCGACCUCAACAAGGCCUGCCCCAAAGAUUGCUAUCCUCUGCCGAGAAUAGACGCCCUCGUCGACGCGGCGAUGGGGUAUGAAAUCCUCUGCUUCCUAGAUGCCUUCAAAGGGUACCAUCAAAUAGGAAUGAGUGAGGAGGACCAAGAGAAAACGGCGUUCUACACCGACCGAGGUACUUAUUGUUACACCACCAUGCCAUUCGGGCUAAAGAACGCCGGGGCAACCUACCAAAGGCUGAUCAACCGACUCUUCCAGAAUCAGAUCGGCCGCAAUGUGGAAGCCUAUGUGGAUGACAUCCUCGUUAAAAGCCUCGCCACUUCAUCCUUUCUGUCAGACGUGAGGGAAGUCUUUGGUGUCCUGCGAGACUCGAGAAUGAAGCUGAAUCCCAAGAAGUGCGUCUUCGGCGUCACCUCGGGAAAAUUCUUGAGGUAUCUGGUUUCCCACCGGGGAAUCGAGGCCAACCCCGACAAGGUGAAGGCCAUUCAGGACAUGUCCCCACCUCGGAACAUCCGAGAAGUCCAACGGCUAAAUGGACGCCUGGCCGCGCUGAAUCGCUUCCUGUCCCAAUCAACUGAGAAAGCUCUGCCCUUCUUUAAGGUGCUCAAGAAGGCUGAUCAGUUUGCCUGGACGGAAGAGUGCCAGGCUGCUUUCGACAAACUGAAGCAAUACCUCCAUCACCUACCCACUCUCGCUUCACCUCGGCUCGAGGAGAAGCUCUACCUCUACCUCUCCGCAGCCGAUGAGGCCGUCAGCGCUGUUCUUAUCCGGGAUGAGGGCACCCAAGUGCCCGUCUACUAUGUCAGCCGAGCUCUCCGCGGACCAGAGACCCGAUACACCCAGGUUGAAAAACUGGUGCUGGGGCUAGUUCACGCCGCUCGGCGGCUGAAACCCUAUUUCUUGGCUCAUCCCAUAUCCGUCAGGACCGACCAGCCUCUCCGAUAGAUACUGGUUCGACCCGAGGCCUCCGGGCGCCUCACUAAAUGGGCCGUCGAGUUAGGGGAGUACGACCUGUCCUAUGAGCCGCGCACCGCCAUAAAAGCUCAAGCCUUAGCCGACUUCUUGGCCGAGCUCACCUUCACGGAAGGUCCGGAGUCCACCUCCGCCUUUGCCGAGGUGUCCACCCCAUCCCUGUGGACAUUGUAUGUGGAUGGAUCCUCUAAUGGGGACGGCAGCGGAGCUGGACUUCUCCUGGAAGGACCUCAGGGAGAAGUGUGCUCUUACGCCCUCCGCUUUGGCUUCCCAGCCACCAAUAAUGAAGCCGAGUACGAGACCUUAAUCGCUGGACUCCAGCUGGCCCGAAGGCUCGGCGCACAACAAAUCGACGUUCGCAGUGACUCCCAACUCGUCGAACGCCAAGUCCUUGGUGAGUAUGAGGCCAAGGAUGAGACCAUGCAACGAUACCUCUCCAAAGUACACCAACUCACAGCGUACUUCGAGUCCUUCGAAAUCCAAAAAAUACCCCGUUCCCAGAAUAAGCGAGCCGACGCCUUAUCCCGGCUGGCUUCUACGUCAUUCUCUGAAUUCAACAAAACUGUCUUAGUGGAAGUCCUGAGUGAACCAGGAUACGUGGAAGAGGUGGCCUGCCCCGUGCACUCUGAAGAAUCAUGGAUGACCCCGUUCAUCCUUUUCUUGGGUCAAGGAGUCCUCCCUGAAGACCGAGCCGAGGCUAGAAAAAUACAACGCAAGGCGGCUCGGUACGCUCUCCGCGAUGGAGAGCUGUACAAACGUUCCUACCUCGGCCCAUGGCUGAGGUGUGUCACUCCCGAGACAGGACGCCACGUCCUCCAAGAGAUCCACGAGGGCUUGUGUGGAGCUCACGUCGGCCACAGAAUGCUAGCCAAGAAGGCUCUGCUUCUUGGAUAUUUCUGGCCCUCGGUUCGACAAGACGCCCAGAACCUCGUUCUCGGCUGCCAUUGCUGCCAAGUCCACGCGUCCGAGUAUCACCAGCCCGCCAACUUCAUGGUUCCCAUCACUUCACCCUGGCCAUUCGAGCAAUGGGGGACAGACAUCAUAGGUCCUUUCCCCAGAGCCGUCGGGGGUCGUACCUUCCUGGUAACCGCUGUGGAUUACUUCACCAAAUGGGUUGAAGCCGAGCCACUGAGGACCAUCACCGGGCUGGCAAUUCAAAAAUUCUUUUGGAAAUGCAUCGUCUGCCGCUUCGGCAUACCACAGGUAAUCAUCUCGGAUAAUGGGAGGCAAUUUGCCGAGAACCCCUUUAAAACUUGGUGCACAAACCUUGGCAUCAAACAACAUUUCACUUCGGUAGGCCACCCCCAGGCCAACGGCCAAGCAGAAAACUUCAACCGAACUCUCUUGCAUGGCCUCAAGACUCGACUACACCAAGCUGGAACAUCUUGGGUCGAAGAACUCCCUAGUGUCCUUUGGUCUUAUCGAACCACGCCGAGGUCGGCCACGCAAGAGACCCCCUUCUCUUUAACAUACGGAGCCGAGGCUGUCAUCCCUGCCGAGAUCCUUACCCCCAGCCCUCGGCUCGCAGCCUAUGCAGCCGAGGUGAACGACGAAGAAAGGCAGUUGGAUCUCGACCUCGUCGAUGAGCGAAGGGACCUCGCCUCAGCCCGGAUAGCUUCCUACAAGAGCACAGUGGCACACUACUACAAUGCCCGUGUCAGGCACCGUCGAUUCCAGCCUGAAGACUUGGUUCUGAGGAAAAACUCAGUCAGCCGAGCUGAACCGCAAGGGAAACUAUGCCCGAAGUGGGAAGGCCCUUACCGAGUUGUGGAGUCUGACCUCAAGGGAUAUUGUAAACUGAGCUACCGAGAUGGCUCACUAGUGCCGAGGUCUUGGCACGCCGAGAACCUCAAAAUGUAUUACGCUUGAAUUUUUAAUUAAGUUAUGACAUCGGAUGUUAUGUUAUUUCUCAACAUCGGUGUUACGCUAUUAAAAAAUAAGGGGGACAAGCAAGGGACGAAGUCAAAGCGAGAAAUUAAAUUGCUGAGAUGAAAAGAAAUAAGCUUUCAUUCAACAGAAAAGAGCGUUACCAAAAAUACAAGGCCGAGGUCGGAAUGCUACUAAGCACUCUCCACCUCGGCCACCCCUUUAAAGCCCACAAGCCUAGACCCCCGUCUCGGCUCCAUUCCCCGUCUCAGCCCCAUCAUGGGCAGCCUUCUCACCGGACUCCUCUCCACCGGGGUGAAGCUCUUCUCCAUGCUCUUCGCCGAUGUUCCCUCCAGGCACUUCACCCGUCCCUUCGCCGAGGCCUACAUCGGCUUCUUCUCCUCUUUCCUCCUCGAACGCUUCGUCGAGUUCAGACAGCCAUUUGUUGAACUCGUCUUGAACCUCGGCCAGGUUCCUCCCGGCUCGGAUGCCUUCGGCCAUCCGAUCGCACAGCUCCGUGGAGUCCUCGUUAUAGUGAGCACUGUUCCUCAAGGACUCCAAAGCCUCGGAGGGCAGAUGAGCUGCGGCCUGGUCUAUGGCCGAAGUGAAGCCCAGCAUGAAGGAUGGCCUUGUCAGCUGGCCGAGAUCCCCAAUGAAGGUCUCGGACCUCCGGAAAUCCUCGACGGCCGAGGUCCUCGCGCUAUCAAGGGAUUGUUCGUGAUUCUUCUUCGCCUCCUCGGCCCUCUUCUGCUCUUCCUCAAGAGCGGACCUCAGACUGUUGGUUGUGAUCUCGGCCUCCUCCCCUUUAACCUCGGCCUCCUUGAGCUGCCUCUGAAGCUCGGAUUUCUCAGACUCAGACACCACCAGCUUCUUCUUCAACUUGGCAAUCUGAUCUUGCAGCUUGCCGGUGUCCUGCUCCUCGAGCAACUCGCAGUACCGAUGUGCCAUCUCGGCCACAAAGGCUGUGUUGGAGGCCGUGGUCACCAUAACGCUUUGGAGCAUCUCGGCCGGGGUCAGCUUCCUUGUGAAGUCCAAGUCUCUUGGCAGAGUAGACUGCAUCACCAGGUCUUGGGCGACCCGAGGAUUCGAGCAUCGGUCGUUGACCUUGAGCGACCAAUCCGGACACCACUGCUCGCCGGAGUGAGACUUAUCCUUCCCAGAAAACAUUGGGGGGCUAUGGUACCGGUUCCAGAGCGAAGUCGCCGUCACCGCGUUGACCGGAGCUUUCAGCUGUUUGCCUCGGCCAGGUUGAGGUGGAAGUGCCGUGGUCACCCCUAGUGGCACCCCCUCUGGUACCGAAGUGGACCCUGUGGCAGCAGCAGCCGAGCUGCUCUGAGCUGUCGUGGGGGGGUGGUCUCCUUGCCCGACGUCUUGGGAGGCUGCCCUUGUGUUUUCUUCUUGGGCGGGGGCGCCGAUGUCUCGCCCGAACUCUUCCUCUUCGACCUCUUCGCCACUUCGGCACCUGAGCUCGACGUGAUGAUGUCGGAUAAUUUGGUCACUGCACAAAGAGCAAAUAUUAUCAUGUGCCUUAGCCGAAGUGAAAUCAAAGCUAUGAAAGAAAAUUACAAGGUAUCUUAAGUUUAGUGGAGGUGAAGGGAGUCUUGUCAGGAGGGAUCAAAGCUCGGCUAAUUUCCCCAUCAACCAGCACGGCUUCGGGGUAGUCCAGACUAUAUAUCCGAAGUCCCGACCCCAUCAGCUUCUGGAAGUCCUCCUCCUUGGCAUCCCCAGCAGAGGGAUCGGCCUUCGCUUUGAUUGGCCUCCACCAAAAGCCCCUGGGGAAGUCCACUUCGGACACAAAGAAGUAGUCACGCUUCCAAUUCUUGAUUGAGCUGGGAGCGCCGACCACCAACUUCGGAAUGGCAUUGUUCCGAUUGCCAACAUAAAACCAUCCCUUGUCCGUCCCGUGCGCCUUGAGGGUAUAGCAUCGGCGGAAGAGGUCGACAGACGGAGUCACCUCCUGAUGUCGGCACAGCAUCUCGAACCCAAUAAUGUUGCGGAUCGCGUUCGGGGCGAGUUGGGUAAUCCUCACGCCGAAAUGACGAAGUAAGUCCCUGAAGAACCUCGACGUGGGCAUCCUCAGCCCGGCCUCCAAUUGUUGGACAUAGAUGGCCACCAUGCCAAUGGGGGGCUUCUCGGCUGAGUCAUCCACCCCGGGCGGUGUGAUCUCGUACCCCGACCGGAAAGGGUACUUGUUUAUCACCUUCACGGCCCUAUCUCUUCCGAUGCGACUCCUAAACUUCGGCAUCUUGCCGAAGUCGAUGUUGGAUGUAUCUUCGGGAGCGACGGGCUCCAGUGCGUCCUCAUCGUGUGGUAUCUCGACGCCGAGCUCCUCAUCAUAGGCCACUUCGGAGCCACCCUCGCUCAUCUCGGAUGACUCCAACUCGACGUCAACCUCCUCGCGGGUCUCCUCGGUGGAUCCUUCCCCAGAGCUCGGCGUCGACCCAUCAGAGCUGGACGUCGUCACUUCUAUAGGAUCCGGCCUCACCUCGGUUCGGUAACUCGGUGUCACGGUUUCUUUGUGGGUCUUAGCUGUUUUGGCCAUGGGUGAAAGAUGAGGUAAGAAAGAAGAAGAAUACUUACUAUUGCCUACGGAGUUGGACGAAGUUGAUGACCUCGGCUUUGAUCUCGGCUACUAGACCGACCUCGGCUGAAAGAACUGACCUCGGCUACGCUCGUGAACUUGCAAAUCUCAAAUGAAAAUGAAAGGUGUGAGAAGUACGGUGAGGGGGCCCCCCUAUUUAUAAGGGUUUGGGCGGAAUAUGAAGAGGCGGCAAGAAUGUGAAAGGACGGCCACGUUCGAACUCAGAACGUCGUGCCUCCCUCUCUCCUCAUUAAUGCCCCGUCCUUUCGGCUGACACCCUGCACGAAACGUCCCACUACUUCACGACGCGACGGUUACCAGUGACCACGUCCUGUCAACUGACACGUCCACGUGUCGCGUCCCCGCAUCUUCCGGGGCAGUUUCGGGACUCCGACUCUCUACAACUUCGGCCCAAGGAAGCCUCGGUACCUCCCUGGCCCGGAGCUCCCGAGGCUUGGGGGGCUUAUUGAGGAUGCUCACCUCGGCCGCCCCGCAUGCCCGAGGUGAACUCACCUCGUCCGUCAUAAGAGCUCAUCCGUGUUUCGAGCAUAUCCCUUAAGCUCGGCCGGAUCCCUAGUCUACCGUGCAGGUGACCUCGGCACCUCCACCUCAGCUGCACGCUGAUGAUGUCAAGCCACCUGACAUCACCUGGGACCAGUGCUUUAUCUGAAAAGCACUGGAGGCACUUAAUGGCACCUGCACCAUACUCUCCGCCAUCAUACCCAGAAGGCUACAGUGUCAGAGCCAGGCCGCCUGACAGGGAGCAGAGCCGUAAUGGCAGGACAUGGGUCCCACCGGCAUAAGACCUCCGUCCUGCCCUCCACUCUCAUUCUAUAAAUACCCCACACACUCCCAACAAGUAAGCACACUGUUCAUUUGCUCAUACUCUAGCAUUUUCUCGUUCUCAUACUAACUUAAUCGUCGGAGUGAUACCAGGGGAGAAGCCCCGCCAUUCACUUCGGACAAGAAGGUUGACUUCGGACACACGAAUUCACCUCACCUCAUCUCAGAGAGGACUGAUUUAGGUCGGCUUACUUAUCCACCAAAAAUCACCUCUUCACUGCUUUGAUGGUGUAUGCAGCAAUGUCUUCUUCCUUGGUGAAAACAACUGCAACGAAACAGAAAAUUGAAGAAAAAAUUGAGAACGAUGAACUCUAAAACAUGAUAAUAAACCAAUCAAGAAAUGCAGCAGACAAGCUUCUUUUGGAUACCUUUUGGAUUUCCAUCACAAAGAAUGACAAUUUUAUCUCUGGGAGGACUUGCAGAGAAAGAGUCUCCGAAGUUGUUGAGGAUAUAAAUCAAGUAACCAGCAAAUCCGUUAGAUACUAAGUAAGUGUAAGGUAUCCCUUCUGCCUCAAUAGCUCUGCGGAUCUCAACCUUGGUCCUGCUUAAGCUAGCAGCAGGCUCAACAGCAUGCGCACGAUCCACAUCAACCCCAAAUUCAGAAGGUAAGAAUCUCUGAAACCAAAUACAGCUCCUUCUUUAGGAAUAUGGAAGUCACAACUCACAAAGGGAUAAGCGCAAAAAAUAAAAAUCAAGAAAGAAUUCGUAAUACUGUAUUGUGCUCACUUUGAUGUUUCCAGCUUCUUUAAUUGCUGCAAUAAUCUUAACUUGAUGAGCUACCAAAUCUCCCCCGACUGCAGAGAUCACUAUCUCAACUUGGUUGAUUGCAUUUACCAACUGCUGAUGAUUGUGUAGAUCUCCCUGUUCAGUCCAUACAUACACGUCAGUUUCUAUAAUUUCUUGAAAAAAGGUGAAACAGUAUUUAGACAACGAAGAAAGAAAUAACAGCACACAUGAAGAAAUAUGACUCCCAAACUCUUGAAGCUCUCUAUGAUGGCUGCCCUUUUAGAAUCUGAAAUUUUGCUUUCUCGGACCAGUGCAAACGUUGGGUGCCCUGCCUUUGCACUUGCUUCCACUAAAUAUUUCCCGAUGUUUCCAGUGCCCCCAAUGAUCAAAAUCUUGCUUUUCACAUCCAUUUCCAACUCUAGGAUAGUAGACUACUGCUGCAAAAUUGGAUGGAAACCGUAAAUUGAUGAGCUGAACAGAUGCAGAAAUGUGCCUAUAGGCUGCAGCUUCGUGCACGGUUAAUUUAUAGUGGAAAAAGUAUUGAAACUGGCAAGCAACCCUGUCGCUGCAGUUUCCUUUUGAUGCUCUAUUGGCUUCUGAAAUUUCUAUCUGAAAUUUCUAAAGUGCUCCAAGAACCAAUCAACGGAAGAUUAGACAGUUGAACAUUCUCACGAGGUUUCCCAAAAAAUCAUAGCACUAACGGAUUCUUAUUGGCCAAGAUGCGCAAUGUAUUGGGGUGCUUGGCAAUUGCGAAAGAGAAAGGUCAAAGUCAAUUGAAUGUCCUUGUGAAAUUACUCAUAUGGGAGAUUUAGCGGUAGGAUUUCGUCCCUGAAUCAGUGAUGACCAAACCUGAAGUAAGCGCUGAUGUUAAACAAAAUGUUGAAGCGAACAAAAAGAGCAUAAACUUAGUACUAAACGUUAAACAAUGUGCUAGAAAAAAAAAUGAAAAGAACAACAUUAUUUUUCUUUUCAUAUAUUCAUCAUAUACUGAUAGAAGCAUGUACUCAUCGGCAUUUGGGUACAACGAAUCCGAACAAUGCAAUUAAUAUAAUUGAUAGAGAAAAUCGUUCAAAACGUUUUUCACAUUUUUGUAAAAUGAUUUUUUUCGUCUCACUUCUAAAAAUGUAAUUUUACGUCCUUUACAAAUUCACAUUAGUUAAACUUUGUCCCUGCUUAGGUUUCCAACUAAUUUUUUAUUGAAAUUCACCACGUGCCUUGCACAUGAUCAUGUUUGCAGGAAAAAAAUUACCAAAUUAUAUUUUACCAAAUGAAUUUUUUUAUCCUUACAUUUCACAAAAUCACUAAGCAAAAUCCUUGAUGACAAUUAAAAUGUAGCAAUAAUUGUUAGGAGGAUUAAAAAGUAGAAGCCAUGAGGACACCUUACUCAAUCAAACAAUAGUUCGUGCAAUGUCAUUCCAUUAAUUUUGGUUUAUCAUCUUUUAAUUCCGUGAAAUUUGCUUUUUUUUUUAACUUGUAAUGUUAUUAUUUAUUCAUUAUACUUUGAUUUCAUUAAUCAAAAUAGCUAAUUUUAGUUGAUCAUAAUUCAGACAAAUUUGGAGCACGUGUACUUUCUAAAUAAGAAUAAAUAUCCUGUUAUGCUUUGAAUGACAUAGAUGAAAAUUUUGGUUUACUAAGUUGGAAAAAAAAGGUAUCUCUCACAGACAAUCCAACAAUACAUUCUUGGGUAAUUUAGAAUUCCAUUUUGUGUUGUUCCAACUAAUUGUCACUACAAAUUAUAGCUAUGAGGCUAAAUGAAACCAGCGGCAGAGGAGAAAUUUGGCAUGGAAUGACAAUCUUGAGAUUGUCGUGAGAAUGACAAUCAAAUUGUGAUAGUAAAUUUGGCAUAACUAAUAGUAAGUUUUUGCAUAAAACAAAUAACUUUUAUUAGUUAUUGUAACUUGCUAUUUAAAUAUUAAAUCUUACUAGAUUUUUCAGCAAAAAUUACCAUUUUUUUCCCAAAACUUAGCAAUUUUUUAAAUAUAAAACGUACGAUUUCUCGAGAAAAACUUAUGACUUCAUUAACAAAUCUUACCACUUUUUUAGUAAAAUUUCCUAUAUCAUUAACAAAAACCUUUCUAUUUUCGAACAAAACUUCCCUUUUUUUUUUUUACAAAACUUGCUACUUUUUCAAACAAAAUUUAUGACUUUGCUAAUAAAUUUUAACAUUUUUUCAUGUACAAUAUACCAGUAAAGAUCUAAAUAAUUAUAGGAUUGAUUACUAUUGCCAAAUGGGAUUUGGCUGGAGACUUGAAUAGAACUGAAUAAGGACAGCUAUAGUAAAGAUGAAUAAAUACCAAGAAGAUGCCCAAUUGGAUUGUUAUUUGGCACCGGAUAUUUGAUAAAGCUACCCCAGAUGGGUGGUUCAUUUAAAUGCUAGAAGAAAUUGCUGAUAAAGACGACUACCUAAAAGUCUUCAUGGAAAAUUGACCGCCUGCUCUCAAGCGAUGUAUACAUUUUGUUUUUCAUCAGAAUCAUCAGUGUGAACCAGUCCAUCGACGACUUGGGAUAGGGAUCGUUGUCAGGUUAACUGUCUUGAACGAUUUUUGUUAAUAUAUUGAAUAAUAAAUUAGGUCAUCAAUGAAAGUCCCCAUACGCCGUGGGAAAAUCUGUAUGUUUUGUGGGGAAAAAAAAAUCCUUGCAGACAUAUUCGAGAUUCAAUUAAUGGAAAUGUUCACUCGCUAUCAAUUGGUUGAUUUAUUGAUUUACGCUACCGUAGAACUUCCACCCUCUUUUUUGCAAUUUAAAUUAAUAUAAAAUGUUUGAUAGAAAAUCACCAAACCAAUUGAAAAUUUGUCAAAUGGGAAUAACAAAUGUUUUGGGGUUUGGACAAUUUUCGUCUUUAAAGUUUCCCUGAAGGCAUAUUUAGUCCUACCAAUUUCCAAAUUUUCACCAGUUCUGUAUAUUGAUGACAAAUCAAAUAAUUUGGCACCAAAAAAAAAGUUUGUCGAAUAAUGAAUUAAGUUUUGUACACUAUUAAUGUAAAUAUUUUUUAAAGAAAGAUGAAAAAAAUUAGUAAAUAUAUGGGGUAAAAUAUGAGUAUUUACUAACUAUUCUUAAAAGAGGGAAAGAAAAGAAAAAAAAAUUAGAAAAACUUAUUGGAAAAAUUGAAAAUAUAUCGAAGGCAAUCAAUAUAGAAGUGCGUGUAAAAACCAUAGUAUGGAAAGAGAUGUGAUUUUUUUGAGCAUCUCUAUAUGUUUUUUUAUUUUUGUCUUUCAACAUGUGCCUUUGUAUUGUGAUAGUAGUAAUACGGAUGGAAUUGUGAGCGAUGGCCCCAGUGGUGAAAAGAAAACUAGAGAAUUUUCUAUGACUUUUAUUUUCCCUCUGGGCUCUGGUUGUUGACCUGUGAUAGUGGUAAUAGAGGCAACCUUGGUGGUGGUUGUGGAGGCAGAAAAAUGGUAGUGUUCGUGAAUUUUGGUGGCAGAGAGAAUAAUAUAAGAGAACUUUUUAAAAAAAAAAAGAAUGGUAAUUUAAAAUUUUUUAUGUGAAAUUUGUGUCUUUUCAAAGAUUGUGUUACCAAAACAAUAAAUACAAGAGUGGUCAGCAUAAUUGUUGAAUUUAGAGGGCACUAGGUGAAUCUUAGAAGAGGUUUCAAAAAAUUUUCCCUUUUUUAUUCACUUUAUCCUUGUGACAAAUAGAAAUACAAGGUAUUUACCACAUAUUUUUGUUGCUUUUAAGUUAGUUUAUUUUAUUUCUAUAAAAUUUUUUGAAUCUAUAAUGUACAAAUUUUGUGGCAAUUUUGAGGAAAUGGAGAAUGAGUAUUUAAUGUGAGAGAAUAAUUAAGUUCACGUUGUGUUGCAUAAAAAAAAAAAAAAGGUCAGGUUGUGUACCAAAUUAAAGAAUUGCAUAAUGUCUUUGAUUUUACAAACUCUCGUAUUUGUAUCAAUCACUUAAAAAUGUUGUGAUUUAAACCACCUUUUUAUAGGUGGACUCUAUUAAAAUUACAUUUUACCUCCCAAUUGAACAUGGACCAAAAAAAUCCAAAAAAAAAAAAAUCCUCAAUUGGGUUGGAAGUCAUUGUUCCAAAUUUUGUCCUUUUUUUUUAAAAAAAAAAUUUCUGUAGAUAAAUAGAUAAAAUGGUAACCGAUGUAAAUGUUGGAUAAAGGGCCUCACAAGUAGAAAAUUCGUCUAGUUCAUGCUAGUUUGUGUAAUUAUUAGAAUCACUGGGUGAGACACACACUCUAUGUGUGCGUAUAUUUUAGGAAAAAGUAAAAAUGAAAAAGAUAUAAAAUAACAAACUAGUUAGAGCAAAAGAAUUGAUUAUAGAGUAUUGGGAUUUUUUUAAUUGAAGUUAGCGGGAAGACUUGGAUAUAUAUAGAAGUAGUGGAUAAGUACGGAACUUAGAAGUAGCAGUUAUGUCAACAUGGAUGGUAUGGAGUAUGAGAUGGCAAUAUAAUACUUCAUUAUGCAAGGAGGAAAUUGGAAUAACAAAUAAUGAUAGAAUUUUUUUAACACAAAUCACAACUAUUUGGCAAAAAAAACUCUUGAAAAUACUUGCAAAACCUCUGAUAUUAAAUUGCGCAUAAUUAGUAACAUAAUUUUAGAGUAAUUACAUUUUAUCAAACAGUGAUACAAUCUUUGGUUACUAGAAGAAGCGAGGAGGAUGGAUUGGAUGGUAAGAGGGAAGGGAGUACAAAUAAGAGAUCCUGGAUUCAAGACUUUCUACUUACAUUAAGGGUCUGUUUGAUUGGAUGUAAGAUAUUUUCCCUGAAAAAUAUUUUCCAAAGAAAAUUUUUUCAAAGAAAAUAAAUUGUUUCCUAUUCGUUUUUGGGUGUUUGGUUGACUAGUUUGACCUCCUAGAAAUUUAAGCCCAUUAGAUCUCGAAUAUCCAACCCACAACAGCACCUUGCAUCCUAACAUACAUUUUGCUUCGUCAUGCCUACCACCAGCAAAGCUGCCUACCAUCCACGUUCUCUUCCCCCUUGUCACCACAGCUGCAAAAAACUCCUCCCAGUACCACCAUUGCCACCAGUUACUCCUUGCCAGUCCGAACACCAUCCCCACCGCAGCCCCACGGCAAAAGGAAAUUAUCAUCAAUGGGAAAGUCUUAUGAAUGAAAAGAUAACAUAACCGAUGCUCUGUCUCCUAGAUUUCUGGUAGUUAGUUCUGCUUAGAAUUAGUCUCCGAUAGGUAUAUCUGUUGUAACAGAACACAUCCUCUAGGCUGUAUUUUGUGUUUAAAUACUAAGGCAAUCGCUAGGAAAGGUAGGGGAAAACAUUAUAUGCAAGUCUCUCUUCUUCCUCACCUCUCUUCUACAUGGUAUCAGAGCCUAUCUCAUACGAGAUUAGGUUCUGAUCUGCAACAUCCAUGGCAACUGGAAAUACUCAGGUUGUUCUCCCAAAUACUCAUGACCCAAACAGUCCUCUAACCUUGAUCACCAUCCACAACUCCAUCAAACUUACCUCCACAAAUUAUCUCUCUUGGAAAACUCAGACCGAAGCCAUCCUCAUAGGUUAUGACCUGCACAAAUUCAUUGACGGUUCGCAUCCGUCUCCUCCUGCCACCAUCACUGCCAACAAUGCAGCUUCCCCCAAUCCGGCAUAUCAGACAUGGCUGAGACAAGACAAGCUUUUGUUUGGCGCGCUGGUGGGCACGAUGUCACCCAACCUUGUUCCGCUCAUUGCUCAGUCAAAAACAUCUCAUGAUGCUUGGAAAGCCCUCGCCAACACCUAUGCUCGUCCCUCUCGUGGACAUAUCAAACAAAUCAAGGACAACCUGAAGAACAUCUCCAAAGGAUCACAAUCUGUUACCGAUUACAUGCAAGCCAUCAAGACCAAAGCUGAUGAACUUGCCACCCUUGGAAAACCACUUGAUCAUGAAGACUUAAUUGAGAAAGUCUUGGACGGCCUUGAUGACACAUUCCAAUCUGUCAUUGAUGCAGUCAACAGCCGCGACACGGUCAUCACCUUUGAUGAACUCCAUGAAAAACUCAUCAACAAAGAGCUAUCCUUGCGCAAUUCCUCACCAGGUUUUCCAGCCUCUGCCCACCUCACACACACACAACGCUCAAAUCAGCGGUCACCGGGCAAUCACCCACCAUGGCCUGCUCGUCCUCCAACCUUGCAGUCCGCUCCCAGCCACUACAACCGACCAAUGCGUCCAUUUCUGGGCAAAUGCCAGUGGUGCCGUGGUCAAGGUCAUGUGGUCCCUCAGUGCACUCUCUUCCGCCAACAAUUUCCUCAUGCUUCACCACCAUCACGCGCUGUCAGUUCACCGCCACUUCGUGCACCCCCUCCUUGGCAAGCUCAAGCUCAUGUUGCUACCUCAAACUCCCCAUCACAUGAUCCUUGGCUAUUGGACAGUGGUGCUACGCAUCACAUUACAACUGACCUUCAAAACCUCUCCUUUCACAACCCCUAUACUGGUCCAGAUGAAAUCAUGAUUGGAGAUGGCUCUGGCAUUCCUAUCACACACACGGGUUCAACUUCUCUGCCUACUUCUUCUCACUCUUUCACUCUUUCUAAUGUCCUUUGUGCUCCAACCAUGAAACGUAAUUUAAUUUCCAUUUCUCAGUUCUGCAAAUCAAAUAAUGCCUCUAUUGAAUUCUUACCAUCAUCUUUCUUUGUGAAGGACCUUCAAUCGAAAGCCAUGCUCUUCCAAGGCCAAACUAAAAAUGGUGUCUAUGAGUGGCCCAUCUCCUCGGCUUCAUCACCAUUGCUUGCUUUCUCCACAACAAAGACCACAUACCCUGCCUGGCAUCACCGACUUGGUCACCCAUCACUACCGACACUCAAACACAUGGUCUCAUCAUUCAAUCUGGAUGUCUCAAAUUCUUCCUCUCUCAACUCUUAUUGCAAUUCUUGUCAUUGUAAUAAGAGUCACAAAUUACCUUUCUCUGUGUCUACCUUGUUCACUUCUUCUCCACUUGAAAUUGUCUUCACGGAUGUUUGGACUUCACCUGUGUACUCCAUUGACAACUUUAAAUACUAUAUUCUCUUUGUUGAUCAUUUCACAAAAUAUAUGUGGCUGUAUCCGCUGAAACGCAAAUCUGAUGCUCGUAAUGUUUUCAUUUCCUUCAAGGCCUUGGUUGAAAAAUUCUUCAACUGUGAAAUCAAAACGCUUUACUCUGAUAAUGGUGGCGAAUAUCAGGCCCUCUCUUCCUUCCUAACAAUCAAUGGCAUCUCUCAUCUCACCUCUCCUCCUCAUACUCCUGAACACAAUGGCUAUUCUGAACGUCGCCAUCGUCAUAUUGUUGAAACUGGACUUUCUCUCAUUUCUCACGCAUCUAUGCCUCUGGCCUAUUGGUCCUUUGCCUUUUCCACAGCCGUAUAUCUUAUAAAUCGUCUCUCGACACCUACUCUCAACAAUGAGUCUCCAUUCCUUAAACUUUUUGGCACUGUCCCUAACUACAAUAAACUUCGAAGUUUUGGCUGCCUCUGCUAUCCCUGGCUCCGUCCUUACACCUCUCACAAACUUGAACCCAAAUCAACUCCUUGUCUCUUGGUUGGAUAUUCCUCUACUCAAAGUGCUUAUCUCUGUCUUGAUAUAUCCUCCAACCGAUUGUACACCUCUCGUCAUGUCCGUUUUGUUAAGUCUGUGUUUCCCUUUGCCAACUCUAAUCUCACCCUCCCUCGGGUCACCUCCUCCACCACAUCCGAAUGGUGUUCUAUGACUUUACCUGUCAUUCCUUCUGUGUCCCCCUCCGUCCCAACAACCUCUCAACCCCAAGGACAACCUCUAUCGUCGCAACCCGCAUCCAGUUCUGGAUUACCACCCAUCUCCUCCCCUCCUACUCCAGCUGCAACUAUAUCCACAACCACCAACCCGACGCCCUCAUCUCCUCAAGGCAUAAUUACUCGGUCCAAACACAACAUUCACAAACCCAUUCAAAAACUCAACCUCAAUGCUGAACUCCACCAUCCCACCCUUGUGCCCACCACCGUCAAUCAAGCAUUGAAAGAUCCUCAAUGGCGGCAAGCCAUGUCCACAGAAUUUGAUGCUCUUCUUCGUAAUGGCACGUGGGAACUUGUUCCAUCUCAUCCUACCCAAAAUUUGGUAGGGUGUAAAUGGAUUUUUCGCAUCAAGUACUUACCUGAUGGCUCUGUUGACAGGUACAAAGCGCGUCUGGUGGCCAAAGGUUUUCAUCAACGCCCAGGGGUUGAUUUCACCGAGACCUUCAGUCCUGUCAUCAAACCAACCACUGUGCGUCUGGUUCUUAGCCUUGCGAUAAGUCAAGGCUGGUCACUUCGCCAACUGGAUGUCAACAAUGCCUUUCUUCAAGGCACACUUUCAGAAGUGGUGUUUAUGUCUCAACCUCCAGGCUUCAUUGACCGUGAUCAUCCUCACCAUGUCUGCAGGCUUCGCAAGGCCAUCUACGGCCUCAAACAGGCUCCACGCGCCUGGUAUCAUGAAUUACGCCAAUUUCUGCUCACUUCAGGCUUUCAUAACUCCACGACAGAUACCUCUCUAUUCAUAUUCAACACUCAAGGAGUUAUUCUUUAUCUUCUUGUUUACGUUGAUGAUAUCAUUGUUACUGGAAACACAGCUCAAGCUGUACAUCAGUUUCUUCAGCAACUCUCUAUGCGCUUUUCCUUAAAGGAUCUUGGGGACUUACACUACUUCCUGGGUGUUGAAACGCUUCCCCAUGACGAUGGUCUGUUUCUUAGUCAACGAAGGUAUAUUGUUGAUCUUCUUCAAAAAACUCGGAUGACUGAGGCAAAACCAGCCACUACACCUCUAGCAACAAGUCCGCCUCUUACCUUGCAUGCUGGUACUCCCUUAUCUAAUCCUACAGAGUAUCGCACCAUUGUUGGAAGUCUUCAGUACCUCUCCUUGACCCGUCCAGACAUCACUUACACCGUCAAUAAACUUUCUCAAUUCAUGCAUCAACCAACGAAUGAACAUUGGACGGCUGUCAAACGCUUACUUCGCUAUCUCUGUGGCACGUUAGAUCAUGGCAUAACACUUCGUCGUAAGUCAUCUCUUACUCUUCAUGCUUUCUCCGAUGCUGACUGGGCCGGCAACAAGGAUGAUUUUACUUCCACCAGUGCUUACAUUGUUUAUCUCGGCCAUAAUCCUGUAUCUUGGAGCUCCAAGAAACAAAGAACUGUUGCCCGCUCUUCAACCGAAGCUGAGUAUCGAUCAGUUGCUGCCACGGCCGCUGAACUCCGAUGGAUUUGUUCUCUCCUCACUGAACUUGGCAUUUCUAUUCCCCAUCAACCGGUGAUUUAUUGUGACAAUGUUGGAGCCACAAACCUCUGUGCCAAUCCAGUUUUUCACUCGCGUAUGAAGCAUGUUGCCUUAGACUAUCAUUUCAUUCGUGAACAAGUACAAAACGGUCUCCUCAGAGUCUCUUAUGUCUCAGCUUCUGAUCAGCUUGCCGAUGUCCUCACCAAGCCCCUGUCUCGCCAACAAUUCACCAUGGUUUUGAACAAGAUUGGACUCACUCCACCACCGUCCAUCUUGCGGGGGGAUGAAAAGAUAACAUAACUGAUGCUCUGUCUCCUAGAUUUCUGGUAGUUAGUUCUGCUUAGAAUUAGUCUCCGAUAGGUAUAUCUGUUGUAACAGAACACAUCCUCUAGGCUGUAUUUUGUGUUUAAAUACUAAGGCAAUCGCUAGGAAAGGUAGGGGAAAACAUUAUAUGCAAGUCUCUCUUCUUCCUCACCUCUCUUCUACAAUGAAACCACAAGUUUUUCAAAAAUACCAAUUGCUGGCAAAUGGUAUUGUAGAAAUUAAGAUUCAUCAGGUUAGUUCAUCAAUAAAGAAGUAUCUUUUCUCAAAAGAUCUAUACUCCAAUAUCAAAAUCAUGAUCAGAUAGGUAAUGAAAUUCAGAAUUUGCUUGUAAGAUGUCAAAGUCGCCGUUGAUUGACAAAGCAAGAAUUUGGGUGUUUAGAGAGAGGUUGCUAUGGAAAAAUACCCAUGCGAUCAUCAAGGAAUCAUAUAGGUAAAGACUGUGUGACAGAUUUGAAUUCUUAAUUAUGGCCUUUGAAGGGUAGUGGACAUGCCAUUAUCCUUUCUUUAAAUGAAGUGACGGAAUGCGAGGAAAAUAACUUCAGUAGGGCGAGAAGGGAAGUUGUUUUACACUCGUUGGUGUAAAAUGUUUUCUGGCAGAAAAGAUUUUCCCAUGCACUUGUGCAACCAAACAUUGGACAUUCCAGAAAAUAUCUUCCGGAAAAUAUUUUCAGUCCACUCAAACAGACCCUAAAAUAAAAUAAAUACAAUAAAAAUAAAAUAAAGUAAGAAAAUCUCUAGUUUGAUCAAACAAUGUUACAAUGACGCAACAGCGUAAUUUGUUAUGAUGGGAAAUUUUAAAGAAGUUGACGGUCAGUUUUUUUCUUCUCUACUUUUUUAGAUUGAAAAACGUAUUUUAGGAAAGUCAAAGCAAUAUUUUGCUAAUCUUAUUUUGGUUUGUUUAUGUAAGCAUUAAAAUAUGAGAGCUAAGUGUGAUUCUUGAUGCCUAUUGCUAACUUUUGCAACUAUGUUAUACCUCAAAGGGAUUAAUUUCAUAGAAUAAUACUUUCGUGUAAAAUUCUAUGGAUCUUUGCACCUAUUCAGUGUCAUUGAUUUGCAGAAAAAUGUGAGAAAGUCACUUCAAAGAGCAGCUCUUGAGCUAGUUAUGGCAAAAAAUUCAUCUAUCAGAGUUGCUAGUCUAAUAUCUUUGGUUUUCCUGGACAUCAACGAUGAUAGAAGCUGCUUCUGGGAGAUAUGGACCUUAAGUUCUGUCUAAUUCUUUCCUCUAGCCUUGAUCAAAGCUACUCUUACUCAGGGUCACAGACAACGGCGAUGUUGAAGUUGAGAAUUGUUAAUAUAUAGUAAAUUUUGAGGUAAAUAGGGUCUUCAACUCUGCAAUUUAUACAAGAUAUUGGGCAACCCCUUUUUUCUUUUAAAUGCGUUUAUGAGCAUCAAGAACAAGUGGGUGGAAGAUGGCAGUGAAAUUGUGAAGACAAUUUUGGUUAAAGGUUGGGAGUCAAAUUAUGUUCUACUGAAUUGUGAAAUUUGAGAAAUGAAAACAAAUAAAGUGAAUUCAAGAUUGACUUCUGUAUUGCUACAUAUUUUCCUGACAAAUCGAUAAUCCAAAAUAUAAGAACUAUUUUUCUGGAAAUCAUUUUGCUUUUUUUAUUUUUUAUUUUUUUUGUAAGUGGGAGGAUUCGAACCCGAGACCUCUCACUUACACUCCCUCCCCCUGGAAAUCAUUUUGUUUACCUUACUAUUUUCCAUUAUUAACCAAACCAUCAAGAAUUUAGCAUUUCUAAGGAAUUGCAAAGCCAACAGCAAAACAUGGAGUCAAGCAUAUGUUUUAAUUAUUCUGCAUAAUUUUGUUUAGUUUAUGGAAGUCUCUUGUCAGGCAAAACAAAAUAAUAAAAUUUUUUAGGCAAACUAUUAUAACCUUUAUAGACAUACAAUCCAUAGCAAAUAAAAGGAGGUCUAAUUUUCAUAUUACAUCAGCAGAUGCCAAGCAAAACUGAAAAACAGCAAGCACUCAAAAUAUUAUAAUCAUACAAAAUACGGUAAAAUUACAACUGCUUCUCAAAUCACCUAGAAGAAAUUGCUCAUCCUGAGAGCCAAACAACAGCAGCAGCAAGCACUUGAAUGAUUGUGGGCCUAGCAGAAGUGUACGAAUUUGGCAUAUGAUAACGAGCACAUCAUACUACAUUUAAAUUGCCAACAAAAAAUGAAUAAAUCAUGGCAAAAUUUGAUACAAGAACACGAUUGUCUGCAUGAAACCCUUCACUUUCUUCCCUGAAUCGGUGAUGACCAAACCUGAAGUAAGCGCUGACGAACAAAAUGUUGAAGUAAACAAAAAAAAAGGCAUAAACUUAGUAUUAAACGUUAAACAAUGCGCUAGAAUCUCUUCAUUUGCUCCGAUACCACAAGAAAAAAAAAUGAAAAAAACAACAUUUUGUUUAUAUUUCAUCAUAUACUGAUAGAAGCUUGUAUUCAUAGGCAUUUAAUUCAAACAAUACAAUUAAUAUAAGUAAUAGAGACACAUUUUGCUUAGACACUACAAUUCAGAAACUAGACAAGAAAUGGAGUCAAUCAAGAGAUUUAUUAAUUUUUUUGUCACAGUCUAUAGAUGAGGAUGGAUUUAGCCAUAAACCUCAUUUUUAAGGGUCUCUCUUUUUUUUUUGUUUGAAUUUCUUGCUCAUUAAUUUUUGUUGGGACAGGUGGUGUUUUGAGCUAACUUAUGUGCAUUUUGGAUUAAACCAACUUCAAACCCUUAAAUAUUCAUCCCAAGGACAUAAUUAAAAUUCGGCGUGUUCGGCAAAAUUACUCAUAUAAAUUUGUACGUGUAUAGUACGAACAUAUUUGAAAAUUAUGGAACUAAAAAUAUAGAUAAAUUUACAAUAGUUUUCAAAGAGUAUGCCACUUCCAUACCAAUCUUAAACUUAUUUUAAUGUAUAAGAUGUUAAAUUUAUUAAAAAUUUUACCAUAUUAUUUAAAUAUGUAUAAAUCUACAAUUGUUAUAUUAUAUGUUGUUCUUAUUUUGUAUAUAACUCAUGAGCAUGUCAUUAUCAUUAAAUUUUAAUUUUUAAAAAAAUUGAAAUAUAAUUCACGAAGUAUAAGACAGGACAGAAAUUUAUUGCGUGUUUCAUAGAGUUAAUUGAAAAGUAUGAGUAUUUUUCUAAGUAUUUUUGAAAUCUAGGAAAUGUGGAGUUUUUUGUAUGAUACGUGAGAACGAGUAUUAUAUAAGCACACUACAAAUGCCUGCUAACUAGGACUAAGAGAAAACAAAAUGAACAAACUAAUAUCUUCAAAUCAUUUACACGUAUUACAUCCCUUCUUUCUUCAAGUAUGCUCCACUAAAAAAAUCAAUUCAGAUUAAUAUCCUACCCCGAUUUUUUUCCACUAAUUGCCCAAAUAAAUUAUUUUUGGAUAUAACAAAAUGGUUGAUUAUUCUAGAAUAUAAUCAGAUGUUUCCACCACUUGUAAAACCUACCAAAGAAAUCCAUAUUCUAAAUUUCAAAUUUUUGUCUACUAAGCAUUUCAUGAUACUGAAAGAAAAAUAUUACUAGGCAUUUCAUCAUACGGAGGGUAAUAGAUUUGUUCAUAAUUACUGUACAAUCAAGAUUAACAUGAUAGUUUUUUUCUAGCCAAUAAGAUCUUUGUACAAAUUGCUAUGUAUUAGAGUAAGAAUUAAUUUUGUAUAAAUCAAGUUCCGAGCGAAUUUACUUCAUUAGACAAAAUGGUCCUCCUUUGCUUAAAAAAAAAAAUCUCUCAAGGAAAAACAUAUGGAUUUAAGAUGUUAUGAGUAGGGAAAAAAUGUGGUAAACAACUAGUGUUGUACCAUGAAAGUCACGUACGUUAAACAUAUAAUUAAAAAAUGUGUUUACUCGGGAAAAAUAAAAUUAUUUGUUACAAAAAUUCAAAAGAUUGGAUCUUGAAGACUCCCGCUCAAUACCCAAGUAUUCCCAUAUAUAUUAAAUCCAAAAAAAAAAACUACCUGCAAAUCUACAAAUUAAAUGAAGAGCCGCCCCGCCGCCGGGGGGGAGGGGAUUUGUCUGCAAGAAUAGGUAAUAUUGCUUAUAUGCAUGAAAUAAUAAGAAGAAGUUUAUUAAAAAAAGAGGGAAUGAGUAGUUAAUCGAAGAAGAGUAAAAAAAAAAACAUCUUAUGAUAGCUGUAUCCCCCUGACAUACUUAUUUAGCCUAGUUUGACUUUGUAAAAGCCUCUAAUACUGCCCAUAUGCGAGAAUUCUUCCCCCAACCCACCUUUAGCAAAAGUAUUCUGUGUGCCCAGUUUGCUACAAAUAGUUUAUGUGAGAGGUAUGUCUCAGUGAAGGCUUUGGCUUCUUAAUAGAAGAGAUGAUUUCAAGGCAAGAUUUGGUGGAUUGCAAGUUACAAAGAAUUGCGGGAGAAAACUUGUGCAAUCCAAAAUAUUAGCAGCGGACAAAAGAUGAAAUGGGAUUUCCCUUGCAAAAACGAAUAGAUGAAAUGGACAACUAGCUGUUAGAAUGAAUGAACAGAAUGUACUCUAAAAAAGUUGUACAAGUUUUAAGUAAUUGUGUUAUUGGAUUUCCCUUUCGGCAUCAGUGUUUUUGCCUAUCAUGUAUUUGACAGGAGUUUAUUUGAAUGACCUGCUCUGUUCUAUAGUAAAGUCAAAGGGAUUGCCUGACCAUUAUUUUCCUCCUCAAUAGUAUCGUCAUGGUCCAAUGUCCCUACUGUGAAUUGGCCAAAUAAGUUUGCUACCCUUUGGCUCGCAACUGUGGGGGCAAAAAAACACCACAUUGUGCUAUGUUGAGUGUGUUCACCACUUAACCAAUCGAGGAGGAGGUGCGUUCCCCUUCCCCUCCUCGGGAGGGAAAGAAGAAAGAUUGCACUUCUUAUGGGAAGUGUGACGCCCCCACUUCUCCCUAAGGCGAAUCAAAGGGUAUCCACGGGACGCCUGCCUAGCUCUCGCCAGGACUCAAGCAAUUCCAUUCAGACUUAUUAUCGGACCACACAAUACGAUCAAUAACCUAGAUACAAUAAAUGUGGAAGCGUUCAAGUUUAAUCAAAGUCAUCCAUUAUCCAACCCGCACAUCGGGUGUUCAACAACCAUCAUAAAUCCCAAAUAUACAUCAUGCUCCAAAAGUUACAUUCGGAUUUCAAAAAUACAACCCAAAAGCCAAGACAUAGCCAAAAGUAAUAGAAACCCUAAACAAAAGCGUAUCAGGAAGGUUUUUUCGAUACCUUGCCAAGUUCGAUCCUGUUAAGGAAAACAAAUCUACAGGGUGAGUAAAACGCUCGUGAGGCCAAGAACACACAUACAAGCACAUUACUCAAAUAACAAUCUCAAUUUACAAGUCAAGCAAUCAUAUUUUAGUAAUUAACAAUUUACUGGAAAUAUAACCAGAAACAAUUCAAGGAUACUGGAGCCCUCAGGAGCUAUAUUCCACUUGCACAUUCGAUAACCUCCACGAAUUGACACUCCGUCAAUCGGGUAGGUUUAGUCCGUAGAAUUCCACUUAACCUGUCAUCUUUCACCUUACAUACCCCUGUAUCGGGCCCGCCUGUCAUUUGUUUGUGGCGAUACUACUCGAGUAUGCCAAGCAAGACCUCUCACUAGGUCAAGCUUAUAUAUCUCAUGGCUCGCCAAGGUUCCCGACCAAACCCAUGCCGGCUCGAGUCCAAGGUCGGUCAAUGAGAUUUGGGCGUCCCCAUGUGCACUUGUGUGUCGAGGAGAUUCACUCCAACGACGUAGGCAACUAUAGCAUACCAUUACAUUUCAUUCAUUCAUUCAAUACAUUUCAAUCAUUCAUUCAAUGCAUUUCAACCAUUAAUAUUUCAUUUCUAAUGAGAACGAGUGUGGUAAAGUACACACUCGACUCCACUUUCAAGAUUUCUAAUCAUUAAUAACAAUUAAACAUGUAAUAAGUUUACAUACACCUGACACUCACCAAGUAUUAGGUGUAAGUAAGGUCAAGGAAAGUUCAAGCGUCCACCGUGGGAUCCUCUUGAAGGUCUUCGUGUGCGUCUGAGCAAAUAAUAGUGAAUUAUCAUCCAAAUCCUAAAUAUCGAGGAAUAAUUCGUUCACUAGUAUUAAUCUAGGGGAUUCCGUGAAAAUGAACCUCAAUUACUCGUAAAUCGAGGUUCGAGAGGGGUUUGAUAACUUUCAAAAGUAUUUAAGUCUUUAUCUAGGAAAUCGGAGAUAAAAGGUUUAGAUAAUAUCAAAAGAAUAAAGAGUUCUUGAAAAACUUAUUUCCUUGAAAGUUGGAAAAUUUCAGUUUUGUUAUGAAUUUUUGAAAAAUCGUAACUCACUCGGCAUAAGUCGAAAAUUGGAAAACUUUAUACCGUUGGAAACCUCUUAAAAAGUACUACAAGUUCCUAGAAGACACUUUUCCAUGAAUCAAAGUGGAAAGUGCUCAAAAAUGAGCUUGAAGGUACUGUUCCAAAUCACCCAGGAUUGAGCCGGGGUUGGUUUUUCGCUAAAUUUGAAAAUUCGGCAGAAUUCACUCGUUGUAAACCAGCCCUUGAAAUUUAUAGCUCAAUUAGAGGCACAAGUAAGGUUUGGGGCAGAACAAGCGGAUCGAGAAUCGGAGUUUUGACCACCAAGAUAUGGUAGCUCAAAGUUGGGUAAAUUUCAAGACUGUUAACAAAUUUCCAGAUUUGGUUCCGACUUUGGACCUUUAGUUAAGUGUCGAAACGGACUUGGAUUGAUACCAAAUUUUGCAGUAUAAUACUCCUAUAUGAAGGGUAUCUCUCUACCAAAUUUUGUGGAAAAAUACCUUCGGGAAGGUGGUUAACCAAUCAACCAAAGUUUGAAAUUACUAAGGCCAAACUGCCUUUAGCUCUCUUUCUCUCCGUUUCCAAACAUUCGGCUAAGGAAAAACCUCCAACAUGGUUCAUUUGUGCAAGAAAGGUCUAAGGAACAUACAUGGUACUUUUAGUAGGUGUUUAGCACCAAGAAAUUCAUUUAGUAAGACCACAACAAGUCUCACAUCUAAUCUGUCCAAAUCUAAGAGUUUUCAAAAACGAGGCAGUUGUCGUAUUUUGAUCAUAAAUCACUCAAUUUAGCUCGGAAUUGGGAAUGGUUGAUAGUGUUGGAAAAUACAUUCUUAGGGCUAAAAUUUCACAGAAGAAAUCAUUUUAAGUUUCAGCAUGCAACUAGCUCGAAAUUAAGCCUAAAGUUACAGCAUCAUCAAAUCAUUUCGGCAGAACGGAGAAACAGGGUAGCUGAAUUCAGAAGAGUGGUACGGUUCACACACAUGGAACCAGAAUGUGCAUUAUAUACCGUUAGAAAUAUGGGAACGUCUAGUUUCAAAUGCCGCUAACAGCACUUGAUUUCGACAUCGGAGUACGGAGUUAUGGACGAAAUACGAACACUGGUCUGGUUACGACGGAAACCGUUUUCCAGAUUACUAGCUUUGGGAAAUAAAUUCUUUUGAUCAACCAAAACUCAACAUUUUUCAACGAAAAUUUUUACACAACUACUACAACAUGUAAACAACACAAUCAAGCCAUUAAAUCUCCUAAUUUCUGCAUUAAAGUGGCCGAACAGAGCAGGGGCAAAAUGGUCAGAUUUGGCCUUUGCGCCUAACGUGAGUUUCUAUCAAUUUUCCAUCAACAAACCACUGAUUUAAACACUAAUUCCACAUUAUAAACAUCAUCAAGAACAAAAUCAGCAGCAACCCAAGAGUGGGAAUUCAUAGAGCCCACUUUUCCAAUUUUCCAACAUCCAAAACAACCCAUACGAAAUCAAGAGCUAAAAGAUAUAUUAGAACUUCCAAAAAUCAAAGUUAGAAGGCUAGAUUAAGACUUACUCUUAGUUGAUGUCUAAGUCAGAGAUUCGGUCCUUCCUUGCUCCUAAGUGAGCCGUGAAAAUCCUCCCCUUUUUAGCUAGAUGUGAACUCCAAGGCUUAGGCUAAGUGGUGCUAAAUUUUGAGAAGAUUUGGUGGUGAUUUGAAUGGUUUUUGUAAAGGAAAUGUUGAAGAGCUUUCGGUUGUCCCUUGGCUGUCUGCUAUCCGUCCAUGGCAGCUAGAAGAAAUGAAAUGUUGGUCUGAUUCCUUUGCGUACAAAUGAAGCUUGCCGUCUAAUAUUUUAAGUACGUAAAAAUCAAUUGCAACUAGUGCGCCUACGCGCGCGUUUUGUGUUCGAUUUCUCUUAAAUUUGUUGCACUAGUGCACUAAACCUCUAGGGCACUUACAUUCAUAUAAAUAUUAUUCAUUCUUAAUUGUCCCAAAAUAAUGGUCCAAGGUCCCUCAAUUAAGCGCGCACGUGAAAACACGUAUUUCCAAUUUAGGCGCGAUAAAAUGAAACUUUCGAGAAAUUCUUAUAACAAUCGUACUACCAACUAUCACUUGAGUUUUUAAACCUAAAAUUGCCUAUUUUAGGACCAUUGUAUAUGUCUUAAAUUUUUGAGCUUAUUGUACUCCCAAUUGGCUAAAGUGUUUAGACACGUUUUCACUUUUCACUAAACAAGCUUAUAAGAAAAUAAUUUUUUUGAAACGAGACACUUCAAAAAUAUAACGAAACUAUAAAACCCUGUACUUAGGUCUAAUAAGGCUAGAAAAUAUUAUUCGUGGCAAAAAUCCAAAUAAAUAAUUAAUUUAGCCAAAAUUAGGGUUUUUAAAAAUAAUAGAUUUUCGAGUCCUCACAUCCUCUCCCCUUAAGAAAUUUCGUCCUCGAAAUUUACCUUGAUUGACGAAUAGGUCUGGAUACUUUUCUCGAAUUGCUUCUUCGACCUCCCAAGUUGCUUCCUCCAACCCAUGGUUCUUCCAGAGGGCCUUUACUAAUGGUAUAUGUUUAUUCCUCAAUUCCUUUACCUUCCUAUCCCGAAGCUUAACCGGUUUCUUCUCAUAGGUCAAAGUCUCAUCAAUCUCAAUAUUCUCUGGUUGUAAGACAUGUGAUGGGUCCGGAUGAUACUUCUUAAGCAUAGAUACAUGAAACACAUUAUGGAUUCGAGAUAAACUCAGCGGUAAUUCCAAUUUAUAGGCUACACUCCCCACACGUUGGAUAAUCUUGUAAGGUCCUACAAAUCUUGGCUGUAACUUCUUUCCUUUUCCAGACAUCAACCUUACUUUCAAAGGCGUGAUUCUGAGAAAUACGAAAUCUCCAACAGUAAAUUCCAAAUCUUUUCUCCGAUUAUCGGCAUAACUCUUUUGGCGGCUCUGGGCAGCCUGAAUUCUCUGGCGUACCAACUUUACCUUUUCAUUAGUUUCCUCAAUUCAAGGUACUGUGGUCGAGUUUAAGAUUUUUCGUUCACCUAUUUCGUCCCAACAAAUUGGAGACCUACAUUUCCGACCAUAAAGUGCCUCAUACGGGGCCAUCUGAAUAGAAGAGUGGAAACUAUUGUUGUAGGAAAAUUCCACUAAAGUCAAAAACUUACUCCAAUUUUCUCCAAAAUCCAGAACACAAGUCCUUAACAUGUCCUCAAGUGUUUGAAUUGUCCUUUCCGAUUGUCCGUCAGUCUGGGGAUGAUAAGUGGUACUAAAGUUCAACUUAGUCCCCAAUACCUCUUGCAUCUUUUGCCAGAACCUUGAAACAAAUCUCGGAUCCCUAUCGGACACUAUACUCACAGGUAUUCCAUGCAACCUAAUGAUCUCAUCCAAAUAUAACCUGGCCAACUUCUCCACCGGGUACUUCAUGUUAAUCGGCAGAAAAUGGGCCGACUUGGUCAAUCUAUCCACUAUUACCCAAAUCGCAUCAUGGCCUCUCUGUGUCCUUGGUAAUCCCGAUACAAAAUUCAUAGUGAUAUUCUCCCAUUUCCACUCAGGUAUUUCUAGAGGUUGCAAAAGUCCUGAUGGUUUUUGAUGUUCGGCUUUAACCUGUUGACAAAUUAAACAUGUUCGGACAAAUUGGGCAAUUUCCUUCUUCAUGUUCUCCCACCAAUACAGACUCUUUAAGUCUUGGUACAUUUUAUUCCCUCCUGAAUGUACCGUAAACUUUGAUCGGUGUGCCUCUUCUAAUAUUUCCUUUCUAAGCCCUUCAUUUUUUGGCACAAUUACCCGAUUCCGAAAUCUCAAUAUUCCAUCUGACCCCAGAUUAAAAUCUGUCUUUUCUCCCAUUUUAGCCUUUUCCGCCCAUUUUUGUACUUCCGUGUCCUUUUUCUUGAAAUUCCUUAAUACGUUCCAAUAAAGUGGAAGUUACUAUAAUAUUCCCCAAAAUUACCUUCCUUGGUUCCAAUCGAGGAUUCCAGUAGCUCACUUCUUCCAAUAAUUGAAACUCCUUAAUCAUCAAUCCAGGCAUUUAUACUUGACGGCUCAAAGCAUCGGCUACUACAUUAGUUUUCCCUGGAUGGUACUUAAUCGUACAGUCAUAGUCUUCCAGAAAUUCCAUCCAUCUACGUUGCCUCAAAUUCAGUUCCUUCUGUGAAAAUAAGUACUUAAGACUUUUGUGGUUUGUAAAAACCUCAAAUGUUACUCCAUACAAUUAAUGUCUCCAUUUCUUCAAAGCAAAGACCACAGCCGCCAACUCCAAAUCAUGUGUCGGGUAAUUCCCUUCAUGCGGUUUCAAUUUCCUAGAGGCAUAUGCUAUUACUUUAUCAUUUUGCAUCAAAACACAUCCCAAACCUUCCUUAGAGACAUCCGUGUAAACCACAAAACUAUCCUUUCCGUUUGGCAAAGCUAACACAGGUGCCCUUGUUAACCUUCUUUUCAAUUCCUGAAAACUUUCCUCACACUUAGGACUCCAUAUAAACCUCCCAUUUUUCUUGGUCAAUUCAGUCAUGGGUCUAGCGAUUUUUGAAAAAUCCUGAAUGAAUCUCCGGUAAUACCCUGCUAAACCAAUAAAACUCCGAACCUCGGUAGGGUUUUCCGGUCGUUUCCAUUUCGAAACAGCUUCAACUUUAGCUGGAUCCACUUUAAUCCCAUCCUUAGAAAUUAUGUGUCCCAAAAAAGUCACUUCUUUUAACCAAAACUCACACUUGCUAAACUUAGCAUACAAUUGGUGCUCCCUUAAGGUCUGCAAAACAACCCUCAAGUGUUUCUCAUGGUCUUUCACAUUCUUAGAAUACACCAAUAUGUCAUCAAUAAAGACCACCACAAAUUGGUCUAGAUAAGGUUUAAAGACCCUAUGCAUUAAAUCCAUAAAAGCAGCAGGAGCAUUCGUUAACCCAAAUGGCAUCACGGCAAAUUCAAAAUGCCCAUAUCUCGAGUUAAAAGCAGUCUUGGGUAUGUCCUUCUCCAAAAUCCUCAACUGAUAAUAACCCUGUCUCAAAUCCAACUUAGAGAAUACUACAGCCCCUUGUAAUUGGUCAAACAACUCAUCAAUGUGGGGCAGUGGGUAUUUAUUUUUAGUUGUAACAUUAUUCAAACCUCUAUAGUCUAUACAUAGCCUCAAACUCCCGUCCUUUUUCUUAACAAACAAAACUGGGGCUCCCCACGGAGAAUCACUCUCUUUUAUAAAACCCCUUUCUAGCAAAUCUUGCAGUUACAAUUUCAACUCCUUUAAUUCCGCUGGAGCCAUUCGAUAUGGCGUCCUAGAAAUAGGGGCUACUCCUGGAGUUACAUCGAUCUUAAAGGCUAUUUUCCGUUCCGGGGGUAGGGACUCCAAUUCUUCAGGAAAAAUAUCAGGAAAGUCUUUCACUACAGGCAUGUCCUCCAAAUUCACCUUAUCACUAGGGGUGUUAAUAAGAAAAGCCAAAUAUCCUUGAGCUCCUUUACUUAACAACUUUCUAGCCCGAAUUCCUGAAAUAAGUGCAGACGCAGCUAAUUUACCCCUUACAUCCAAUUUCAGGGUUGCUUCUCCUGGAAUACACAACUUCACAACCUUCGUCCUACAGUUUAGCUGAGCAUUAUAACGGGCUAACCAAUCCAUCCCUAAGAUUAUAUCGUAUCCCUUAAUCAUCAAUCCCAUCAAAUCAGCCGAUAAUUUUCGUUCCCCAAUCCAGACUUCACAAUCUUGAUACACCAAGUUAGCAAUCAGACUUUGAUCCCCAGUAGGUGUUUUAACCUCUAGAUCAUAUGGUAAUUUAAUUGGCUUCAAGUCUAUCCCACUCAUGAAAUUAGGGUUUCCAAAAGAAUGUGUAGCACCUGGAUCAAUUAAAACCCUAGCUAAACGGUGAAAGAUUGGAAUCGUACCUUCUACCACCUCAGUUGCCUCAGGAACUUGUUGAUAAUCCAGUGUAUAAACCCUGGCCGGUACUUUCGGUCGACUCCUUCCGGCACUGGUUUGCUUAGAGGCUGACUUUUCUGGUCUUUGAGCAUUUCCCCCUGUCUUUGGUGAUUUUGGACAAUUGGCGACUUGAUGUUCAGUACUACCACAAAAUAAACAUUUCCCCGACUUUCUCCAGCAAUCGUUCUCAGAAUGGUUGGAUUUACCGCAGUAUCCACAUGUAACUUGAGGAGUCACAGCCGAUCCAGUAGGAGGUGCUCCCCUAACUUGAGUUGUUCCACUACGGCCCCCUCUAGUUAGAGCUCCCCUAGAAGCUCCAACAGACUUCACUCCUCCAACUCCUCUUCCUAUCUUGGAAGGUUGUGCACUCUUACUUGCUUGACCAGAGGUAUGGCUAGGAAAGUUUCUUUUUCUACUGUGGAAGUCUCUCACUUGCAUCCUUACAUUUUCUACCCUCUGAGCUUUCUCUAGUGCCUCCGUGAAUGUAGAGAUUUGGGUUGCAGCCAAGCCCUCUUGUACCUCCACAUUAAGUCCCUGAAUAAACCGUCUAAUCCUCUUUCGUUCAUUGACCACUAGCUCAGGGGCAUACUUGGAAAGCUUAGUGAAUUUUCCUUCAUACUCCGCUACACUAAGAGUUCCCUGUUUCAGCUUGAUAAAUUCAUCCUCUCUCUUCUCUUGGAUUAAGGGCGGAAGAAACUUUUCAUUAAAUUCCCUUGUAAAAUUCUCCCAAAUCCAAGGGGUUUGAGUUCUCUCCCAUUUUCCUUUUAUCAGAUCCCACCAAGCACGGGCUACUCCCUCAAAUUGGAAAGCAGCGAAAUUCACUCGCCUAUCCUCAGUGUAGUCUAAAGCAGCGAAAAUGUUGGUCAUCCUUUCCAACCAAUUCUCCGCCACCUCAGGAUCAGGUUCGCCAAGAAACUUAGGCGGGUUAAAUUUCAAGAACCUCUCUAAGGCUCUAUCCUCUCCUCUUCCCUGACCCCCAGGUUGGUUGAACGGUCCAGGGUCUUGUCUAUCAGCCAAACGCUCUAGGAUAUCAGUCAUCCUAUUAAUGGCAGUAGCCACUUGAUUACCCUCAAUAUUUUCCUGACCUUGGAUCGGUGCAGUUACCGAUCCCUGGUCACCCCUUUGAGGUUGGGCCUGUCUAGUCCCUCGCCCACGACCUCGACCACGGCCUCGACCACCUCUUAGUUCUUCCAUAACCUAGACGUGUCUAGUGCAAGAAAUAAAUAAAUUAUGCAAUGCAUAACAAAAAGCAGGAACCAAUCAAGAAAACAUUGGAAUUAACAAUAAUUUACAUUCAUUAACAUAUCAAGUUCAUACAAUUAACAAGUCAUGGGGUAGUCACAAAAAUAUAGCACACAGGUGCCACAAGAGUACUUUUAGUCACAGAAGACUAAAGUAAGAGCAAGUGCUUCCAAAAAUAAGCCACACAGUCAUGCAAAAUACAAUGGCCUCAGCACUUAGCAUCACCCCUGCUAAUUCUAGCUAUACUAGUCAAAAGAGUCAAAAGAGUCAAAAGAGUGGUCAAACUGCCUAGACCUAGUCCACAGUAGGACUAUCAGGAGGAACCUCCUCCUCAGGAUCCUCCUCUGGAUUCUCCUCCUCAGGACUAGGAGCUACCUCCAUCGCAUCCUCCACUAGCCUAGUGGCAUCAGCUACGAUAUCGGAAGCCCGACUACGGACCUCCUCUCUCAACCUAAUAAGCUGAGCCCUAGUGCUCCGAAGCUCCUCAUUAACCACAGCAGACGUAGCUACCUCACCCUCAAGUACCUCCUCGAUCUCGGCGAUCCUCUCGCCCAGGGCGCUAACCAUCUGUCUAAACUCGUCCACCUCUGCCUGAAGAUCCCUAUUAAGAUCCACUAGUUGACGACGCUCAUCGUCCAGAGCAAGCACAAGGUAAUUCGGGUAAGCAAAGGUGACGCUUCAAGCACAUCGGGGGUAUCGAGUAGCAGGCGAGUAGCGUGCACGAGCUCCCCCACCUAAAGCUCGGUAGUAGAUAGGCCUAGGAGGCACUACAUGACCAUUCGCAUGGCCAUUCCCGUUAGCUGCAGGAACUCCAUUUCCGUUUUCCAUCCCUGCAAAAUAAUAGCACAUUUCGGGUUAGAAAUUUAAAUCACUAUCUAAUUCGGAUGUCGUUUAUGCAUGCCUAACCCAAGCUCUAGUAUGCCCCAAAUAUCUCUUAAGGUAUAACUAAAUUAUCCGGUCUCAGGUUUUAAGGGUAGAGUAUCCAAUAUGUCUCCCAUAUAGAUCUCUAAUCUAGCGCUAACCUAGCGCUCUGAUUCCAACUGUGACGCCCCCACUUCUCCCUAAGGCGAACCAAAGGGUAUCCACGGGACGCCUGCCUAACUCUCGCCAGGACUCAAGCAAUUACAUUCAGACUUAUUAUCGGACCACACAAUACGAUCAAUAACUUAGAUACAAUAAAUGCGGAAGCGUUCAAGUUUAAUCAAAGUCAUCCAUUAUCCAACCCGCACAUCGGGUGUUCAACAACCAUCAUAAAUCCCAAAUAUACAUCAUGCUCCAAAAGUUACAUUCGGAUUUCAAAAAUACAACCCAAAAGCCAAGACAUAUCCAAAAGUAAUAGAAACCCUAAACAAAAGCGUAUCAGGAAGGUUUUUUCGACACCUUGCCAAGUUCGAUCCUGUUAAGGAAAACAAAUCUACAGGGUGAGCAAAACGCUCGUGAGGCCAAGAACACACAUACAAGCACAUUACUCAAAUAACAAUCUCAAUUUACAAGUCAAGAAAUCAUAUUUUAGUAAUUAACAAUUUACUGGAAAUAUAACCAGAAACAAUUCAAGGAUACUGGAGCCCUCAGGAGCUAUAUUCCACUUGCACAUUCAAUAACCUCCACGAAUUGACACUCCAUCAAUCGGGUAGGUUUAGUCCGUACAACUCCACUUAACCUGUCCCCUUUCACCUUACAUACCCCUGUAUCGGGCCCGCCUGUCAUUUGUUUGUGGCGAUACUACUCGAGUAUGUCAAUCUUAUAUAUCUCAUGGCUCACCAAGGUUCCCGACCAAGCCCAUGCCGGCUCGAGUCCAAGAUCGGUCAAUGAGAUUUGGGCGUCCCCAUGUGCACUUGUGUGUCGAGGAGAUUCACUCCAACGACGUAGGCAACUAUAGCAUACCAUUACAUUUCAUUCAUUCAUUCAAUACAUUGCAAUCAUUCAUUCAAUGCAUUUCAACCAUUAAUAUUUCAUUUCUAAUGAGAACGAGUGUGGUAAAGUACACACUCGACUCCACUUUCAAGAUUUCUAAUCAUUAAUAACAAUUAAACAUGUAACAAGUUUAUAUACACCUGACGCCCACCAAGUAUUAGGUGUAAGUAAGGUCAAGGAAAGUUCAAGCGUCCACCGUGGGAUCCUCUUGAAGCUCCUCGUGUGCGCCUGAGCAAAUAAUAGUGAAUUAUUAUCCAAAUCCCAAAUAUCGAGGAAUAAUUCGUUCACUAGUAUUAAUCUAGGGGAUUCCGUGAAAAUGAAUCUCAAUUACUCGUAAAUCGAGGUUCGAGAGGGAUUUGAUAACUUUCAAAAGUAUUUAAGUCUUUAUCUAGGAAAUCGGGGAUAAAACAUUUAGAUAAUAUCAAAAGAAUAAAGAGUUCUUGAAAAACUUAUUUCCUUGAAAGUUGGAAAUUUUCAGUUUUGUUAUGAAUCUUUGAAAAAUCGUAACUCACUCGGCAUAAGUCGAGAAUUGGAAAAAUUUAUACCGUUGGAAACCUCUUAAAAAGUACUACAAGUUCCUAGAAGACACUUUUCCAUGAAUCGAAGUGGAAAGUGCUCAAAAAUGAGCUUGAAGGUACUGUUCCAAAUCACCCAAGAUUGAGCCGGGGUUGGUUUUUCGUUAACUUUGAAAAUUCGGCAGAAUUCACUCGUUGCAAACCAGCCCUUGAAAUUUAUAGCUCAAUUAGAGGCGCAAGUAAGGUUUGGGGCAGAACAAGCGGAUCGAGAAUCGGAUUUUGAGCACCAAGAUAUGGUAGCUCAAAGUUGGGUAAAUUUCAAGACUGUUAACAAAUUUCCAGAUUUGGUUCCGACUUUGGACCUUUAGUUAAGUGUCGAAACGGACUUGGAUUGAUACCAAAUUUUGCAGUAUAAUACUCCUAUAUGAAGGGUAUCUCUCUACCAAAUUUUGUGGAAAAAUACCUUCGGGAAGGUGGUUAACCAAUCAACCAAAGUUUGAAAUUACUAAGGCCAAACUGCCUUUAGCUCUCUUUCUCUCCGUUUCCAAACAUUCGGCUAAGGAAAAACCUCCAACAUGGUUCAUUUGUGCAAGAAAGGUCUAAGGAACAUACAUGGUACUUUUAGUAGGUGUUUAGCACCAAGAAAUUCAUUUAGUAAGACCACAACAAGUCUCACAUCUAAUCUGUCCAAAUCUAAGAGUUUUCAAAAACGAGGCAGUCGUCGUAUUUUGAUCAUAAAUCACUCAAUUUAGCUCGGAAUUGGGAAUGGUUGAUAGUGUUGGAAAAUACAUUCAUAGGGCUAAAAUUUCACAGAAGAAAUCAUUUUAAGUUUCAGCAUGCAACUGGCUCGAAAUUAAGCCUAAAGUUACAGCAUCAUCAAAUCAUUUCGGCAGAACGGAGAAACAGGGCAGCUGAAUUCAGAAGAGUGGUACGGUUCACACACAUGGAACCAGAAUGUGCAUUAUAUACCGUUGGAAAUAUGGGAACGUCUAGUUUCAAAUGCCGCUAACAGCACUUGAUUUCGACAUCGGAGUACGGAGUUAUGGACGAAAUACGAACACUGGUCUGGUUACGACGGAAACCGUUUUCCAGAUUACUAGCUUUGGGAAAUAAAUUCUUUUGAUCAACCAAAACUCAACAUUUUUCAACGAAAAUUUUUACACAACUACUACAACAUGUAAACAACACAAUCAAGCCAUUAAAUCUCCUAAUUUCUGCAUUAAAGUGGCCGAACAGAGCAGGGGCAAAAUGGUCAGAUUUGGCCUUUGCGCCUAACGUGAGUUUCUAUCAAUUUUCCAUCAACAAACCACUGAUUUAAACACUAAUUCCACAUUAUAAACAUCAUCAAGAACAAAAUCAGCAGCAACCCAAGAGUGGGAAUUCAUAGAGCCCACUUUUCCAAUUUUCCAACAUCCACAACAACCCAUAAGAAAUCAAGAGCUAAAAGAUAUACUAGAACUUCCAAAAAUCAAAGUUAGAAGGCUAGAUUAAGACUUACUCUUAGUUGAUGUCUAAGUCAGAGAUUCGGUCCUUUCUUGCUCCUAAGUGAGCCGUGAAAAUCCUCCCCUUUUUAGCUAGAUGUGAACUCCAAGGCUUAGGCUAAGUGGUGCUAAAUUUUGAGAAGAUUUGGUGGUGAUUUGAAUGGUUUUUGUAGAGGAAAUGUUGAAGAGCUUUCGGUUGUCCCUUGGCUGUCUGCUAUCCGUCCAUGGCAGCUAGAAGAAAUGAAAUGUUGGUCUGAUUCCUUUGCGUACAAAUGAAGCUUGCCGUCUAAUAUUUUAAGUACGUAAAAAUCAAUUGCAACUAGUGUGCCUACGCGCGCGUUUUGUGUUCGAUUUCUCUUAAGUUUGUUGCACUAGUGCACUAAACCUCUAGGGCACUUACAUUCAUAUAAAUAUUAUUCAUUCUUAAUUGUCCCAAAAUAAUGGUCCAAGGUCCCUCAAUUAAGCGCGCACGUGAAAACACGUAUUUCCAAUUUAGGCGCGAUAAAAUGAAACUUUCGAGAAAUUCUUAUAACAAUCGUACUACCAACUAUCACUUGAGUUUUUAAACCUAAAAUUGCCUAUUUUAGGACCAUUGUAUAUGUCUUAAAUUUUUGAGCUUAUUGUACUCCCAAUUGGCUAAAGUGUUUAGACACGUUUUCACUUUUCACUAAACAAGCUUAUAAGAAAAUAAUUUUUUUGAAACGAGACACUUCAAAAAUAUAACGAAACUAUAAAACCCUGUACUUAGGUCUAAUAAGGCUAGAAAAUAUUAUUCGUGGCAAAAAUCCAAAUAAAUAAUUAAUUUAGCCAAAAUUAGGGUUUUUAAAAAUAAUAGAUUUUCGAGUCCUCACAGGAAGGAGAUAUGGGAAUCUGGUUUUGUUGCCAACAUUGAACUAGAUGAAGCUCUUGAACACGAGCUAGGGCAGCAUGUUCAUUUCUAUAUUGACCCUGUUGCUGUAGUAUUCCCAUUCCCUCAACCUGAAGUAGACGUGCAUAUGUAGUGGCCCUUGGAUGUUUAAUCAGUCGUUGUUUAGUAUGCUAAAGGACUUCCUAAUCAACCAUAUUGUAUGUACUAAAGCAUCUUUACUUCUUUUUUCUUGUUUAGCAUGCUAAAGGAUGGUUUUUUGGCCAACAAGGAACUAUACGAGAGACUUUGAAGUCAAGCCAGGGGAGCAUGUUAAUUUCUUUGUUGACCCCGUUGCUGUGGUAUUUCCUCAACCAGAAGUAGAUGACAAGAAUAAGCAUAUGAGGAUGUGUAUCUAUUUAUGGUGAGAUUUUUUUUCCUUUUUCCUUUAAUUCUAUUCUGCAAUAGUACAUUUGUUUGUCAAAUUGGUGAACCUGAUUUUAAAUAGAAAUUUUAAAUAUUUAAAAUAGAAGUUUUACUGAACCUGAUUUUGAAUGCUAAAUGAAUCUGAUUUUAAGGAAGCAGAGUUCAGUUGAACACUAAAUAAAAAGAAAUUCUGAGUUUCCAGGAAUUCCAGUUGAAUAUUUAGAAGGUAAAAAGAAAAUAAUUCUAACUGAAAUCGAGUGUAGUUUGGAUUUUUUUUUUUUUGAUAAUGAAUUGAACACAAUUAAUUUCUUGCAAAUCGAGUGCAAUCAGAACUUCUGUAGCUAUUUCGAGGAAUUGAUAUGAUUUGAUACAAAUGUAAUAAGCAGUAGAAAGGAAAAGGUAAACGAGAACUCAAUGAAAUAAAAGGAAAAGCAAGUAAUCAAUUAAUGUUGAAAGCUGCAGAGAGUUGUCUCUUAGCUUCUCUUUUCUUAGAGGAACUUGCCUUCCCACCGACCAUCAAUCCAGUGACCAAUGAAAACUUUAGGGAUAUGAGAAAUUGUCUGAUAAUCUUCACUUUGUUUAUCCAAAUUCCGUACUUUGUGCACUAGCUCAUCAGACAUUUCAAAAAACCCAAGAGAUUCAAGUCCGGACAAGGUUUGGAUGCCCGAAGGCAACUCUUGCAUUAGUUUGCAAUCACCUAAGCGCAGUUUUCUGAGGCUAGGCAUUGAUUCCUCUUCCACUCUCACCCAUUUCAGUCUUUUUAACUGCCCAAGCUCUAAGCGCUGGAGUUUUUGAAAUCCUCCAACCUUGAAACAUAAUGUCUCCCCUUCAUAAGCACGAUGGAGAGUAAGUGAUACCAGAUUGGGCAAAUGUCCGAGGGAGCCUAUUACAUUCUCAUCAUCUCUCAACCUACUAUUUUCCAACCGUAACAUUCUCAAGGAGUGAAGUGAUGUCACCCAUUGUGGUACUCUCUCUAAACGCCCCUUCAAUAUCAGAAGUGUGAGGAAUCCAAGCUUUGGAAAGACGGAAUGUUGGAGAUCAAGGGUCUCAUCUUCUUCAAUACAGGAGAUGAUCAAAUCUCGAAGGUUACUCAGCCUCAAGAGGGAGGAGAGCAACUCCUUUCCAUCUUCUCUUCUCAGCUUUGUGAUGGCUAAUCCUCGCAAUUGCGUUAGCUUUCCAACCUCCAUUACUAUUCUAUCACUGUCUGCUUCUAUACCAUACAACUCCUCCAAACAAAUAAGCUUUCCAAUUCCAAGUGGACAUUUACAGCCCCAAUUUGCAUACUCAUUUGAAUAAUCACCCCAUCCACCUAACCAAAGAGAGCGGAGUUUUCUUAGCUUUAGAAUUUCCACAGGCAACUCUGUUACAUUGGUUCGUGUCAGAUCUAUAACUUCAAGGUUUUGAAGCUUCCCAAUAGAUUUUGGAAUAAUUUUAACUCCAGUUCCACUGAGAUUAAGAUACCUGAGAUGAAAUAGUUUGAAGACUUGCUUUGGGAUGUUGUCCAAUUCAGCUCCAUCCAAAUCCAACACCUUUAGCAACUUGGGAUCACCACUUAAGAACUUGGAUAAAAAUGUAGCUGUGAGAGGAUCUUCAUACCCAAAUAUUACCACAGACCGAAGACACUUUAAACUACUAAAUUCUUGUGGAUUAUCAGUGAAGUUAUGGAUUGCUAGGUGUCGAACUUUUUCAGGCCAUCUUGUGUAAUAUCUGGUGGCUACAGUCGUGAAGUCCUGCUCUUUCGAUUUUGAAACAAUGAUUUCACGCAGAAAAUCAUGAAGACCACAUGUAAUCAAUCUGCCAUCGUCCCAUGUGGAUUUAACUUGGAUUAAGCUUCUGUUGAUGAGUUUUUUCAUAUAACUCAUAGCAAUAUCAGUGGAUGUUAUUCCUCCUUUCAUUCCUCUUUUCUCUUCUAGAAAUCCUAGUGCAAUCCAUUUUGGAAGUAUAUGAUCCACAUCAAUUGAAUAAUCUUCAGGAUAGAUGCUUAGAUAUAAUAGGCAGCUUUUAAGAUAGAAAGGCAAAUCAUUGUAGCUAAGUAAGAGUACCCUUUUGAUCCUGUCAAGCUUACCACUGCCAUCUGCCUCGCCACCAAAGCCAUGAAGAAUCAUCUCCCAUUCAUCUGUCGUUUCCUUGUCCUUCAGAGCCAAAACACCACCUAUUGCAACAAUUGCAAGCGGUAGGCCGUCACAUUUUUUCAGUAUUUUUUUAGCAACUUCUUCUAGAUUUGGAGGACAGUAGUUGCACUGAAAUGUUCUAUUGCAAAACAGAGUCCAAGACUCUUUAUCAGAAAGAGGCUCCAUCUUAUGAAGUCAAGUGAUCCUAAACAGGACGCAGAAGCUACAUCGGCUAUUCGUGUUGUCAAUACAACAUGACUAGCAGUAUUGCAGUCAGGCAAUACACAUUUGAUAGCUUCCCAGGCAUCUAUACUCCACACAUCAUCAAGGACAAGAAUGUACCUUCUUUCUUGGAGGAAGUCUCUGACAAAUUCACUCAGCAUAAUAUCAUUCAUGGAUUCCACUUCGGGAGGGACCGGCUGUCUGAUUUCGUUGUACAACUGUUGGAUCAGGUUCUUGAUGAUGUCCCUGAACUGAAAAUUUUGAGAAACAGUUAUCCAGGCAUGGCUCUGAAAUUGUUUCUUCACUGCAGCGUCAUCGUAGACUUUUUUCACCAGGGUAGUCUUCCCGAGUCCCCCCAUUCCCACAACCGAAACUACUUUCAAUUGGGAAUGGUCAUCAAGGAUUUUUGAGAUGAGCUCUGCUUUUGGCUUAUCAAUCCCAACAAGUCGAGCUUCUUCAAUGAAGAGUGAUUGAGCACGAAUGUCAAAAUCUGCAUUCACCUGACGAGAAGGGCUGAAGCCUCUUUCUUGAGUACCAUAUUGGGACUGGAACCUCCGAUGCCUUUCUGAAAUGUCUCCAACUCUGGCCUUGAUGUCUUUUAUCUCCAAAGAAAUUUGAUGGCGAGCUUUCAAAUUCUUUAUUGAGUUAUAGAUCUUUCCAACCUUUCCACAGAAUCCAUCCUUGUAGCCACGAGCAAAGCGGAAUGUAAAAUCAUCGAGAACAUCCUCUGUAUCAUAAGCAACUUCUCGAACCUGCUUUAGCCAUGCUCGGAGUUGAGAAUCAUUGCCUUCCUUUGCUUCAGCUUCUCCGAGGAAAGCCUUCAUGCUCUCGAGUUCAUCUUUGAUGAAUUGAACAUCUGAUUUAAGCCCCCCCAAAAGUGUGAUCUCUUGGGAAAGUAAGGUUGAGAGCUGGUUAAUCAAAAAACCUACAACACUCUGAGCCAUAAUGCAAUUUUUUUUUUUUGGGGUAGUAUAGAGGAUGAGUUUUAUUUGGCACUUUGAUAGUACAAUUAUUGUCGAUCACCUAUUAAUGCGCUUUACAAGCAGAAAAAGCAAGGCUCGCAUGCUGCCUACAAUUAACGAAAAGGGCAGUUUUUUGUUUUCUUUGUAUAUUUUUUUUCAAUAUUGGUCAUUGAUCAAUUAUGUAAUAAGUUAUAAAACUGUCCCCUUAAUAUAUUUUCAAAUAAGAAUAAUCUUUGUACUAGCCAUUACCUAAAAUAACAAGAGAAAUAAAUAUUUCAUGGAUUUCUUUUAACCAACCAUUGGAGGUCUUGGAUUCUUAUCCUAAGCCGACAGGCUAAGACUUCACAGUGGCAAAUGGUCAAUGGAAAAAGGAAUGGUUGUGAUGCUCUCUCUUCCAAUAAUGCAAGGGACGAUGAAAUAAAUUUCCCAUUAAUUUUUGCCUUAUCUAGCCAAGCUCUAACGAGUUUUCGAGCUACUCGUGAAGUUUAACAGCUCUAGUAGGGAGACUAGUAGGGGCCGCCUUCAACGAAGUUAUUAAUGACGUUAAAUGCCCAAGGCAACCAUCAAUAAUGACCACGUCCCGUGAGUGGAGAAAAAUUUAAUUGAUUGAGUGUUUUUUUUCUUUUAUUUUAUUUGGAGGAAAUGAUUGAAAAAUUUUACCGGUGUAGCAUAAUGUGUACAACCGAAUCAUCAAUUCCGCUGCAUGGUAGUUUGACACUUUUAAAAAUAAAUUAUCUGCUGCCUACUACGAUGUUGAUUGUGCACGGCAGACGAUUUUUUUGGAAAAAAAAAAAAAAAUUUGCCCGCUGGCUACCGUGCACAAUUAGCAUGAUAGCCUGACACUUUAGAAAAAAAAAAGUAUUUUGCUACCGUAUUGAUUAGGCACGAUAGUUAUAGUUUUGUAUCAAGAGAAUAUCAGAGCUACAUUUGGCGGAUAAUUUUUUUUUUUUUACCUAUAUUCUAAGAAAUUAGACCACUGAAGUUGGCUUUGAAAGGAAAAAACAAAAAAGUCACAUUCAACUUUCGAUUCUUGGUUCUACAAUAUCUUGUAAGGUCAUGUCCAGCUAAUUUCUGACCUCUGCUAAUUUCUGACCUUACAAGAGGUCAGAAAUUAGCUGGACAUGACAUGGUUGCCCAAUGGAAAAGAAAAAAGAAAUCAACUGAAGUUACCAAAUGCUAUGAACCUGUGGAUCAACGAUCAUGAUAAUAUCAAAUCAAUUUACUCUUUUUAACAAUUUCUCAUAAUUGUUUGUGAAAUUUUUUUUUAAAAAAAAAUGUUGGCAUUGAAAAGGGACAAUAUAUCCCUGGAAAAGUUAUUAAAAUUAAAUGUGCCCAUAUUUCUUUAAAUGACUGAAAAAUGAGAUAUAUACAGAAGUGGUAGAUAACAAUUGGAAGAUACUCAUGCUACUACGAGUGUAGUGAAUCAUUAGUUUUAGUGUCAAAGAUGGGCAAAUUACGCUUUAUUCCCUGUGGUUUAGUAUUUUUUUUUACAUAAUUCCCCUAUGAUUUUAAAAGCUAUACAUAGACCCCUCAUAGUUUGGAUUAAAGUGUCAAAAUAACGGAAUUUACAAUCCAUAACAGAGUCAACUGAAAUAUCAAAAAUAUCUCUAUGUAAAGUUGAAAAUUAUUUAUUAACCACAGGGGGUUAUGUAUAUAUACUGAAAAUCGUAAGGGAGUUAUAUGGUAAAACACUAAACCAUAAAGGGGUUAUAUGGUAAAAUAUAAAAGUCAUACGAGGUUAGAGUGUCAUACAUAAUAUGUUUAUAUAUUUUGGUCACUCCAGCUACUUUAGUUUUUAUACAAAAGUAAUUUCGACAUUUUUAUAGGUUCCAUUACGGAUGAUCAUUUCCGUCACUUUGAUACUUUAAUCCAAAUUAUAAUGGAUUAUAUAUAGGUUUUAAAACUAUAAGGGGUUAUGUAAAAAUUAGCUAUACCACGGGAGGAUAAAGUUUAAUUUGCCUGUCAAAGAUCAAUAUUUUCUACUAAUAGUUGCUCUCAGAGCUCAUGUAUAUGUUUGCUAUGGCCAAGUUGAUUCAUAUGCUCAUUUGACAAUUAACUUCUACUUAGUCCACGCUAUAACUUCAAGCUGGCUGCUUUUUCAACUACUAUUUUGGCAUCUCUUUCCUAUUUUUAACACCUUAGUGGUUAAUAUGUCGGACGAUUCAUAGAGCUUAUGAAACCGGCCAUAACCAGUAAAAUCCAAACUCUGGAACUGAUUUACUAUUUUUUUUUCUUUUACAAUUAAAUGUUUGAAUUGGGGUUGAAGAGUAAACAAAAAACUUAUCAUUUGCUUCACAAGGAAUUUUAUGUCUGUUCGAAACAACUAUUAGACAUGAUUCGGGAACAAUAGAAAAGUUCCAAAGUGGAUAUACGAGGAUCUCACUUACUAAUUUACAUGUUAAGUGAAAUCCACUUGACAUGUUAUAUAAAAUCAGGUGGAACCCUUGAAUGUUCUCAUGGAACCUUUUCAUUGGUUCGGAAACAAUUAUUAGGCAUGAUCGACAUAAAAUUUUCCUCCAUUUCACUUAGCAAUUCAAUUUUUUUAAAAAAAAAUUUUGAUUAAAUCAAGUUGCUCUUCCCCCAUUAGCACUAUCUUCUGUCUUUCAAUUCCUCUUCAAUCCAUACAUGAAUAUACCAUCGGAAAUAGUGACUAAACCCUUCCAUCCUUCCUUGGCACUCCCUUGCGCUAGCCAUGUUUUGAUCCGUAGACCAGGUCACUAUAAUCACAAAAAAUGUGGAUGUAUGACAAGCUUCUCAAUGUUCAAAUGCCCUAUAUUCACAAUUUAUUAUUGGAAUGGUACUCCCAAUUCCAUGAAGAUAAUACUAUUAUUCAUAAAUUUUAAUAAAUGACCUUUGUUUUUUCUUUUUCAAAUUUCGGCUACCAGAAAUAAUUUUAUAAAGCAAGGGGCAAAUAUUAACUUAAGGAAAAGUCAUGCACGAUCCAAUGGCUCUCUAUGUACAAGCUUAUUCCUCCAAUAAUUAAGUAGGAUGUUAAUGCUUAUACGACAAAUUGUAAAUGUUAACAACAGUUGUUUGACAUAUUAUAGAACUCAAAUAAUUGGCAAAUGUACACAUCUUUAGCCUUACAUAGAACUUUCAAUUAUUUAUUAUAUAUAUACACACAUAGAGACAUGUACAUAUAUACCAAGUGGCUAAGGAACUUUUCCAGUGAUUUUUGUCGUCCUCCAUUUGGUUAUGGUUUGCACGUGAGUCUUUGUUUUGCCAUUUUGGUUGAGUGAAGAAAGCUAGAAGUGUGAGGCUUGUUUGCAUAUUUUUUUUGGAUUAAUCUCUUUUACACUGAUAAUGUAUAUACUGUCAGUUAUGGACAAAUAAUAGUUAUGCAAAAUUUGAGUGUGAAAUUCAACUUUUAUACAUGUAUAAUAAAUCUAAUAGUGAUAAUGCAUAUAACGUCCGUGUAUAUAAGAUUUAGUCUUUUUAAUUGACAGUGGUAAUUAUAUCAUGUCCUAUUGGAGAUUAAAGUAUCGCACUUUUAGUGGUUGCGGGUUUAUUUUGUUUGUGUGUGAUUCAUUUUGUGUAGAGAAUCCUAUGAUCUAAAAAAGUAAGCCAAGUAGGUUGAAAACUCAGGUUCUUCAGUUGUAGCACAGAUUAGAAAGUAAAAAAAAAAAGCAGCAAAGUUAUAUUACCAAGACACCACUAGGUCACGUUGAGACAGGUGUUUGGACGCCUGGUUCUGAAAUACUUGCCACUCACAGCCACGGUGGGAAUAUAGUAGGCGUUGACAAAAUUCAACUCCAUAAUCAAAAUCUACAUAGAACACAGUCUUAUAAUGUAGCUACUACAUUAGAUAGCCUGUCCUUUCGAUUUUGCUUCAACAUCUAAGGAUAAUGCAGAAUCUCAGCAUUAGAGUUCUUCUUUUGAUUUCCUCUGAUCAAAUGGAAGGUAUAACUAUUGUUUGAUUUCCUCAUUUGAUUCCAUCUAAAUAGCAUAAAAAGCUAUUUGAUUCUUUCUAUAGAAAUUCUUUCUGCUAAUGCAGUUUAGCUUCCACUACUCUCCCAUUUAGUCUGCCUAUGAUCCAUGCCGAGAAUUCUUAUAUACAGCUUGGGCAUGUCCUAAAAGUACAGGAAAAAAGAGGAGGUAAAGUGACAGGUGUCGAGCCUGUGCAAUAAUAAAUACCUGCUCGAGAAAAAUAUAAAUUUUCUAUGUAUAGUAGUGAGCAGGAUCAAAUCCACAGGGACUGGAAAAAAUUCGAUUCUUUUCAAGUUCGGGACACGGGGGAUUUUUAUCAGAAUGAAACUAAAAAUAAUUAAACAAUUUAACCAAAAAUAAAUGAUUAAUUAAUAUGAAUGUAAAUAGAAAUUAAAUAAAUAAUAAAUAAAUUCUAGCCAAAGAUACAACUACGCAGACAUAGUCCAUUCAUCUGAUCAUUGAUGCAAAGAAGGUUCACUUAAUUUUAUUAACAGGUUAGUUAUAGUCGCCGAUAAGUUUUGACGACCAAUUUUUCCUUAAUUUAUUGAUAACCAAGGUACGACCGUUGAUUACUUUUAAACAGGAAAUACUCCUAGGUUCGACUGUAGGAAUUAAUUUCCUAAUUGCCUUAAAAACUAGAAAAGCCUAACCCAAAUUAAUAACACGCUACGAAGGUUAUUUAAAUCAAAUUGCAUGUUCCCCUAGUAUGUGAAAAUACUAGUUGCAACUUAUAUUAACCAAUUAAAAAAUUACGGAUUUAAUUGAUUAAUUUGACAGGAGAUUAAUAAGUCAAAUUGCACAUCGGACCCUUGAUAUCCAAUUAACAAAAUAAUCCCAUGAAAAUUCAAAUAGAAAACAUGCAAAUAUUAACAAAUUAAGGAACACAUGAAAAUUAAUUCGAUCUCAUAGAUAUUUGGAACUGCGUCGUCGUGUUGAUCCUUGAUUAGAUGAGAAGAUUAGCCACGCCUCAUAAGAAAGUUCCCACAAAAUUUAAUAGAAUUCAAAGGCAUAAAUAACUCUUGAAGAAAACCCUCACACCACAAACAAGAGAAGGAACAAGUUCCUCUCUUAAAACUAAAACUCCUAUCUUUUCCCCCGUAGAGAGAAACUAGUCUAUUGUUCUUUGCAAACAUAAAAACAAGCCAAAUGGAAAACUUCACCCCACGUCCACAAAAGAACCAUUCUUCUUCUACCUAAUCAAUCCCACCGAAAACAAAAGCAAAAGCCAACUUUUGUUUGUCGGGCUUCCUUUGACCAAAUGCACACGACCACAAGAAAGCAAUUAUCCUACUACCAUAAGAAAGCAAACAAAAGGCACACCAUCUUUAGACAAUAACUAAUUCUUCGCGGUCCCCACCAAAUUGAGAUGUUGGCUUGCCAAAUUCCUUAUUUCCUAUUGCUAGUGGACUACAUCAUAACAAUUCAAUUCUUCAAUUCUUCAUCAGCACAAGGAAAGGAAAUCCGUUGGUUUUGUACCAUGUGGGCCAGUUGUGUAAAGCUUUUAGAAGCUCUCACGUGUGGAGUAAUCUUCUCAAGAAGGUUUUUGCUCCACUUUCUGAAAUUGGGUUCAAAUACCAGAUAUAAGUAUAUGUCACAAUUAAAGCAAUAUUUGGCGAGGUCAAAGAGGAAAAUUAACAAUAAAAUUACUAACAAUUGACACCCUAUCAAUUCCCCUCACACUUAAAUCAUGCUUGUCCUCAAGCAUAAGAACACUAAACUCAACAAUGGCUAGUUCUCAUGUCAUCUAUUGCCAAGUUGUGUUUACACCAAAAUCAAGGUUUAGAGGCUAAGUGUCAAGACAUAAUUCUCCCGGUUAGUUCCUGAAAUCAUAGACUCGUCCAUUUCAUGGCUAACUCGUCUAAGAAAUAAAAAUAGCAAAAAUUAGCAAUUGGGUCAACUGACAACUAAAAUCUCAACAUUGAAGAACAAGGAUCGGCAGGCCAACAUGAUCAUAAGCUUACACAUUUUUUUUCUUUUUUUUUUUAAAUAAAUGCUCAGUCCCAAGCUAUUCAAGUCUUUUGACGUGAACUCUGACAUUUUUAGAUGAAAGAGUCCAGUUACUCAACUCUUCACAGGUUCAAGACUACCUACUCAUAGAUAUCGCCACUUUUUGACGCGAUAGUCGACACUUGUGGAAAAGACUCCCGGUUACUGGGUGACGACACUAGUGGAGUAGAGUCAUUUAUUAAUCACAAUUAAAGUACCAGAAUACCAGACAGUUAAAGAUCAUGGCCCAUAUCAUCUCCUAACAUGGAAAACUGAGUCCACAAUCGCCCAAUCCACACAACAAUCUAAAGAAACAUGCUUUUGCACCAAGUCAUUAAACUCAUGAUAUUCACCAAGAUAACAUGCUUUUGCUUGCCACCUAAACAAAAUUCAUAGGAUAAAUCACAACCAGCAAUAGAAGAGUGAGUUGCCACAUUUAUUCAUCAAGACAACAGUAAGAUAAGCAGCAAAUUUAAAGAAACAUCAGUCGAUUCAUCAAGACAACAGUAAGAUAAGCAGCAAAUUUAAAGAAACACCAGUCGAAUUCAAAUCCCCCCCACACACUUAUAGCACACAUUGCCCUCAAUGUGACAAUUAAACAGUAAAAGCAAGAAUGAGGGUAACGGGACUUCCCUAAAACCACAGGGAUCGUGUCAGGGUCGCAUCGGCGGGUGAGGGAAAGUUAUGGCCGAAAGAAAAGAAGGAAAAGGAGAAAAGGGAAAUGGGAGAGAAGAAAGAAAUAAAGAAAGAAAAGAAAGAAAGAAAGAAAAAAGAAGAAAGAAAGAAAGAAAAAGAAAAGAGAAAAAAAAAUAGUUUUUGAGGAUUUUUUUUUUUUUUUUUUACAAACUCAAAUUUCAAAAUUCGAAUUGUGAGAACCAAAACUGAAGGUGUAAAAUGGAAAAUGUUUUUAUUUUGAUUUUUUUUUGUUUUUAGGUUGUUAAAUACAGCGUGGGCACGCCAAGAUUAUAAAACGUCCACUGACCUCAGGAGUCACUAACAAGGCGUGGGCACGCCAAGAUUGCAUUUCCUGCCAAUGUCGCGAGAUGUUGAGAUUUGACUAACAUGGCGCGGGCACGCCAAGAUUGGUAAACAUCCACUGACCUCAAGAAUUACUAAAAUGGCGUGGGCACGCCAAGAUUGCACUUCCUGGUCAUAGUGAAGGAAAAUAUUAAGAUCGACUAUUACUCAACUGAGAAACGACAAAAUGAAAGAAAUGAACAAUAAAAAAUAAUAAAACCAAUAUUUGGGUUGCCACCCAAAAGCGUCUUUCUUUAAUGUUUUUGGCUAGAUCUAACCCAGAAUUUGCUUAAACUAAGCAAAUCGGGUCCUCCAAUUGCAUCAUCUCUACCCGUUCAAUCGGAAACCCUUCAUAAUACGGCUUGAGACGGUGACCAUUCACCACAAAUUUCUUCUCCUUUUUCAAACUCCGGAUCUCCACUGCACCAUAAUCAAAGACAUUAGUCACAAUAAAAUGACCAAUCCAACGAGAACGUAAUUUACCUGGAAAUAACUUCAAUUUCGAGUGGUACAGUCGAACUUUUUGUCCACAGAUGAAUGUCUUCCUAGAGAUCUGUUGGUCAUGAAAGAUCUGAUUCUUCUCCUUAUAGAUCACUGCAUUCUCGUAUGCUUCAUUUCGGAUUUCUUCAAACUCUUGUAAUUGCAACUUCUUUUGAAUUCCGCCCUCCUCGAUAUCCAUAUUGCAUUAUUUGACCGCCCAAAACGCUCUAUGCUCGAACUCGACCGGUAGAUGACAUGGCUUCUCAAAUACCAACCGGUAAGAGGACAUUCCAAUGAGUGUCUUGUAUGCCGUCCUGUAAGCCCAUAGUGCAUCCUCCAGGCUCAUACUCCAGUCUUUCCUAUCAGGUCGGACCAUCUUCUCUAAAAUCAACUUGAUUUCUCGAUUUGAUGCUUCCGCCUGACCAUUUGUUUGAGAAUGGUAGGAUGUGGAGACUUUGUGCAAGACACCGUAUCUCCUAAAAACUGCAGCGAUCGUCUUGUUGCAGAAAUGAGUACCCCGAUCACUUACAAUUGCUCUCGGCAUCCCAAAGCGGACAAAAAUGUUAGACUUAAUGAAUUCUGCAACCACUUUGGAAUCAUUAGUGCGGGUGGCCUUUGCUUCCACCCAUUUCGAAACAUAAUUUACAGCAAGCAAUAUAUACAAAAAACCAAAGAACGAAGGAAAAGAACCCAUAAAGUCAAUACCCCAAACGUAAAAAAUUUCAACAAAAAUCAUUGGGGUCUGAGUCAUUUGAUCCUUAUGAUAGAGAUUACCUACUCGUUGACACUUAUCACAGGACUUAUAAAAUGAGUAGGCGUCUUUGAAUAGGAUCGGCCAAUAGAAUCCACUUUCUACCACCUUACAAUCCGUCCUCUUCGGUCCAAAGUGACCUCCACACGCAAAAGAGUGACAAUAUGUUAGAAUGGAUUGGAAUUCAACCUCACUUACACAUCUUCGGAUAAUUUGGUUGGCACCCCGCUUCUAGAGAUAAGGACCAUCACAAAUAUAGGACUUUGCAUCGCUCCUCAAUUUGUCUCUCUUAGCCUUAGGCCAUCCUGUAGGAAACUUGUCAGUGACUAGAAAGUUAACCAUAUCCGCAUACCAAGGCAAAGAUGAGUUAAUAGAAAAUAAAUGGUCAUUGGGGAAUGCUUCUCUCAAUGGGAGCUCAUCUUUGACGACUUGUACUCGACUCAAGUGAUCUGCUACCAGAUUCUCCGUACCUUUCUUAUCUCGGAUCUCUAGGUUGAACUCCUCUAGCAAUAAUAUCCACUGUAUCAAUCAUGGUUUAGCCUCUUUCUUGGUCAACAGAUACCGCAAAGCUGCAUGAUCAGAAAAAAUAAUAACUUUAGCACCAAGUAAAUAAGAUCGAAAUUCUUCUAAGGCAAAAACAACCGCCAAGAGCUCCUUUUCGGUGGUUGAAUAGUUCAAUUGAGUUCCGUUCAAGGCUCGAGAUGCGUAGUAGAUAGUAUGGGCUGCCUUUCCCACUCUUUGACCCAGUACCGCACCCACUGCAUAGUCGCUGGCGUCGCACAUGAUCUCAAAUGGGAGGUUCCAGUCGAGGGGUUGGAUAAUAGGUGAUGAGGUCAAUAGCUCCUUUAACUUAUCAAAUGCCCUCUUACCUGUUUCAUCGAACUCGAAGGAUACAUCUUUUUGCAAAAGUUGGAACAAGGGUGCUCCAAUUUUCGAGAAAUCUUUGAUGAACCUUCUAUAGAAACCUGCGUGACCCAAGAAGGAACGAACUUCCGGCAUACUCGCGGGGUAAGGUAAAGUAGAUAUAACAUCUAUUUUUGCCUUAUCAACCUCGAUACCUGUAGAUGAUACUACAUAACCUAAAACUAUCCCGUGUUCGACUAUAAAGUGGCAUUUUUUUCAAUUAAGCACGAGAUUAGUUUCUAUACACCUUACUAAGAUUAAUUUCAGGUUAUCUAGACAAUUUUCAAAACUUUUAUCAUAUACAGUGAAAUCGUCCACGAAAAUCUCAAUAAUCUUCUCAACAUACUUUGAAAAGAUACUUACCAUGCAUCUUUGGAAGGUAGCAGGUGAAUUGUACAAUCCAAAUGGCAUCCUUCGAUAUGCAAAUGUUCCAAAUAGGCACGUGAAAGUAGUUUUCUCUUGGUUCUCGGGUGCAAUGGAAAUUUGGAAAUAACCUGAAAAUCCAUCCAAGAAACAAUAGUAAGCUCGACAUGCCAAUCUCUCUACUAUCUGGUCAAUGAAAGGGAGGGGAAAAUGGUCCUUUUUCAUGACGGCGUUUAGCUUCCGAUAAUCGAUACGCUGUCGCCAUCCAGUGGGUUUUCGAAUUGGUACGAGCUCACCCUCUUGGUUUGAUUCCACCGUCAUCCCUGCCUUUUUCGGGACCACCUGUACUGGACUCAUCCACGGGCUAUCUAAUAUUACAAAUAUAAUUCCAACGUCCAGCAGCUUUAAAAUCUCCUUCUUUACGACCUCCAUCAUGAGAGGAUUUAAUCUUCGUUGAACCUGCCGCACGAGUUUAGCACCCUCCUCGAGUCGAAUUCGAUACAUACACACUCGGGACUAAUUUCUUUGAUGUUGGCAAUGGUCCAUCCUAUCGCCUGCUUAUGUUUCCUAAGAAUUCAAAAUAGUUUGUCUUCUUGAACCUUUGAUAAACCCGCGGAGAUGAUCACUGUAAGUGUCUCCCCUUCACCCAAGUAUACAUACUUCAGAUGUUUCGGCAGCGGUUUCAGUUUCAAAACAGAUGUUUGCACCACAUAUGGAAGUAACCUUUGGUGAGGUUCGGGUAUGAAAAUCGGUGCAAGAUCAUACCUUGUCUUUGUGGUUGGUAACGUUUGCAACGAUCCAACCACACAUUUAAGCUCUUCACUCAACUCUAUCCCAGAGGUCAUCUCGGACUCGAAGUGCCUGGUUAAGACGACCUCUAACGCAUCCCUGCCUUCAAUUUCAAAAACCUCCUGUAUAGCAGGGUUAAUAACAUUUAUCGAGAAAAUAGAGCUAACAUUUGAAUCGGAUGGAUAUUUUAUGGUCUCAAAGAUGUUAAAGUGAACAAUCUCACCAUCAAAUUUCAUAGACAAAGUACCCUUAUUAACAUCAAUUUUAGUUCGGGCUGUGCUCAAAAUGGGUCUACCUAACAAUAAAGGUGACGGAUCAUGGGAGUGUUUAUCCUCCAUGUCGAGCACAUAAAAAUCAGUUGAAAAAAUCAAUUCAUUAAUUUUUACCAAAACAUCUUCAAUCAAUCCAUCAGGGUAUGCAUUGGUCCUGUCAGCUAGUUGGAUUAUUAUCCCAGUCUCUUUCAAAGGGCCUAAAUUCAAGGAAGCAUAAAUGGACUUUGGCAUGACAUUAAUCGAAGCUCCUAGGUCUAACAUGGUCUUUCCGAUCAAAAUAUUACCUAUCCUACAAGGAAUAGUAAACAUACCUGGGUCCCCGCAUUUUGGUGGAAGUUUCCUUUGUAGAAUUGCUGAAACAUUUUCCCCAACUAUAACUCGUCCAUCCCUCUUCAAUUGCUUGUGGUUGGCACACAACUCCCUCAAAAACUUUGCGUAUUUGGGUACUUGUUUAAUCGCAUCCAACAGGGGUAUGUUGAUCUCUACCUUGCGAAAGAUCUCUAAGACUUCUUUCUCCUUAUCUUGCUUCUUUAGUUUCUCUAACCUGUUAGGAAAGGGAGGUGGAUUAGUCUUAACUGUACUAAUUGGGUUUGGGAGUACCUUUGUAUCUUUGUUGUCUCUGCCCUCCUCUUUCAACUCUUUCUCAAUCCGUUUCUCGUCCUUGUCUUUAGAAAUCACAGGUUCGGGUCCUUGGACUUCCUUGCCACUCCUCAAGGUCAUUGCGCUUACAUUCUUUGGAUUCACCUCAGGUUGAGAUGACAAACUUCCCUUGAACUUGGGACUCCAAACGGUUGAUCGUUAUGGCCAUUUGAUUCAUUUGAUUUUACAAUGAUUGCACAUGUCCCAGUUGAUUCCUCAUGCUUUGCAGGUCUGAAUCCGUCUUUUGUUGAUUAGUAAGUAAUUGUUUCAUCAUCUCUUCCAUGGACGGGCUUGAAUUUGAAGGGAGUGGUGGUGGAUGAAGACGGUACUGCUGUGGGUGCCCUUGCUGUCUAAUUGACACAAAGUUAGACUGCCUAUUCCCUCCAUAGCUAAGGUUGGGGUGAUCCCUCGAACCAAGAUUGUAGGUACUUGAGUAUGGGUCGUACUGCUUUCUUGGCGCGAGCGCGUGGCCAACCAUAUUCACCUGUUCUGCAGUUUCUUCCUGAACCAGCGGAUACAUUUCCAUAGGAUGGCCCACGGCAGUGCAUGUCCCACACACUUUGGCUUGUGAGGCACUCCCCACAGCUAGUUGUCGUACGAAAGACGUCAAUUCGGAGAGUUGCUGUUGGAUAGAGGACGUUUCUACCUCAUUUACCUUACGCGUCGUGAUGCCCUCUCUUGAACCAAACUGCUGUGAGUUCUCAUCCAUCCCUUCAAUCAACUCCCAUGCUCCUCGAGGAGUUUUGUUCACCAAUUCCCCUCCACUUGCAGCAUCGAUUAUACUUCUGUCCCUGAAAAGUAGUCCCUCAUAGAAAUAUUGGAUGAACAGUUGCUCACUUAUCUGAUCUUGAGGGCAUUUGGUACACAGUUUUUUAAACCUCUCCCAGAAUUCAUAGAGAGACUCGCCUAGGUGUUGUUUGAUGUCACAUAUCUCCUUCUUUAGGCUUGCAACUCGAGACGCCGGAAAGUACUUGUCCAAGAAUUUUUUCUUCAGUUGGUCCCACAUGGUGAUACUGAUAGGGCGUCAUUUGUUAGUAAUUUUAUUAUUAAUUUCCCCUUUUAUCCCUGCCAAAUAUUGUGUUAAUUGUUGAUAUCUACUUAUAUUUGGUAUCUGGACUUAAUUUCAGGAAUAAAACAGAAAACUACCAAAAAGGAGGGACUUUAUGGAGAAAAUGGAGACUUCUAAGGGUUUCAAUCCUUGGGCCCUUGAAUUGGUGGGGGACCACAAAGCUAGUGAAGGAUAUUUGGUCAUUUGGGCUCUUCAAAGAAAGCAACGUAGAGAGACUUGGAACAAGGAGUAAUUUGGAGACUUUGUCCACAUGUGUGGGGACCACCUAGAUAGCUCUUAGUCAUCUUCCUUUUGGUCCUUUAAAAGGGAACAAUGUAGAGAAGAAAAGGACGGCUUGAGUUUUAGCUUUUUAGUUUAGUUCUAGUUUUCUUUCUUUUGACUGGCCUCUGACACACGCCAGGUGUUCGACAAUAUUCCCCAACGGGGAAAACAUCUUUUAUUCUCUGCUUUCUAUUAAAAAAUGCAAUGCCUUUGCAAUCUAUUAAUUCGUAUGGUGAUUUAAUUAUGCGGCGCAGCUAAGCCUCCCAUCUAGUCAAGGGUCAACUCGACGGCGCAGUCUCGAAAAUCUGUGAGAUCUAAUUAGUUUUCACGCAUUUCUCAAUUUAUUAAUAUUUGCACGUUGUCUGCUUGAAUUUUCUUGGGAUUAUUUUAUUAAUUGGAUGUCAAGGGCCCGAUGUUCAAUGUGAUUUAUUAAUCUCGUGCCAAUUUAGUCAAUUAAAUCCGUAAUUGUUUGAUUGAUUAAUAUUAGUGGCAACUGGUGUGUUUACACAUUAGGGAACGUGCAAUCUAAUUUAAAUAACUCUCGUAGUGUGUUAUUGAUUAGGGUUAGGUUUCUCUAGUUAUUAAUGCAAUUGGCAAAUUAAUUCCUACGGUCGUAUCUAGGAGUAUUUUUCUGGUUAGGGGUGAUCAAUGGUCGUACAUCGGUCAUCUAUAAAUUAAGGAAAAAUUGGUCGUUAGAGUUCAUCGGCGACUAUAACUAGUCUAUUAAUAAAUUAAGUGAACCUCUCUUGCAUCAAUGAUCGGGUAAAUGGACUGUGUCUGAGUAGUUGUAUCCUUGGUUAGAAUUUAUUUAUUCUUGAUUUAAUUCCUGCUAUAUCUGUGCUAGUUAAUUAUUUAUUUUUAGUUGGAUUGUUUAAUUAUUUUUAGUUGCCUAUCGGUGAAAUCCCCCUCUUACCAAUUGGAUUUUAAAAGAGACAAAUAUCUCCAGUCCCUGAGGAGACGACCCUAUUUGUCACUGUCUACUAUUCAGUAAUUUUCGUCAACUAAUUAAUUCUGGUAUAUCGGAUUCAGCAAACUCUUCGGGAACAGGGUGAAUCAAGUAACCCAUUGCACACCUAGAGUCCCUGCUCCAGUAUCUAGGAUUAAUUUUUGACUGCUUUUAGUAGUAUUUAAGUUUUUAUUAUUAUUAUUGCACAGGUUCGGCACCUGUCAAUUUUUGGCGCCGUUGCCGGGGACUGGCGUUAUUAUUUGUUUCUUUUUAAAUUCAUUUUUGUUCUAAUUUUCUGGCAUUUUUCUAGCGUAUGCCUCGGUCUUCUCGUACAGGUGAUUUGAUUUUUGACCCUGAAGUAGAGAAGACCGCGCGUAGAACGAGAAAGGAAACCAGACAGCUCAGAGAGGAGCAAUCCAGUGCUACGUCUCAGAGACCUGAGUGAGAAGUUGAACCAACAGAUUCAUUUGGUGACACUUCGAGUGACUCGGAGCAGGAAGAAAUCCCCAUGGCUAAUGCACGAACAUUAAGGGAGUUGGCUGCUCCUGAUUUAAAUCAACAGCCUUUAUGCAUUACUUUCCCGAGUUUGAGUGAUAACACUUCAUUUUAAUUGAAAUCGGGUCUAAUUCACCUUUUACCCUCUUUUCAUGGUCUACCAGGUGAGAAGCCACAUAAGCAUCUGCAGGAGUUUGAUGUCGUGUGCAACAGUAUGAAGCCCCCGGGAAUUACAGAAGAGCAGAUAAAAAUGAGGGCAUUUCCCUUUUUCUUGAAGGAUUCUGCAAAGGACUGGUUGUACUACCUACCGCCAGGUAGCAUCACCACAUGGGACCAAUUGAAGAAAAAGUUUUUAGAUAAAUAUUUUCCUGCAUCCAGGGCUGCGAGUCUAAGGAAAGAAAUUUGCGGGAUCAAGCAGCACCCAGGGGAGUCACUCUAUGAGUAUUGGGAACGGUUCAAGAAGUUGUGCGGCAAGUGCCCCCAACACCAAAUAAGUGAGCAGUUGCUCAUACAGUAUUUUUAUGAGGGGCUCCUUUUUAGAGACAGGAGCAUAAUUGAUGCUGCAAGUGGAGGGGCACUGGUGAACAAAAUCCCUCGGGAAGCAAGAGAGCUAAUAGAAGGGAUGGCAGAGAAUUCACAACAGUUUGGUACGAGAGAGGAUGUCCCAGUACGUAAGGUGAAUGAGGUAGAAACAUCCUCUAUCCAGCAGCAGCUAACUGAGUUGACCUCGUUUGUUAGGCAACUGGCUGUAGGAAAUGCAUCUCAGGCCAAGGUGUGCGGGAUUUGCACUGGUAUGGGUCACUCUGCAGACAUGUGCCCAAUGACUCAGGAAGAAACUGCAGAACAGGUUAACAUGGCUGACCACGCGCCCGCGCCAAGAAAGCAGUACGACCCUUACUCAAGCACCUACAAUCCCGGGUGGAGAGAUCAUCCCAACCUCAGUUAUGGAGGAAAUAGGCAGCCCAACUUUGCACCGAACAGGCAGUCUAAUUUCGUGCCAAAUAAGCAACCAGGGUACCAGCAGCAAUACCAACCCCGACCACCUCCGCCCCCAAACUCUGGUCCAUCUUUGGAGGAGAUGAUGAAACAAAUGAUGGCAACUAUUACGCAAAAUCAGCAAAGGACGGAGGCAACCAUUAUGCAAAAUCAGCAAAGGACGGACUCCGAAAUGCAGGACAUAAGGAAUCAGAUAAGUCAAAUGGCUACUACCAUCAACCGUUUGGAUUCCCAGAACCAAGGUAAAUUACCGUCUCAGCCUGAAUUAAAUCCGAAGAACGUGAGCGCAAUGACCCUAAGGAGCGGGAAGGAAAUUCAGGGGCCCGAGUCUGUGACUCCUAAGGACAAGGACAAGGAACGAAUCGAGAAAGAAUUGGAAGAGGAGGGCGGAGACACCAAAAAUCCAAAGGUAAUCUCGAAUCCAAUCAUUGCAGUUAGGACUAAUCCACCUCCCUUUCCUAUCAGGUUUGAAAAAUCAAAGAAGCAGGACAAGGAGAAAGAAGUCCUAGAGAUCUUUCACAAGGUGGAGAUCAACAUUCCCCUUCUAGAUGCAAUUAAGCAGGUACCCAGAUACGCAAAAUUUUUGAGGGACUUGUGUGUCAACCGAAGGCGGUUGAAGGGAGAUGAGAGAGUGGUAGUGGGGGAAAAUGUGUCAGCAAUCCUACAACGAAAGCUUCCACCGAAAUGCGGGGACCCAGGUAUGUUCACUAUUCCUUGUAGAAUAGGCAAUACCUUGAUUGGAAAGGCUAUGUUAGAUUUAGGAGUCUCAAUUAAUGUCAUGCCGAAAUCUAUAUAUGCUUCUCUGAAAUUAGGACCUCUGAAAGACACUGGAAUAAUCAUCCAACUGGCUGACCGAACCAAUGCAUACCCUGACGGAUUGAUUGAGGAUGUUUUAGUGAAAAUUAAUGAAUUGGUUUUUCCUGCUGAUUUUUACGUGCUUGAUAUGGAUGAUGAACACUCUCACGACCCAUCACCUUUACUGUUAGGAAGACCCUUCUUGAGCACAGCUCGAACUAAAAUUGAUGUAAAUAAGGGCACCCUAUCUAUGAAAUUUGAUGGUGAGAUUGUUCAUUUUAAUAUUUUCGAGUCCAUGAAAUAUCCUUCAGGAUCACAUGCUGGCUUUGUUUUCUCUAUAAAUGUUAUUGACCCUGUUGUACGAGAAGUUUUUGAAAUUGAAAGCAGGGAUGAGUUGGAAAUCGCCUUGACCAGGCACUUCGAGUCAGAGAUGGCGUCUGGAGUAGAGUUGAGUGAAGAGCUCAAAUGUGUGAUUGGAGUGUUGCAAACGUUGCCAACCACAAAAAUAAGGUAUGGUCUCGCACCCGUUUUUACACCUGAACCUCACCAAAGGUUACUUCCAUCUAUGGUGCAGGCACCUGUGUUGGAGUUGAAACCGCUGCCGAAACACCUUAAGUAUGCAUACUUGGGUGAGGGGGAGACACUCCCGGUAAUCAUCUCCGCGAGUUUAUCAAAAGUCCAAGAAGACAAAUUGAUUCAAGUUUUGAGAGACCAUAAGCAAGCGAUAGGAUGGACCAUCGCCGAUAUCAAAGGAAUUAGUCGCGCGGUAUGUAUGCAUCGAAUUCGACUCGAUGAGGAUGCUAAACCUAUUCGGCAGGCUCAAAGGAGACUGAAUCCCCUUAUGAUGGAGAUAGUGAAGAAAGAGAUCCUGAAACUGCUGGAUGUGGGAAUAAUCUUUGCUAUAUCAGAUAGCGCCUGAGUGAGUCCGGUACAGGUGGUUCCAAAGAAAACAGGGGUGACGGUAGAGUCAAAUCAGGAGGGCGAGCUCGUACCAGUUCGAAAGCCCACCGGGUGGCGGCAGUGCAUAGAUUAUAGGAAAUUGAAUGCCGUCACGAAAAAAGAUCACUUUCCCCUUCCUUUCAUUGACCAAAUGGUAGAGCGAUUAGCGGGUCGAGCUUACUAUUAUUUUUUGGAUGGAUUUUCAGAUUAUUUCCAGAUUGCUAUCGCACCUGAGGACCAGGAGAAGACUACCUUCACGUGCCCGUUCGGAACAUUCGCAUACCGGAGGAUGCCAUUCGGGUUAUGCAAUGCACCUGCUACCUUCCAACGAUGCAUGGUAGGUAUCUUUUCAGAGUAUGUUGAGAAGAUUAUUGAGGUUUUUAUGGAUGAUUUUAGUGUUUAUGGGGAAAGUUUCGAUGAUUGUCUAGAUAACCUGAAAUUAAUUUUGGUUAGGUGUAUAGAAACUAAUCUUGUGCUCAAUUGGAAAAAAUGUCAUUUUAUGGUCGAGUACGGGAUAGUUUUGGGUCAUAUAGUGUCAUCUAAGGGUAUUGAGGUUGAUAAAGCGAAAAUAGAUGUUAUAUCUACUUUACCUUACCCUGCGAGUGUGCGGGAAGUGCGUUCUUUCUUGGGACAUGCAGGUUUCUACAGGAGGUUCAUAAAGGACUUCUCCAAAAUUGGAGCGCCCCUGUUCCAACUUUUGCAAAAAGAGGUGCCAUUUGAAUUCAAUGAAACAUGUAAGAAGGCAUUUGAUAGGUUGAAGGAGCUAUUAAUCUCCUCACCUAUUAUCCAACCGCCCGACUGGAACCUGCCAUUCGAAAUCAUGUGUGACGCUAGCGAUUAUGCAGUGGGCGCGGUGCUGGGUCAAAGAGUGGGGAAGGCAGUCCAUGCUAUCUACUACGCAUCUCGAGCCUUGAACGGAGCUCAGUUGAACUAUUCGACCACCGAAAAGGAGCUUUUAGCUGUAGUUUUUGCUUUAGAGAAAUUUCGGUCCUAUUUACUUGGUGCUAAAGUUAUUAUCUUCUCUGAUCAUGUAGCUUUGCGGUAUUUGUUGACCAAAAAAGAGGCAAAACCACGACUUAUAAGGUGGAUACUAUUGCUACAAGAGUUUGAUCUGGAGAUCAGAGACAAGAAAGGGGCCGAAAAUUUGGUAGCAGAUCAUUUGAGUCGAGUACAAGUCACCGAGGACGACCUGCCACUGAGAGAAACAUUCCCCGAUGAGCAUUUAUUUUCUGCUAAUUUAUCUUUGCAUUGGUAUGCAGAUCUUGUUAAUUUCCUAGUUACUGACAAGUUUCCUGCAGGAUGGCCUAAGGCAAAACGGGACAAGUUAAGGAGUGACGCAAAGUCUUACAUCUGGGAUGACCCUUACCUCUGGAAGCGUGGUGCCGACCAAAUCAUUUGCAGAUGUGUAAGUGAAAAUGAAUUCCAAUCUAUUUUAGCUUAUUGUCACUCUUUUGCAUGUGGAGGUCACUUUGGACCAAAAAGGACGGCUCGUAAGGUUCUAGAGAGUGGAUUCUAUUGGCCGACCCUCUUUAAGGAUGCCUACUCGUUUUGUAAGUCAUGUGAUAAGUGUCAACGAGUGGGUAAUAUUUCUCGUAGGGAUCAAAUGAUCCAAACCCCAAUGAUUUUUGUUGAGAUUUUUGACGUUUGGGGUAUUGACUUUAUGGGUUCUUUUCCUUCGUCUUAUGGUUUUCUUUAUAUAUUGCUUGCCGUAAACUAUGUUUCGAAAUGGGUGGAAGCAAAGGCCACCCGUAAUAAUAACUCCAAAGUGGUUGCAGAAUUUGUCAAAUCUAAUAUCUUUGUCCGCUUUGGGAUGCCGCGAGCAAUUGUAAGUGAUAGGGGUACCCAUUUCUGCAACAAGACGAUUGCUGCACUUUUCAGGAGGUACGGUGUCUUGCACAAAGUCUCCACUUCUUACCAUCCUCAGACAAACUGUCAGGCGGAAACAUCAAAUCGGGAGAUCAAGUCAAUUUUGGAGAAAGUGGUUCGCCCCGAUAGGAAGGAUUGGAGCAUGCGACUUGAAGAUGCCUUAUGGGCGUAUAGAACGGCGUACAAGACGCCAAUCGGCAUGUCCCCUUAUCGUUUGGUAUUUGGGAAGCCAUGUCACCUCCCUGUCGAGUUCGAGCAUAGAGCAUUUUGGGCAGUUAAACAAUGCAAUAUGGACAUCGAAGAGGGCGGAAUUCAAAGGAAGUUGCAAUUACAAGAAUUGGAGGAAAUUCGCAAUGAAGCCUAUGAGAAUGCUGUGAUUUAUAAGGAGAAGAAUAAGAUAUUUCAUGACCAGCAGGUGUCUAGGAAAACGUUUGAAUGUGGGCAAAAAGUUCUACUGUACCACUCGAAAUUGAAGUUAUUUCCAGGUAAGUUACGUUCUCGUUGGAUCGGUCCCUUUGUUGUAACUAAUGUCUUUGAUUAUGGUGCAGUGGAGAUCCAGAGCCUAAGGACGGAGAAGAAAUUUGUGGUAAAUGGUCAUCGUCUCAAGCCGUAUUAUGAUGGGGCUCCAAUUGAACGGGUAGAGACAAUGCAUUUGGAGGUCCCGAUUUGCUUGGUUUAAGCAAAUUAUGGGCUAUGUCUAGCCAAAGACACUAAAGAAAGGCGCUUGUGUGGGAGGCAACCCGAAUAUUGAUUUUAUUGUUUUUAGUUGUUUAUUUCUUUCGUUUUGUCGUUUCUCCAUUGGGUAGUAUCAAUGCUAAUAUCUCCUCCACUGUGACCAGGAAGUGACAUCUUGGCGUGCCCACGCGGUGUUUGUAUCUUCUGAGACCAGAGGACGAAGACCAAUCUUGGCAUGCCCGCGCGGUGUUUGUGUUUUCUGAGACCAGAGGACGAAGACCAAUCUUGGAAGCAAAUUUAAUGAAUUCAAAUUUCAGAUUUAUAUUUUCAUUUUGGAAGCAAAUUUUGUCCAGAAAAUUCAAUGCCACUUAAUUAAUUUAGACCUUGUUUACUAACCCAAUUCAGCACUUAAAUUUAAUAGAUUCAGAUCUUAAUAUGUUCUCAUAUGUUUGAUAACGAAAAAUUGAACAUUUGAAUUAAUUAAGUGGUAUUGAAUUUUUUAGGCAAAACUUGUUCCAAAAAUAAGUGAUAAAUUAUUCAUUUAUCAGUGAAUGUAAUACACUCAAAUAUAUUUGAUUUAAUAUUUAACAAAUCAAUAAUUUAAUGAAAUUAGAUUUCAAUUUUGAGACUCUAGUUUUAUCAGACGCACCCUUAAAUUGUGGGAAAUUGAGUUAUAAAAAAGGACCUAAAUUAUUUAGUAUAAAUCACGUUUUAUAUUAGUAAAGUUAGUGGAAGAACUAGUAUAAACCUCAUUUGCGAAAUAUAAAUACGAGUAUCAUUUGCCAUACAAAUUACAAUCCAUUAACUCAAUAAUACUGGGAAUGAAACACCAGACUCAGAAAAGAAUGGCGAAAAAACUUGCGACUGCAAAAACAAAAGAAAAAGCAAAAGAAUUGGAAGAAGAAGCAAUGAAAGUGGAAAUGAAAACCAAGGAGGAGCUGAAGCCCUGGGAGCAGCACUCUGCUGUGAUCAUCAUUCCUCGUUUUGACUACAACGCCCCUCUUCUCUCCUCAGUCAUUCCCACUCCGGAUUCCUCAUCACCUGCCCCAUCAGUAAGGCCUCUCAUCCCAUCUCUUCUGUCCAGAAAGCUAUGUUCUUUUUUUUUUUUUGCUAUUUUUGUACCUUAUUGGCAUUUAUUUAUAUAAUUUGCAUCUGGGUUUUUGAAAUUUUCAAUUUGAUUGUUUGGGAUAGUCUGGGCAGUGUGGUGAUUGAUAAAAAGGCUUCCUUUGUUAUGUAGAGAGGGAGAAGAGUGCAACAAAAGAAGCCAUGUCAAUUCUUGAAAAGGUAAUGAAUUCUACUAGUUUUGUCUCUUGUCAGUUCUCUGGAAUAAUGUCAAAAUAAGGAAAUUUUAGACAUAAAGAAAAUUCAUGCUGACUUGAGAAUUAGGACAGUUAAAUUGGUUUAGUAAACUUGGUUUUAUGGGAUUCUUAAAUUCUAGGCAAGGUUGGGAACUUGGGGUAUUUGGAAGUGAAUAAGACUGUAGCGGACUUGAAUUACUGGUAUAAUGUGUUCGCUGCAAUAAUUGUUUUGGUUUAAGAUGAAGAGUGGCAAUGUUACGGAAUUGGUUUCUAAAGAAAGAAAUGUUUGAAAGAUUAAGCAUAAGUAAACGGGGAAUGGGACGGCGACUAAUUGAUAAAACUGAGGAAGUUUGGAGAACUGGGUGAGCUGUGCAGAAGAUAGGCACAGGCAUAUUGUGUUGACAGGUGCCGAACCUGUGCAAUAAUAAAUACUAAAAAGUCCUAAUUACCACCACAAUUAAUUAUAGAACAAAUCCGAGUACGGGAACAGGGACCCUAGGUGUGCAAUGGGUUACUUGAUUCACCCUGUUCCCGAAGAGUUUGCUUGAUCCGAUAUACCAGAUUUGUCUAUACAAAUAUUAAUUUUGCGUACAAUGGCAAGUAGGGUCGAUUCCACAGGGAGCAAGUAGGAAAUUAUUUCUUUCCAAAUCAAUAGAAUGGGGGAUUUUUAAUAGGAUGUAAAUGAAAAAUAAGAAUAACACUAAAGCAAACUAAAUUCAAAACUAAUUCACAAAGCACAAGUUACUAAAAGUAGCAAUUAAUGAAAUUCUACCCAAAGGAUCAACUGCUCAGGCACGGUCCAAUUAAAUGAUCAUCGAUGCAAAGAUAUUUCAUUCAUUAAUUACUAGGCUGGUUAUAGUUAUCAACAAGUUCUGACAACCAGUUCUUCCUUACCUUUUCGACAGUCAAGGUACGACCAUUGACUGCUUCUCUAACCAGAUAACAACCCUAGGUACGACUGUAGGAAUUUAAUUACCCAAUUGCACUAAAAUUAGAAGAACCCAACCCUAACUAAUAAACACGCUAAGAGGGUUUAUUUAAAUUAGAUCCUACGUUUCCCCAACAUAAAGCCAAUUAUGGUGGUUGUCACUAGGUAUCAACUAAACGAACAAUUAAGGAUUCAAUUUAGUUAAUGUGACAGUAGGCUAUUAAAUUAAAUCAAAUACUCGGCCGUUGAUAUUCAAUUAAUAAAACACACAUGAACAAUUAAUUCAGGAAACGCACGAAUAUCAAUAAAUUGAAAGAAAUAAUGAAGAUUCGAUUAGAUCUCACAGAUAUUAUGGACCGCGCCCUCACGUCAACCUUUGGGUAGAGGAGGAAAUUAGCCGCUCCUCAUCGUAUCAAUUUCGCGUGAUUCAAUUGACAUCAUCCGCACAAUUACCCAAGAAUCAAUUGCCCAGAAAUUGGGGAGGAUGAAUUAAUCGAAGAAACAAUCAACGAAAAACCUAGCUCUGUCUUGUAUUGGAGCCGCAAUUACAAAGCAAAAGCCAACGGAGAAUUGUCAAAGGCGAAAGGAGCGAAUUCAAGAGUCAGAGUCGCAUAAAGUAAAAACUACAGAAAAGGAGAAAGUCUCCAAUGUCUGACCCAAAGCCGCAGAAGAAACAAAAGAAAAAAACAAAAGCGUCUGACCAAAAAUUGCAAAAGGUAAAACUAAAGCUAAAAGUAGUGAUCCCCCCGAAUCUUGUUUUUUCCUCCUUUUUAUAGCCGCCGUCAGUAGUAUUCCUCCCAGGAGGAGGCUUUUGCCUAAGGGGCGCUGAUCCCACGCUUCAGGUUCACGUGGACCGGGGUCCGGCUUUUCGGCAACGUCUACCUUGUCUGGCGUGGCCACGCCCUAAAAUGAAAGGUCUUCUGGAAUUUUGCCUCGUGAAAGCACUUUUUACACCAACCACCUAUAAUUCAUACAAAUAUGAAAUAUUCAUACAAAUAUGAAAUAUGAGCAAAACCUCAAUAUUUAGCACAGUAAGUAGCCAAAAUUAGGACAAAAUAACCGUGCAAAAUGUGCCAAAUAAUUGCUCUAUCAAAUCCCCCCACACCUAGACAAUGCUUGUCCUCAAGCAUUUCGAAGCUCAGAAGUACAACCAAGAGAGCAAAGGUCAUGUAGUAAUCUAUACUAACACAAAUAUUUCAGAUCCCUGACAAUGUUGCCAAAAUUAGAACACGCCGAACAGGUAGUAGUUCAAAGAAAAUAUAUGAAUACUAGGAACGUUCAAAUCAACAUCACGGAAUACCAUUACCAUAGGCUUGCACAUUUAUCAAAUCUCCACCACUCAAAAGUGAACUAAAUACACAAAUCAAAGGGACUUUAAUAGGGUUGUAAUGGGAUUUAGAUAAAAGGCGGGAUAAGAGGGUGAAAAUAAGGUGUAAUGUGUCAAGAGAAUGUCCGAUAUCCACCACAUAACCACAACGCUUUACCGGGGAAAUUUCCCAAGCAGGGCGUUUCCAUUUGCUAUUCCCACUGUGCAAGUGCCGCCAUUUUUUUUUUCUAACGACAACUCGCAAGGCGUGGGCAUGCCUUGUAGGCUGGAGUCUUCUGUUCACGAGCCCCCCUUGAACUAAAAUUUUUUUUUUCUCUUUUUUCUUUUUCUUUUUCUUUCGAUCUCAGAUAUACAGAAACAGUACCAUACAGCAUCUACUCUGAAAACACUUGCGACCAUAGAUUUAUUUGCCUUGUAUAAGUAAUGAAUUUCAGACAUCUCUUUAUGACUCAAGGUUGAACAAGAAAGUCUAAAAAAAAGAAAGGUCAUGGGUUAUCAAACACGGCUAACAACCGAAAGCGGAGGAUAGAAUCUCUAGUUGGUUUACUAUUGGGAGACAAGAUGAAUGCAUGAUUUUUAGAAAGUUAAAGGAGAUUACAUCCUAAAUGCCCUUAUCAUUUCAAAUGCAUCCAAUUCAACAAAAAUGUGGUCUCGACAUGUAUAAACUAGCAAGUUCUAGAAUGCCAAUACCAUGUGUGAUACCCACUCAAUCAAACAAAAAUAGAGCAAAUAAGAAUAGUGUGCUCAUGUAUGGCUCAAAAGCUCACAAGAGUUUCCAAAAAUGGGUCAAGUCCCGUAUACUCAAUAUCUAACAACACAGUCAAGGGAAGACAAAAUGCAUAGCUAGUAUAUUUACCCACAUACCCACGCACCUUGAUUAUGUCAUUCAUCACAGCAACAUGCUCCAGCAUUAACAAGCAUAGAAAUAAACAAAAAGCCGACUAACUACAAUGUUUUCAUCAUUUUUUUUUUCAUUUUUUCCAUUUUUUUUUGUUUUUUUUUUGUUUUUUUUUUGAGUAACAAAGCAAAAGGAAAUAAUGGAAGCUAUUCCCCCACACCUAAAACCUACAUUGUCCUCAAUGUAGAAAAGACAAAUGAAGUAUUAGGAGAAAAGAAGAGAAACUUCCCUGACCACCGGGGAGGGAAAGCGAGACACUAAGGCGGAAGAGGGUGAGGCGGCGACGGACGCAACACGAACAGGAAGGAGAAGACUGAAGCUAAAACAAAGUGAAAAGGGAUUAGACAAGACAGGAUAAAAAAAAAAGUAGAAAAGUGGGGUUAGGAGAAAAAAAUUUUCUUUUUGACUUUCGUUUUCGGAAGGGUUGGAAGGCGUGGGCACGCCUUGGAAGUUAUAGUCUUCUGACCAUCAAUUCCAAAACUCCAUUCCUAAGGUGUGACGACCUAGCGUGGGCAUGUCUAACUGCCAACUUCCUGUCACAAAAUAACAACCCACUAAAUGACACUAUCACUUAACAAAAAUUUCAAAAAUAUAAGAAAACUAAAACAAAAGAAACCUUGGAUUACCUCCCAAGCAGCACCUUUCUUUAAUGUUUUUGGCUAGACAUAGCACCACUCUUUAGUCUGGAUGUAAUUGAAUUUUCCUUGUAAUUGGUGGCCCUCCUCCGGGAUCCACGUGGCCAUUGAGUGCAACCUUUUUUCUAAAUUUUCUCUCCAUUUUCACCUCAUGAAUUGCUUUCAUCCUAUAGGACUUGUUCGCAGCAACCUUGAAUUUACCCCUACAAGCAAACUUAGAAAAUUCUUGCACAGAGGGAUUAGUGGCAUAAAUAGCAAACACAGAAUGGGAGUUAACAGGAUGUUUCAUUGUAUCAAAAAUAUUGAAGUGGACUAUUUCUCCAUCAAAUUCCAUCGUGAGAGUACCCUUACUAACAUCAAUUUUAGUCUGGGCAGUACUAAAAAAUGGUCUUCCUAAUAUAAUGGGUGAUGGAUUUGGGGCACUUCUAUCAUCCAUGUAAAGCACAUAAAAAUCAGCAGGAAAAAUUAAUCCAUCUACUUGCACUAAAACAUCCUCAAUUAUCCCAUCCGGAUAAGCACAUGUACGAUCAGCCAAUUGAAUUAUUAUCCUCGUUUCUUUUAAUGGUCCUAAAUUUAGAGAAUCAUAGAUUGACUUAGGCAUCACAUUAAUAGAAGCCCCUAAAUCUAUCAUGGCAUUUUUGAUACUAGAAUGUCCAAUCUUACAGGGAAUAGUAAACAUACCUGGAUCCCCGUAUUUGGGUGGAAGUUUCCUUUGAAGUACAGCUGAUACAUUCUCUCCUACCAUCACUCUCUCAUCACCCCUUAGCUUUCUUUUGUUAACGCACAAGUCUUUCAAGAACUUUGCGUAUUUGGGUACCUUUUUGAUCACGUCCAAUAGGGGGAUGUUUACUUGAACUUUGCGGAAUACAUCCAAGAUUUCUUUUUCCUUUUCUGCCCUCUUUGUCUUUUCCAACCUGCAAGGAAAAGGAGCUAGAUUAGAUUUAAUAGGGAUCGAAGGAAUAGAUGUUACCUUAGGCUCUUCGCGAAUGCGCCCUUCCUCUUCAAUCUUCUUUUCUAUCUCCUCCUCACUUUUGCUUUUUGGAUUUUCCACUUUAGGCCCUUCCAGUUCCUUGCCACUCCUUAGUGUCAUGGCACUUACAUUCUUGGGAUUUAUCUCGGGUUGCGAUGGUAAUUUCCCACAAAUGUGGGACUUCAAGCGGUUGAUGGCAGUUGCCAGUUGGCUUAUUCGGGCAUCUUGGUCUUUCUUAUCCGCUUUGGUGUCCUGUUGGAGCUGCGUGGUAUUCGCGACCAAGGAUCUGAUCUCCUGUUGGAGCUGAGUAGUAGUCGUGGCCAGGCUUUUGACAAUAUCCUCCAGGGAGCUCCCUGAAUUGGAGGACGAGGGUUGAGAUUUUGCUUGCCAUGGCAGGUGGAAUCCUGGUUGACGAUUAGGGAAAUGAUUUUACUGCCUGUUCCCAUAACUGAGAUUGGGGUGGUCCUCCAACUCGGAUUGUACGUAUUGGAGUACGGGUCGUAUUGCCUGCGGGGCGCGGGCACGCCUCCGGCCAUGUUUACCUGUUCCGCCUCGUCCUCUUGCAAAAUGGGGCACGUGUCCGUGCAGUAGUCCAUGCUAGUACAGAUUCCACUCACCUUCGCUCGCGGCGUGUCUCUCAUGGCUAAUUGCCUAACAACAGACGUCAAUUCUGACAGUUGUUGCUGUAUGGAUGAAGUCUCUACCUCGUUGACUCUACGGGGAGGGUUGCUCUCACGGAAGCCAAAUUGCUGGGAGUUCUCUGCCAUGGCUUCGAUAAGCUCCCACGCUUCCCUCGGUGUCUUGUUUACAAGUGCUCCCCCACUCGCAGCAUCAAUGAUACUCCUAUCUGUUGAUUGGAGCCCUUCAUAGAAGUAUUGGAUUAACAGUUGUUCACUAAUUUGAUGCUGCGGGCAUCUAGUGCACAACUUGUUAAAUCUUUCCCAGUAUUCAUACAAUGACUCACCGGGAUACUGUUUAAUGCCGCAGAUCUCUUUCCUCAAACUCGCAGCCCGGGAUGCAGGGAAGAAUUUUUCCAAAAAUUUCUUUUUCAACUGUGCCCAUGUGGUAAUACUACCCGCUGGUAGGUAGUAUAGCCAAUCUUUUGCUGCAUCCUUGAGAGAGAAUGGGAAAACUCUAAGUCUUAUCUGCUCCUCAGUGACCCCAGGAGGUUUCAUGCUAGAGCAAACUACCUCGAACUCCUUGACAUGUUUGUGGGGUUCUUCCCCAGAAAGACCGUGGAACAAAGGUAGGAGGUGAAUCAAUCCCGACUUCAGCUCGAAGGCGGUAUUCUCAGCCAAAGUAGGGAAUGUGAUGCAUAAGGGCUGGUGAGUCAGCUCCGGGGCAGCCAGCUCCCUUAAUGUUUGGGUGUUGGCCAUGCUUACUUCGUCUUCUACUGACUCGUUUGCAAUAAAUAAGUGCCCUUCUUUUCGUCUCUUGGUCUCUUGCCUCCGCCUACGCGCUGCCUUCUCAACCUCAGGGUCGUAUAUCAAUUUACCUGUGUGAGAAGAACGGGGCAUAAACUAGCAAAAAUACCAAGAAGAAUAAAAUAAAAAUGAAAAUUGAAUUUGAAAGGAAACAAAUAAUCCAAACGCCAACUCCCCGGUAACGACGCCAAAAAUUGACAGGUGUCAAGCCUGUGCAAUAAUAAAUACCUACUCGAGAAAAAUGUAAAUUUUACAUAUAGCGGUGAGUAGGGUCGAAUCCACAGGGAUUGUGAAUAACUUAUUUCUUUUAGAGUUCGAAGUAUGGGGGAUUUUUAAUGGGAGGUAAAUGAAAAAUAAGAAUAACACUAAAGCAAACUAAAUUCAAAACUAAUUCACAAAGCACAAGUUACUAAAAGUAGCAAUUAAUGAAAUUCUACCCAAAGGAUCAACUGCUCAGGCACAGUCCAAUUAAAUGAUCAUCGAUGCAAAGAUAUUUCAUUCAUUCAUUACUAGGCUGGUUAUAGUUAUCAACAAGUUCUGACAACCAGUUCUUCCUUACCUUUUCGACAGUCAAGGUACGACCAUUGACUGCUUCUCUAACCAGAUAACAAACCUAGGUACGACCGUAGGAAUUUAAUUACCCAAUUGCACUAAAGCUAGAAGAACCCAACCCUAACUAAUAAACACGCUAAGAGAGUUUAUUUAAAUUAGAUCCUACGUUUUCCCAACAUAAAGCCAAUUAUGGUGGUUGUCACUAGGUAUCAACUAAACGAACAAUUACGGAUUCAAUUUAGUUAAUGUGACAGUAGGCUAUUAAAUUAAAUCAAAUACCCGGCCGUUGAUAUUCAAUUAAUAAAACACCCAUGAACAAUUAAUUCAGGAAACGCACGAAUAGCAAUAAAUUGGAAGAAAUAAUGAAGAUUCGAUUAGAUCUCACAGAUAUUAUGGACCGCGCCCUCACGUCAACCUUUGGGUAGAGGAGGAAAUUAGCCGCUCCUCAUCGUAUCAAUUUCGCGUGAUUCAAUUGACAUCAUCCGCACAAUUACCCAAGAAUCAAUUGCCCAGAAAUUGGGGAGGAUGAAUUAAUCGAAGAAACAAUCAACGAAAAACCUAGCUCUGUCUUGUAUUGGAGCCGCAAUUACAAAGCAAAAGCCAACGGAGAAUUGUCAAAGGCGAAAGGAGCGAAUUCAAGAGUCAGAGUCGCAUAAAGCAAAAACUACAGAAAAGGAGAAAGUCUCCAAUGUCUGACCCAAAGCCGCAGAAGAAACAAAAGAAAAAAACAAAAGCGUCUAACCAAAAAUUGCAAAAAGUAAAACUAAAGCUAAAAGAAGUGAUCCCCCCGAAUCUUGCUUUUUCCUCCUUUUUAUAGCCGCCGUCAGUAGUAUUCCUCCCAGGAGGAGGCUUUUGCCUAAGGGGCUCUGAUCCCACGCUUCAGGUUCACGUGGCCCGUGGUCCGGCUUUUCGGUAACGUCUACCUUGUCUGGCGUGGCCACGCCCUGAAAUGAAAGGUCUUCUGGAAUUUUGCCUCGUGAAAGCACUUUUUACACCAACCACCUAUAAUUCAUACAAAUAUGAAAUAUGAGCAAAACCUCAAUACUUAGCACAGUAAGUAGCCAAAAUUAGGACAAAAUAACCGUGCAAAAUGUGCCAAAUAAUUGCUCUAUCAUGUGUUGUUCAAAUGCAUUAGGUAUUGGAGAGGGGGGAACAAACAAACUAAAGUUGUUUACUGUUUUAAACGUGAUAAAUUUUUGGAAAUGAAGUGUAAUGCUAAUGGUCUUCAUUUGUGAGAAUAAUGGCAAAAUUAUGCAUUUAACACUAUUUCCAUCUGUUGAACUUAGUCUAGGAAAAAUGUUUAUGAUUUUUGGGUUCUAAACUUGAUUAAGAUUUCGGUUUGCCGACAAACAGAAGGAUAAGAUGUCAAUUAUCCUGCCAAUAGGUUAUUAACAUAUGAGUCUAGUAGCUGGUUUCAAAUUUUUUUUGCAUAUGAUCUUCCACUUCAUCCAUUUAUUUGUAGCCGGUGCAUUUUUAGGUCACAGAUUAGUAUGGUUUAGUCCUUGUUUACAAGUCUUAUUCAACUUGUUUUGCUUACACUCUGUCAUUUGUCACUUGGUUCAAUCGAGUGACUGCUUAAGUCUGCUGUGCCUUCUUGAGUAAAUGACAUGAUUCGACAUCCAAAAUGCAUCACUGGUUAAAUUCUUUAUCACUCACAGCUUUCCAGUAUAUAUAUAUGAGUUACCAAUUUCCUUGAAUUUGAAGAGGCUUAUGGAUACAUAGUAACCUUAGCUUAAGCUUGAGCACAUAACUCAUACAGGGUAGGCACAAAUUCACCUUACUAAUACAGAACCUUUGCAUUGUUUUCUUUGAAAAUAAAUCAGAAACAAUAGAUAGAAGAUAUGCAAUAUUUUCUGGCAUAAGAAAAUUUUUUUAAAUAUAAAAGCAAUUUAAUAAGUGUAUCGUUAUAUUUCUCUAAAGAAUGACAUGGUCUUAAGUGAUCAUAUUUCUGGAAGGAGAAGACCGUUAGUCCAAUUUUGUUAGGCAUUUGAGACAUCAGAUAUUAUAUGCAUGAAAUAUAUAGCUGAUUGCCAAUCAUCUAUUUUGAGUUCUCAAGAAAUAGAUAUAUAAGCUUCAGUUUUGCUUUUAACAUUAAAAAGGCAUUCUUCAUUGCAGCAGCUUUGGAUAAUUGUCUUUUAUUCAUACCUAAAGAGACUUGUAUAGGCAUGAGAUGUUGCACUCUUCUAGGGCCCAAAUAAUAAGUGGACAAUUUAGAGUUAGCUUAAAAUCUUGUGGCAGACAACUUGUUUGCAAUUGUUUUUGGAUAUAUUUACACCAGAAGCCAAGCGUUGCUGAGGUUCAUCACUAUGUGACAGAAAUGAAUGAGUUUUAGUUAUAUUUGAAGUCCUCUCCAAUGCCUGUAUCAUUUUUAUUUCUUGGACCUCUCUUGUUGCAAAAGGAAGACAAAUGAUGAACCAACUUGGAGAAGGGGGAGGUGUGCAUCUGGUGCUUGCAACAUUCUAUUCUUUUAACUUCACAGAGUUUUUAUAAAAGCUGUGUGCUGAAAUAGGGCUUCAAACUGAUGUUGAUAUAUUGAUACAUUAUGCGUUCCAUUCUUUUUUUAUGAAUGCCAUCAAUAUUCACGACUGAUGCAAACAAUGAAGAGUUUAAGGGAAGAGUAAAUUUUAAUAUUCUUGGGAACUUGGCUGAAGAUCCAAUUUACCCACUUUGAAGAAUGGGUAAUCUUUUUAGGAUCUCGUGUAUUUAUUAAAAAUUUAAAUUCUACGUAUUUCAGUAGACUUGAAAUUUAUGGUGCUUUAGUAGCUUAUGGGUAUUUUACUUGUUAUGGGUAUUGGGUAAACUGACAAUGGACACUUCGGCCGUUGUUUGAGACCAUAGGCUUAUUCAUUGACUUUGAUGGAAGGGCUUUUAAUUGAAAUGUUGGGAUUCAUCACCUCAAUUUCCUGUCAUAAGAUAUUCUGGUCCCCAGGGCUGAGCUGAAGCCUGGUACGUAUUGCAUGUACUACUGUACACACACCCACAGAUCCAGGUUUGUUAGGCCAUCCGUGAAGGAGUUAUUUAAGUUAUUCAUUGGUGAAUUUUUUAUGCAUCUUUGUCUUGGAAGUGAUGUCCUAAACCUUUGUGUCAUAUGUGGCUUUCUUCCUGACUUUUUACUAUCAUCUUCCAUUGCAUGUGGUUAUUUUCUUUUCCUGUCCUUGAAUAUACACCAAUGAGAUAGUAAGAGUUCAACCUAUCUUCCCCACUGUCAAAUAACAUUCAAUGUUAAAAGCUUGUGUUCAAAUUUUGUAUGAAUGAGUUUGCUG